UACCACCAGCCAUUGAGAAUUUAACACAGCUUCAAUUUCUUGAUUUGAGCAAUAAUUAUCUAGAUGGUCCCAUUCCUUUCCAGGUUAGCAAUCUUCAGAGGUUGCUCAUCUUAAACCUGUCACAGAAUGCAUUGCAAGCUCCAAAUUGGUCCCAUUUCUCUCCCAUGCCUUUUUUGCGCAUCCUCAACCUCAGUAGCAAUCCUCUAGCGUCGAAAUUCCCAAAUUUCAUAUCCAAUUCUCAUGGCCUGACUCACCUUAGCCUUAAUUAUAACGAGUUUACUGGUGAUUUAGUACGUGAAUCAAUAUUUGCCAAUCUGCAUAAUCUUGAAGUCCUCGGUCUUGUUGACAAUUCUUUUGAGGGGCCAUUUCCCCCGGAUAUAUUCAGGCUCUCCAAAUUAAAACGUCUCUCCCUGUCAGGUAACAAAUUUUCAGGUUCAGUUCCCAAUGACAUAAGGUUGCUUUGUGAUCUUCAAUCUCUAUAUUUAGCUAACAAUUCCUUUGAAGGACCGCUUCCACCAAAUAUAUUCAAGCUUGCAAAAUUAAAAGAUCUUGCUCUUUGGGGUAAUAAGUUUUCAGGUUCUGUUUCCAAUGAUAUAGGUUUGCUUUCUGUGCUUGAAAUUCUCAAUAUUCACUCUAAUUUUUUUGAGGGGCCCCUUCCGCCAAAUAUAUUCAAGCUCUCCAAAAUAAGGUUUCUUUACCUCGGGGGUAAUAACUUUUCUGGUUCCGUUUCCAAUGAGAUAGGUUUGCUUUCUGAGCUUGAAUCCCUAUAUCUUGGUUCUAAUGUUUUUGAGGGGCCGCUUCCACCAAAUAUAUUCAAGCUUUCCAAAUUAAAAUGGCUUGACCUCGCAGACAAUAGAAAUUUAUUUGAAGGAAGUAUUCCUAUUGGACUGGGACUCUUGACUAACCUCAGCUACUUAGAUCUAAGUUCCAGUAAUCUCAGUGGCUAUAUUCCAUCUGUCAUUGCAAACCUGAAGCUACUAGUAUUUCUUGAUCUCAGUUCUAAUCAAUUGACUGGACCACUUUCGAAGAUCGUUUCUAAUCUCACAAAUCUUAUACUUCUUGGUGUGGAUUAUAAUAGUCUUAGUGGAAAUAUUCAGAGUGAUUUGUGGAAGAACUCUAUAUCCUUACGUUACAUUGAUUUUGAAAAUAAUUAUUUUUCUGGAAACAUUCCUGAGGAAUAUAACGAUCAUCCAACUUUGGAAUACAUCAAUUUAAGUGGGAACUAUUUUACAGGUAUAUUUUCUUAAUAUAUCUUUUCCUUUUGUCAUAUAUAUGUAACUAAGCUAGUAAUCUGAUUAUUGCAGUUUUACCAAAGUUUCAACAAUCUUGACAGGUGAGCUUCCAACAACAAUUUGCAAUGUCACCUCCCUUUCGGUUCUUGUUUUGUCAAAUAAUAAAUUAAGUGGUGCACUUCCAAACUGUUUCGGGAAUCUUGCUGAUGGAUUGCUUUACAUUAAUCUUGCUAAUAAUCAGUUUCAAGGAACAAUACCAACUACUUUCUCCAGGAGUUGUCAGUUGACAUAUCUAAACAUGGUUAAUAAUGAGUUUGAAGGAUUGAUGCCCCCAUCUUUAGCGAACUGUAAGCACUUGAAAAUUCUUGAUAUAGGCAAUAAUAAAAUAGGUGGUACAUUUCCGUCAUGGCUUUAUGCACUUGGAGAGCUAGAAGUUCUUGUCUUGCGAUCAAAUAAACUCUAUGGUACAAUAAGUGGAAGGAGCAUAGAAGAUCCCUUCCCCAAGUUGCGGAUUGUGGAUCUGUCCAACAAUCAAUUCACAGGCCAUUUGCCAAUUCAAUACUUUAAGAAUAUGAAAUCAAAUGAUAAUUUGUAUCGUUAUCUGAAUUCCACAGGAGAAAUAUAUAUCUCUUAUGAAGCAGCAGUCUCAUUAACUGUGAAGGGAACAGAGUAUGAAGUAGCAAAGAACCUUCAUAUUUACACAGCCAUUGAUCUGUCGUGCAACAAAUUUCAGGGAGAAAUUCCAAAGGUUACCGGAGAGCUUAGAUGGCUUGCAUUGCUCAAUUUAUCUCAUAAUAGUCUAACAGGACCUAUCCCAUCAUUGCUGGGAAAUAUGAAAGAACUCCAAUCUUUAGAUUUGUCCUCAAAUCAACUGACAGGGGCUAUUCCACCUCAGCUAACUGCAUUGACAUUUCUAGAGGUCUUGAACCUCUCGGGAAACCAUCUUAGUGGAGAGAUUCCUCAGAAAGGACAGUUCAGCACAUUCAACAAUGAUUCUUAUCUAGGAAACUCCGCGUUAUGUGGAUCACCUUUGACGAAGAAAUGUGGAAACACUGUAUCACCUCCACAGGAAGUCGGAAAUGGUGAUGAAGAUGAUGCGGGUGAUGAAUGGACAUGGGAAGCAAUCGUGAUGGGAUAUGGAUGUGGACUGAUAUGUGGAUUGUCAUCUGCGUACAUUGUUCUCAAACUAGGAAAGCCUUGGUGGUUUGUGAGAUAUAUCGAAGUACUGCAACAGAAGUUGAUGAAAAGAUAUGCAUGAAGAAAGGUACUGGUAGAUCAAGAUGAAAAGAUAUGAAGAAGUAUUUGGUAUUAUGUAAUAAUCCGUUUGGUCGGGACUCAAAAUGAUUUCUCUUGCUUCAGGGGUAUUAAUAUUAACCUUGCUAUCUUGUUCAAUGUUAAUGCAAAUUAAAAAGAAUAUAAAAGCAAAAAAUUUGCAUCAAACACCUGUUGUACCAACAUGCAUCCAUUAAUUUGCUUUCAUCUAUUAAGUAACAAUUUAAGAGCGCUUCCACUCUGUUUAAGCAUGGAGAUUACACAAAGAAGGCAAGUCCAUGGAUUAACACGUAGUCCACAUCUAUGCUACGAACAAUUCACAUUGAUCUUAUAUCUGUUCAACAGUCUCCCGAAGAUAGGCCAUAAAUGUCAUCUGUGGCUCUUAUGUUUGUCAGUAAAGGAGAAUCUCUGAUGCCUAUAACCUGGUUUUCUUACAAGAUGCCCAGGUUAUCAUGGCCAUGCAGAAAAAUGCCCAAAAAUGAAUAGCUCAGGUCUCCCCAAGCCUUCCAGGACUCAUUCCAAGUCUUCGGAGGACCACUGCCUCCCCCUUUCAAAGAUGUGAUUGUAGCUCGAAAGUGAUAUAAAUUAUUUUCCCCACAUUAAAAAUAAAAAAUCAGAUUAAAUUAAUCAAUAAUAAAUUAAGGAUGAAAUCCAAAUUAAUCCUAAAUUUUGAUAAUAUAUAAAAAUUAUAAUUAUAAAUUAUAUAACCAAAUCAGAAUUGAAUUAACUUACUUGGCACUAGAAUUGCUAAAGACAGUAUAAUAAUUUAAUUGAUGAAAAGUCAAAGUCUUCUAAUAAAUCCAUAAAGAAUAUGAUAAUAUGAAAAUUAUAAUUGAAAAAUCAAAAUCAAUAGUGUAUUGGAAUAGUGUUCACACACUUAUAUAUCAAAAUUUGUGGUCCAAAAACUAUAGCACAAUAUCCUAAAUACAUCACAUUAAAUAAUAGCACAAAAAUAUUCAAUAAAUAAUUGAUUUCAUUCAUAAAUUUGUUAUUUUAAAAACUAAUAAUUUGGUUGAUGUUAACCUAUAUUUUAUAUAUAAUUUCGUCUUAUUUUAUUUUACUAGAAACAAUAUUUUUAUAAUAUUUAUUACAUUAAAUAUAUUAAAAGAUAUAAUUUUAUUAAAAAAAUUGAAUAAAAUUAAAAGGAUAAGUCUCGGCCUCUCCAAGUCUACAAGACUCAUUUCAAGUCCACCGAGGGCCUCAACCAUUGAGAGAUGUGAAAGUAGCUUGAGAGUGAUAUAAAUUAAUUAAAUUAGUUAAUAAUGAAUCAAGACUAAUCAUGAAUUAUGAUAAUAAUUAAAUAAAUUAUAAAAUUAAAUUAUACAAAUAACACUAAACCUUAGUUACUUUAUUGGUAAAAUAAAUAUAAUAUAAUAAUUAAAUUGAUGAAAAAUCAAAAUCAUCUAAUAAAUUCACAAAAAAUAUAUGAUCAUUAGUAUAUUAUAUUAGUAUCCACACACUUAUAUUUCAAAUCUAUCCUCCAAAAUUAUCAUCUCGAUAAACUAGCCGCAUAAAAUAAAAAUUUAACGAUAUUAGAUAUUUAGCUAUUUUCAUUAUAUAAUUUUUCCACACUAAAUAACAAAAUAUCUUUAUCAAAUUAUUAUUUAUGAAUUAAAUAUUCAAGUUAUAAUUCCAGCAUGCAGCGUAUAAAUAGAAGUGUGCAGUAUGAUAUCAGAUUCAUAACCCAGUUGAGGAGAAACAUGGCACACUCUGUAAAGCCUUCUCACCUUCUUCUCUUUGUUUUCUAUCUCUCUUAACUUGAAUACAUUCUUGCAACAACACAAGAGGGAGAAGCUCUUGUGAAAUGGAAGAAUAGCCUAGCCCCUUCUUCUUUUCUCGACUCUUGGUCACUCACCAAUCUCGAUGAUCUUUGUAACUGGACUGGCAUCACUUGUAACUCUGCAGGUUCAGUCUCUCAGAUCAACCUUUUCGAAAAACAACUUGAUGGAAUGCUGUCCGAGUUUGGUUUCACUUCAUUUCCGAAUCUCAACAAUCUCACCCUCGCAUACAACUUCUUCUCGGGUCCGAUACCACCGGCCAUUGAGAAUUUAACACAGCUUCGGUAUCUUGAUUUAAGCUUUAAUUCUCUCCAUGGUCCCAUUCCGUUCCAGGUUAGCCAUCUUCAGAGCUUGCUCAUCUUAAACCUGUCACAGAAUGCAUUGCAAGCUCCAAAUUGGUCCCAUUUCUCUCCCAUGCCUUUUUUGCGCAUCCUCAACCUCAUUAGCAAUCCUCUUGCGUCGAAAUUCCCAAAUUUUAUAUCCAACUCUCAUAGCCUGACUCACCUUAGCCUUAAUUUUAAUGAGUUUACUGGUGAUUUAGUACGUGAAUCAGUAUUUGCCAAUCUGCAUAAUCUUGAAUUGCUCAGUCUCGUUGAAAAUUCUUUUGAGGGGCCAUUUCCGCCGGAUAUAUUCAGGCUUUCCAAAUUAAAACAUCUUCACCUGUCAAGUAACAAAUUUUCAGGUUCAAUUUCCAAUGACAUAAGGUUGCUUUGUGAUCUUGAAUCCCUAUAUUUAGGCAACAAUUCCUUCGAAGGACCCCUUCCAUCAAAUAUAUUCAAGCUUUCAAAAUUAAAAAAUCUUGUUAUUGGGAGUAAUAAGUUUUCGGGUUCUGUUUCCAACGAUAUAGGUUUGCUUUCUGAGCUUGAAAGCCUCUAUCUUGACUCCAAUUUUUUUGAGGGGCCGCUUCCGUCAAAUAUAUUCAAGCUCUCCAAAUUAAGGAUUCUUUCCCUUUGGCAUAAUAACUUUUCAGGUUCUAUUUCUAAGGAUAUAGGUUUGCUUUCUGGACUUGAAACCCUCUUUCUUGACUCUAAUUUUUUUGAGGGUCCGCUUCCCCCGCAUAUAUUUAGGCUCUCCAAAUUAAGAGAUCUGGGUCUCUCAGACAAUAGAAAUUUAUUUGAAGGGAGUAUUCCUAUUGGACUGGGACUCUUGACUAACCUCAGGUACUUAGAUCUAUAUUCCAAUAAUCUCGGUGGUUAUAUUCCAUCUGACAUUGGAAACCUGAAGCUACUAGAAGUUCUUGAUCUCAGUUCUAAUCAAUUGACUGGACCGCUUUUAAAGAUUGUUUCUAAUCUCACAAAUCUUAUGUUUCUUGAUGUAAGACAAAAUAGUCUUAGUGGAAAUAUUCAGAGUGACUUGUGGAAAUAUAACGAUCAUCCAACUUUGGAAUUCAUCAAUUUAAGUGGGAACCAUUUUACGGGUAUAGUUUUUCUCUAUAAAUCUUUUCUUUUGUCAUAUGUAACUAAGCUAGUAAUCUGAUUAAUUGCAGUUUUACCAAAGUUUCAACAAUCUUGACAGGUGAGCUUCCAACAACAAUUUGCAAUGUCACUUCCCUUUCAAUUCUUGAUUUGUCAAAUAAUGGAUUAAGUGGUGCACUUCCAAACUGUUUCGGGAAUCUUGCAGAUAGAUUGCUUUUCAUUAAUCUUGCUAAUAAUCAGUUUCGAGGAACAAUACCAACUACUUUAUCCAAAAGUUGUCAGCUGACAUGUCUAAACAUGGAUAAUAAUGAGUUUGAAGGAUUGUUACCCCCAUCUUUGGCGAACUGUAAGCACUUGAGAAUUCUUGAUAUUGGCAACAAUAAAAUAGGUGGCACAUUUCCGUCAUUGCUUUAUGUACUUGGAGAGCUAGAAGUCCUUGUCUUGCGAUCAAAUAAACUCUGCGGUACAAUAAGUGCAAGGAGCAUAGAAGAUCCCUUCCCCAAGUUGCGGAUUGUGGAUCUGUCCAACAAUCAGUUCACAGGCCAUUUGCCAAUUCAAUACUUCAAGAAUAUGAAAUCAACUGAUAAUUUGUAUUGGUAUCGUAUUUCCACAGGAGAAUUAUUUUUCCAAUAUGAAGCAGCAGUCUCAUUAACUGUGAAGGGAAGAGAGUAUGAAGUAGCAAAUAACCUUCAUAUUUACACAGCCAUUGAUCUGUCGUGCAACAAAUUUCAGGGAGAAAUUCCAACGGUUACUGGAGAGCUUAGAUGGCUUGCAUUGCUCAAUUUAUCUCAUAAUAGUCUAACAGGACCUAUCCCAUCAUUGCUGAGAAAUAUGAAAGAACUCCAAUCUUUAGAUUUGUCCUCGAAUCAACUGACAGGGGCUAUUCCACCUCAGUUAUCUGCAUUGACAUUUCUAGAGGUCUUGAACCUCUCGAAAAACCAUCUUAGUGGAGAGAUUCCUCAGAAAGGACAGUUCAGCACAUUCAACAAUGAUUCUUAUCUAGGAAACUCCGCGUUAUGUGGAUCACCUUUGACGAAGAAAUGUGCAAACACAGCAUCACCUCCACAAGAAGUCGGAAAUGGUGAUGAAGAUGAUGCUGGAGAUGAAUUGACAUGGGAAGCAAUCGUGAUGGGAUAUGGAUGUGGACUGAUAUGUGGUUUGUGAGAUAUAUCGAAGUACUGCAACAGAAGUUGAUGAAAAGAUAUGCAUGAAGAAUGAUACUGGCCGAUCAAGACGAACUUGAAAGUUUGUUGUCCUUGUGGACAUUUCAGCUGAACCAGUAGUGUACUAUUCUCUUUGUGACUGCAUAAGUAUUUUGUAUUGUGUAAUGUUCUGUUUGGGCUUAAAUCAUAAUGAUUUUUCUUGCUUCAGGGGUAUUAAUAUAAAACCGUUUGGUCGGGACUCAUAAUGAUUUCUCUUGCUUCAGGGGUAUUAAUAUCAUCCUUGCUAUCUUGAACAAUGAUAAUGCAAAUUAAAAAGAAUGAAAAAACAAAAAUAUUGCAUCAAACACCUGUUGUACCAAGAUCCAUUAAUUUGCUUUCAUCUCUUACGCAACAAUUUAACAGCACUUCCACACUGUUUGAAAGAUUAUCAUAAAUUCGAGUUUUCCUCUCCAGCACCAAAUCCAAAUUAAUAUACAAUGCCACACAUUCCAGUCUCAGCUUCAGCUCCCAGGGUAGCAUUCAUUUAGCCAAGCACGACAGUGGCCGCUUACGUGCCUAACAAUAACAGUUGGGGAUUUGAGUGAACUUGCCUUGGUCCUGCCUUCAAAUGUCUGACAAUAACAGUUGGAUAUGUCGACAAAAAAAUUGUUCCUCACAGAGGAGCUAAUAGCAAUUGACUUCGAAUAAAUCCGACAGUUCUUUUCAUCCAGUUAUUAUUUCAGCAAUAUGUCUAGCAAAUAUGUAGUGCACUGGACACCAUACUACCAACACAAGUAGUAAAAGGAGAGACCAUUGUUUCGAAUGCUCGGAAAUUUGAACAGGGUUUUUUCCACCUGCCCCCUGACUUUUUACACAAACAGGUCAAGAAAAACAGAAGCCGGCUUCUGGAAAAAUGAAGCACUACUUUAUGAGUGACCAUUGUUUUGAAUGCUCGGAGAUGUGAAGUGGAUUUUUUCAGCCUGCCCCCAGACUUCUUUUUGUAAAACUAGAUUUCUUUAGCUCCGGUGUCUUAGUAUUGGAGAUUAUGAGUGACUGUAGAAAAGACUUUAAUAUGAGUGUGAGAUAUACCCCGGUGGAAACAGGACCUUGAUCCAAAGGGUCACGGGUUCAAACCUCACCUGAUCGGGUUCCACUCCACGCUCGGUCCACAUCUAUGCUGGAUUCAUAUUAAAAUGAUAAUGGAACACGGGCGUCCAUGGUUGGGGAUAUCAUAUUAAAAAGAUUAGCUGGGCACAGAUGAAUAUUUAUAUGGAUUUUAAAAACAAACUAUGACUUAAUAUAAGAAAAAUCAUUAUUUUUUAUUUUUCCGACUAAACAUUUGUUAGCCUUCUCUGGUGCCCAUCCAAAUCAUUCAGCGGGUUCUACUUUCAGCUCAUCACAAGAACAUCAUUCUGCAGGUACUUUCUUAUAUUGUUUGCCAGCGGUGACCGAGCCAGAAACUUUUUCGAGGAGGGGCCGGAAUAGAAAUAUUAUUUAAAUUUGAAAAUAUUAUAUAUCAUAUUGAAAAUAGUAUUAGUAACAAAAAUCCAUUUAUUUUAGGUUUCUAUGAGAAAACUCAGUCGUUUCAUUAAGAAAAUUUAAUUACUUAAUUACCAAACGGUUGAGGAUGAAGAUUUGAAAGAACGAGUUGCAACGGGGAGACUCAUAGACGCGACAGAAAAAAAUAGAAAAAGAUAUUGUUCAACAACCGAGUCUAUAUUAUUAAAAUUUAUGAUAAAUGAGAUAAUUUUAUUUUAUAAACUAACUAAAUACAUAUAAUAUAGUAUUAUAUGUAAUGCUACGUAAAAUUGGAUACAAGAUUUUGCACAAAAUGAUAUGAUAACUAAAGUGAAAUAUUUUAAUUGGUGCUAUUAAUGUAUAUAUACAUUUAUUACAAUUAAAACUUAACACAUAUUAUUAAUUUUGUGAAUAAAAUAUUUUUCUUAAUAAUAUAUAAGUAAAAAAAAUAAAAAUCUAGGAGGGGCUCAGGCCCCCUCUGGACCCCUCUAGCUCCGUCUGUAUACACCUAUCAUAUUAUUGACAGGUGGCUCUCUCAUAUUGCUCACAGGCGAACUCCUGCAUAUACUUUGUGAACCAAUCAUGACAAAAAUAUCAUCAUCCAAUCAAUUCGAUUAAUUAUUCUUUAAAUCAGUACAAAUAUUGUUAAAUAUAUGGAUGAUUAUCGUGUUUCCGCGAACCAAUCAUGAAAUGAAAUUACCUCUGUAUAAAUCCAUCGGAAAUAAGACAAUUAAUGGGGCCGUUUGGGCAAGCUUAAAAGAAGUGACUUCUUGCUUAAACUAGAGAAGUGGAGCAGAAGUGAGAAGUAAAUAAGUUAUUAAAGUGUUUGGAAAAGAAGCAGAAGCUGUGAGACAAAAGCUAGCAUUCUCAGCUUUUUAAAAGUGACUUCUUUACACAAACGGGUAAAAAAAGCAGAAGCCAGAAGCAGCUUCUGCUUCCGUUAAACAAACAGGCCCAAUAUCUCAAUCGAAUACACCCCGUGAGUUGUCAAACUCCUCGAAACGUAUUAAUCACUUUAGAAAUUUGUUCCACUGGCGCCAUUCAGUUCCAGAGUUGGUGGUAGGGGCCGUGCUUCUUGUGUUUCUUCUUUUCAUUAUUGACAUUGUCAUCUAGGUCCUUGCUUCUGGGCUUUGGAGAAGUAAACAAUGGAUCUAUUAGUCUUCCAUAUCGCUGAUACGCGCUAACGCGCAUUAUAGUGGAUUGAUCUUUAUUAGUGAUUUCUGUGGAGAUGCAUAAUCAUUAUAAGCUCCAAUAUAAAAUAAACCUAAUUUAAAGUUAGUAUGGGCAUUUGUGUUGAUAAUUUACGCAAUGUUAACAGGGAUUGCUCCCAAGUCUUGGACGGAUUCUUUCCAAGUCUUCUGAGGACCUAUUUGCACACUAAUUUGUCGCCAACUAAAAAUUCAACGAUAUUGCUAGCUCCCUCUACUAAUUUUUUGCGGGACGUUUUUUACUUUUAACACAUAUCUUUAGAUAGAAUUAGUAUUGUAAAAAGCGGGAAUCAGACUUAAUCGGUGAAGUCACAGAACAACGAUUAAUCGAUGAUUAAUUGGAUUGAUUGGGUAUCAAUCGGAUGAUUAAUGAAAUAAUCGGAUAUUUAAUCCGUUCGACGAGUUACGGAACAGGGAUUAAUCGUGAUUAAUCACCGACUUUUAGAACAGAGGAUAGGAUAAUAAAAUUAUUAUUUUUGAUUAUUUUUUUUGUGAAUAAAAAUUUUGAUUAUAUAUUUUUAUUAAAAAAGAAUUUAAAAUAAUAUUUUUAACUAACCGGUCCAAACAGCUAAAAGUGUGUGCCCAAGCGUCAUAUAAAAACGGAGGGAGCGAGCAUGUGCUGACUAACGGUUCAACUAACAGUUUACAAGUACUCCAUCUGUCCCAUUUAGUCCUAUUUAAUUAUAUACGUUUUUUUUUAACUGUUUGACACGCACUUCAAUGCUCUUCUAAAAUAUGGUUCUAUAACUUAUUUUUAAAAUUUUCUUUUUCUGAAUAAAAAUAUAACAUUCAAACUUUUAUUCAGAAAAAAAUAUCGUAAAAAUAAGUUAUAGAAUUAUAUUUUAUAAGAGCAUUAAAGUCCAUGUCGCGUCCCCGUCUUCUGAUGUAUAAAUUUGCGCAAUGUUAACGGGGAUUGCUCAUUUGCUCUCAAGUCUUGGACGGACCAAGUCUUCUAGGACCCAUCUGCACACUAAUUUGUCUGCCAACUAAAAAAUCAACGAUAUUGCUGCCUCUGCUAUUUUUUACCAGGACGUUUUUUACUUUUAACACAUGUUUAGAUAGGAUAAUAAAUAUUAUUAUUAUUGAUUAAUUUUUUUGUGAAUAAAAAUUUUGAAUAUAUAUUUUUAUCAAAAAAAGAAAAUUUUAAAAAUAAUAUUUUUAAGGGAAAUUAUUAAUGGUACUAUUGUGCUACUGGCUUUUCUAAAUGGUACUAUUUUGGUGUUUUCGACUUACAUGCAUUAUCACUUCCAUUAACGAUACUACCAUUCCGUCCCUCAAAACGUUAAAACCAUUAGUUGACCGUAUUUAUUUUGUAUUUUCCUUGUAAAAAAAACAAAAGAAUACAACUAAUAUUUGUAUUUUUUGUUUGUGUUCAAAUCGUCGAGAUAUGGAAGAGGUUAUCAGAAUUUUAGAAUUGAUUCGAUGUCCUUCAGAAAGUCAGGGGGAAACGGAAUGAGAUACGAGUUUUGAACAAGAAUCCAGUUUAGUUGUUGUUUAUCUUGAAAAACAGAUUUGGAAGUCAUAUAUUUUCAGCCUUUGGCUUCAUGUAUUUCUGUCUCAUCAUUCCCAGAUACUUGCUGAGGUUUAUAGUCACUGUUUAUUAAAUGUUGUCGUACAUUUUCCUGUAUUAUGCACCCAUGUGGCGCCUGUGUUUUGCAUGUCAUGCACAAUUUGCUCAACUACAUACAGGUCACAGGAUGAGUGCAUGUGCCAAAGGGAUUAGUGCAUUGAUCUGUGUAGUGUGAGGACACUGUGAUACAAGGCACAAUUUCUCAGAUUUCUUCUGUCAACACCACUCCCAUCCAUAGCUCCCACCUUUUCUCUCUCAAUCUCAUGUUUCUCUCUUUCUCUCGCAGCUCCGCCGCCACCACUACAUCAGUCUUCAAGAACUCAAGAAAAAAUAUGGAUAUCAGUUAUAUUUUUUGUGUUUUUUAAAGAAGUAUAUGAAAUAAAUAUAGUCAACUAAUGUUUUUAACGUUUUGAUGGACCGAAUGGUAGUAUCAUUAACGGAUCAUAAACUGAGUGGUACCACUUGUAAGUAAAAACCAGUGUUGUAAAAAGCGGGAAUCGGAUUUAAUCGGUGAAGUCACGGAACAAAGAUUAAUCGGAGAUUAAUCGGACUAAUCGGUGAUUAAUCGGAUAUUUAAUCAGUUCGGCGAGCUACGGAACAGGGAUUAAUCGGUCGUGAUUAAUCACCGACUUUUAGAACAGAGGUAAAAACACGAAAUGGUAUUAUUCAUAAAAGCCAAUACCACGAUGGUACCAUUAAUAAUUUCCCUAUUUUUAAUUACCGAGUCCAAAUAUUUAAACGUGUGUGCCCAAAAUUAAAGCCGCAUAUAAAAAAACGGAGGGAGCAUGUACUAACCGUUUCCAUAACAGUUUACAAGUAUAAGUUAUACUCCCUCUCAAUUUUUUUAUUUUUUUAUAUGACGUUUUGAUCUUGGGCACACAUUAUUAAGUGUUUUGACCGGAUAGUUAAAAAUAUUAUUAUUUAAAUUUUCUUUUCUGAAUAAAAAUAUAUAACCAAAAAUUUUAUUCACAAAAAUUUUUAGUGAUUUUUUCGUGAAUACCUAAGGCCAAUUUUUCAAAUAUUUUGUAAAAAUACCAAUUUUUUGAAAAUAUUUGCAAAGAUAAUGUAUUCAACCACAUGCAACCAUACUUAUAACCAGAUGUAACCAUAAUUGCAACCUCUGCGGGACCAAUUAACUGAAUUUGUAUUUGGUUGCACUAGUUAGUAUUUUCUUAAAGUUAGUAUUUUUGUAAAUAUUUUUAAAAAAAAGUAAAAUCGCAAAAAAAAAAAUCGAAAAAAUGGUUUGAUAAAUUUCUAAAUAUUUAAUCACAGAACAAUAACUUUUACAAUCCGAUCAACUCAUUUAAAAAUGUGUGUCAAAAGUAAAAAUGUCAUAUAUAUAUAUAUCAUAUAAAUGUCAUAUAAAUUUAAAACAAAGGGAUNCAUAUAAAUGUCAUAUAAAUUUAAAACAAAGGGAUAUAUAUUUUUUAAUAAAAUAUACUCCCUCUAUCCCAAAUAAGUGUCAGUGACAUUUUGCAAAAAUAGCUUGGGACAAUAGAUUUUUUUGCCACUCAACUUAAUGUGUUUUUAGAAAUUCGCCACCCAACUAAUUUUUUUUUCCUUUUACUCACUAAUGUUAGGUUUGGAUUUUUUUUAGCCACCAACUUAGGUUCGGAUUUGAUUACUAGUAUUAUGAUAAUUUUAUUUAUCACUAAACUUACUGCGUCUUUAGGAAUUAACCACUGAACUAUAAUUUUUUUAUUUUACUCACUAAUGUUAGGUUCAUUUUUUUUGUCACUGAAGUUAGGUUCGGAUUUGAUUAUUAGCAUUAUAUUAAUUAUGUGUAACAUUAUUAAAAUAUAGUGGUCUAUAAUAUUUUGAUGAUUUGGUAUAUGUCUGUAUCUUUAUAUAUAGUACUUUUUAUGUCUCCAAUGUCGUUUAACUUGAGUGGUAAGAAUUUUACACGCAUUUUAUGGCUUUUAAAAGAUGUAGUUUCAUAAAUAAUUUUAUUUUUUUCUUCCGAAUAAAAAUUCAGCGUUUUACACACAAAAAAAUAACAAAAAAAAGUUAUGAAGCUAUGUUUUAUAAGAGUCUUAAAAUACGUGCUAAGCAGUAGAAAAAACUGUAAACUAAUGAGAGGGACAUGUAGUAAUAAUAAUAAAAUGAUGCAUUAUAGAGGACAAUCAUCGAAAAUUAAGUUAACCUCUCUAUUUAUUUAUCUUGAAAAUUGUAGUAAAAUAAAGUUAUUAAAAUUUAUGAAGAUAAAUUUGAGAGAGAUCUUGGACUGAGCUAGUCAAUUGAAACUUUAAUAGCGAAAGAUGAUGCAUCAUAUCAAUCAAUUACACUUUAUCUUCUUAUCAUCAGGGAGGGUGAAUUGUUUGAAGUCAUUGAUUUCAUAUUCAUGAUUUAUUGAAUUUUAGAAUUCUAAUUACGAUUUUUCCUGGUUUUAAUUUUUCAUCGGCUCAUUUUAUAUUAUUUUUGUUAUAUAUAAGGAUAUAAACAUACGACACAUCAUCAAAAUAUUACAUACUAUCACUAUGUAUAAAUGAUGCGACAAAAAUUAUCAUAAUGCUAGUAAUUAAAUCCGAACCUGAGUAGUGGCUAAAAAAAAAUCCAAACCUAAUAUUAAUGGUAAAAGGAAAAAAAAAAUAGUUAGGUGGCAAGUUUCUAAAAACACUAUAAAUUGAGUGGCAAAAAAAAUCUAUUUUCCAAACAUAGCUUGGGGUAAUAACAAAACCUUAAUCAACGCAAGCACAGCAGACCGCAGGCAUAAGGCUUAUAAAUAGAAGUGCAGUAUUGUGUUGAUGGUCAAGUUGAGUGGAAAUAUGGUACACUUUGUAAAGCCUUGUUAUCCUCUUCUCUUUGUUUUCUUUCUCUCAUUACUUCAAUCCAUUCUAACAACACUACCUGAAUCCAGACGAGAGGGAGAAGCUCUUGUGAAAUGGAAGAAUAGCCUAGCCCCGUCUUCUUUUCUCGACUCUUGGUCACUCACUGAUCUCGAUAAUCUUUGUAACUGGACUGGCAUUACUUGUAACUCUGCAGGUUCAGUCUCGGAGAUUAACCUUUGUGAGAAACAACUUGAUGGAAUGCUGUCCGAGUUUGGUUUCACUUCAUUUCCAGAUCUCAACUAUCUCACCCUCGCAGACAACUUCUUCUCGGGUCCGAUACCAUCAGCCAUUGAGAAUCUAACACAGCUUCAAUAUCUUGAUUUAAGCAUGAAUAGUCUCAAUGGUCCCAUUCCUUUCCAGGUUAGCCAUAUUCAGAGCUUGCUCAUCUUAAACCUGUCACACAAUGCAUUGCAAUCUCCAAAUUGGUCCCAUUGCUCUCCCAUGCCUGUCUUGCGCAUCCUCGACCUUAGUUUUAAUAAUCUUGUGUCGAAAUUCCCAGAAUUUAUAUCCAAUUCUCAUAGCCUGACUCACCUUAACCUUUCAGAUAACAAGUUUACUGGUGAUCUUGUGCGUGAAUUUACCAAUCUACAAAAUCUUGAAACCCUCUACCUUCAAGAUAAUUCUUUUGAGGGGCCGUUUCCGCCUGAUAUAGUCCAGCUUUCCAAAUUAAAACGUCUCGCCCUGUUAGGUAACAAAUUUUCAGGUUCAAUUCCCAAUGACAUAAGGUUGCUUUGUGUUCUUGAAUACCUAUAUUUAGGCAACAAUUCCUUUGAAGGACCACUUCCACCAAAUAUAUUCACGCUUUCAAAAUUAAAAUUACUUGUUCUUUGGGGUAAUAAGUUUUCAGGUUCUAUUUCCAAUGAUAUAGGUUUGCUUUCUGAGCUUGAAACCCUCGUUCUUGACUCUAAUUAUUUUGAGGGGCCACUUCCGCCAAAUAUAUUCAAGCUCUCUAAAUUAAAGGUUUUUUCCCUUGUGUACAAUAACUUUUCAGGUUCUGUUUCCAAUGAUAUAGGUUUGCUUUCUGAGCUUGAAUAUCUCCGUAUUGGCUGCAAUUCUUUCGAGGGACCGUUGCCAACAAAUAUAUUCAAGCUUUCCAAAUUAAGUAAACUUGACCUAUCAAAUAAUAGUAAUUUUUUUGAAGGAAGUAUUCUUAUUGGAUUGGGACUCUUGACUAACCUCAGCUACUUAGAUCUAGAUUCCAAUAAUCUCAGUGGCUAUAUUCCAUCUGAGAUUGGAAACCUGAAGCUACUAGUAUUUCUCGAUCUUAGUUCUAAUCAAUUGACUGGAUCGCUUUCAAAGAUCUUUUCUAAUCUCACAAAUCUUAUAUAUCUUCAUGUAUAUGAUAAUAGUCUUAGUGGAAAUAUUCAGAGUGACUUGUGGAAAAACUCUGUAUCCUUGCGUUUCGUUGAUCUUGCAAAUAAUUAUUUGUCUGGAAACAUCCCUAAGGAAUAUAACGAUCAUCCAACUUUGGAAUACAUUAAUUUAAGUUGGAACCAUUUUACAGGUAUAUUUUCUCUAUAUAUCUUUUCCUUUUCUNCUCAUAUGUAACUAAGCUUGAUUAUUGCAAUUUUACCUAAGUUUCAACAAUCUUGACAGGUGAGCUUCCAACAACAAUUUGCAAUGUCACUUCCCUCUCGGUUCUUGUUUUGUCAAAGAAUGGAUUAAGUGGUCCACUUCCAAAUUGUUUCGGAAAUCUUGCUGAUAGAUUGCUUUCCAUUAAUCUUGCUAAUAAUCAGUUCCGAGGAACAAUACCAACUACUUUCUCCAGCAGUUGUCAGCUGACAUAUCUAAACAUGGAUGAUAAUGAGUUUGAAGGAAUGUUGCCUCAAUCUUUGGCGAAAUGUAAGCACUUGAAAAUUCUUGAUAUUGGCAAUAACAAAAUAGGUGGUAUAUUUCCGUCAUGGCUUUAUGUACUUGGAGAGCUAGAAGUCCUUGUCUUGCGAUCAAAUAAACUCUAUGGUACAAUAAGUGGAAGGAGCAUAGAAGAUCCGUUCCCCAAGUUGCGGAUUGUGGAUCUGUCCAACAAUCAAUUCACCGGCCAGUUGCCAAUUCAAUACUUUAAGAAUAUGAAAUCAACUGAUAAUUUGUAUCGUUAUCGGAAUUCCACAGGACCAUUAUCUUUCUCUUAUGAAGCAGCAGUCUCAUUAACUGUGAAGGGAACAGAGUACGAGGUAGCAAAGAACCUUCAUAUUUACACAGCCAUUGACCUGUCAUGCAACAAAUUUCAGGGAGAAAUUCCAAAGGUUACUGGAGAGCUUAGAUGGCUUGCAUUGCUGAAUUUAUCUCAUAAUAGUCUGACAGGACCUAUCCCAUCCUUGCUGAAAAAUAUGAAAGAACUCCAAUCUUUAGAUUUGUCCUCAAAUCAACUGACAGGGGCUAUUCCACCUCAGUUAACUGCAUUGACAUUUCUGGAGGUCUUCAACCUCUCGGGAAACCAUCUUAGUGGAGAGAUUCCUCAGAAAGGACAGUUCAGCACAUUUAACAAUGAUUCUUAUCUAGGAAACUCCGCGUUAUGUGGAUCACCUUUGACAAAGAAAUGUGCAAACACAGCAUCACCUCCACAAGAAGUCGGAAAUGGUGAUGAAGAUGAUGCUGGUGAUGAAUGGACAUGGGAAGCAAUCGUGAUGGGAUAUGGAUGUGGACUGAUAUGUGGAUUGUCAUCUGCGUACAUUGUUCUCAAACUAGGAAAGCCUUGGUGGUUUGUGAGAUAUAUCGAAGUGCUGCAACUGAAGUUGAUGAAAAGAUAUGCUUGAAAAAUGGUACUGGCCGAUCAAGACGAACUUGAAAGUUGUUGUCCUUGUGGACAUUUCUGAACCAGUAGUGUACUAGCUGCAUAAGUAUUUGGUAUUAUGUAAUAAUCCGUUUGGUCAGGACUCAUAAUGAUUUCUCUUGCUUCAGGGGUAUUAAUAUUAACCUUGCUAGUUAAUUCAAAUUAAAACAAAUAUAAAAUCAAAAAAUUUGCAUCAAACACCUGUUAUACCAACAUCCAUUAAUUUGCUUUCAUCUCUUACGUAACAAUUUAACAGCGAUUCCACACUGUUUUAGGCAUGGAGAUUACACAAAGAAGGCAAGUCCAUGGACUAAUAUACGAACAAUUCAUAUUGGUCUUCCAUCUGUUCAACCGUCUCCCGAAGAUAGGCCAAAAAUGUCAUCUGUGGUUCUUAUCUUUGUCAGUAAAGGAGAAUCUCUGAUGCCUAUACAACCUGGUUUUCUUACCGAAAGGAAUGUAGGUGAAACCAGGGGCAUAAAAUGAAUCGGGACUAAAAUCUGCUAAAAUGAUAAUUAUUUACUCAUCAUUCGAGAUUAGUCGGGCUCGAAUGAAGAUUUAUAUGGAUUUUAAGAACAAACUAUGACUAAAUAUGAAAAAAUCAUUAAUUUUUCCGACUCAAUAUUUUUAGCCUCCCCCGGCCCUGGGUGAAACCAUAAGCUUCUCUGGUGCACAUCCAAAUCAUUCAGCUGGUUCUACAUUCAGCUCACCCACAGGAACAUCAUUCUGCAGGUACUCUCUUAUCUGUACUUUCUUAUAUUGUAUGCCAGAAAAUUUAAUAUCGACAAACUGCACAAUACACCUCGAUCUCAUAUUAUUGACAGGUGAGCUCCUCUCAUAAUGCUCACAGGCGAACUCCUGCAUAUAUACUUUGUGAUGUCAUUGAUGAUCGAUAGGCUUGAAAAAAAAUUAUGACAAAGAUUCAUAAAAUAUCUACUUCCAUCCUAAUUCAGUAUUCAAUAUUAUUCAUUCCGUAUCAUCAUCCAAUCAAUUCUAAUAGUUCUUCUUUAAAUCAGUAUAAAUAUUGUUAAAUAUAUUGAUGAUGGUUGUCUUUCCGCGAACCAAUCAUAAAAUUACCUCUGUAUAAAUCCAUCGGAAAUAAGACAGUUAAUAUCCCAAUCGAAUACACCCCUGUCAGUUGUCAAACUCCUCGAAACGUAUUAAUCACUUUAGAAAAUUUGUUCCACUGGCGCUAGUCAGUCCCAGAGUUGGUGGUGGGUGCUUCUGGGCUUUCGAAAAGCACCCAUUUACUCCAUUGUUUAGAGAAGUAAAACCCCACCUUCCGCUCAUUUGAUUGAUCAGCUGAAUUAGGCAGAGUUUACAUGGUCAUGAUCAUAGUCUCCCAUUUCCCAGAUACGCGCAUUAUAGUGGAUUUAUCUUUAUCAGUAAUUUCUGUGGAGAUGCAUAAUCAUUAUAAACUCCAAUAUAAAAAUUUAAAGUUGGUAUGGGCAUUUGUGUUGAUAAUUUGCGCAAUGUUAACAGGAAUUGCUCCCAAGUCUUGGACGGACUCUUUCAAAGUCUUCUGAGGACCCAUCUGCACACUAAUUUGUCUCCCAACUAAAAAAUCAACAAUAUGUUACUCCCUCCGUUUUUCUUAAACGAGGUUAAAAUUUUUGACACAAGAUGGGUUGACAGUAUAAUAAAAAUUUUUGUGAAUAAAAUUUUUUUUAUUUAGAAAGAUAAUCUUGAAAAUAAUAUUAUUAACUAAGUUAAAUCACUUAAAAGUGUAUGUCCAAAAAUUAAAGCGGCAUAUAAAAAAAAGGGAGGGAGCAUGUACUAACUGUUUCCAUAACAGUUUACAAGUAUAAGUUAUACUCCCUCUCUAUUUUUUUAUAUGACGGUUUGAUUUUGGGCACACAUUUUUAAGUGUUUUGACCAGAUAAUUAAAAGGGGUUUUCUCAUAAAUACCUAAGUCUAAAAUUAUUUUUACGAAAAUAUUAUAUCUUUUUUUAAAUAUUUUGCAAAAAUACCAAACUUUGUAAAUAUUUACAAAAAUACGGUAUGCAACCCGUUGCAACCACAUGCAACCUUACUUGCAACCAUAUUUGCAACCCCUGCGGGGUCAAUUAACUGAAAUUGCAUCUGGUUGCGUUUAGUUGCAGACCGUAUUUUUGCAAAUAUUUUCUAAAAAGUUAGUAUAUUUGCAAUUUUUUUAAAAAUAUAAGAAAAUCGCAAAAAUUAUAACAAAGCUUCAAGAUUUUUAACAGGUGAGCUUCCACUAAAAAUUUGCAAAGUCACUUCCCUUUCGCGUCUCAUUAUGUCAGAUAUUGGUCAAGUGGUGCACUUCCACAGUGUUUGGGGAACCUUUCUUUGCUUGGUUUCAAUAAUCUUGCUAAUAAUCAAUUUCAAGGACCAAUACCAACGACUGUCCAAGACUUGUCUGUGCAUAUCUAAACAUCCAUAACAAUCACUUUGAAGGUUUGUUGCUCCAAUCUUUGGCAAACUGUAAACACUUACAAAUUCUUGAUAUUGGAAACAACAAAAUAGGUGGUACAUUUCCGUCAUGGCUAUUUACUGUUGGAGAGCUAGAUGUCCUAGUUAGGACGGUAUUUCGACUAGAGCAAGCCGAGUUUUGAGCGGAGCCCAAUUCGAGCCAAGUUUAAUCGAGUCGAGCCGAGUCAGUUCGUUUGGCUAAUCGAGCCUAAAACUCUGUCCGAACUCGACUCGUUUAAUUUCACGAGUUGAGUCAAGCCAGCUCAUUUAGCUAAACGAGUUGGUUUUAACGAGUUAAACGAGUGAGCUCGUAUAAUUUUAACUUAAUCGAGCCUGGAUCUCUAUCCGAACUAUUGGCUCGUGUAAUUUCGCGAGUCGAAUCGAGCCGGCUCGUUUUAUUAAACAAACCGAAAUUUUUGCCCAAAUUUUGCUCGUUUAACAAGCCGAUCUGAACCUAGUUAAAUGAGUUCGAGCUAGUCGAGCUCGCAGCUUGCGAGCUCGCCGGACAGCUCUAGUACUAGUCUUGCGAUCAAAUAGGUUUCACGGUAUAGAAAGUGGAAGGAACACAAGGCAUCUGUACUUUCUUGUACUGUAUGCCACUUUGACAGUAAAAUUUAUACUCCCUCCGUCCGAAUGAAUUGUAUACAGUUUACUUUUUGGGACGUCCCAUCAAUUGUAUACAUUCCUAAAGUAGUAAACUUUUAUAAUAUAAAACAUCAUUAAACCAACUACUUUCUUCCCCUAUCUCCAUUCUAUAAUAAUAUAAACACUAUUACACCCACUACUUUCCUCCACUAUCUCAAAUUUAUUAUUAAAUAUAAAUGGGUCCCACCACUAUACUCACUUUUCAUCCAACUUUACUCAUUUCUAAUAAAAUUUCUUGGUCUCCGUGUCCCAGCCAUUUGUAUACAAAUGACUGGGACGGAGGGAGUAUCAACAAACUGCACGAUUAAAUCCUCGUACAAUUGACAGGUGAACUCCUGCAUAUGUUCUGAACUAUUACGUACUAUAUUAUGCAAGCUGUUUGCAACUUUCAUCAAAAUUUUCAAACAUUUCUUAAUAUGUUUUUUCAAAAAAUUCUCGGGCCCUCUUAAGGCCUAUUAUUAUUGCAACUCUCACGUUAUGGACCACUAUGUAUUUUACAAGCACGACGAAUCAUGUGGUCAUUAUGGACUCCCCAAGCCUUCGAGGACUCACUCCAGGUCUUAGGAGGACCACUGCCUAGCUCACCCUUUCGGAGUGAUGUAAAUUAUUUUCUAGACACUAAAAAUAAGUAUUCAGAUUAAUCAUUACAAAAUUAAGGAUAUAAAAUCAGAAUAAAUCCUAAACUUUGAUGAUACAAAAAAAUUAUAAUUGUAAAUUAUACAAUCAAAUUAAAAUCGAAUUAACUUCCCUCACACUUAAAAUUUAUAGCGAUCAAAUCAAAAUCGAAUUAACUUUCCUAUUACUAAAAUAUAAUUACAAUAUUAUUAGAUAAAGAGAAUAUAUAAUAAUCAAGAGAAAAUAGAUUUUUUUUUGCCACUCAACUUAUCGUGUUUUAAGAAACUUACCACCCAACUAAAUUUUUUUUCCUUUUGCUCACUAAUGUUAGGUUUGGAUUUGUUUUUAGCCACCAACUAAGGUUCGGAUUUGAUUACCAGCAUUAUGAUAAUUUUUUUUGUCACUAAACUUAUUGCGUCUUUAGAAACUAACCACUCAACUAAAUUUUUUUUUAUUUUACUCACUAAUGUUAGGUUCAGUUUUUUUUUGUCACUGAAGUUAGGUUCGGAUUUGAUUAUUAGCAUUACAUUAAUUCUGUGUAGCAUUUUUAAAAUAUGGUAGUACUCUGUGAUAUUUAGAUGAUUUGAUAUAUGUCUGUAUUUUUAUAUAUAGUAUAUUUUAUGUCUCCAAGAUCAUUUACCUUGGGUCAUAAGAAUUUUACACGCAUUAUAUGACUUUUAAAAGAUGUAGUGUCAUAAAUAAUUUUAUUUUUUUUUCCGAAUUAAAAUUCAGCAUUUGAAUUUUACACACACAAAAAUCGCAAGAAUAAGUUAUGAAAUUAUGCUUUAUAAGAGUCUUAAAAUACGUGCUAAACGGUAGAAAAAACGGUGAAAUAAUGAGAGGUACAUAGGAGUAAUAAUAACAUAAAAUGAUGCACAAGUUAGUAUAUUGGACUAAUAUUCACGCAUUUAUAUACGAGAAUAUAUGGUCCACAAGUUAGUGCACAAUGUCCAAGAAUCUUUAUCAAAGUAACACGGCAAGCAUGCAGCAUAUAAAUAAGAGUGGGCAGUAUGGUAUUGCAUUCAUAACCCACUUGAGGAGAAAUAUGGCACACUUCCUAAAGCCUUCUCACCUUCUUCUCUUUGUUUUCUCUCUCUCGUUACUUCAAUCCAUUCUACCAACAAGACCAGAGGGAGAAGCUCUUGUGAAAUGGAAGAAUAGCCUAGCCCCUUCUUCUUUUCUCGAUUCUUGGUCACUCACCAAUCUCGAUGAUCUUUGUAACUGGACUGGCAUUACUUGUAACUCUGCAGGUUCAGUCUCUGAGAUUAACCUUUAUGAGAAACAACUUGAUGGAAUGCUGUCCGAGUUUGGCUUCACUUCAUUUCCGAAUCUCAACAAUCUCACCCUCGCAUACAACUUCUUCUCGGGUCCAAUUCCACCAGCCAUUGAGAAUUUAACACAGCUUCAAUAUCUUGAUUUAAGCAUCAAUAGUCUCGAUGGUCCCAUUCCGUUCCAGGUUAGCCAUCUUCAGAGGUUGCUCGUCUUAAACCUGUCACAGAAUGCAUUGCAAGCUCCAAAUUGGUCCAAAUUCUCCCCCAUGCCCUUUUUGUGCAUCCUCAACCUCAGUAGCAAUCCUCUUGCGUCGACAUUCCCAAAUUUCAUAUCCAAUUCUCAUGGCCUGACUCACCUCAGCCUUGAUCAAAACGAGUUUACAGGUGAUUUAGCGCGUGAAUCAAUAUUUGCCAAUCUGCAUAAUCUUGAAGUCCUCAGUCUUGUUGGCAAUUCUUUUGAGGGGGCCAUUUCCGCCAAAUAUAUUCAAGCUUUCCAAAUUAAAACAUCUUAGCCUGUCAGAUAACAAACUUUCAGGUUCAAUUCCCAAUGACAUAAGGUUGCUUUGUGAUCUUGAAUACCUAUAUUUAGGCAACAAUUCCUUUGAAGGACCGCUUCCACCAAAUAUAUUCAAGCUUUCAAAAUUAAAACAUCUUAUUCUUUGGGGUAAUAAGUUUUCAGGUUCUGUUUCCAACGAUAUAGGUUUGCUUUCUGAGCUUGAAAGCCUCUAUCUUGACUCCAAUUUUUUUGAGGGGCCGCUUCCGCCAAAUUUAUUCAAGCUCUCCAAACUAAAGAUUCUUUUCCUUUAUGAGAAUAACUUUUCAGGUUUUAUUUCUAAGGAUAUAGGUUUGCUUUUUGAACUUGAAACCCUCUAUCUUGACUCUAAUUUUUUUGAGGGGCCGCUUCCCCCACAUGUAUUUAGGCUCUCCAAAUUAAGAGAUCUGGGUCUCUCAGACAAUAGAAAUUUAUUUGAAGGAAGUAUUCCUAUUGGACUGGGACUCUUGACUAACCUCAGAUACUUGCGUCUAUCUUCCAAUAAUCUCGGUGGCUAUAUUCCAUCUGACAUUGGAAACCUGAAGCAACUAGAACUUCUUGAUCUCGGUUCUAAUCAAUUGACUGGACCGCUUUCAAAGAUCGUUUCUAAUCUCACAAAUCUUAUAUAUCUUGAUGUGAGUUAUAAUAGUCUUAGUGGAAAUAUUCAGAGUGACUGGUGGAAAAACUCUGUAUCCUUACGUUACAUUGAUUUUGAAAAUAAUUAUUUGUCUGGGAACAUUCCUAAGGAAUAUAACGAUCAUCCAACUUUGGAAUACAUCAAUUUAGGUGGGAACCAUUUUACAGGUAUAUUUUCUCUAUAUAUCUUUUCCUUUUGUCAUAUGUAAAUAAGCUAGUAAUCUGGUUAUUGUAGUUUUACCAAAGUUUCAACAAUCUUGACAGGUGAGCUUCCAACAACAAUUUGCAAUGCCACUUCCCUUUCGGUUCUUGUUUUGUCAAAUAAUGGAUUAAGUGGUGCACUUCCAAAAUGUUUCGGGAAUCUUGCUGAUGGAUUGCUUUACAUUAAUCUUGCUAAUAAUCAGUUUCGAGGAACAAUACCAACUACUUUCUCCAGGAGUUGUCGGUUGACAUAUCUAAACAUGGAUAAUAAUGAGUUUGAAGGAUUGUUGCCCCCAUCUUUGGCGAACUGUAAGCACUUGAAAAUUCUUGAUAUAGGCAAUAAUAAAAUAGGUGGUACAUUUCCGUCAUGGCUUUAUGCACUUGGAGAGCUAGAAGUUCUUGUCUUGCGAUCAAAUAAACUCUAUGGUACGAUAAGUGGAAGGAGCAUAGAAGAUCCCUUCCCAAAGUUGCGGAUUGUGGAUCUGUCCCACAAUCAAUUGACAGGCUAUUUGCCAAUUCAAUACUUUAAGAAUAUGAAAUCAACUGAUGAUUUGUAUAGUUUCCGGAAUUCCACAGGAACCGCAUCUAUCUCUUAUGAAGCAUCGGUCUCAUUAACCGUGAAGGGAACAGAGUAUGAAGUAGCAAAUAACCUUCAUAUUUACACAGCCAUUGAUCUAUCGUGCAACAAAUUUCAGGGACAAAUUCCAAAGGUUACUGGAGAGCUUAAAUGGCUGGCAUUGCUCAACUUAUCUCAUAAUAGUCUAACAGGACCUAUCCCGUCAUUGCUGAGAAAUAUGAAAGAACUCCAGUCUUUAGAUUUGUCUUCAAAUCAACUAACAGGGGCUAUUCCACCUCAGUUAACUGCACUGACAUUUCUAGAGGUCUUGAACUUCUCGGGAAACCAUCUUAGUGGAGAGAUUCCUCAGAAAGGACAGUUCAGCACAUUCAACAAUGAUUCCUAUCUAGGAAACUCUGCGUUAUGUGGAUCACCUUUGACGAAGAAAUGUGUAAACACUGUAUCACCUCCUCAGGAAGUCGAAAAUGGUGAUGAAGAUGAUGCUGGUGAUGAAUUGACAUGGGAAGCAAUCGUGAUGGGAUAUGGAUGUGGACUGAUAUGUGGAUUGUCAUCUGCGUACAUUGUUCUCAAACUAGGAAAGCCUUGGUGGUUUGUGAGAUAUAUCGAAGUACUGCAACUGAAGUUGAUGAAAAGAUAUGCAUGAAGAAAGGUACUGGUAGAUCAAGAUGAACUUGAAAGUUGUUGUCCUGGUAGACAUUUCUGAACCAGUAGUAUACUAGCUGUGUAAGUAUUUGGUAUUAUGUAAUAAUCCGUUUGGUCGGGACUCAAAAUGAUUUCUCUUGCUUCAGGGGUAUUAAUAUUAACCUUGCUAUCUUGAUCAAUGUUAAUGCAAAUUAAAAAGAAUAUAAAAGCAAAAAAUUUGCAUCAAACACCUGUUGUACCACAGGCUUCCGACUCAAUAUUUGUUAGCCUCCCGUGCCCUGUGUGAAACCAUAAGCUUCUCUGGUGAAUAUCCAAAUCAUUCAGCUGGUUCUACUUUCAGCUCACCGCAGGAACAUCAUUCUGCAGGUACUCUCUUAUCUGUACUUUCUUAUAUUGUAUGCCAGAAAAUUUAAUAUCGACAAACUGCACAAUACACCUCGAUCUCAUAUUAUUGACAGGUGAGCUCCUCUCAUAAUGCUCACAGGCGAACUCCUGCAUAUACUUUGUGAUGUCAUUGAUGAUCGAUAGACUUGAAAAAAAAUUAUGACAAAGAUUCAUAAAAUAUCUACUUCCAUCCUAAUUCAGUAUUCAAUAUUAUGCAUUCCGUAUCAUCAUCCAAUCAAUUCUAAUAGUUCUUCUUUAAAUCAGGACAAAUAUUGUUAAAUACAUGGAUGAUGGUUGUCUUUCCGCGAACCAAUCAUGAAAUUACCUCUGUUUAAAUCCGUCGAAAAUAAGAAAAUUAAUAUCCCAAUCGAAUACACCCCGUGAGUUGUCAAACUCCUCGAAACAUAUUAAUCACUUUAGAAAAUUUCAACAAUCUUGACAGGUGAGCUUCCAACAACAAUUUGCAAUGUCACCUCCCUUUCGGUUCUUGUUUUGUCAAAUAAUAAAUUAAGUGGUGCACUUCCAAACUGUUUCGGGAAUCUUGCUGAUGGAUUGCUUUACAUUAAUCUUGCUAAUAAUCAGUUUCAAGGAACAAUACCAACUACUUUCUCCAGGAGUUGUCCGUUGACAUAUCUAAACAUGGAUAAUAAUGAGUUUGAAGGAUUGAUGCCCCCAUCUUUGGCGAACUGUAAGCACUUGAAAAUUCUUGAUAUAGGCAAUAAUAAAAUAGGUGGUACAUUUCCGUCAUGGAUUUAUGCACUUGGAGAGCUAGAAGUUCUUGUCUUGCGAUCAAAUAAACUCUAUGGUACAAUAAGUGGAAGGAGCAUAGAAGAUCCCUUCCCCAAGUUGCGGAUUGUGGAUCUGUCCAACAAUCAAUUCACAGGCCAUUUGCCAAUUCAAUACUUUAAGAAUAUGAAAUCAAAUGAUAAUUUGUAUCGUUAUCUGAAUUCCACAGGAGAAAUAUAUAUCUCUUAUGAAGCAGCAGUCUCAUUAACUGCGAAGGGAACAGAGUAUGAAGUAGCAAAUAACCUUCAUAUUUACACAGCCAUUGAUCUGUCGUGCAACAAAUUUCAGGGAGAAAUUCCAAAGGUUACCGGAGAGCUUAGAUAGCUUGCAUUGCUCAAUUUAUCGCAUAAUAGUCUAACGGGACCUAUCCCAUCAUUGCUGAGAAAUAUGAAAGAACUCCAAUCUUUAGAUUUGUCCUCAAAUCAACUGACAGGGGCCAUUCCACCUCAGUUAACUGCAUUGACAUUUCUAAAGGUCUUAAAUCUCUCGAAAAACCAUCUCAGUGGAGAGAUUCCUCAGGAAGGACAGUUCAGCACAUUCAACAAUGAUUCUUAUCUAGGAAACUCCGCGUUAUGUGGAUUACGUCUGACAAAGAAAUGUGCAAACACAGCAUCACCACCACAAGAAGUCGGAAAUGGUGAUGAAGAUGAUGCUGGUGAUGAAUUGACAUGGGAAGCAAUUGUGAUGGGAUAUGGAUGUGGACUGAUAUGUGGAUUAUCAUCUGCGUACCUUGUUUUCAAACUAGGAAAGCCUUGGUGGUUUGUGAGAUAUAUCGAAGUACUGCAACUGAAGUUGAUGAAAAGAUAUGCAUGAAGAAUGGUACUGGCCGAUCAAGACGAACUUGAAAGUUGGUCCUUGUGGACAUUUCAGCUGAACCAGUAGGUACUAUUCUCUUUGUGACUGCAUAAGUAUUUUGUAUUGUGUAAUGUUCUGUUUGGUCUUAAAUCAUAAUGAUUUUUCUUGCUUCAGGGGUAUUAAUAUAAAACUUGGUAUUGUGUACUAGCUGUAAUAUUCCGUUUAAUCAAUGUUAAUACCUGUAAUUUUAUGCUCCUGACUGCAUCAUGCAGCUCUCAUAUUAUCUUCAUAUGUGUAUUUAUUUGGAUAUUGAAGUUGCAUGGACAUAUGGAUAUGUGUUAACGGGGAUUGCUCCCAAGUCUUGGACGGACUCUUUCCAAGUCUUCCGAGAUCCUAUUGGUUCAAAUUAGUCCAAUUUGAACUGCCAUCAAAUGCAACUCUGUAGAUUCUGUCUCUGAGAUUAACCUUUCAGGACAUCAGCUCAAUGGUACACUUGCUGAAUUCAGUUUCGUUUAAUUUCCGAAUCUACAAAUUAAGCUACAAUAACUUCACUUGUCCAAUACCCCCAGACAUUGGAAAUUUAACAGAGCUGCAACACCUUGAUUUUAGCUCUAAUAAACUCACUGCUGCAAUUCCGGACCAGGUAAGCCAUCUUCAAACAUUGCGGACCUUAAACCUGUAGGAUAAUCAACUUGGAAGCUCCAAACUGGUCCGCUUUUUCCCCUAUGCCUUCUCUGACAAACCUCUGUCUCAAUAAUAAUAAUCUUUCGUCGAAAUUCCAAGACUUCAUAUUAAAUUGUGGUAACCUGACUUACUUUGAUCUUUCAUUAAAUAUGUUAACAGGUAAUUUGGUUCCUUCAUCAAUUUUUAGAAAUUUGUAUAAUCUUGAAUUCCUUUAUCUUUCUAGCAAUUAUUUUGAGGGGCCUUUCCCGCCANNNNNNNNNNNNNNNNNNNNNNNNNNNNNNNNNNNNNNNNNNNNNNNNNNNNNNNNNNNNNNNNNNNNNNNNNNNNNNNNNNNNNNNNNNNNNNNNNNNNNNNNNNNNNNNNNNNNNNNNNNNNNNNNNNNNNNNNNNNNNNNNNNNNNNNNNNNNNNNNNNNNNNNNNUUUCCCUAUCAUAUAAUAGAUUUUCAGGUUCUAUUUCCAUAUGAUAUAGGAAUGCUUCGUGUUUUGGAAUCCCUUUUUUUAGUAGUAGUUCUUUUAAUGGCCCACCUCCACCAAAUUUAUUUAAAUUUUCUAAAUUAAAAGUUUUUUCCCUAUCAUUAAUAACUUUUCGGGUUCUAUUCGAAAUGAAACAGGGAUGCUUCAUGAUUUAGAGUCCCUCUAUCUUAAUGAACAUUCUUUUAAGGGGCCGUUUCCACCAAAUAUAUUCAACCUUUCCAAAUUAAAAGUUCUUAAUUACCUCUCAAAUAAUUCCUUUUCAGGUUCAGUUCCUAGUGAUAUAAGUGUGCUUCGUGAUCUUGAGAUACUUAAUUUGUCCUCUAAUUCUUUUGAAGGAAUUAUCCCAUUGGAGCUUGGGUUCUUGAAUAACGUGAGCUAUUAUUAUAUCUUGAUUCCACUCAAUUGACUGGACCGCUUUUGAAGAACAUUUAUAAUCUCAGUAAUUUUUUGUGUUGGCUUGAAUGGAUCAUUCCAUUCCCUCCAAAACUCAUUCCGUUCAUGUCAACCAAACAGAGCAUCAAUUACUAGUUACUGGGAAAUGCAUUAGCCUAAAUGUUCCUGGUUCAUUGUUACCGGUAUUUCUUAACUGCUGUGAUUGCAAAUUCAGUUGCAGAUUGUUCAUAUAUAUCUAGAGAGACCUGACAUAACUUUAGCCUCUGAUAUACAGCUUCCUUUCACAGUUGUGCCUAUUCACCUAGACGCGUUUUUAACUGCAUAAUGUUGGGUCAACUUCCGACCAUUUAUUUUCUCAUUUGAAAUUAGUGUAUUAAAGUUCGACUUUAAGAAAAUAUAUAGUUUUGUUAAACAAAAAUUCCAAAAGGUUUGGUACGUUUUGAGCUGGGACUUUGAAAUUGUUUGUCGUUAAAGAUGAAGAUUCACUUUUUAAGUUAUAUUAAUCUGUAGUGGUAGACUGGUAGUUUUUCUUUAUUGCUACUUUCCUUGUGCGUUCUUUAUAUUGAUUUAUUAUUUAAUUCGUAAAGUGUUGCGAACUACAUUCCUGCAAAAGUAAAAUCAGUGGAAUUUGUUUGAUAGCAUGAUGAAUAUUUAAAGGGGUUAAUUAUCAAAUUGGUCACUGAAGUGACUUUAAUGUAUCAAGUUGGUCACUGAACUCAAAACGGUAUUAAGAUAGUCACUGAAGUGGACAUAAAUAUCAAACAGGUACCUUGAAAUAUAAGUUCAAGCAGUAAAGAUAUUAUUUAUAAAAUUUUACACAUUAUUUUUAAAUGUUACCACAACCAACUAAAAGGUUAUGACUUCUAGUAUUUAAAUUAAUAUAUUUAUUUUAUCAAGUUUAUUUAUUAUUUAUAUUUUAUUAUAUAGUUAUUUUCUUUGUUUUAAUUAAAAAUAAAUAAUAAAUAAACUUGAUAAUAUCUAAAUAUAUUAUCAUAAAUAUUAGAAUUCAUAACCUUUUACUUGGUCUAGGUAACAUUCAAAAAUAAUGUGUAAAACUUUAUAAAUAAUAUUAUCUUUAUAUUCUUUCCUUUUCUAUGUACCUAUGCUAAUUAUCUGAUUAUUAAAAUUAUAACAAAGCUUCAAGAUUUUUAACAGGUGAGCUUCCACUAAAAAUUUGCAAAGUCACUUCCCUUUCGCGUCUCAUUAUGUCAGAUAUUGGAAACAACAAAUAGGUGGUACAUUUCCGUCAUGGCUAUUUACUGUUGGAGAGCUAGAUGUCCUAGUUAGGGCGGUAAUUCGACUAAAGCAAACCGAGUUUUGAGCGGAGUCAAAUUCGAGCCAAGUUUAAUCGAGUCGAGCCGAGUCGGCUCAUUUAGCUAAUCGAGCCUAAAACUCUGGUCGAACUCGACUCGUUUAAUUUCGCGAGUCAAGUCGACCCAGCUCGUUUAGUUAAAUGAGCUGGUUUUAACGAGUCAAGCGAGUGAGCUCGUAUAAUUUUAACUUAAUCGAGUCUAAAUCUCUACCCGAACUAUUGGCUCGUGUAAUUUCACGAGUAGAAUCGAGCUGGCUCGUUUUAUUAAAGAAGCCGAAAUUUUUGCCCGAAUUUGGCUUGUUUAACAAGCCGAUCUUUCAUCAAAAUUUUCAAACAUUUCUGAAUAUGUAUUUUCAGAGAAUUUCUCCGGCACUCUUAAGGCCUAUAAUUAUUGCAACUCUCACGUUAUGGACCACUAUGUAUUUUACGAGCACGACGAAUCAUGUGGUCAUUAUGGACUCCCCAAGCCUUCGAGGACUCAUUCCAGGUCUUAGGAGGACCACUGCCUAGCUCACCCUCUCGGAGUGAUGUAAAUUAUUUUCCAGACACUAAAAAUAAGUAUUCAGAUUAAUCAUUACAAAAUUAAGGAUAUAAAAUCAGAAUAAAUCCUAAACUUUGAUGAUACAAAAAAAUUAUAAUUGUAAAUUAUACAAUCAAAUUAAAAUCGAAUUAACUUCUCUCACACUUAAAAUUUAUAGCGAUCAAAUCAAAAUCGAAUUAACUUUCCUAUUACUAAAAUUUAAUUACAAUAUUAUUAGAUAAAGAGAAUAUAUAAUAAUCAAGGGAAAAUAGAUUUUUUUUUGCCACUCAACUUAUUGUGUUUUAAGAAAUUUACCACCCAACUAAAUUUUUUUUCCUUUUGCUCACUAAUAUUAGGUUUGGAUUUGUUUUUAGCCACCAACUAAGGUUCGGAUUUGAUUACUAGCAUUAUGAUAAUUUUUUGUCACUAAACUUAUUGCGUCUUUAGAAACUAACCACUCAACUAAUUUUUUUUUUAUUUUACUCACUAAUGUUAGGUUCAGUUUUUUUUUUGUCACUGAAGUUAGGUUCGGAUUUGAUUAUUAGCAUUACAUUAAUUCUGUGUAGCAUUUUUAAAAUAUGGUAGUAGUCUGUGAUAUUUAGAUGAUUUGAUAUAUGUCUGUAUUUAUAUAUAUAGUAUUUUUUAUGUCCCCAAGGUCGUUUACCUUGGGUCAUAAGAAUUUUACACACAUUUUAUGACUUUUAAAAGAUGUAGUUUCAUAAAUAAUUUUAUUUUUUUCUUCCGAAUUAAAAUUCAGCGUUUGAAUUUUACACACAAAAAAAUCGCAAAAAUAAGUUAUGAAACUAUGUUUUAUAAGAGUCUUAAAAUACGUGUUAAACGGUAGAAAAAACUGUAAACUAAUGAAAGGUACAUAGGGAGUAAUAAUAACAUAAAAUGAUGCACAAUCAUCGAAUUAAGUUUUCCUCUCUCUCUAUAUAUUUAUUUUGAAAAUUAUAAUAAGAUAAAGUUAUUAAAAUUUAUGAUAUAAAUUUAAAAGAGAUCUUAGACUGAGUGGCAAAAAUUUAGUUGGAUGGUAAGUUUCUAAAAAUACAAUAAAUUGAGCGGGAACAAAAUCUAUUUUCCCAAUAAUCAAAGUGAUGAAAAAUUAAAGUCAUCUAAUAAGUCCAGAAAAAAUAUGACCAUUAGUAUUUUGGAAUAAUAUUCACGCAUUUAUAUACGAGAAUAUAUGGUCCACAAGUUAGUGCACAAUGUCCAAGAAUCUUUAUCAAAGUAACACGGCAAGCAUGCAGCAUAUAAAUAAGAGUGGGCAGUAUGGUAUUGCAUUCAUAACCCACUUGAGGAGAAAUAUGGCACACUUCCUAAAGCCUUCUCACCUUCUUCUCUUUGUUUUCUCUCUCUCGUUACUUCAAUCCAUUCUACCAACAAGACCAGAGGGAGAAGCUCUUGUGAAAUGGAAGAAUAGCCUAGCCCCUUCUUCUUUUCUCGAUUCUUGGUCACUCACCAAUCUCGAUGAUCUUUGUAACUGGACUGGCAUUACUUGUAACUCUGCAGGUUCAGUCUCUGAGAUUAACCUUUAUGAGAAACAACUUGAUGGAAUGCUGUCCGAGUUUGGCUUCACUUCAUUUCCGAAUCUCAACAAUCUCACCCUCGCAUACAACUUCUUCUCGGGUCCAAUUCCACCAGCCAUUGAGAAUUUAACACAGCUUCAAUAUCUUGAUUUAAGCAUCAAUAGUCUCGAUGGUCCCAUUCCGUUCCAGGUUAGCCAUCUUCAGAGGUUGCUCGUCUUAAACCUGUCACAGAAUGCAUUGCAAGCUCCAAAUUGGUCCAAAUUCUCCCCCAUGCCCUUUUUGUGCAUCCUCAACCUCAGUAGCAAUCCUCUUGCGUCGACAUUCCCAAAUUUCAUAUCCAAUUCUCAUGGCCUGACUCACCUCAGCCUUGAUCAAAACGAGUUUACAGGUGAUUUAGCGCGUGAAUCAAUAUUUGCCAAUCUGCAUAAUCUUGAAGUCCUCAGUCUUGUUGGCAAUUCUUUUGAGGGGGCCAUUUCCGCCAAAUAUAUUCAAGCUUUCCAAAUUAAAACGUCUUACCCUGUCAAGUAACAAAUUUUUAGGAUCAAUUCCCAAUGACAUAAGGUUGCUUUGUGAUCUUGAAUUCCUAUAUUUAGGAAACAAUUCUUUUGAAGGACCGCCUCCACCAAAUAUAUUCAAGCUUUCAAAAUUAAAACAUCUUGUUCUCUGGAGUAAUAAGUUUUCAGGUUCUGUUUCCAAUGAUAUAGGUUUGCUUUCUGCGCUUGAACUUCUGAAUCUUCACUCUAAUUUUUUUGAGGGGCCGCUUCCGCCAAAUGUAUUCAAGCUCUCUAAACUAAGGUUUCUUAACCUCUGGGGUAACAACUUUUCAGGUUCUGUUUCCAAUGAUAUAGGUUUGCUUCCUGAGCUAGAAAUCCUCAAUCUUCACUCUAAUUUUUUUGAGGGGCCGCUUCCGCCAAAUAUAUUCAAGCUCUCUAAACUAAGGUUUCUUAACCUCUGGGGUAACAACUUUUCAGGUUCUGUUUCCAAUGAUAUAGGUUUGCUUCCUGAGCUAGAAAUCCUCAAUCUUCACUCUAAUUUUUUUGAGGGGCCGCUUCCGCCAAAUGUAUUCAAGCUCUCUAAACUAAGGUUUCUUAACCUUUGGGGUAAUAACUUUUCAGGUUCUGUUUCCAAUGAUAUAGGUUUGCUUCCUGAGCUAGAAUUCCUCAAUCUUCACUCUAAUUUUUUUGAGGGGCCGCUUCCGCCAAAUGUAUUCAAGCUCUCUAAACUAAAGUUUCUUCAUCUUCGAGGUAAUAAGUUUUCAGGUUCUGUUUCCAAUGAUAUAGGUUUGCUUCCUGAGCUUGAAAUCCUCAAUCUUCGCUCUAAUUUUUUUGAGGGGCCGCUUCCGCCAAAUGUAUUCAAGCUCUCCAAACUAAGGUUUCUUUCCCUUAAGGAAAAUAAAUUUUCAGGUUCUGUUUCCAAUGAUAUAGGUUUCCUUUCUGAGCUUGAAUACCUAUAUCUUGACUAUAAUUUAUUUGAAGGAAGUAUUCCUAUUGGACUGGGACUCUUGACUAACCUCAGCUACUUAGAUCUAAGUUCCAAUAAUCUCAGUGGCUAUAUUCCAUCUGACAUUGGAAACCUGAAGCUACUAGUAUUUCUUGAUCUCAGUUCUAACCAAUUGACUGGACCGCUUUUAAAGAUCGUUUCUAAUCUCACAAAUCUUAUGAAUCUUGAUGUAAGUGAUAAUAGUCUUAGUGGAAAUAUUCAGAGUGACUUGUGGAAGAACUCUAUAUCCUUACGUUACAUUAAUUUUGCAAAUAAUUAUUUGUCUGGGAACAUUCCUAAGGAAUACAACGAUCAUCCAACUUUGGAAUACAUCAAUUUAAGUGGGAACCAUUUUACAGGUAUAUUUUUCUCUAUAUAUCUUUUCCUUUUCUCAUAUGUAACUAAGCUGGUAAUCUGAUUAUUGCAGUUUUACCAAAGUUUCAACAAUCUUGACAGGUGAGCUUCCAACAACAAUUUGCAAUGUCACUUCCCUUGCGGUUCUUGUUUUGUCAAAUAAUGGAUUAAGUGGAGCACUUCCAAAUUGUUUCGGGAAACUUGCUGAUAGAUUGCUUUCCAUUAAUCUUGCUAAUAAUCAGUUUCGAGGAACAAUACCAACUACUUUCUCCAGGAGUUGUCAGGUGAAAUAUCUAAACAUGGAUAAUAAUGAGUUUGAAAGAUUCUUGCCCCCGUCUUUGGCGAACUGUAAGCACUUGAAAAUUCUUGAUAUUGGCAAUAAUAAAAUAGGUGGUACAUUUCCGUCAUGGCUUUAUGUACUUGGAGAGAUAGAAGUCCUUGUCUUGCGAUCAAAUAAACUCUAUGGUACAAUAAGUGGAAGGAGCGUAAAAGAUCCCUUCCCCAAGUUGCGGAUUGUGGAUCUGUCCAACAAUCAAUUCACUGGUCAUUUGCCAAUUCAAUACUUUAAGAAUAUGAAAUCAACUGAUAAUUUGUAUCGUUAUCAGAAUUCCAAAGGAUAUCUAUCUUUCCAUCAUGAUGCAGCAGUCUCCUUAACUGUGAAGGGAACGGAGUAUGAGGUAGCAAAGAACCUUCAUAUUUACACAGCCAUUGAUCUGUCGUGCAACAAAUUUCAGGGACAAAUUCCAAACGUCACUGGAGAGCUUAGAUGGCUUGCAUUGCUCAAUUUAUCGCAUAAUAGUCUAACAGGACCUAUCCCAUCAUUGCUGAGAAAUAUGAAAGAACUCCAAUCUUUAGAUUUGUCUUCAAAUCAACUGACAGGGGCUAUUCCACCUCAGCUAACUGCAUUGACAUUUCUAGAGGUCUUGAACCUCUCGAAAAACCAUCUUAGUGGAGAGAUUCCUCAGAAAGGACAGUUCAGCACAUUUAACAAUGAUUCUUAUCUAGGAAACUCCGCGUUAUGUGGAUCACCUUUGACGAAGAAAUGUGCAAACACAGCAUCACCUCCACAAGAAGUUGUAAAUGGUGAUGAAGAUGAUGCUGGUGAUGAAAUGACAUGGGAAGCAAUCGUGAUGGGAUAUGGAUGUGGACUGAUAUGUGGAUUGUCAUCUGCGUACAUUGUUCUCAAACUAGGAAAGCCUUGGUGGUUUGUGAGAUAUAUCGAAGUACUGCAACUGAAGUUGAUGAAAAGAUAUGCAUGAAGAAUGGUACUGGCCGAUCAAGACGAACUUGAAAGUUGUUGUCCUUGUGGACAUUUCUGAACCAGUAGUGUACUAGCUACAUAAGUAUUUAGUAUUAUGUAAUAAUCCGUUUGGUCGGGACUCAUAAUGAUUUCUCUUGCUUCAGGGGUAUUAAUAUUAAACUUGCUAUCUUGAUGAAUGUUAAUGUAAAUUAAAAAGAAUAUAAAAUCAAAAAAUUUAAAUCAAACACCUGUUGUACCAAGAUCCAUUAAUUUGCUUUAGUCUCUUACAUAACAAUUUAAUAGCACACUUCCACACUGUUCACACGUGUAAUGUAUAAAAAUUCCAGUCUUCUUCGGAGGCCUACAGCUUCAACAACCUCUCAAAGAUGUAGCAGUUGCUUGACAGUGAUAGAUAUAUAUUAGAUAAACACUAUGCAAUAACCAAAGUGACAGAAAAAUCAAAGUCCGCUAAUAAAUUCAUAAAAAAUAUAAUAAUCAACAACAAGAAUCAUAGUCUUACAAGUUCAUAUAAAAUAUAGGAUCAUUAGUAUUCCACAUGUAUAUUUUCUUCUCUUUCUUUUCGAGUUUUCCUCUCCAGCACCAAAUCCAAAUUAAUAUACAAUGCCACACAUUCCAGUCUCAGCUUCAGCUCCCAGGCUAGCAUUGAUUUAGCCAAGCACGACAGUGGCCGCUCUUGGUCCUGCCUUCAAAUGUCUAACAAUAACAGUUGGAUACGUCGACAAAAAUAUUGUUCCUCAUCAUACUGAGGAGUUAUUGAAUUCGACAGUUUUACACAAAGAAGACAAUUCCAUGGACUAAUCUAUUAGUAACACGUAAGCUAUAAACACGUAGUCCACAUCUAUGCUACGAACAAUUCAUAUUGGUCUUCUAUCUGUGCAACAGUCUCCCGAAGAUAGGCCAAAAAUGUCAUCUGUGGUUCUUAUCUUUGUUAGCAAAGGAGAAUCUCCGAUGCCUAUACAACCUGAUUUUCUUACAGAAAGAAAUGCAAGUGAAACUAGGGUCGGAUACCAUGUUAAAUGAUCAAUUCUCCUAAAACUAGGUUCAGGAUGAUCAUGAUAUAUUCUAACAUCAAGAUUAGCAGGACUAAAAUGAAGAUUUAAAUGGAUUUUAAAAACAAGCUCCUACUGAAUAAAAAGAAUCAUUAAUUUUUCUGACUCAACAUAUGUUAGCCUCCCCUGGCCCUGGGUGAAACCAUAAGCUUCUCUGGUGCACAUCCAAAUCAUUCAGCUGGUUCUACUUUCAGCUCAGCACAGGAACAUCAUUCUGCAGGUACUCUUGUAUCUGUAGUUUCUUAUUAAUUUAUUAACAAAAUUUAGCUAUUAAAUAUUUUGAUAAAAUAUCUAUUUAUUAAAAUAUUUUUUUAUUUAAUUGGUCUGAUAAAAAUAUUAUUGAUAUAUAAAUUUUACCUUUUUUCUGAAACAAAUUAUAAUUUUUGCUUCAAGCUUUUGUAUGAUAAGUUGAGAAAUAUUAGUUUUCUUUAUCACCGUGAGAGUAGAUCCUCGUUCCACAAAAAUUUGUAACUGAAAAAUAAAAUAGAGCCCUAAAACUUUUCGAUAAAUAUGGACUAAACAAUUUUGAUGCUCAAGUCUCAAUAGGAUUUAUAAACGGUCAUGAUGAGUUUGAUUAUCAAUGACACCAAAAAAAUAUUAGAAUUAUAUUUAAGUUAUAAAUUUGUCAAUAAAUUGUGUGAUAAUCAUACUUUCCAAGUCUUCUUCAGAGGCCUCCUGCCUCAACAACCUUUCAAAGAUGUAGUAGUUGUUGCUCGAGAGGGACAAAUAUAUUAGGUAAAGACUAUGCAAUAAUCAACGUGACAGAAAAACCAAAGUCCUCUAAUAAAUUAAUAAAAAAUAUUAUAAUCAAUAUCAAGAAUCAUAUUAUCAUAGUCUUCUAAGUUCAUAUAAAAUAUAGAAUCAUUAGUAUAUAAAUAGAAGAGUGCAGAGUAAAGCCUUUCAUAAUCCAGUUGAGGAGAAAUAUGGCAUACUUUGUAAAGCCUUAUCACCUUCUUCUCUUUGUUUUCUUUCUCUCAUCACUUGAAUCCAUUCUUGCAACAACACGAGAAGGAGAAGCUCUUGUGAAAUGGAAGAAUAGCCUAGCCCCUUCUUCUUUUCUUGAUUCUUGGUCACUCACUCAUCUCGAUAAUCUUUGUAACUGGACUGGCAUUACUUGUAACUCUGCAGGUUCAGUCUCUGACAUUAACCUUUUCAACAAACAACUCACUGGAAAGCUUUUUGAGUUUGGUUUCACUUCAUUUCCAAAUCUCAACAAUCUCACCCUUGCAGAUAACUUCUUCUCUGGUCCAAUACCAUCAGCCAUUGGGAAUUUAACACAACUUCGGUAUCUUGAUUUGAGCAAUAAUUAUCUCAAUGGUUCCAUUCCGUACCAGGUUAGCCAUCUUUCAAGAUUACACAUCUUAAACCUGUCAGAGAAUGAACUGCAAGCUCCAAAUUGGUCCGAUUUCUCCCCCAUGCCUUGUUUGACCAUCCUCGACCUUUAUCAAAAUAAUCUUAUGUCGGAAUUUCCAGAAUUUAUAUCUAACUCGCGUAACCUGACAUACCUUGACCUUUCAUAUAACAAGUUCACAGGCGAUCUUGUGCGCGAAUCAGUAUUAACCAAUCUAGGUGAUCUUGAAACCCUCUAUCUUAAUGAAAAUUCUUUUAGGGGGCCAUUUCCACCAGACAUAUUCAAACUUUCCAAGUUGAGAGUUCUUGCCCUGUUCAAUAAUUUUUUUGAGGGGCCGCUUCCGUCAAAUAUAUUCAAGCUCUCUAAACUAAGAUUCCUUUUACUUUGGAGUAAUAAUUUUUCAGGUACUCUUUCGAAUGAAAUAGGUUUGCUUUCUGAGCUUGAAGACCUAGAUCUUCACUCCAAUUUUUUUGUGGGGCCGCUUCCGCCAAAUAUAUUCAAGCUGUCUAAACUAAGAACCCUUUUCCUCUGGGGUAAUAACUUCUCAGGUUCUAUUUCCAACGACAUAGGUUUGCUUUCUGAGCUUGAACACCUAUAUCUCGACUCCAAUUCUUUUGAGGGACCUUUUCCAACAAAUAUUUUCAAGCUUUCCAAAUUAAUACAACUUGGUCUCGCAAACAAUACAAAUUUAUUUGAAGGAAGUAUUCCUCCAGGACUGGGGCUCUUGACUAACCUAGAGGACUUGUCUCUUGCUUACAAUAAUCUUGGUGGCUAUAUUCCGUCUUCCUUUGGAAACCUAACACUACUAGUAUAUCUUAAUCUCGCUCGUAAUCAAUUGGUUGGAACACUAUCAAAGACCAUUUCUAAUCUCACAAAUCUGUGGUUUCUUGAUGUACAUCAUAAUAGUCUCUCUGGGAAUAUUCAGAGUGACUUCUGGAAAAACUCUACAUCACUGCUUUACAUUAAUUUGGCAGACAAUAAUUUUUCUGGGAACAUUCCUAAGGAAUAUAAUGUUCUUCCAAUCCUGGAUCACAUCAAUUUUAGGGGGAACAACUUUACAGGUAUUUUUAAUUCCAUAUUUUUUCCUUCUGUUGUAUUUAAUUAUGCUAACAACUACUGCCUCUGUUUUCAAAUACAUAUCGUUUGACUUUUUGGCACAAAACUCUAUAAUAAUUCUAACUAUAAGGUCAAUGAACUUAGAAAUAUAUGUCAAAAAGUCAAACGUCAUAUAUUUGAAAUUAGAGGGAGUAUGGCUUAAUGACCUUUUAGCCCUUAAAGUUUGGGUAGAAGUUCCGAUGCGGCGUCGAAGUUUAAAAACGUACCUUUCGACCCUCAAAGUAUCUUUGUCGUACCUUUUAACCCUUAUGGCGUAUACCGGUAUAUAACGGGUGGGCAAAGUUGACAUUUCACACGUGAGGGUUAAAUGGGGCAUUAAACAUUAAGGGUUAAAAGGAACAUUUAAUAUAUUUUAAUGUAUUAUUUAGGGAUUAAAAGGAACGAGAUGUAUACUUUAAGGGUUAAAAGGUACGCCCAAACUUCACCCCGAAUAUGAAUUGUCAAGUUUAUCCCCCGAUUUGUAUCGGUAUUUUUAAAAAGGGCUAAAAAGUACGACAAAGAUACUUUGAGGGUCGAAAUGUACGUUUUUAAACUUUGAGGCCGCAUCGGAACUUCCACCCAUUCUUCGAGGGCUAAAAGGUCAUUAAGCCGAGUAUAUAUUACAGUUUUACCAAAGUUUCAACAAUCAUGACAGGUGAGCUUCCACCAACAAUUUGCGAUGCAACUUCCCUUUCGAUUCUUGAUCUGUCAAAUAAUGGAUUAAGUGGUGCACUUCCACAUUGUUUGGGGAAUCUUGCUGAUAAAUUGAUUUCGAUUAAUCUUGCUAAUAAUCAGUUUCGAGGACCAAUACCAACAAAUUUCUCCAAGAGUUGUCGUCUGACGUAUCUUAACAUCUAUAACAAUCACUUUAAAGGAUUGGUUCCCCAGUCUUUGGCAAACUGUAAGCACUUGCAAAUUCUUGAUUUUGGAAAAAAUGAAAUAGGUGGAACAUUUCCGUCAUGGCUUUUUACUCUUGGAGAGCUAGAAGUCCUGGUCCUGCGAUCAAACAGAUUUUUCGGGAGAAUAACUAGAAGGAGCAUACCACACCCCUUUCCCAAGUUGCGGAUUUUGGAUCUAUCCAACAAUCAGUUCACCGGCUAUCUGCCAAUUUCAUACUUCAAGAAUAUGAAACCAAAUGAUAAUAAUUAUGAUUAUUUCAACAACACAAACGAAGCCUAUUACGUUUAUCAAGUUUCUAUCACAUUAAAUGUGAAAGGAAGCGAGCAUGAAGUGACAAAUAUUCUUUAUAUUUACACGGCCAUUGAUCUGUCGUGCAACAAAUUUGAAGGAAAAGUUCCAGACAUUACCGGAGAGCUUAGAUGGCUUGCAUUGCUAAAUUUAUCUCAUAAUAGUCUUUCGGGGCCUAUUCCAUCACAACUGGGAAAUAUGAAAGAGCUCCAGUCUCUAGAUUUGUCGUCAAAUCAAUUGACAGGUGUUAUUCCGGAUCAACUUACUAGUAUGACAUUUCUUGCUAGUUUGAACCUGUCAGAAAACCAUCUUUCUGGGAAAAUCCCUCGGAAAGGACAGUUCAGCACUUUUGGCGAAGAAUCUUACUUAGGUAACUCGGCCUUGUGUGGAGUUCCUUUGACAAAGAAAUGUAUAGACGAAGUGCCCCCUUCACAAGUUGGAAAUGGCGAUGAUGAAAAUGUUGAUGAAGAUGAUACCGUUGAUGAAUUCAAUUGGAAAGUGAUCCUGAUGGGAUAUGCAUGUGGAUCAAUAGGCGGAUUGUCUGCAGGAUACAUUGUCUUCACAGUUGGAAAGCCUUGGUGGUUUUUGAGGUACAUUGAGACACUGCAGCAGAAGUUGAUGUGAUGCGCAACUAGAAACAACCUUAUCUUAGAAUGAAUCUGAUCAAUGUUAGCAUAUACUGAACUUUUUUUUUUGUAAAUAUGAUUUCAAGUUCUCAUACUAAUACAAGAACCACUUGUUAAAUCUUGACCAUGCUAAGAGGAUGCUGAAUGCUGAUUUAACACUUUGCGAUGCAAAGCAGGGGCGCAUUAGUAUUUUAUAUGUGUUGAUAAUUUGCGCAAUGUUAACAGGGAUAGGUCUUCUUCUCUGCCAGAUCUUCGACAGACUCUUUCAAGGUCUUCUGAGGACCCAUCGGCUCGAAUUAGUCCAUCGUGAAUUAUGAUCUGAGAGCUAUCUGCACACUAUUUCCAGGUCUUCUGUCUCGUUAACUAUGAAAGGAAGAAAUCAUGAAGUGAAUAAAAUUCUUCAUAUUUACACAAUUGAUCUAUCAUGCAACAAAUUUUGAGGAGAAAUUUCAGAGGUUUCCGAAGAGCUUAAAUGGCUUGCAUUGCUCAAUCUAUCUCAUAAUGAUCUUACUAGACAUCUCCCCGUUGCUCGCCAUUAGAAAACAGGGAUUAUUCACUCGUCCGCCGCACCGCGAACUCAUUCUUAGGUGCUCGGAGGUUUUUGAGGAUUCUUGUUGAUUAUUAAUUUUGUGAUUUUGUUGAAUACUCUAUCACUUAAUAAUGUAAUAAUUGUGUUAUUAAAUAAUUAUAUUUUAAAUUGUUAAGGAUAUUGAACUAUUUGUUUGAUUAUUUGGUUUAAAUAUAAAUGUAACUCUUGAAAUACAUUUAUUAUAUAUAUAUUUAACAUGUUAAUAUUUACUGAAUCCCUCGCAUCCGAAUCCCGAUAUUUUUAAAUUUACGGAUUCUCGUAUUCAUGUACCGUGCACUACCAUACCUUCAACCACACUCAUACUUUCUAGCUGCUCGGAAAUAUGAAUCAAUCUUUAGAUUUGUCUUCAAAUCGAUUGACGGAGGCUAUUCCACACCAGUUAGGCAGUUAACUAGAUUGACAUUUCUAGAGGUCUUGAACUUCUCAGAGAAUAAUCUUACCGGGAAAAUACCGCAAAAAGGAAAAAUCAGCACUUUCGAGAAUAUAUGAGUCAGUGUGGUUCACCUGUCUAGACCAAAAAUGUCAUCUGAGAUUCUUAUGUUUUUUAGCUAUAUAUGAGUGGAAGAAAAUUGUCGAGUCGAGGUUAAUCGAAUAAGGCGAGCCGGCUCAUUUUAAUUUAAUUGAGACAAAACUUCUACGGAGUUCGACUCCUUUAAUUAAACGGCUAUGAAAUCUCAUUAAAGUCAGCCUUGUAUAUAAACUCAAGCCAGGUCGAGUUUUAUUGAACAAAUUUCAGCUCAAACCAGUCGCGAGCAGCCCAGCUCAAGUUCGAGGCCUGCUCAUCUGUCUUCGAGUCUUGGACGAGAUUUGAAUCAUCAACUCCUUCCAAAAAGAGUAUUACACUGACAAAAAUGCAGUAACAUGUUUAAUUUAAAAGUAUAUCAUCUGUUCCCGCAGUUUAAUUUUACCCAUAUUUUUGAGAUUCAUAUAAAUUAUAAUUCCAUAAUAUUUUUUCAAUCAUAUUGGUUUUGAAUAAAAAUAUAAAUAUCAAACUUUUAUUUUUAAAAAAAUUAUAAAAUUAUAUUUUAUAAGAGUCUCAAAUACGUGGGAAAGUGGGAGUAUUAAUUUCGCCCACUAAGUCACUGACAGGUUUGUUAAUUUGUUUCCAUUUGAAGGUGUACACUGCAUAUUUUCACCAGGGAUGGCAACAAGUCGAAUCAGUUCAGAUAUAUCAGAUAUCUCAAUCCAAAUCCAAAUUAUUUUUAAAAUCCAAAUCCAAUCGAGUUUCACAUAUCAAAUUCAAAUCCAAAUUCACGGGUUUCAGAUCGGGUUCAGGUUUGUUUGGGUUUAUCCAAAACCCGAAUCCAGAAAUGUAAGUAGUAUUGUAAAAAUAUUAUUUUUUAUUUUUUCACCCUUGAAUUUCAUUAUAUUUAAAACUAAACUACACACAUUCACACUUUAUCUAUCCAUAUUAUAAACACAAUUUAGUAUAUUUAAAAUUGAAAAAAAGUAUAUUAGUAUACUACAUACAUAUAUUUGGAUAUUUGGAAAUUUUUUCGGGUUUUGUGUUUGGAUCGAAUUUAGAUUUCGGGUCCGGUUUUGAUACGGAAUACUUAAUAUCUAAAUCCAAAUUCAAACUGGUUCGGGUCUAAAAAUUAAAUUCAAAUCCAAAUCCAAAAUAUCAUGUUCGUUAAAAUUCAUUCGGGUCGAGGUUGAGUAUCCAUUCGGAUCAGAUUUUUCUCUAACCAAUAAAUUUUGUAAAUGGUCUGCACAAACGCAGUUACCGGCCCAUUUCCGUAUGAAGCCCAUGAACAAUUAUUUGUUCUGUAUAUUUUUCAAUCAAACCAAACCCAAACGCUAACAGCAGAAUUAAUUAAAUUCCUUUCACAUGUGAUUUUGUAAUGGGCCUACAUUACAAAAAUACUGUAGGACUAUCCCACUAUCCCUGACCCUACAUGUUUUCUCAAUAAUUUUGAUAAAUAUAUUAAACAGAUAUUGAACUGUUACAAAAAUAUAACGUCUGUUUUUCAAAUAAGUAACGUACGGUUUCCGAGAGAUAAAGUUUGACUUAUAUUGACAAGAUAACGCUUGAAUUUAAUAUCUUUUUAAAAAAAACUAAUAUAAAAUCUAAAUUAAAUCUUCUUCUUAAAUGAGAAUCCAGAAAAAUCUCAAAAAUUCACAACUACAUCAAUAAAAUAUAAUAUCCAACAUUAAAUAAAAAUCUUUCAAUAUCCAUUUUUUGUGUAAUUUUCAACCAAUCUGCUCUAAUUAUUUCGUCACCUUUUAAAAUUUAAAAUUUUUAAAUACUCAAAACAAUUACCCUAACCGCCAACCACCUUAGAAUUAUAAAAUCUUAAAAUUAAAUGCUAAUAAGAUUAUCAGUGUUACUCACCUAAACCAAAACGGUUACAAAAUCUAACGGCAAUAUUAUAAACUUUUAAAAAUUAAAUUUUUAAUUAAUUUGGCAAGUGGUAUUCAUAUAGAACAAAACAGUUACAAAAUCAAACUGCAAAUUAUAAAAUCUUGAAAUUAUAUUUAAUACUGUAAGAUUUAGCAUGUGGGUCCCACACAAUCAGAAAAUAAUAUGAACACGAAAUCUUGCUCUAUUAAAUACACACACCUGUACAUACAUAUAUAAACACCCACCGCCUCUUCAACUUUCCAACAUCAAAACCCUCGUAAUUCAAUUGGGUUUCUGCUGUUAUUCUCCCCUCUCUCCUCUCUCUCGCCGAGAUUUUUAUAUGCAUACAUGCGUGGGUAUAUGUAUAUGUACACCCCCUUGGCAAAAACACAGACUAAACACUAAAAGAACCCACAGAAUCAUACCCAUGUUAUGGAUAUUAUCUGGGGUUUGUUGAAAUUGUUGUAGAAGGCCUAAAGAUUUGAUUUUGGAGUAGCCCAUUUGGUUCUUGAUUGAAUUUGGUUGUGUUUUGAGUGUGAAAAGGCAAGAUUUUAUGAUUCUUGAUGGAUGAAAGUGCUAUGUUUGGCUUGAAUGGAGAUAAUGANACAAAAUCUUGAAACGCUGUUUCUUGAUGGUAAUUCUUUUGAGGGGACGUUUCCACCGAAUAUAUUCAGGCUUUCUAAAUUAAAACACCUUUCCCUAUCUGCUAAUAAGUUUUCAGGUUCUGUGCCGGAUGACAAGUUGGUGUCGAAAGUGAGAAUGUUGCGGUAGGGGGUGAUUCGGAUGAGCUUGUUGUUGUUGGGGAGACAGGGCAGGUAUAAUGCUGCAUUUGUUGUUUUUGUCGAUAUUAUGUGUUGCUUUUGUGUUUUUUGUUAUGUUUUCAUAUGUUUAGUCCGUUAUUUUUUGGAGAAUUAAGUAGUCUGAUGAAUGUUGAUUAAUCCAAUAUAUAAGCUGGGCGUUUUUGUUUAAUGUGCUUAUUAUGAUUAUAUUAUUUUGUUUGAUAAUUGAAUUGUGUUUAGAUUGUUAAUCCAAAGCCAAGGUCAAAAGACGUAAGGUAACAUUGAUGUUAAUUGAUAAAACUAACCUCAGAAAGUAGAUUGUUUGAGGCAAUAGAGAGUGUGAGCCUCUAUCAUGACAAUUUAAGAAGUUUAUAGUUGAGUCGUUGACUGCAUUACUAUCAAAUGCAUAGGGGUAUGGAAAUGAAAACGGUUAAUAACAUAUGGGCAUUUAACCUAAUAAUUUGACAACUCGACACUCGGACUUGUAUAUGUAAGUUGUAGUAGAUGCAUACGGUGUUUUAGUAGUUUAUUUGUGUACAAAUUAUUUCAUUGGGUAUUAUUUGAAGUGAAUAGUAUAUUGGAUUCAUGCAUGUUCAGACUUUAAUAUCAACAUCUUUCAGAUUUUUCUGGAUAAUGGUUAAUAAAUUCUUUGUUUAAUAAUGACCGCUUCACUUAAUGUCAUUUCUCUUCUUUCUUUUUUUAAUUAUCGGAGUGGAUAUUUAUUUAAUUUUUUCUGAUUUAUGUUGCAACUUCCAAUAUAAUUUGUUUGGGUGCUAUACUUUGAUGGAUUAUAGGUCGCAUGUCGAGACUAUCCUCACCCACGAGAUCUUUGUGCUAAACUUCCCUUUACAUCUACUCCUCAUGAANUGCUAAACCAGGUAAUAAUAUUUUUUCUCAGAAUUAAUUAUUACACCUCUUUUCAGUGCCGAACGUUCUGCGUAUCUUAUUUGACCAUUGUCUGUUGCAGUGUCACUGUUAUGUUUGUGAUGCACCGGCUCCAUGUCUCAAAUGGGGAACUGGCAUAUCUGUCAGUGACCAUUGUCAUGCCACUGGGAAGGUGGAAUUCUGGAAUCAACAAAGCCUAAAUUUUUUGAAAAGGCUUUAAAAAAUUUGGAAUUUUUUAAAAAAAUGAAAAAUGUAAAAAUUAAAAAAAUCUAAAAAUAUCUGGAAAUUCAAAAAAUAUACCUAAAUUUUUGAAAUUAAAAAAUUUUAGAAUUUUUCCAAAUUUUCAGAUUUUUUCAAAGUUUUAAAUUUAUUUUCAAAAUUUUUAGAUUUUUUCGAUGUUUUUUCAUAUUUUUUAAAGUAUUUUAAAAAAAUUCAACUUUAUUAAAAAAUCGAUAUUUAUAUUUUUCUCAAAGUUUUUUUUAUUUUUUUUAAAGGAUUCUGUUAAAGGCAGCUGAUAUUUAACGUCGCAGUGACCUAUUUGCAAACUUUUAUUAGUUCAGUGAGUUGACUGCAACUUAAAUCGAGUUCUGUGAUCCGUUUGCAAACUUUUUAAGUUCAGUGACUUAACUGCAAGUUGGCCAUGAGUUCAAUGAUCUUUUCGCCUAUUAACCCGGACUAAAUCUACUAAAAUGAUAAUUAUGGACUCACAAUGUAUAUUUUUAAUUUAUAUGUUUAGUUAAAAAUUGGUUAAUUUGACUUUCGAAAAUCAAAAUGAACAUGUAAAAGGAGAUCGUGGUAAUAAGCCCCUCAACGUGUGUAAAUGUUAAGUAAAAGGGAUAUGUUUAUUUUUAUUUUAAAAAAGAAUUAAAAAUAUUAUUUUACAAAUUAAAUUAUAAAAUACUCUCUAUAUUCCAAAUUAGUGAGUUCGUUAAUUUUAGGCACACUAAUUUAGAUGAUUUAACUGCAUAGCUAUAUAAUUUAUUUUUAAUAUUUUUAAAAAACAAUUAAAAAUAAUUUCACGAAUAACAGAUGAUCAUUAUCUUUUAAAUCACAUGCUGAAAAUCGGAUGUUGCCCUUAUCAUUAUCACAUUUUUAAGUAGUAAUGUCUCGAAAAUUAAAUAUUAGAUCCAAUAUGAUUUCAAAUAUCACUUUAUAAUAUUCUUUUUUGUCAUAAUAUCACUUAAUAAUGUUAAAUGAGUGACGUUUAUAUUUUUUUUAAAGUGUUACACAAUGAGAAACUCUAAAAAAUAUAACGGUAGAUAAUGUAGUAUCAUAUCAAAACAUUACUUUAUCUAACCAGAACAUAAUAUUCCAAGGACAAUUUAACUUUUUUUAUAAUAUUCAGAACCUUCUUUUUUUUUUUUGAAUAAAAGACAAAUUUCAUUAAUACGAAAUGUCAUACAGAAAAAUCUCCAACAAUACAUCUCGAGGAGACAUAAACACUUUUUGACAAUUUAAAGAACAGGAUAAUUUAGCUACUAGAUGAGCUACUCCAUUCGCUUGUCGUUUAACAAAUGAAACUGAAUAACAUGGCUUCGAAUUUAAAAUAAGCUUGCAGGCAUUCAAGAUGUGACCAACUUCUAAAAGAUUUUCCUGAGAGUCAUGCAAGGCUUUAAUGGCCAGGAGAGAGUCUGAUUCAAUUUCCACCACCUCAUGAUUUAAUGAGCACAACCACGGGAGACCUUCAAAAGAGAAAAGGCCCCCAGUAACCUUUUUUUAGUGUCAAAUGCCCUAGUUGUCAUUAUAAUAAAAAAUGGCCCUCAUUAUCACUCUAUAACACUACUUAAACUCACGUUCUGUUUUUCCAUCAUAAACGGCACACGCAACAGUGUUUCCAGGUUUAAUACUUUUUAAAAAAAGUCUAACGUAACAUGAAGUUACGUUCACUGAUCUGAGUUUUUUUUUCAUAUUACUCACAUCUUGCUUAUUUCCAUAUAGAAAGAAAUUCACUCACUAGUCAACGUUAUAACAAAUUAUAAUAAUAUUUAACCAGUGCACCCCAAAGGGUAGCGGCUGCGGUUUCCUACGUUAAAAAGAAUAUUUAAGCGUUCAUACAUGGGGUUUAGAAAAAUUUGUUUAUAAUUGUAAAUUAAUUUUCUGAACGUUAGGGUUUAGGAUUGAGGGUGUAGGGCCGGUAGGCCCUACUCCCUCGAGCCUAAAACCUAAUUAAUGCGAGGCUGAAGGGCCGAAGGCCCUGAAGCCGAGAAAUCGGCAGAAUAAAUAAAUUUACAAUCGUUAACAUUUAGGGUUUAGAUUUGGGUUGCAGAAUGAUUAAUUCAUACUGUAAAUUAAUUGGCCGAACGUUAGGGUUUAGGAUUGAGGGUGUAGGGCCGGUAGGCCCUACUCCCUCGAGCCUAAACCCUAAUUAAUGCGAGGCUGAAGGGCCGAAGGCGAGAAACCGGCGGAAUAAAAAAAUUUACAAUCGUUAACAUUUAGGGUUUAGGUUUGGGUUGCCAUAAUGAUUAAUUCGUACUGUAAAUUAAUUGGCUAAACGCUAGGUUUUAGGAUUGAGGGUGUAGGGCCGGUAGACCCUCCUCCCUCGAGCCUAAACCCUAAUUAAUGCGAGGCUGAAGGGCCGAAGGCGAGAAACCGGCGGAAUAAAUAAAUUUACAAUCGUUAACAUUUAGGUUUAGGUUUGGGUUGCCAUAAUGAUUAAUUCGUACUGUAAAUUAAUUGGCCAAACGCUAGGUUUUAGGAUUGAGGGUGUAGGGCCGGUAGACCCUACUCCCUCGAGCCUAAACCAUAAUUAAUGCGAGGCUGAAGGACCUUCAAGCCCUAAACGCUCGAGCCUAAACCCUAAUUAACUCGAGGCUCUAGGGCCGUGAGACCCUAAAGCCGAGGAACCGGAAUUAAAAUAUAAAACAAAAUUUUAAAUGGCGUUUAAAGUGGCGACAGAAUUGUAAGUUGGGUGUUAAGCUAGCAAACGACAUUAAGUUACGUUUUAGAUUUUUAGGUUAUUAAAAAAUAAAAAAAAAAAUCAAGAACGUCACAUGAAGGCACGUUUUACUUCUGAUAUCAAGAACGUCACAUGAAGGCACGUUUUACUUCUGAUAAACACACCAGCACGUGACUAAAGUCUCGUUUUCAUAUAUAACAGCAAUUGAAGUGACGUUUUGCUUUUUUUAGUUUAAAAUAAUAACCCCAUAACGUGACCAGGAGUCACGUUUUAGUAUAAAUCCUAAACGCUGCUUCAGAACAUGUUUUGGAGUGACACCCGGGGCCAUUUUACGGGAUUGUGACUUUAAGGUCCAUAUUGUUACUGAUGGUGACUCACAGGGCCAACACCCCCUUCAAAAAUAGCGCUUGCUUCGGCUUCAAGGACAGUAGCCACCAUGGCUUUACAUAUUGUUUUACCCAUCACAAAAACUCCCUCGCUGUCACGCAGAACCAAACCCAACGAGACCGAGGCCUCACCGAAACGCACACCUGCAUCAACAUUUAGUUUGAGAACUCCAUCCGUCAGCUUUUUCCACUUCACUCGAGAAGAAGAUGCGGAACUAGAAGUACUACCAACCUGAACAACACGCUUAGCUUUAGCCUCCUUCCAGUCAGAAAUAAUCUUAGCGCUCCAAUCCAUAGCUAUAGCAGCUGUAACAACCUUGUGAUCCCAAACCUUCUUGUUUCGAAAAAACCAAAUUCCCCAAAGAACUCGAGCAAUAUUAAAAGUUUCAUGAUCAGGACCUGAUUCAAACCUAGCAAGUAACCAAGAGGGGGCAAACUCCACCAGAGACAAAUCAAAGACCAUACCUGAGUAUUGCCAACAUAACAUUGCAAACUGGCAGGUGAAAAAUAUGUGAAUAAGGUCUUCGUCACCAGAGUUACACAUGGGACAGUCAAGAGAAAGAUUUACUCCCUUAGAUUGUAAUCGACUUUUCACAGGCACAUUAUUCCUGCAAAAACGCCAUAAAAACACUUUGAUCUUAAGAGGAACCUCCAACUGCCAGAGUUUCUUCCACCCACUAGAUUGUGUAACAGUGCCAGUGCCAAUAUUUUGGGCAUGUCAAAACUGGUAACCUGUUUUCACAGAAUUUUGGCUGUUAGUAGUCUUUGACCAAGCUAGACGAUCCACGGUCGACCUACAGGGAACAUAAGUUUUUAAAAAUUAUGUAAUUCAUUCAAUUCCGUAUCAGACAAUACAUCUUAUCAUCGGUGAUAAUGAAAAUAGUGUAGAUGUUUGACCUAGUCCCUGUUUGACAACCAAUAUAAUAAGAAAUAAAUUCUUAUUUUUCUAAAAAAUAUAUUUUUGUAUAUAAAUGUUAAAGAGAUAUUUCUUAUUUGUUGUUUGAAAAAAGUAAAGACUUAUUUCAGAAUAAAAAAAAAUUAUUGUACAUUCUCUUUAUUUCUGAAAAUAAGUUUGGUCAAAUCAUCCAUAAUUCACGUAAUUCAAAAGCCCAUUAAUUUUUUUUUUCUUGCUAAUUGAUCAGCACACGCACACGUUUCCAACUUCCCGCAAAGGGUACAGGAGUACCACCGGAGUACCAUCACACCGACGCUUUGUUGGGCCCAAUAAUUGGCUGAAGUUGAACGGGGCUUUCUGCCUCCGCUGGACCCCAGUUGGGAGGACUCUUUCCAAGUCUUUCGGAGCCUCUUUCCCAUUGACUCCAACUUUCCAGGGUGUAUACAAAUUUUUUGAAAGAGGGUGUAUACAAAUUAUUCACGGCCAUCAAAUCAACCAGCGUAGCUGGUGAACAAAUAUUAUUGUUUAUUAUAAUUUUAUUUAAUUUAAAUGUGAUUAUAAGAACAUAAGAGGACGUUUGAAAGUGUGGGUCUUAUUUCAAACAGUAGAUUUAAAAAAAUAUGAUUUCAAUUGUUAUUUAAAAUUCUUAAAUUUAUAUUAUAUUAAAAUGUUCUUAUUCUAAUUAAUGAGUCACUAUUCGUAUUCUCAAGCAUGUUAGUUUGUUAAAAUUUAAAAUUUCAAAUGAAAUUAGGCUAAAAGACCAUAAUAUCAAAGCAAAAUCUCAUUAUCCAAUAUAUUGGUGGGCAAAAAUAUUAAACCUGGCUAUUCAUUAAUAUUGGUUCUUUAUUCAAAUUAUGUCAAAUUUAUAUAAAAUUUCGAAAAUUAUUUAUGAAUAAGAGUCGGCAUUCAUAUAUUUAUUAAGGAUACAAGUGAGAAAAUGUUAUUAAAUUAAUAUUUUUUUAAUAUACGUAAGUUUUUUAAAAUAAAUUUGUAGCGUGGGACGGGAGUAUUAGACUGAUUCUGGCUUGGAGUGAAUCAGCCCAUAAAGUUUACAGGGUAGAUGACCAUUCUUAAAUCUUAAAGAAUCUUACGGUGACAGCUAACUGAACGACUCGGUUUCAGAAGUGCUGAAAAGUUUCGACGUAAACUACAAUUUGCCUAGCAUGUAAUUUCCAUGCAUUUUCUCGUUACUAGUGACAGAUAACUUUUUUGAUAUUUAUAUAUUUUUAAUUAUAAUAAAGAUACUAGUGAUUAUGGUUAGCUUUUGGAGUACUUUCGGAGUACUUGGAAAUUUUCUUUUCGAGAAAGACGAGAGUACCUAUUUCAAUUUUUUACCAAAAAUUAUAAUUGAAAACAACGGACUUUUAUACUUAUCAUAACAAUUUUUAACAUCUUGUUUAGAAAUAACCUGUUGUUGUAUUAUGCAAAAGUAAUAUCACUAGUUUCUAUAUUCGUAUUCUAAUGAUAAUAAAAACAUCUCUAAUUCAUUAAAACUCUUACAUAGAAAAUGAUAAAAAAAAAAAAGAAGAUAUAAAAUAAUUUAUUAAAAAUAUAUCAAAGNGAAGAUAUAAAAUAAUUUAUUAAAAAUAUAUCAAAGUUUUUGCACUCGGUUAUAAUUAUUGUGUAAUUUCUUUUUUCAAUUCCAAGAUAUUGUUAUAAGAAAAUUUUACAUCAUAUAUAUAUUACAAAAAAAAUUAAUGUAUUCUAUAUAUAUAUAUAUAUAUAUAUAUAUAUAUAUAUAUAUAUAUAUAUAUAUAUAUAUAUACAAUAAANNNNNNNNNNNNNNNNNNNNNNNNNNNNNNNNNNNNNNNNNNNNNNNNNNNNNNNNNNNNNNNNNNNNNNNNNNNNNNNNNNNNNNNNNNNNNNNNNNNNNNNNNNNNNNNNNNNNNNNNNNNNNNNNNNNNNNNNNNNNNNNNNNNNNNNNNNNNNNNNNNNNNNNNNNNNNNNNNNNNNNNNNNNNNNNNNNNNNNNNNNNNNNNNNNNNNNNNNNNNNNNNNNNNNNNNNNNNNNNNNNNNNNNNNNNNNNNNNNNNNNNNNNNNNNNNNNNNNNNNNNNNNNNNNNNNNNNNNNNNNNNNNNNNNNNNNNNNNNNNNNNNNNNNNNNNNNNNNNNNNNNNNNNNNNNNNNNNNNNNNNNNNNNNNNNNNNNNNNNNNNNNNNNNNNNNNNNNNNNNNNNNNNNNNNNNNNNNNNNNNNNNNNNNNNNNNNNNNNNNNNNNNNNNNNNNNNNNNNNNNNNNNNNNNNNNNNNNNNNNNNNNNNNNNNNNNNNNNNNNNNNNNNNNNNNNNNNNNNNNNNNNNNNNNNNNNNNNNNNNNNNNNNNNNNNNNNNNNNNNNNNNNNNNNNNNNNNNNNNNNNNNNNNNNNNNNNNNNNNNNNNNNNNNNNNNNNNNNNNNNNNNNNNNNNNNNNNNNNNNNNNNNNNNNNNNNNNNNNNNNNNNNNNNNNNNNNNNNNNNNNNNNNNNNNNNNNNNNNNNNNNNNNNNNNNNNNNNNNNNNNNNNNNNNNNNNNNNNNNNNNNNNNNNNNNNNNNNNNNNNNNNNNNNNNNNNNNNNNNNNNNNNNNNNNNNNNNNNNNNNNNNNNNNNNNNNNNNNNNNNNNNNNNNNNNNNNNNNNNNNNNNNNNNNNNNNNNNNNNNNNNNNNNNNNNNNNNNNNNNNNNNNNNNNNNNNNNNNNNNNNNNNNNNNNNNNNNNNNNNNNNNNNNNNNNNNNNNNNNNNNNNNNNNNNNNNNNNNNNNNNNNNNNNNNNNNNNNNNNNNNNNNNNNNNNNNNNNNNNNNNNNNNNNNNNNNNNNNNNNNNNNNNNNNNNNNNNNNNNNNNNNNNNNNNNNNNNNNNNNNNNNNNNNNNNNNNNNNNNNNNNNNNNNNNNNNNNNNNNNNNNNNNNNNNNNNNNNNNNNNNNNNNNNNNNNNNNNNNNNNNNNNNNNNNNNNNNNNNNNNNNNNNNNNNNNNNNNNNNNNNNNNNNNNNNNNNNNNNNNNNNNNNNNNNNNNNNNNNNNNNNNNNNNNNNNNNNNNNNNNNNNNNNNNNNNNNNNNNNNNNNNNNNNNNNNNNNNNNNNNNNNNNNNNNNNNNNNNNNNNNNNNNNNNNNNNNNNNNNNNNNNNNNNNNNNNNNNNNNNNNNNNNNNNNNNNNNNNNNNNNNNNNNNNNNNNNNNNNNNNNNNNNNNNNNNNNNNNNNNNNNNNNNNNNNNNNNNNNNNNNNNNNNNNNNNNNNNNNNNNNNNNNNNNNNNNNNNNNNNNNNNNNNNNNNNNNNNNNNNNNNNNNNNNNNNNNNNNNNNNNNNNNNNNNNNNNNNNNNNNNNNNNNNNNNNNNNNNNNNNNNNNNNNNNNNNNNNNNNNNNNNNNNNNNNNNNNNNNNNNNNNNNNNNNNNNNNNNNNNNNNNNNNNNNNNNNNNNNNNNNNNNNNNNNNNNNNNNNNNNNNNNNNNNNNNNNNNNNNNNNNNNNNNNNNNNNNNNNNNNNNNNNNNNNNNNNNNNNNNNNNNNNNNNNNNNNNNNNNNNNNNNNNNNNNNNNNNNNNNNNNNNNNNNNNNNNNNNNNNNNNNNNNNNNNNNNNNNNNNNNNNNNNNNNNNNNNNNNNNNNNNNNNNNNNNNNNNNNNNNNNNNNNNNNNNNNNNNNNNNNNNNNNNNNNNNNNNNNNNNNNNNNNNNNNNNNNNNNNNNNNNNNNNNNNNNNNNNNNNNNNNNNNNNNNNNNNNNNNNNNNNNNNNNNNNNNNNNNNNNNNNNNNNNNNNNNNNNNNNNNNNNNNNNNNNNNNNNNNNNNNNNNNNNNNNNNNNNNNNNNNNNNNNNNNNNNNNNNNNNNNNNNNNNNNNNNNNNNNNNNNNNNNNNNNNNNNNNNNNNNNNNNNNNNNNNNNNNNNNNNNNNNNNNNNNNNNNNNNNNNNNNNNNNNNNNNNNNNNNNNNNNNNNNNNNNNNNNNNNNNNNNNNNNNNNNNNNNNNNNNNNNNNNNNNNNNNNNNNNNNNNNNNNNNNNNNNNNNNNNNNNNNNNNNNNNNNNNNNNNNNNNNNNNNNNNNNNNNNNNNNNNNNNNNNNNNNNNNNNNNNNNNNNNNNNNNNNNNNNNNNNNNNNNNNNNNNNNNNNNNNNNNNNNNNNNNNNNNNNNNNNNNNNNNNNNNNNNNNNNNNNNNNNNNNNNNNNNNNNNNNNNNNNNNNNNNNNNNNNNNNNNNNNNNNNNNNNNNNNNNNNNNNNNNNNNNNNNNNNNNNNNNNNNNNNNNNNNNNNNNNNNNNNNNNNNNNNNNNNNNNNNNNNNNNNNNNNNNNNNNNNNNNNNNNNNNNNNNNNNNNNNNNNNNNNNNNNNNNNNNNNNNNNNNNNNNNNNNNNNNNNNNNNNNNNNNNNNNNNNNNNNNNNNNNNNNNNNNNNNNNNNNNNNNNNNNNNNNNNNNNNNNNNNNNNNNNNNNNNNNNNNNNNNNNNNNNNNNNNNNNNNNNNNNNNNNNNNNNNNNNNNNNNNNNNNNNNNNNNNNNNNNNNNNNNNNNNNNNNNNNNNNNNNNNNNNNNNNNNNNNNNNNNNNNNNNNNNNNNNNNNNNNNNNNNNNNNNNNNNNNNNNNNNNAAUCAUCUGACAGGGCCUAUCCCCCAAAAAGGACAGUUCAGCACAUUCAACAAGGAUUCUUACCUAGGUAACUUUGCCUUGUGUGGAUUACCUUUAACUAAUAACUGUACACACACUGUGUCACCACCACAAGAAGGCGGAACUGGUGACAAUGAUGCCUAUGAUGAACCCGAUUGGGAAGUGAUCCUCAUGGGAUAUGGAUGUGGACUAAUAUGCGGAUUGUCCACUGGGUACGUUGUCUUCACAUUCAGAAAGCCUCAGUGGUUUAUGAGAUACACUGAAAGCGUGCAACAGAAGUUGAUGAGAUGAUGCAUGUUGAGUACCGUUCAAUCAUGAAGCACAACUGGAAACAAUGUUAUCUUAGGAAAACAUGUGUUCUGAACCAGUAGUGUUUGCACAAAAUUUGUGGUGCUAUGUAAUACUUAUAUAAUUGUACGUAUGAUUAUUGAUUAGUCGUUGAGAAAAUGCAUUUUAUUUCAGUGUCAAUGAUAAUCUACAUGUUUUGGAUACUUCCAGCUUCUCAUACUAAUAUAGGAACCACUUGAAAAAUUUUGCGAUGCAAAGCAGGGACUCAUGAGUAUUUUCAUAUGUGUAUUAGUUUUGAAGAUAAAAGUUGUAUGGACAAUUGUGUUGAUAAUUUGCGCAAUGAUAACUGGGAUAGGUCAUCUUCUCUCCCAAGUCUUGGAUGGACUCUUUCCAAGUCUUCUGAGAACCCAUCAGCUCAGAUUAGUCCAUACAAUGUCAAGGGUCCUAUGAUAUGGUCUACUAACAGCCCAGUGUCGGUAAUAAAUCCAAUUGCAUAUAACCUAUUCAAAAUCAAUCCCCUAUAAACAAUCAUCUCUAAAAACUAUUCACAUAAAAUAAAAUUUUAAAAAUAUAAAAUAUCUAGUUGUUUUCAAUAUAUAAUUUUCCACAGUAGAUAACAAAAUAUCUUUAUCAAAUUAUAUUAUUUAUGGGUUCAAUAUUUAAGCUAUAAUUCCAAUAACACGGCAAGCAUGCAUGCAGCAUAUAAAUAGAAGUGUGCAGUAUGUAUGGUAUUCAUAACCCAGUUGAGGAGAAACAUGGCACACUUUGUAAAGCCUUCUCACCUUCUUCUCUUUGUUUUCUUUCUCUCAUCACUUGAGUCCAUUCUUGCAACAAGACGAGAGGGAGAGGGAGAAGCUCUUGUGAAAUGGAAGAAUAGCCUAGCCCCUUCUUCUUUUCUCGACUCUUGGUCACUCACCAAUCUCGAUAAUCUUUGUAACUGGACUGGCAUUACUUGUAACUCUGCAGGUUCAGUCACUGAGAUUAACCUUUUCGGAAAAAAACUUGAUGGAAGGCUGUCCGAGUUUGGUUUCACUUCAUUUCCAAAUCUCAACAAUCUCACCCUUGCAGAUAACUUCUUCUUGGGUCCAAUACCACCAGCCAUUGAGAAUUUAACACAGCUUCAGUAUCUUGAUUUAAGCUUUAAUUAUCUCGAUGGUCCCAUUCCGUUCCAGGUUAGCCAUCUUCAAAGGUUGCUUGUCUUAAACGUGUCACAGAAUGCAUUGCAUUCUCCAAAUUGGUCCAAUUUCUCAAACAGAUGAAAUUAUGCAACUGAAAUUGAUGUAGUCUUAAAGAAUUCUCAGGCACUUAAACAUGUUUCAAAGAAUUCUCAGGCACUUAAACAUUUGGACGGGUUCUUUGGAAGCCAAGAUGCCCAGGUUAUCAUGGCCAUGCACAAAAUGCAGUAUAAAAAAAAAAUGAAUACCUUAAGAGAGAUUGCUCUGGGUCUCCCCAAGCCUUCUAGACUCAUUCCAAGUCUUCUGAGGACCACUGCCUCGCGCUUUCAAAGAUGUGAUGGUAGCUCGGGAGUGAUAUAAAUUAUUUUCGGGACACUAAUAAUAAAUAAUCAGAUCAAAUUAAUCAUCAAUAAUAAAUUGAGGAUACGAAAUCAAAAUUAAUCCUAAAUUUUGAUAAUAUAUAAAAAUUACUUUACGUACACUGUUUGCACGCAUUUUGAGCUCGUAUAAAGUAUAGUUUCAUAACUUUUUUUAAAAAAUUUCUUUUUUGAUAAAAGUUUAAACGUCAAACUUUUAUUCAGAGAAAAAAAAUUAAAAAAUAUAUCACGGAACUAUACUUUAAAUUAGUAUGGAAAAACGUGCCAAAAUUAACGUAAAGAAAUGAGGGGAACAAAGAUAGUAUAAUUAUAUUAUAAAUUAAAAUUGAAAUAACUUACGUGGCACUGAAAUUGAUAAAGGCAAUAUGGUUAAAUUGAUGAAAAGUCAAAGUCCUCUAAUAAAUCCAUAAAGAAUAUAAUAAUCAAAACGACGAAAAUUAUAAAUGAAAAAUCAAAAUCAUCCUAAUAAGUACACAAAAAGAAUAUGAUCGUUAGUGUAUUGGAAUAGUGUGCACACACUUAUAUAUCAAAAUUUGUGGUCCAAAAGCUAUGGCACAAUAUUCUAAAUACACCACAUUAAGUAAUAGUUCAAAAAUAUUCAAUAUAUAAUUGUUUUCAUUCAUAAUUUUGUUAUUAUUUUAAAAAAUAAUUUGGUUGCUGUUAACCUAUAUUUCAAUUAUAUAAUUAUAUUAUUUUUUAUUUUAUGUAUCUAGAAACAAUAUUUUUGUAAUAUUUAUUACAUUAAUUAUAUUAAAAGAUAUAAUUUGUUAAAAACUUGAAUAAAAUUAAGAGGAUAACUUUAUGUCUCUCCAAGUUCACAGCACGGGUGAGCAUUGGGUUCGGAUAUCCAUAUACCGAAUGGAUAUAUCAAAUCAAAACUAAUCAUGAAUUAUGAUAAUAAUUAAAUAAAUUAUAAUUAAGCUAUAUGAAUCAACUCCAAAUGACAACAACAGCACCAAACCUUAGUUACUUUAAUAUUGGUAAAUAAAUAUAAUAUAAUAAUCAAAUUGAUGAAAAAUCACAUCAUCUAAUAAAUUCACAAAAAAUAUAUGAUCAUUAGUAUAUUAUAUUAGUAUCCACACACUUAUAUUUCAAAAUCUAUCCUCCAAAAUUAUCAUCUCUGUAAGCUAGCCACAUAAAAUAAAAAAUUUAAAGAUAUUAGAUAUUUAGUUAUUUUCAUUAUAUAAUUUUUCCACACGAAAUAACAAAAUAUCUUUAUCAAAUUAUUAUUUAUGAGUUAAAUAUUCAAGUUAUAAAUCCAGUAUUCAGCGUAUAAAUAGAAGUGUGCAGUAUGAUAUCAGAUUCACAUAACCCAGUUGAUGAGGAGAAACAUGGCAUACUCUGCAAAGCCUUCUCACCUUCUUCUCUUUGUUUUCUUUCUCUCAUCACUUGAAUCCAUUCUUGCAACAACACGAGAGGGAGAAGCUCUUGUGAAAUGGAAGAAUAGCCUAGCCCCUUCUUCUUUUCUCGAUUCUUGGUCCCUCACCAAUCUCGAAAAUCUUUGUAACUGGACUGGCAUUACUUGUAACUCUGCAGGUUCAGUCUCUGAGAUUAACCUCUGUGAGAAACAACUUGAUGGAAUGCUGUCCGACUUCGGUUUCACUUCAUUUCCAAAUCUCAAGAAUCUCACCCUCGCAUACAACUUCUUCUCGGGUCCAAUACCACCAGCCAUUCAGAACUUAACAAGGCUUCAAUGCCUUGAUUUAAGCUUUAAUUAUCUCAAUGGUCCUAUUCCGUUCCAGGUGAGCCAUCUUCAGAGCUUGCUCAUCUUGAACCUGUCACAGAAUGCAUUGCAAACUCCAAAUUGGUCCCAUUUCUCUCCCAUGCCUUUCUUGCGCAUCCUCAACCUCAGUUACAAUCCUCUUGCGUCGAAAUUCCCAGAUUUUAUAUCCAGUUCUCAUAGCCUGACUCACCUUAGCCUUAAUUAUAACGAGUUUACUGGUGAUUUAGUACGUGAAUCAGUAUUUGCCGAUCUGCAUAAUCUUGAAAAGCUCAGUCUUGUUGGCAAUUCUUUCGAGGGGCCAUUUCCGCCGGAUAUAUUCAGGCUUUCCAAAUUAAAACAUCUUAGCAUGUCAGAUAACAAACUUUCAGGUUCAAUUCCCAAUGACAUAAGGUUGCUUUGUGAUCUUGAAUACCUAUAUUUAGCCAACAAUUCCUUUGAAGGACCGCUUCCACCAAAUAUAUUCAAGUUUUCAAAAUUAAAACAUCUUGUUCUUUGGGGUAAUAAGUUUUCUGGUUCUGUUUCCAAUGAUAUAGGUUUGCUUUCUGAGCUUGAAACUCUCGAUCUUAGCUCUAAUUUUUUUGAGGGGCCGCUUCCGCCAAAUGUAUUCAAGCUCUCCAAACUAAAAGUUCUCACCCUGUCAAUUAACAAAUUUUUAGGUUCAAUUCCCAAUGACAUAAGGUUACUUUGUGAUCUUGAAUACCUAUAUUUAGGCAACAAUUCCUUUGAAGGACCGCUUCCACCAGGUAUAUUCAAGCUUUCAAAAUUAAAACAUCUUUUUCUUUGGGGUAAUAAGUUUUCAGGUUCUGUUUUCAAUGAUAUAUGUUUGCUUUCUGAGCUUGAAACCCUCGAUCUUAACUCUAAUUUUUUUGAGGGGCCGCUUCCGCCAAAUGUAUUCAAGCUCUCCAAACUAAAGAUUCUUUCCCUUUAUGUGAACAACUUUUCAGGUUUUAUUUCUAAGGAUAUAGGUUGGCUUUUUGAACUUGAAACCCUCUAUCUUGGCUCUAAUUUUUUUGAGGGGCCGCUUCCCCCACAUGUAUUUAGGCUCUCCAAAUUAAGAGAUUUGGACCUCUCAGACAAUAGAAAUUUAUUUGAAGGAAGUAUUCCUAUUGGACUGGGACUCUUGACUAACCUCAGGUACUUAGAUCUACAUUUCAGUAAUCUCAGUGGCUAUAUUCCAUCUGACAUUGGAAACCUGAAGCUACUAGUACUUCUUGAUCUCAGUUCUAAUAAAUUGACUGGACCGCUUUCAAAGAUCAUUUCUAAUCUCACAAAUCUUAUAUUUCUUGAUGUAAGUGAUAAUAGUCUUAGUGGAAAUAUUCAGAGUGACUUGUGGAAAUAUAACGAUCAUCCAACUUUGGAAUACAUCGAUUUAAGUGGGAACCAUUUUACGGGUAUAGUUUUUCUCUAUAGAUCUUUUCUUUUUCUCAUAUGUAACUAAGCUAGUAAUCUGAUUAUUGCAGUUUCACCAAAGUUUCAACAAUCUUGACAGGUGAGCUUCCAACAACAAUUUGCAAUGUCACUUCCCUUUUGGUUCUUGAUUUGUCAAAUAAUGAAUUAAGUGGUGCACUUCCAAACUGUUUCGGGAAUCUUGCUGAUAGAUUGCUUUUCAUUAAUCUUGCUAAUAAUCAGUUUCGAGGAACAAUACCAACUACUUUCUCCAGGAGUUGUCAGCUGACAUAUCUAAACAUGGAUAAUAAUGAGUUUGAAGGAUUGUUGCGCCCAUCUUUGGCGAACUGUAAGCACUUGAAAAUUCUUGAUAUUGGCAAUAAUAAAAUAGGUGGUACAUUUCCGUCAUGGCUUUAUGCACUUGGAGAGCUAGAAGUCCUUGUCUUGCGAUCAAAUAAACUCUAUGGUACAAUAAGUGGGAGGAGCAUAGAAAAUCCCUUCCCCAAGUUGCGGAUUGUGGAUCUGUCCAACAAUCAAUUCACUGGCCAUUUGCCAAUUCAAUACUUUAAGAAUAUGAAAUCAACUGAUAAUUUGUAUAGUUAUCAGAAUGACACAGGAGUUUUUUCUUUCCAUUAUGAAGCAUCUGUAUCAUUAACUGUGAAGGGAACAGAGUAUGAAGUGAAAAAUAUCCUUCAUAUUUACACAACCAUUGAUCUGUCCUGCAACAAGUUUCAAGGAGAAAUUCCUGACGUUAUUGGAGAGCUUAGAUGGCUUGCAUUGCUGAACUUAUCUCAUAAUAGUCUAACAGGACAUAUCCCAUCAUUGCUGAGAAAUAUGAAAGGACUCCAAUCUUUAGAUUUGUCUUCAAAUCAACUGACAGGGGCUAUUCCACCUCAGUUAACUGCAUUGACAUUUCUAGAGGUCUUGAACCUCUCGGGAAACCAUCUUAGUGGAGAGAUUCCUCAGAAAGGACAGUUCAGCACAUUCAACAAUGAUUCUUAUCUAGGAAACUCCGCGUUAUGUGGAUCACCUUUGACAAAGAAAUGUGUAAACACAGCAUCACCUCCACAGGAAGUCGGAAAUGGUGAUGAAGAUGAUGCUGGCGAUGAAUGGACAUGGGAAGCAAUCGUGAUGGGAUAUGGAUGUGGACUGAUAUGUGGAUUGUCGUCUGCGUACAUUGUUCUCAGACUAGGAAGGCCUUGGUGGUUUGUGAGAUAUAUCGAAGUACUGCAACUGAAGUUGAUGAAAAGAUAUGCAUGAAGAAAGGUACUGGUAGAUCAAGAUGAACUUGAAAGUUAUUUUCGUGGAUGACAUUUGUGAACCAGUACUGUACUAGCUGCUUAAGUAUUUGGUAUUAUGUAAUAAUCCGUUUGGUCGGGACUCAUAAUGAUAUUUCUUGCUUCAGGGGUAUUAAUAUAAACCUUGGUAUUGUGUACUAGCUGUCUGUUUGGUCGUGACUCAUAAUCUUUCAUGUAUUAACAUAAGGUUUUAAUACAUCCCGUACCAGGUUAGCCAUCUUCAGAUAUUACACAUCUUACUGCUGUCGCAUAAUGAAUUGCAAUCUCCAAAUUGGUCCAACUUCUCUUCCAUGCCCUUUUUGCGCAUCCUCGGCCUUGGCAGCAAUAAUCUGGUGUCAAAAUUCCCAGAAUUUAUAUCUGACUCUCAUAGCCUCACUUUCCUUGACCUUUCUUUUAACAAGUUUACAGGUGAUCUUGUGCUUGAAUCAAUUUUUACCGAUCUACAUAAUCUUGAAAACCUCCAUCUUGCUGGAAAUUCCUUUGAGGGGCCGAUUCCACCUAGAGUAUUUAAGCUUUCCAAUUUAAAAGUUCUUGAACUCACGGGUAAUAACUUUUCUCGUUCUAUUUCCAACGAUAUAGGUUUGCUUUCUGAACUUGAGACCCUCUAUCUUGACUUCAAUUUUUUUGAUGGACCAAUUCCCCCAAAUAUAUUCAACCUUUCCCAAUUAAAAAUUCUUGAACUAACAGAAAAUAACUUUUCUGGUCCUGUUUCCAAUGAUAUAAGUUUGCUUUCUGAGCUUGAAAACCUCAAUCUUGCCUUAAAUUCUUCUGAUGGGCCUUUUCCAUCAAAGAUAUUCAACCUAACCAAAUUGAGACAUCUAAAUCUCUAUGGCAAUAAGAAUUUAUUUAAAGGAAGUAUCCCACUGGAUAUCAGAAACCUGAAGCUCCUGGAAUCUAUUAAUCUCGGUUCUAAUCAAUUGGUUGGACCACUUUCAAUGCUCAUUUCUAAUCUCACUAAUCUUAAGAUGGUUGGGCUAAGCGAUAAUAGGUUUUUUGGCAAAAUUCCUAGUGACUUCUUGAAAAACUUGCCAUCCUUACACGUCAUUGAUCUUUCAAAUAAUAAUUUGUCCGGAAAUAUUCCCAGGGAGUAUAACGUGCAUCCAAUUUUAGAAUACAUCAAUUUAAGUGGAAACCAUCUUACAGGUUUACUUCUCCCUCAAUAUAUUUUAUUUUCCUUUUGUAUGUUACAUUGAUUACACUUUUACCGAAGCUCAAACAAUUUUAACAGGUGAGAUCCCAGCAACAAUUUGCAAUGCUACAAACCUUUAUAUUCUGGUUCUGUCAGAUAAUGGAUUAAGUGGUGCCCUUCCGCAUUGUUUGGGAAAUCUUGCAGAUAAAAUGCAUUGCAUUGAUCUCGCUAAUAAUCAGUUCCGAGGACCAAUACCAACAACCUUCUCAGAGAGUUGCCAGUUAAGAUAUCUAAACAUGUAUGACAAUCAGUUAGAAGGACUUUUGCCCCGAUCUUUGUCAAACUGUAAGCACUUGAAAAUUCUUGACAUCGGGAACAACAAAAUGGGCGGUACAUUUCCUUCAUGGCUAUUCACUCUCAGAGAGCUAGAAGUCCUAGUCUUGCAAUCAAAUAAACUGUAUGGUCCAGUAAGUGGAAGGAGCACACAUCACAUCCAUUCCCCAAGUUGCGGAUUCUAGAUCUCUCCAACAACCAAUUCACGGGCUAUUUGCCAAUUCAAUACUCUUUAAGAAUAUGAAACCAGCUGCUGAUAACAUUUGUCUUAGGAUGACACAUGUUCUAAACUAUGACAAUAGUAUGCAAUCUCGUUUAAUACUUUCAUAUUAUGAACUAGUUCUGUUGAAUAAAUAAAUAUUAUUAAUUAAUCAAUCAUGUGCGCUCGAGUUUCCCUGGCCAGAUGCCCAGAUUAUUAGAGCAUCUCCAGCAGAGUCUUAACCGGUUCUCUAAAUAUAUAAUAAAAUAUGUAUCUUUUAAGGGAUUACUACAUUUUAGUGAAUGAGAACUCCAACAACAUUCCCUAUUUACAUUCUCUAUUAUUAUUAUAAUAUUAUAUUCAACUUGUAAUAAGAGAGAGAAAGUUUGGAAAGAGUAAAAGUGAGAAAAAAUAAGUGAAUAUUUUAUUCUUCAGAAUAAUAUAAGGAAAGAAAAUGCCAAAACAAUUAACUAUAAUCUACGCAAUAAUUUUUUAUAUUGAUUAGACGUUAUCUUUAUCAAUAUUUAGUCAGAUAUUCGGAUAUAUAUCAUUCCCUUUGUUUUUAUACCAUCUUUUUUUUGACUUUCGGGCCAAAUCACUACGUGGGUUGACUGGAUAGUAGAAAUUAAUAUUUUUGUCUGUUUUUUAAAAUAAAAAUCUGUAUUUUUAUUUUGAUUUCGAAGAAUAUAAUCCAUAAGGUAAAUAAUUUUUAANNNNNNNNNNNNNNNNNNNNNNNNNNNNNNNNNNNNNNNNNNNNNNNNNNNNNNNNNNNNNNNNNNNNNNNNNNNNNNNNNNNNNNNNNNNNNNNNNNNNNNNNNNNNNNNNNNNNNNNNNNNNNNNNNNNNNNNNNNNNNNNNNNNNNNNNNNNNNNNNNNNNNNNNNNNNNNNNNNNNNNNNNNNNNNNNNNNNNNNNNNNNNNNNNNNNNNNNNNNNNNNNNNNNNNNNNNNNNNNNNNNNNNNNNNNNNNNNNNNNNNNNNNNNNNNNNNNNNNNNNNNNNNNNNNNNNNNNNNNNNNNNNNNNNNNNNNNNNNNNNNNNNNNNNNNNNNNNNNNNNNNNNNNNNNNNNNNNNNNNNNNNNNNNNNNNNNNNNNNNNNNNNNNNNNNNNNNNNNNNNNNNNNNNNNNNNNNNNNNNNNNNNNNNNNNNNNNNNNNNNNNNNNNNNNNNNNNNNNNNNNNNNNNNNNNNNNNNNNNNNNNNNNNNNNNNNNNNNNNNNNNNNNNNNNNNNNNNNNNNNNNNNNNNNNNNNNNNNNNNNNNNNNNNNNNNNNNNNNNNNNNNNNNNNNNNNNNNNNNNNNNNNNNNNNNNNNNNNNNNNNNNNNNNNNNNNNNNNNNNNNNNNNNNNNNNNNNNNNNNNNNNNNNNNNNNNNNNNNNNNNNNNNNNNNNNNNNNNNNNNNNNNNNNNNNNNNNNNNNNNNNNNNNNNNNNNNNNNNNNNNNNNNNNNNNNNNNNNNNNNNNNNNNNNNNNNNNNNNNNNNNNNNNNNNNNNNNNNNNNNNNNNNNNNNNNNNNNNNNNNNNNNNNNNNNNNNNNNNNNNNNNNNNNNNNNNNNNNNNNNNNNNNNNNNNNNNNNNNNNNNNNNNNNNNNNNNNNNNNNNNNNNNNNNNNNNNNNNNNNNNNNNNNNNNNNNNNNNNNNNNNNNNNNNNNNNNNNNNNNNNNNNNNNNNNNNNNNNNNNNNNNNNNNNNNNNNNNNNNNNNNNNNNNNNNNNNNNNNNNNNNNNNNNNNNNNNNNNNNNNNNNNNNNNNNNNNNNNNNNNNNNNNNNNNNNNNNNNNNNNNNNNNNNNNNNNNNNNNNNNNNNNNNNNNNNNNNNNNNNNNNNNNNNNNNNNNNNNNNNNNNNNNNNNNNNNNNNNNNNNNNNNNNNNNNNNNNNNNNNNNNNNNNNNNNNNNNNNNNNNNNNNNNNNNNNNNNNNNNNNNNNNNNNNNNNNNNNNNNNNNNNNNNNNNNNNNNNNNNNNNNNNNNNNNNNNNNNNNNNNNNNNNNNNNNNNNNNNNNNNNNNNNNNNNNNNNNNNNNNNNNNNNNNNNNNNNNNNNNNNNNNNNNNNNNNNNNNNNNNNNNNNNNNNNNNNNNNNNNNNNNNNNNNNNNNNNNNNNNNNNNNNNNNNNNNNNNNNNNNNNNNNNNNNNNNNNNNNNNNNNNNNNNNNNNNNNNNNNNNNNNNNNNNNNNNNNNNNNNNNNNNNNNNNNNNNNNNNNNNNNNNNNNNNNNNNNNNNNNNNNNNNNNNNNNNNNNNNNNNNNNNNNNNNNNNNNNNNNNNNNNNNNNNNNNNNNNNNNNNNNNNNNNNNNNNNNNNNNNNNNNNNNNNNNNNNNNNNNNNNNNNNNNNNNNNNNNNNNNNNNNNNNNNNNNNNNNNNNNNNNNNNNNNNNNNNNNNNNNNNNNNNNNNNNNNNNNNNNNNNNNNNNNNNNNNNNNNNNNNNNNNNNNNNNNNNNNNNNNNNNNNNNNNNNNNNNNNNNNNNNNNNNNNNNNNNNNNNNNNNNNNNNNNNNNNNNNNNNNNNNNNNNNNNNNNNNNNNNNNNNNNNNNNNNNNNNNNNNNNNNNNNNNNNNNNNNNNNNNNNNNNNNNNNNNNNNNNNNNNNNNNNNNNNNNNNNNNNNNNNNNNNNNNNNNNNNNNNNNNNNNNNNNNNNNNNNNNNNNNNNNNNNNNNNNNNNNNNNNNNNNNNNNNNNNNNNNNNNNNNNNNNNNNNNNNNNNNNNNNNNNNNNNNNNNNNNNNNNNNNNNNNNNNNNNNNNNNNNNNNNNNNNNNNNNNNNNNNNNNNNNNNNNNNNNNNNNNNNNNNNNNNNNNNNNNNNNNNNNNNNNNNNNNNNNNNNNNNNNNNNNNNNNNNNNNNNNNNNNNNNNNNNNNNNNNNNNNNNNNNNNNNNNNNNNNNNNNNNNNNNNNNNNNNNNNNNNNNAUAUACACUUCCAUUUCCACUUUCCAGUAUUAAGUUUAGAAUUAAGAUCUUAACAACAUAGCAAUCAUUUAAACCUCGAAGAAAAUUGUGCACAUUAACAAGACCAAAGAGAAAACAGAUAGCAUAAAAUUGUGUAACACGUAUAAUUUAAAUCCACUUCUCAGUAUACUCCACAUUCAAGGUGAUCUAACUGCUACAAUAUUCUAAUUUUCACAGCUACGACACUGAACAAUAUAAGAACCAGUUUACUGUAAGUUUACUGAACAUAUAUAUACGACAUUGAACAAUAUAAAAUAGCUAUCCUUUGUAAGACCAAAAACAAAGGACACUAGCUAGCUAAUUCAAUAUACAAAACCACUCCAAUCAGUUUAUGAUAAGCAACUACAAACAUACAAAUACAUAUAAACAUACAAAUACAUAUAAACAUACUAUCUCAUUUUCCAAAAACCACAACUACAAACUAUCUCAUUUUCCAAAAACACACACUGAAAUACAUAUAUACAUACACAUACAACCACAAGGAUACCCAAACUCAAGUAAUAAAUAAGAAAUUACCUCCUCCAACUCGAAGAGAGCUUGAAUAGACUUGAACAGAGCUUGAACAGACUCCGAGCUCGAACUCCCUACAAACUCGAACUGAAGUACGAGCACCCACUAAACCCACAAACUCCACACUCGAACUGAACUCUGAGAUCUGUUGAAAAAACGAAUUAAAGAAGCAAAUGAGUAUUGUAAUCGAACAAACAUCAGUUUAUUAGGUACAAAUCAACCUUUAUCGCACAAAUUUAAGGAUGAAAUCGGCCGAAUUGGAACCUAGGGUUCGCUCGCUGAGAAAGGGGGAAGAACGGGGAGAGAGAAUGUAUUUUGUACAAAUGAUUUAAUUUAGGUAGUUUUAUUAGUUUUAUGUCUUUUUCCUUUUAAUUUUAUGUUUAAAGACAGGUGUUGAUGUCUUGUUCAGACAACACAUCAACUAAGCAGCGGGGUUUUAAAGGCGGGGUUUUUUUGUUUGUGAAAAAUUUGGCUAAGUGGGGAAUAGAAGCGGGGAAGCGCGGCCAAUUUUUUAAAAACAUGUUUUAGACAUCGGUUCUACACUAAGAUGAUGUCUAGUUUUUUAAUAGACAUCGGUUUUUAAAAUUUCGAUGUAAAAAAGGGUUUUAACAUCGGUGGUUUUUUUAACCGAUGUCUAAUCUGUGAUGUCUGAUCCUGUUUUUCUAGUAGUGAUCACUGCAACAAAAUAUUAGUUACGACGGAACAAUGUCGCUGGACUUUAUUUGUUUACAUUUUUUUAAUAGUAGUUAAUUUUUAAACUUGCGACGGAAAACAUACGACAGUCUACUUCGCGAGAGAAAAUCAUUUUAUUUUAUUUUUUAGCGCCAGAAUUUUAAUACUAAACUACUAUAGGGCCGUUUGGGCUAGCUUAAAAAAAGUGAUUUUUUACUUACAGUAAAGAAGUGGAUUAAAAGUGAGAAGCAAAUAAGUCAAUAAAAUGUUUGGAAAAGAAGUAGAAGCUGUGAGAGAGAAGUUAGCAUUCUCAGCUUCUUAAAAGUGCUUCUGCUUAUUUACAUAAACGGGUAAAAAAAAAAAAGCAAAAGCCAGAAGCAGCUUCUACUUCUCGAAACAAACAGGGCCAAUAUAUAUGAAGGAAACUGAUCUCUAUUGUUUUCAGCUUGCUCAUCCAUGGUAAGUAAUCCGUCGAAAAAGUUAGUUUGUUGUCGUGGUGUCUUAUCAUGAGAGAAAAUGGUAAUAUCGCAAAAUAUUUGCAACUGAAAGAUAAAUUAUAGUUCUAGAAACCAUUUAGGUAACGAUGCGCGGAGUUAUUUUCACUCACUUAGAAUUAAUGAUAAAUAUUUGCAACUGAAAGAUACAUUAUAGUUCUAGAAAAGGAUCCACGGAAUUAUUUUCACUCACUUAGAAUUAAUCCUAAGUUAUUGUGAGUUUUUGAAUAUGGAUUAUCUCAAAUUUUAUUAAAACACAUAUCGAUUCAUAUAGACAAAUUUGCCUACCUAAUAUUAUAAUAUUUAUGGCGAAGUUGUAUGAACAAUUGUGUAGAUAAUUAUACUUUACAAAGCAUACUUCUGCUAGCUGAAUUUUGAUUAAAAAAUCGAAAGGGAUAGGUCUGGGUCUCUCCAAGUCUUUGAGGACUCAUUCCAAGUCUUCUGAUGAGGACAAAAUAUAUCGCUGGUAGUCUUUCAGUCCUUCCUAGAGUAUUUUAUGCUCUGCACUGCAUUUGUGUUGAUAAUUUGCGCAAUGUUGAUGAGGAUUGCUCCAAGUCUUGGCGGACUCUUUCCAAAUCUUCCGAGGACCUAUCGGUUCAAUUUAGCCCAUUAAAAAUUUUAUUAUCUCAAAGCUAUCUGCAAAAUAAUAUAUAAGGUAAAAAUGAAUAUAUACCAUUGUUUUGUGAUUAAGUUGUAUAGGCAAUAUGCAUUGCAAAAUCAGCAACAGGAUAUAUGAAUACUAAUUAAUUACCUGAUAUCAGUAUGAACAAAUACUUUCUAUGUAGUUGUAAUAUUAGUCUUCUUUAAAAGUUAUCAUGAGGGAAGGUAUAUAUUGUGAUGCGGGAGAAAUAUUGUCACUGAAAAUAAUUAUAAUUCUAAAAUUUCCAUUAUACACUUUUUUUAGUGUUUGUACGUGGUAAGUACUUCAGACGACAUUUCUCGCGUAUGCCUCCGAUUAAGAAUUUGAUGUUCAGCCUAGUCCUAAACUAAAAUUAUUAUAAAUGUGUACUUCAAAAUUAUAUAUAUUGCUGGUAGUCUUUCAGUUCUUCCUGGUGUAUGCAAUUGUUUCAUUCAAUACCAAUUAUUUUAUACUAUGCACUCUGAUAUCAUGUUGAGAACAAUCCAUCAAAAACUUUAAACCUUAAUUAAGGUGUUAGAGGAAAAUACCAAUUAGAUCUUAUGCUAUAUUUCAAUACUUCCAACACUCUGCGAUGCAAAGCAGGGACUCUUGAGUAUUUUCAUAUGUGUAUUAGUUUUGAAGAUAAAAGUUGUAUAGAGAAUUGUGUUGAUAAUUUGCGCAAUUGCGCAAUGAUAACUGGGAUAGGUCAUCUUCUCUCCCAAGUCUUGGAUGGAAUCUUUCCAAGUCUUCUGAGAACCCAUCAGCUCAGAUUAGUCCAUACAAUGUCAAGGGUCCUAUGAUAUGGUCUACUAACAGCCCAGUGUCGGUAAUAAAUCCAAUUGCAUAUAACCUAUUCAAAAUCAAUCCCCUAUAAACAAUCAUCUCUAAAAACUAUUCACAUAAAAUAAAAUUUUAAAAAUAUAAAAUAUCUAGUUGUUUUCAAUAUAUAAUUUUCCACAGUAGAUAACANNNNNNNNNNNNNNNNNNNNNNNNNNNNNNNNNNNNNNNNNNNNNNNNNNNNNNNNNNNNNNNNNNNNNNNNNNNNNNNNNNNNNNNNNNNNNNNNNNNNNNNNNNNNNNNNNNNNNNNNNNNNNNNNNNNNNNNNNNNNNNNNNNNNNNNNNNNNNNNNNNNNNNNNNNNNNNNNNNNNNNNNNNNNNNNNNNNNNNNNNNNNNNNNNNNNNNNNNNNNNNNNNNNNNNNNNNNNNNNNNNNNNNNNNNNNNNNNNNNNNNNNNNNNNNNNNNNNNNNNNNNNNNNNNNNNNNNNNNNNNNNNNNNNNNNNNNNNNNNNNNNNNNNNNNNNNNNNNNNNNNNNNNNNNNNNNNNNNNNNNNNNNNNNNNNNNNNNNNNNNNNNNNNNNNNNNNNNNNNNNNNNNNNNNNNNNNNNNNNNNNNNNNNNNNNNNNNNNNNNNNNNNNNNNNNNNNNNNNNNNNNNNNNNNNNNNNNNNNNNNNNNNNNNNNNNNNNNNNNNNNNNNNNNNNNNNNNNNNNNNNNNNNNNNNNNNNNNNNNNNNNNNNNNNNNNNNNNNNNNNNNNNNNNNNNNNNNNNNNNNNNNNNNNNNNNNNNNNNNNNNNNNNNNNNNNNNNNNNNNNNNNNNNNNNNNNNNNNNNNNNNNNNNNNNNNNNNNNNNNNNNNNNNNNNNNNNNNNNNNNNNNNNNNNNNNNNNNNNNNNNNNNNNNNNNNNNNNNNNNNNNNNNNNNNNNNNNNNNNNNNNNNNNNNNNNNNNNNNNNNNNNNNNNNNNNNNNNNNNNNNNNNNNNNNNNNNNNNNNNNNNNNNNNNNNNNNNNNNNNNNNNNNNNNNNNNNNNNNNNNNNNNNNNNNNNNNNNNNNNNNNNNNNNNNNNNNNNNNNNNNNNNNNNNNNNNNNNNNNNNNNNNNNNNNNNNNNNNNNNNNNNNNNNNNNNNNNNNNNNNNNNNNNNNNNNNNNNNNNNNNNNNUGUAUUAGUUUUGUAAGAUAAAAGUUGUAUGGACAAUUGUGUUGUAUAAUUUGCGCAAUGAUAACUGGGAUAGGUCAUCUUCUCUCCCAAGUCUUGGAUGGAAUCUUUCCAAGUCUUCUGAGAACCCAUCAGCUCAGAUUAGUCCAUACAAUGUCAAGGGUCCUAUGAUAUGGUCUACUAACAGCCCAGUGUCGGUAAUAAAUCCAAUUGCAUAUAACCUAUUCAAAAUCAAUCCCCUAUAAACAAUCAUCUCUAAAAACUAUUCACAUAAAAUAAAAUUUUAAAAAUAUAAAAUAUCUAGUUGUUUUCAAUAUAUAAUUUUCCACAGUAGAUAACAAAAUAUCUUUAUCAAAUUGUUAUUUAUGGGUUCAAUAUUUAAGCUAUAAUUCCAAUAACACGGCAAGCAUGCAGCGUAUAAAUAGAAGUGUGCAGUAUGUUAUCAGAUUCAUAACCCAGUUGAUCAGGAGAAACAUGGCAUACUCUGCAAAGCCUUCUCACCUUCUUCUCUUUGUUUUCUUUCUCUCAUCACUUGAAUCCAUUCUUGCAACAACACGAGAAGGAGAAGCUCUUGUGAAAUGGAAGAAUAGCCUAGCCCCUUCUUCUUUUCUCGAUUCUUGGUCCCUCACCAAUCUCGAAAAUCUUUGUAACUGGACUGGCAUUACUUGUAACUCUGCAGGUUCAGUCUCUGAGAUUAAUCUCUGUGAGAAACAACUUAAUGGAAUGCUGUCCGAGUUUGGUUUCACUUCAUUUCCAAAUCUCAACUAUCUCACACUCGCAGACAACUUCUUCUCCGGUCCAAUACCACCAGCCAUUGAGAAUUUAACACAGCUUCAAUAUCUUGAUUUGAGAAAUAAUUAUCUAGAUGGUCCCAUUCCGUUCCAGGUUAGCCAUCUUCAGAGCUUGCUCAUAUUAAACCUGUCACAGAAUGCAUUGCAAGCUACAAAUUGGUCCAAUUUCUCUCCCAUGCCUUUUUUGCGCAUCCUCAACCUCAGUAGCAAUCAUCUUGUAUCGAAAUUCCCAGAAUUUAUAUCCAAUUCUCAUAGCUUGGCUAUCCUUGACCUUUCACAUAACAACUUUACAGGUGAUCUUGUGCGUGAAUUUACCAAUCUACAAAAUCUUGAAACCCUCUGGCUUUAUUGUAAUUCUUUUGAGGGGCCAUUUCCGCCGGAUAUAUUCAGGCUCUCCAAAUUAAAACGUCUCUCCCUGUCAAGUAACAAAUUUUCAGGUUCAGUUCCCAAUGACAUAAGGUUGCUUUGUGAUCUUGAAUCCUUAAACUUAAGCAACAAUUCUUUUGAAGGACCGCUUCCACCAAAUUUAUUCAAGCUUUCGAAAUUAAAGAGUCUUUUUCUUUGGAGUAAUAAGUUUUCAGGUUCUAUUUCCAAUGAUAUAGGUUUGCUUUCUGAGCUUGAAUUUCUCAAUCUUUACGAUAAUUUUUUUGAGGGGCCGCUUCCAUGCAUCAAAUAUAUUCAAGCUCUCCAAAUUAAGGGUUCUUUACCUUAACGGUAAUAAACUUCUAGGUUCUCUUUCCAAUGAUAUAGGUUUGCUUUCUGAGCUUGAAACCCUCAAUCUUCGCUCUAAUUUUUUUGAGGCUCCGUUUCCGUCAAAUAUAUUCAAGCUUUCCAAAUUAACAAUUCUUGACCUCGCAUACAAUAGAAAUUUAUUUGAAGGAAGUUUUCCUAUUGGACUGGGACUCUUGACUAACCUCAGCUACUUAGAUCUAACUUCCACUAAUCUCAGUGGCUCAUCUGCCAUUGGAAACCUCAAGCUACUACUAUAUCUUGGUCUCAGUUAUAAUCAAUUGACUGGACCGCUUUCAAACAUUGUUUCUAAUCUAACAAAUCUUAUAUUUCUUGGUGUGGAUCAUAAUAGUCUUAGUGGAAAUAUUCCGAGUGACUGGUGGAAAGCCUCUGUAUCCUUACUUUACAUUGAUCUUGGAUAUAAUUAUUUGUCUGGGAACAUUCCUAAGGAAUAUAAAGAUCAUCCAACUUUGGAAUACAUCGAUUUAAGUGGGAACCAUUUUACAGGUAUUUUUUUCUCUAUAUAUCUUUUCCUUUUGUCACAUGUAACUAAGCUAGUAAUCUGAUUAUUGCAGUUUUACCUAAGUUUUAACAAUCUUGACAGGUGAGCUUCCAACAACAAUUUGCAAUGCUACCUCCCUUUCGGUUCUUGCUUUGUCAAAUAAUGGAUUAAGUGGUGCACUUCCAAACUGUAUUGCGAAUCUUGCUGAUGGAUUGCUUUACAUUAAUCUUGCUAAUAAUCAGUUUCGAGGAGCAAUACCAACUACUUCAUCCAAAAGUUGUCAGCUGACCUAUCUCAACAUGGAUAAUAAUGAGUUUGAAGGAUUGCUGCCCCCAUCUUUGGCGAACUGUAAGCACUUGAAGAUUCUUGAUAUUGGCAAUAAUAAAAUAGGUGGUACAUUUCCUUCAUGGCUUUAUGCACUUGGAGAGCUAGAAGUCCUUGUCUUGCGAUCAAAUAAACUCUAUGGUCCAAUAAGUGGGAGGAGCAUAGAAAAUCCCUUCCCCAAGUUGCGGAUUUUGGAUCUGUCCAACAAUCAAUUCUCAGGCCAUUUGCCAAUUCAAUACUUCAAGAAUAUGAAAUCAACUGAUAAAUUGUAUCGCUAUCAGAAUGCCACAACAUUAACGGGUUUCCAAUAUGAUGCAUCAGUCCCAUUAACUGUGAAGGGAACAGAGUAUGAAGUGAAAAAUAUCCUUCAUAUUUACACAGCCAUUGAUCUGUCCUGCAACAAGUUUCAAGGAGAAAUUCCUGACGUUAUUGGAGAGCUUAGAUGGCUUGCAUUGCUGAACUUAUCUCAUAAUAGUCUAACAGGACCUAUCCCAUCAUUGCUGAGAAAUAUGAAAGAACUCCAAUCUUUAGAUUUGUCGUCAAAUCAACUGACAGGGGCUAUUCCACCUCAGUUAACUGCACUGACAUUUCUAGAGGUCUUCAACCUCUCGGGAAACCAUCUUAGUGGAGAGAUUCCUCAGAAAGGACAGUUCAGCACAUUUAACAAUGAUUCUUAUCUAGGAAACUCCGCGUUAUGUGGAUCACCAUUGACGAAGAAAUGUGCAAACACAGCAUCACCUCCACAAGAAGUCGGAAAUGUUGAUGAAGAUGAUGCGGGUGAUGAAUUGACAUGGGAAGCAAUCUUGAUGGGAUAUGGAUGUGGACUGAUAUGUGGAUUGUCAUCUGCUUACAUUGUUCUCAAACUAGGAAAGCCUUGGUGGUUUGUGAGAUAUAUCGAAGUGCUGCAACUGAAGUUGAUGAAAAGAUAUGCAUGAAGAAUGGUACUGGCCGAUCAAGACGAACUUGAAAGUUGUUGGACAUUUCUGAACCAGUAGUGUACUAUUCUCUUUGUGGCUGCAUAAGUUUUUGGUAUUGUGUAAUAUUCUGUUUGGUCUUGAAUUUCAGGGGUAUUAAUAUAAACCUUGGUAUUGUGUAAUAUUCUGUUUGAUCAAUGUUUAUAUCAAUAAUUUUAUGCUCCUCACUGCAUCAUGCAGCUCUCAUAUUAUCUUCAUAUGUGUAUUAUUUGGAUAUCAAAGUUGCAGGGACAUAUGGAUAUGUGUUAACAGGGACUGCUCGGUCUUGGACGGACUCUUUCCAAGUCCUCUGGGGUCCUAUCGGUUCAAAUUAGUCUAUUAUCUGCAUACUAAUUUGUCCAACUCGGGCUUGAAUAGUAAAGAUAAAGAGUGCGAGUUGAGUUUCUCAAAGUAUGAGUACAAUAUCGUUUUUGAAUGAUAGUUAGGGGUGCGAUAUGCAAUUACCUCAAAAAUAUAUGAUCAUUAGUAUAUUAUAUUAGUAUCCACACACUUAUAUCUCAAAAUCUAUCCUCCAAAAUUAUCAUCUCUAUAGGCUAGCCACAUAAAAUAAAAAUUUAAAGAUAUUAGAUUUUUAGUUAUUUUCAUUAUAUAAUUUUUCCACGCAAAAUAACAAAAUAUCUUUAUCAACUUAUUAUUUAUGAGUUAAAUAUUCAAGUUAUAUAAUUCGGACAUGCUGGGUAUAAAUUGAAGUGUAACGCCUAAUUUCCGGGGUCUGGGAGUAGUUGGCGGGGUAUGAGAGAGCAGGCUAUUUAGAAGUCUUGGUCAUGAAAACUUCCAAGCUAAACUUCGACAACGGAAUCUUCUGAGGCUACUAUUCUAAAGCACGCAUAAUCAUUGUAUCCAUUUUCCGACAAAAAGUCUAUUUAAGCAAAUGAAAUACAAACAACUGAGUGGAAUGCUGACCGAAAGUCUUUUUGACUAAGCUUAUGAUUUAUUAGUACAUGAUUAAUAUGAUAAGCUAAGCUGAGAGCAUAAGAUAUCGUGUGUAUAAUUUUGUGUUUAUUAAUGACUUAUAAAUUAUUAAAAAUAUAAUAAGAAAAAUAAAAAUGAUUUAUAACUAAUUUAUGUUUUAUGAGUAAUUUUUAUUAGAAAAAAGUUUUAAAAAAUUAUUUCACUGGAAAAAAAACCUCCAACUAACUUUUGGCUCUAAGUCAGUUUUUGAUUUAUUUAUGACUUUAUGUCGGAUUCUGAUUUUUACACAAAAAUCUGGUUUUAAACCUCUGAGUUUGGUUUCACUUCAUAUACAAACCUCAACAAUUUCACCAUCAAACACAAUGACUUCUCCAAUCUCCGGUCCAGUACCACCAGCCAUUGAGAAUUUGGCACAACUUCAAUUCCAUACCAGGUUAGUCGUCUUCGGAGAUUACACGUCUUAGACCUGUCAAAUACAAAUUUCAAUCUCCAAACUGGUCCGAUUUAUCUUCUAUGCUUUUUGUUGAGUCCGGCUCAUCUAAAGCCUUAAGAUGUUAGAGGAAGCACCCAAUGAAUCUUAUAUAUGCUAUAUUUUAACAAUUCUGAGCACACUCAACCUUGGUAUUAAUAAUAUUGUGUCGAAAAUUCCAGAAUUUAUAUCUAAUUCUCAUAGCCUAACUUUCCUUGACCUUUCCAUAUAACAAAUUUACAGUUAAUCCUGUGCUUGAAUCAGUAUUUGCAACCAAAAUUAUGCAAUUAUAGUGCAGGUAGUCUUCCAGUUUACGCUCUACACUCCAGGAUAAGCUCGCAUAUAAUUGACAGCUAUAAUCCUUCCAACACUUUGUGAUGCAAAGCAGAGGGAUAGGUUGGCUUAAAAAUAUAUAAGGUCACUUAUGCAUCGCUCUUCACACACUUAGACCCUGUUUGUGUGGGCUUUAAGUCCCGGCUCAAGCUAUUUCGACUUAAUCACUUCCGAGACCAAUACCAACAAGUUAAGAUAUCUAAAUAUGUAUGACAAUCAGUUAGAAGGACUAUUGCCGGGCAACAACCUUCUCAAAGAGUUGCCAGUUAAGAUAUCUAAACAUGUAUGACAAUCAGUUAGAACUUUAGAAGGACUAUUGCCCCCAUCUUUGUCAAACUGUAAGCACUUAAAAAUUCUUGACAUCGGGAACAAUAAAAUGGGUGGUACAUUCCCUUCAUGGCUAUUUAAUCUCGGAGAGCUAGAAGUCCUAGUCUUGCGAUCAAAUAGACUGUACGGUCCUGUAAGUGGAAGGAGCACAUCACAUCCAUUCCCCAAGUUGCGGAUUCUAGAUCUCUCCAACAAACAAUUCGCGGGCUAUUUGCCAAUUCUAAACUUUAAGAAUAUGAAACCAGCUGCUGAUGAUAACGCGUAUAGUUAUAAAAAUAAGUCACAAGGACUAAUUAAUUACAUCUAUGAAGCAUCUAUCUCCUUAAAUGUGAAAGGAACAGAGUAUGAAGUGAAGAACAUUCUUCAUAUUUACACAGCCAUUGAUCUAUCGUGCAACAAAUUUCACGGAGAAGUUCCAAAGAGAGCUUAAAUGGCUUGCAUUGCUCAAUCUAUCUCAUAAUAGUCUUGCCGGACAUAUGUUCUGAAUUAUUAUUAUGCUUUCAUCAAUAUUUUCAAACAUUUCUCAAUAUGUAUUUUCAAAGAAUUCUCAAGCCCUGGAACAUUUGGACCGGUUCUUUGGAAGCCAAGAUACCCAGGUUAUCAUGGCCAUGCACAAAAAUGAAUAAAUUAUUCCAAGUCUUCCAUGACUCAUUCCAAGUCUUCGGAGGAGACCCUGAGCACAAAGAUGCUCAGGGUCUCCCCAAGCCUUCCAGGACUCAUUCCAAGUCUUCGGAGCACGGUCUCGCCUCGCCCUUUCAAAGAUGUGAUAGUAGCUCGAGAGUGAUAUAAAUUAUUUUCCCGACACUAAAAAUAAAUAAUCAGAUCAAAUUAAUCAAUAAUGUAUUAAGGAUGAAAUCCAAAUUAAUCCUAAAUUUUGAUAAUAUAUAAAAAUUAUAAUUAUAAAUUAUAUACCAAAUCAGAAUUGAAUUAAUUCCUUGGCACUAAAAUUGAUAAAGAAAGUAUAAUAAUUUAAAUUUAAUUGAUGAAAAGUCAAAGUCUUCUAAUAAAUCCAUAAAGAAUAUGAUAAUCAAAAUAAUGAAAAUUAUAAUUGAAAAAUCAAAAUCAUUAGUGUAUUGGAAUAGUGUUCACACACUUGUAUAUCAAAAUUUGUGGUCCAAAAACUAUAGCACAAUAUCCUAAAUACACCACAUUAAAUAUUAGUUCAAAAAUAUUUAGUAAAUAAUUGUUUUCAUUCAUCAUUUUGUUAUUUAAAAAACUAAUAAUUUGGGUUGAUGUUAACCUAUAUUUUAAUAUAUAAUUAUAUUAUUUUCGUCUUAUUUAUUUAACUAGAAACAAUAUUUUUAUCAUACAUCAAUUAUAUUAAAAGAUAUAAUUUUAUUAAAAAAAUUGAAUUAUUAUUUAUGAAUUCCAGCAUGAAGCGUAUAAAUAGAAGUGUGCAGUUGAUCAGAUUUAUAACCCAGUUGAUCAGGAGAAACAUGGCAUACUCUGCAAAGACUUCUCACCUUCUUCUCUUUGUUUUCUUUCUCUCAUCACUUGAAUCCAUUCUUUCAACAAGACGAGAGGGAGAAGCUCUUGUGAAGUGGAAGAAUAGCCUAGCCCCUUCUUCUUUUCUCGACUCUUGGUCACUCACCAAUCUCGAAAAUCUUUGUAACUGGACUGGCAUUACUUGUAACUCUGCAGGUUCAGUCUCUGAGAUUAACCUUUGUGAGAAACAACUUGAUGGAAUGCUGUCCGAGUUUGGUUUCACUUCAUUUCCAAAUCUAAACAGUCUCACCCUCGCAGACAACUUCUUCUCGGGUCCAAUACCACCAGCCAUUCAGAACUUAACAAGGCUUCAAUACCUUGAUUUAAGCUUGAAUUAUCUCAAUGGUACCAUGCCUUUCUUGCGCAUCCUCAACCUCAGUAGCAAUCCUCUUGCGUCGAAAUUCCCAGAUUUUAUAUCCAGUUCUCAAAGCCUGACUCACCUUGACCUUUCAUAUAACAUGUUUACCGGUGAUCUAGCAUGUGAACCAUUAUUUGCCAACCUGCAUAAUCUUGAAGUCCUCAGUCUCGUUGAAAAUUCUUUUGAGGGGCCAUUUCCACCGGAUAUAUUCAGGCUUUCCAAAUUAAAACAUCUUAGCCUGUCAGUUAACAAACUUUCAGGUUCAAUUCCCAAUGACAUAAGGUUGCUUUGUGAUCUUGAAUACCUAUAUUUAGCCAACAAUUCCUUUGAAGGACCACUUCCACCAAAUAUAUUCAAGCUUUCAAAAUUAAAACAUCUUGUUCUUUGGGGUAAUAAGUUUUCAGGUUCUGUUUCCAAUGAUAUAGGUUUGCUUUCGGCGCUUGAAGCCCUCGAUCUUUAUUCUAAUUUUUUUGAGGGGCCGCUUCCACCAAAUAUAUUCAAGCUCUCAAAACUAAGGAUUCUUUCCCUUGGGAACAAUAACUUUUCAGGUUCUGUCUCUAAUAAUAUAGGUUUGCUUCCUGAGCUUGAAACCCUAUGUCUUGACUCUAAUUUGUUUGAGGGGCCGCUUCCCCCACAUAUAUUCACGCUCUCUAAAUUAAGAUAUCUAGACCUCUCAAACAAUAGAAAUUUAUUUGAAAGAAGUAUUCCUAUUGGAUUGGGACUCUUGACUAACCUCAGGUACUUAGAUCUAUAUUCCAGUAAUCUCAGCGGCUAUAUUCCAUCUGACAUUGGAAACCUGAAGCUACUAGUAGGUCUUAAUCUCGGUUCUAAUAAAUUGACUGGACCAGUUUCAAAGAUCGUUUCUAAUCUCACAAAUCUUAUAUUUCUUAGUGUAAGAAAUAAUAGUCUUAGUGGAAAUAUUCAGAGUGACUUGUGGAACUUCCCUAAGGAAUAUAACAAUCAUCCAACUUUGGAAUACAUCGAUUUAAGUGGGAACCAUUUUACAGGUAUCUUUUCUCUAUAUAUCUUUUCCUUUUCUCAUAUGUAACUAAGCUAGUAAUCUGAUUAUUGCAGUUUUACCAAAGUUUCAACAAUCUUGACAGGUGAGCUUCCAACAACAAUUUGCAAUGUCACUUCCCUUUCGGUUCUUGAUUUGUCAAAUAAUGGAUUAAGUGGUGCACUUCCAAACUGUUUCGGGAAUCUUGCUGAUGGAUUGCUUUACCUUAAUCUUGCUAAUAAUCAGUUUCGAGGAACAAUACCAACUACUUUCUCCAGGAGUUGUCGGCUGAAAUAUCUAAACAUGGAUAAUAAUGAGUUUGAAGGAUUGAUGCCCCCAUCUUUGGCGAACUGUAAGAACUUGAGAAUUCUUGAUAUUGGCAACAAUAAAAUAGGUGGUACAUUUCCGUCAUGGCUUUAUGCACUUGGAGAGCUAGAAGUCCUUGUCUUGCGAUCAAAUAAACUCUAUGGUACAAUAAGUGGAAGGAGCAUAGAAGAUCCCUUCCCCAAGUUGCGGAUUGUGGAUCUGUCCAACAAUCAAUUCACAGGCCAUUUGCCAAUUCAAUACUUUAAGAAUAUGAAAUCAACUGAUAAUUUGUAUCGUUAUCAGAAUGACACAGGAGAUUUUAUUUUCCAUUAUGAAGCAUCUGUCUCAUUAACUGUGAAGGGAACAGAGUAUGAAGUGAAAAAUAUCCUUCAUAUUUACACAGCCAUUGAUCUGUCGUGCAACAAAUUUCAGGGAGAAAUUCCAAAGGUUACUGGAGAGCUUAGAUGGCUUGCAUUGCUCAACUUAUCUCAUAAUAGUCUUACUGGACCUCUCCCAUCACUGCUUGGAAAUAUGGAAGCACUCCAAUCUUUAGAUUUGUCUUCAAAUCAACUGACAGGGGCUAUUCCACCUCAGUUAACCGCAUUGACAUUUCUAGAAGUCUUAAACCUCUCGAGAAACCAUCUUAGUGGAGAGAUUCCUGAGAAAGGACAGUUCAGCACAUUCAACAAUGACUCUUAUCUAGAAAACUCUGCGUUAUGUGGAUCACCCUUGACGAAGAAAUGUGUAAACACUGCAUCACCCCCACAGGAAGUCGGAAAUGGUGAUGAAGAUGAUGCUGGUGAUGAGUUGACAUGGGAAGCAAUCGUGAUGGGAUAUGGAUGUGGACUGAUAUGUGGAUUGUCAUCUGCAUACAUUGUUCUCAAACUAGGAAGGCCUUGGUGGUUUGUGAGAUAUGUCGAAGUACUGCAACUGAAGUUGAUGAAAAGAUAUGCAUGAAGAAAGGUACUGGUCGAUCAAGACAAACUUGAAAGUUGUUGUCCUGGUAGACAUUUCUGAACCAGUAGUGUACUAGCUGCAUAAGUAUUUGGUAUUAUGUAAUAAUCCAUUUGGUCGGGACUCAUAAUGAUUUCUCUUGCUUCAGGGGUAUUAAUAUUAACCUUGCUAUCUUGAUCUGUGUUAAUGCAAAUGAAAAAGAAUGGAAAAACAAAAAAAUUGCAUCAAACCUGUUGUACCAAGAUCCAUUAAUCUGCUUUCAUCUCUUACGCAACAAUUUAACAGCACUUUCACACUGUUUGAAUGAUUAUCAUAAAUUCGAGUUUUCCUCGCCAGCACCAAAUCCAAAUAUACAAUCCCACACAUUCCAGUCUCAGCUUCAGCUCCCAGGCUAGCAUUGAUUUAGCCAAGCACGACAGUGGCCGCUUGUGUGCCUAACAAUGACAGUUGGGGAUUUGAUGGAACGUGCCUUGGUCCUGCCUUCAAAUGUCUAACAAUAACAGUUGGAUAUGUCGACAAAAAAAUUGUUCCUCACACUGAGGAAUAACUCUGACAGUUCUUUUCAUUGUGCCUUGGUCCAGUAAGUGGAAGGAGCACAUCACAUCCAUUCCCCAAGUUGCGGAUUCUAGAUCUCUCCAACAACCAAUUCACGGGCUAUUUGCCAAUUCAAUACUUUAAGAAUAUAUGAAACCAGCUGCUGAUAAAGCGUAUAGUUAUCAAAAUAAGUCACAAGGACUAAUUAAUUACAUAUAUGAAGCCUCUAUCUCCUUAAAUGUGAAAGGAACAGAGUAUGAAGUGAAAAACAUCUCUUUAUAUUAUAGCUCCUGAUGCGUGAUUUGUACAGUUACCACACUGCUUAAUUCUUCACCUCAAAGUUCCACCUUAUUACAAAAAUGCCACCGCUCUAUUAAGCGGCACCCACGUAAGCUCAUUGCCACCACGUGCUAUCUUCCUGCUGUCUUUUGUUUAUUUUAUUCACUAAACCGUACUUACCCGAAGCUUAUGUAACAAGCUUACAUUCUUUACAUUUUACUCAUUUCAAAAUUUAAAACCCAGCCUCCACGGCUCCCUUACAAAAGUAACCGGUUUGAACGUAAAGUUUUCAAAACUAACCAGCCUACGUUCAACUUUUCAAAACUAACCAGCCUAAAUCAAAAAAAGUCGGGCGACCCUUACCUGUUUUUUUCCCGAGCACCGGUCGCCCUCCUCAGGGGCGUCCCCCAUUGGAGUUCAUCAAGCACAGGUCGCCCUCCUCAGGGGCGUCCCCCCUUGAAGUUCUGUGACGUGGUCCGCCCAAUCACGGGCGACCACGUGUGACACUACCCCCUUAAAACCCCCUCCCAGCCACACAAACACACAAUUACACACACAUUUGCACACACUCAGUUUGAAAACAACACUGCAGCAGCCACAGCAAGGAGCCGAAAGGGGAGAUUUUGGUAAAGGAAGGAAGAAAAGUGGGAGAGGAUCGCCCGAGCUAGCAUCAAGGUCGCCCACCCUAGCAAAAAAUUUGAAGGUACUACCUUAUUCCUCCCCUAAAUAUUAGUAUAUAAAGCCUUGAUUUGUAAUUUAUUACUUGAUUAGUUUGUCUUGCAUGUUACAAAUAUCGAUUAUGUUCAUGAUUAUGGCUAAUUUAUAGACUAGUGUUAUAAUUACCGGCUUGAGAUUAGUGUUAUAAUUACCGGAUUGAGAUUUGGUACAUUAUGAUUUUUAAAUUUGUUAAAAAAUUUAAAGAUUUAUAAUAGAAAUUAAGGAUAAUUUAUAGAUUUGAUAUGUUGGAAUUUAAGAUUUUAUGCUUUUUAGAUUUUGUAGGUAGUAAUUAAAUUUAGUUGGAGAGAAAAAAUAUAAUAUAAUAUUCGAAUUAAAAAGAUAUUGAGAAUAUAAUAUUCGAAUUAAAAAAUAUUCGAAUUAAAAUAUAUUAAAAUAUAAUAUUCGAAUUAAAAAUAUAAUAUAAUAUUCGAAUUAAAAUAUAAUAUAAUAUAUAUUCGAAUUAAAAAAUAUUCGAAUUAAAAUAUAUUAAAAUAUAAUAUUCAAAUUAAAAAUAUAAUAUAAUAUUCGAAUUAAAAUAUAAUAUAAUAUAUAUUCGAAUUAAAAAAUAUUCGAAUUAAAAUAUAUUAAAAUAUAAUAUUCGAAUUAAAAAAUAAUAUAAAAUAUAUUGAGAAUUAAAAAAAUUAGAAAGCAAAUAAAAUAUUCGGAUAAAAAAGAUAUUAAUAGCUAAUAUUAAAAAAAAUCGAUUUAUAAUAAUAAAAAUUCGAAAAAAAGCAAAAUAAUCGAAUUAAAAUAAAAUUUUCGAACAUAUAUUAAUAAAAAUCUUAAUUAUAUUAAUAUAUAAUUCGAAUAUAUGAAAUUUCGAGAAUUAGAAUAUUUAUGAAAUUAAGAGAAUUAAAAUAAAUAGGAAAUUCGAACAAAAAUUAAUUUAAGGUACGCUCUCGAUUCUCUCUAAAUUAAUGUGUAUAUAUAUAUAAUGACUUGAUUUGGAUUAUUGUUGUUUUAUUAGCUUGAGUUGCAUGUUAUAAGAUCGGUUAGUUUAUUGAUUGUGGCUUGAGAUUUGUUAUAAUUGAAAUUAAGGCUAAUUUAUAGAUUUGAUAUGUUGGAAUUAAGGCUAAUUGAAAUUAAGGCUAAUUUAUAGAUUUGAUAUGUUGGAAUUAAGGCUAAUUGAAAUUAAGGCUAAUUUAUAGAUUUGAUAUGUUGGAAUUUAAGAUUUUGUGCAUGUUAGAUUUUGUAGGUAGUAAUUUAAUUUAGUUAGAAACAAAAGCUUUGAAUUCGAAUUACAAAUAUUAUGUUGGAAUGAGAUUUUGUAUAUAUACAAAAGCUUUGAAUUCGAAUUAUAAAUAUAUUUGAAAAUUGUUGGCGCAGAUGGAUCCUGCAGCUUAUCAUCCCGGGCCGGUUAACGGCACUUUGUUGACAUUGCAGGACACGCAUAGGUCCACUUUUGUGUGGAACAGUAGUACGGUAAUGACUUGAUGGACUGUUGUUUAUUAAAGUUAAUGUUUGCUUCACUAUAAACUGCUGACAAGUUCCUGUAUUUUAAAUUGCAGGACAUUCCUGAUCUUAGAGUCAGGACGAACUUCGGUGAGUACUGGAAUGUAGUUGACCAAACCAGGCCGCCUCAGACGAUAAUAGAUGCUAUUAAUGAUGCGGGCUUUGAGUGGGUGUUCAGGUUGGGUCAGGUCAAGCAUGACAGGGGCUUGAUCACUGCUUUUAUCGAGAGGUGGCGUCCAGAGACGCACACUUUUCAUCUACCUUUCGGGGAGGCCACCAUUACACUGGAGGAUGUCCAUCACAUUCUCGGGUUACGAACCACUGGCCGGCCAUUUAUUCUACAUGGCUUCACCACCACAGCUCGCGAGAGAUUGGCCAUGAUACGCGAUGUUCUUGGAGUGACUCCUAAGCCGGCUGAUGUGAGGAAGAACGGCUUGAGGAUCGGUUGGUUGAUUGAAAAAUUUGGCGACUGUGCCCGGUUGGACGAGGCAGCGGAGGAUUUUGAUGCACAGACUAUCUUUCACAUCAGGGCACACCUACUGUGUGUUAUUGGAUCGUUGUUUCCUGAUAGCAGCGGGAACUAUGUGAAUCUCAACCUCCUUUGGAUGCUACGUGACUUGCAGAGCGUGGAUGGUUAUAGCUGGGGGAGUGCUGUUCUUGCAUACCUUUAUAGGAAGAUGUGCGAUUCCACCCAUAAAGUCACAACCGGCUUCAUUGGCUACGCCACCACUACGCCAUAUAUGAUCUAUCGCAAUGGUAUGAACGCGAGUGUUGCAAAAUUAUGUUGCAAUAGAGACACUGAUCCAUAUCUACCGCAACGAUAACCAUUCAUGUCAAUUAUAUGUUGCAAUAGCAAACAUUAUGUGUUGCAGCUUGUAAUAUACUUGUAAAAGUGUUAGCUUAAAGUAUUAUAAUAUUAUUUUAACAUUAAAUAAUAAUUUAAAUUAUUUUAACAAUAUUUUAAAGUGAUAUGCAAAUUAAAUAAAUAAGAUACGCGAUGAUAUGCAAAUUUUAUUCAUAAUAAUUAAAAAAAUUAAAAUAGGAAUUUUAAAAGUAAUUAAUUUUUUUAAAAGCAAUGAAAAGUAAAAAUAAUUAAAUUCCCCUUGUUUUGAUAUCAGAACUGAUAUAUAAGUUUCAAAAAUAAAAAUAUAGAUAUACGAAUUAUAAGUAGUAAUAAAUACAUAUAAUGAAUUUUGUUCCUAAAAUAAUUACAUGAAUUUUAUUUGUUAAAAUAAUAAAGUAUAGGUGCAGACGUGCAGUACAUUAUUUGACUUUAUUGAACUGGGCAAAUAUCGAGCUCAAAGCGGGUAAAAAUUAGGCUUACAGCCGCCCAAAUUUUCAGCCAAGUUUGAAAUUUUCACACAUACACUAUACACGCUCGAGUCUCCUUGAAUACCCUCAACACUCACUACACUCUCUCCCUCGCUCAACUCUCUCUCCCUUCUCUACUCUCUCUCUCUUGUUAAUCUCUCUGAAGCUAAUCUCUCUCUGGCCACCAUUUUCACUCAAUCUCGCCAUCACUUUUAAUUAACUUGGAUUUGCAUUUAUAGUUGGAGCACAGUUGAUUUGUGGGUCGAGGUUCCAAUUCUUCAAUUAGGGUUUUGGCUUUUCAAUCAGGGUUUUGGUUCUUCAUUAAACUUCAAUUAGGGUUCAAUUACUUACAUAUAAUCUCUUAAACUUCAUCUGAUAUCUCUUUCUCUUUGAUUUCAGGUGUUCUUAGUUUGGGUUUGCACUCCAAGACUUUAUUAUAAGGUAUUUUUGAAUUUAGGGCUUCAUGUUAUGAGUUUAUUUGCAUUUAGUGUUCUUUGUUUUUAUGUUUAUUUGGUUUAUUAUCUUUAUCUAGUUUAUUUCCUUUGAUUUUUUGUUUUUUUUUUCAUUUGUUUUGUGAAAUUGCAAUACUCUGUUUUUGUGUUAAUUUUUUUGUUGCUUAAAAGUGUUCAACAACAAUAUUCUUCUUAAUUAUAAAAGAUCUAUCACGAGGAAGAGGUCCCUGUUUUGUAUAAUAUCUUGUAUGUCUUUUCUUUUCUGUAUAUUAUUAAGCUACCUUGGGGCAUCCUUUUUCUAGACCAGAUUUCGUGCGCAAUCUUUAGUAAAGAGCAAAUAUUCCGAUUCUUUUGCAUUUGUCUCAAUGUCAGUGCUUUGCAUAUAUGGAUAUAUUUUACAUGAAAAUGGUGCUUUUGUUGUUGGCCUGCUUAAUGUUCAAGACAUGUAGUCAACUCAGUUUAGUGUGACAAUAAGACUUUCUCAUUUCAUUAUGAUUCUCACAUAUUUUAUGCUCGUCACAGUACAACACAGUUUUGUAUUUGGUGUGAGUGAGCAGUAAAGAAUUCUAUGGAAGAUGCUAGUGACUACCGGUGGUAUAUAACCAGGUAAAAAUAAUGCUCAGUUGAUAAUCCUUAUAAGGGAGGCUCUUACUAUUUCUUCCUCUUUAACAUUGAGUUGUUUUAAUGUACAUACUAGCUGGUUGCUCAAGUGUUCUAUCAUUAUAAUGUAUACAUUGGAUACAAUAUUUGUUCAAUGAGGUAUCUAACUAGCUUGCUGAUGGCCGGGGACUAUAGAUUUAUUCAUUGCUAAUUGGUUAUAUUCGUUGUACCUGUUAUGCCUCAAUCAUAAUGGCAUAGUGACAAUAAAAGGAAAACGAAUUAUAAAUAUUUCACAUAGCAUGCUCUAGUUAUCUACAACUAUUGUUUUGGACUUCUGGUUUGGCAUUUAUAAUAAGUUGGCAUAUGUCUUUGAAUUCAUAUAGUUUGUAGCAUGACCUAAUUGGCACAAGUCAUCCUCUGCCAUGUCUUAUAUCUUUAGUUAGUAAGAAUUAAUAUUUCCCAUGUUUCAGCCACUAUACAAAUAUUGAUCAUGGACGAAGUUCUUACCCUGUUUAGUAUUAAUUUCAUUAUCUGCUGCAACUUUAUUGUGUUAUCUGUGCACUGCCCAACUAAGUACACAUAAUUUGAGUUUAAAAUAAAGCAUGCUUCUUUACUGGAGCUCAGCUUAGUAGUUGCAUUGUAUUGUUGCAGGAGAAGCUUAAGCCGUUAAUGGAUCAACUUAACAAAGUCAAAGACUUGACUGUUCCAGAAUUUGGAAAUUUCCGAACUUGAGAAGUGCGAGCAAAUGCAAGAAUAUGUUUAUAUAUAAUAGUGUAGUGUAGUGGGAUGUUUGGUUGGAUUCGUUUAAUACUUUGAUUUGGUUGGAUUUGUUAGGUAGUUUUGUUUGGUUGGAUUUGUUAUAAACUUUGAUUUGUAUGAAAGAAUAGUUUAAUGUUUCAGUGGAUAUAGUGAAAUAUUGCAAAGUUGUUAAUUUAGUCUUGCAUUAGCACAUAUAUGUUGUAGUAGCUAAUAUAUAUAUGUUUCAAUUUAUAACAAAAAAUGUUGCAAACAUGCAACUGAAAAACAGGUGUCCAAACAUAGGACCCACAUGUGUGACCCACGUGUGGGUCCCACUUUUUUUGAAAUCAGGAGGUCUAACGUAACAUAAUAUAUUUGUUGCUAUAGGGUAGUCAGAUGUUGCAAUAUCACGUCUAUUGUAACAUAAAAAGCCGUGUUGCAGUAGGUUACCCAAAUGUUGCAAUAGAAGCCUAGGGCAACAUGAAAAAAUGCAACUUAAAUUUUAUGUUGCAAUAGCCCUUUUUCGGGCUAUGGCAACAUAUUUUGGGGUUAUGGCAUCAUUUUUUUGAUGUUGUCNNNNNNNNNNNNNNNNNNNNNNNNNNNNNNNNNNNNNNNNNNNNNNNNNNNNNNNNNNNNNNNNNNNNNNNNNNNNNNNNNNNNNNNNNNNNNNNNNNNNNNNNNNNNNNNNNNNNNNNNNNNNNNNNNNNNNNNNNNNNNNNNNNNNNNNNNNNNNNNNNNNNNNNNNNNNNNNNNNNNNNNNNNNNNNNNNNNNNNNNNNNNNNNNNNNNNNNNNNNNNNNNNNNNNNNNNNNNNNNNNNNNNNNNNNNNNNNNNNNNNNNNNNNNNNNNNNNNNNNNNNNNNNNNNNNNNNNNNNNNNNNNNNNNNNNNNNNNNNNNNNNNNNNNNNNNNNNNNNNNNNNNNNNNNNNNNNNNNNNNNNNNNNNNNNNNNNNNNNNNNNNNNNNNNNNNNNNNNNNNNNNNNNNNNNNNNNNNNNNNNNNNNNNNNNNNNNNNNNNNNNNNNNNNNNNNNNNNNNNNNNNNNNNNNNNNNNNNNNNNNNNNNNNNNNNNNNNNNNNNNNNNNNNNNNNNNNNNNNNNNNNNNNNNNNNNNNNNNNNNNNNNNNNNNNNNNNNNNNNNNNNNNNNNNNNNNNNNNNNNNNNNNNNNNNNNNNNNNNNNNNNNNNNNNNNNNNNNNNNNNNNNNNNNNNNNNNNNNNNNNNNNNNNNNNNNNNNNNNNNNNNNNNNNNNNNNNNNNNNNNNNNNNNNNNNNNNNNNNNNNNNNNNNNNNNNNNNNNNNNNNNNNNGCUUAUCCUCGUAUGUAGUUUGUUUAUGGUUAUGUACCUGACCAUGUACUCGUACAUUUUUAUUUCUUGAUCUGAUUAUGUACUCUUAGUCUAGUAGAUCGGUUGUUACGUUAUUAUGCAGUUCUUGUGCAUUCUUAUGUCAUAAUGUUUUAUAAUGAUUCAAGCAUUGAAAUUCAUAUGGACAAUAAAGGAAACCUAACAUAACAUAAUAAACGACAGAACACUAAAACACAUACACAUGUUGAUCUUUCUCGAAACCAGUAAAACUGACUUUAUUUUGACUAAACUUUACAUAUAUCAAAUAACUGAAAAAAAUAAUAUAAAAUUUGAAUUACUUGAACAACAAAAGUUGAGACAUUACAUAUAAGAUACAAUACAUAUAGUAAUGGGGGUGAUCUUUUGGAGAAAAUACCUAACUCAAAGGGAUUUCUUCAAAUAAUUUGAGAUGGGUCAGAGCUUCAAGAAUCUGUGUACUCUGCUUUUACAAGUACAAAGUGGGAAAAAGUGAGACAUAAAUAAAAUGUAGUGAAGUAUUUGAGAUGGGAGAAAGUAAAACUAACUUAAUUUCAUAUUAAUAUUGUGAAGAUAUUAGCAUAGAAUGAUAAAUAUACAUUUCUACUACCCAUUUAUAAAAGAAAUAUUAUAAAAUAUAAAACUCUACGCUUUAAAUUUAAAUUGUUUUAAGUUGUUUUCUAUUAAAUUAUUUUCCCCACAGGGGAAAAUAAUAUUAAAUUGUUUUAAUAUUAUUGUUUUAUUAUUAUUUGAUUAUUAAAUUAACGAGUACAUAAUUUGUAAAGUUUAGUGCUAAGAUAUAUAUAUUAUUUAAUUUUAUUAAUUAUAUUAAUUUCACAAAACAAUUAAAAUUUGAUUUUAAAUAAAAUAUUAAAUAUAUAAUACAAUAAUAUUAAAUGGCGUAUAAUCAGUGUUACAGAAAUCGGGAAUCGGACCUAAUCGGUUGAGCUACCGAUUCAGGGAUUAAUCGGAAAUCGGAGAUUAAUCGGACUGAAAAUCGGAUUUAUUUUAAUAUUAAAAUAUUAUUUAUUAUUUAGUUAUUAUUAUAUUAGGUAUCUAGUAACUAAUAUAUUUACUAUAUUCAUAAACUCUAUAAUUAUUCAUAUUUAAAGUAAUAUAGUAUUUUAAUUCUAAUAAUUUAUCACAUAUACUUCUAUUAGAAAAUAUGUUAUAAGGAUUAAUCGGAUUUUAAAAAUCGAAUCGGUGGCCGACCUUGCAGGAGAUUAAUCGAGGAUUAAUCAGUUAAAUCGGGGAUUUUUAGAACAUUCGGCGUAUUAUAAUACAAUUAUAUCAAAAUUUAAAAAAAAAUCAGUACCUCAGUUUGGGUAUCGGUCAGCCACCUAGGACAAGUGAAUGAGUGAAACCGCUACAAAAAAUGUAGUAGUAUGGGUCGCCCCUGUCAAGGGCGAUCCUAACUGUAUUUUGUAACAGUAUGGGUCGCCCCUGACGAGGGCGACCUGAACGGGGAAAAACUUCAGCUUGGGUCGCCCGACUUUUUUUGAUUUAGGCUGGUUAGUUUUGAAAAGUUGAACGUAGGCUGGUUAGUUUUGAAAACUUUACGUUCGAACUGGUUACUUUUGUAAGGGAGCCCAGCCUCCACCAUUGCAGCUCUGAGCAGCCAUGAACCAGGUUAUACUCCAGUCUCCUUUUCUCCCCCGCGUGUGUAAGUCUGUACUGCAGCCCACAUUUUCAACACGCUUCUGUCCUAAGCUUCGCAAGAAAUAUCUUUUUUUUGAAAUUCAAAAAAUUUGCGCACCAUAUCAUCGUCCAGCCAAACCACCAUCGGCGAAUCAGCAAAUAUACAUAUCAGAUCUAAUAUACACCAAUCUGAGCUUUGAUGACUGAGGUUUGAUUUGUGUUUUAUUUAAUAAAAUGAUAAAAUGAUGUCUUCUUUCAUGAUCAUGCGAUUAAUCGAUUGUAACUUUAAGGGAGAUGGAACAAGCAAUUCACGACGUCUAUUUACCUCCGAAGACAUGAUUAGUGGUAUGGUUACAUAAAUUUAACUUCUCUAUUUUUCUACCAUGUGUGGCCUAAUUGUUUCAUCUCUUGCUUUGUAGGUUAUCAGUCCAAAAAGCGGAGGAAAAGGGGCUACACAAUUAAGAGAUGAAACAGUAUUGAGCAUGUGAGCUUUAAAACUUGAUGAUUAAAUUUUUCAUAUUAUAUUUGUUCUGUAUUUAGAAAUUUGUGGAGGAUGUGUUUGAUAAUAUGUCUGAGAGAAGAAGUUAAUAAAUUUAUCGUGUUGAGGAUGUGUUUGAUGAUAUGUCCGAGUGAAAAAAUUAAUAAAUUUAUUUUCAAAAUGUUGCGAACAAAUUGUAAUUUAUAUCUAGCAGCUUCAAAUAAUUUUUUUUAGAGCAAAAAGAAUCGCAAUUGCAUGUGAAGAGAUGCACCUCCCUGAUAUUAGACUUUUAGUGUAAUUGCAUGUGUAACUAAACCGCUUGACUAUAAUGUUGGUGUAGAGUACGGAGCUUUAAUUUAUGAUGUUCUCCUCAAUCUGUCCAAAUUAUAGCUGAUCGUGGGAAUCAACUUUAGGGUAAGCUCUGCUCUGAAACUCAUUUUCUUAUAUUGGAACUUGGUUAUUUCUUAAAUGAAACGACUUUGACGUUUUCACCGAGUAGUCAUAGAUGCGUGAGUUGUACAAUAGUAAAAGAAAAAUAAAUUACAUAAAGACUGUCUGAGGUAAAAUAGUAUACAAGCUGCAAUUUUAUAUUUGGUACAUUGACGUAAAAAGUUAUUGUUAUGUUCAGGGGGAGGUGCUGAGAAAUGACAUGAUUAUAUCAUACGAGCGGCGACAAACUACUGAAGUUGCAAAAGAAAUGAUCUUAAAGAAAGCAGAGAAAGUGGGGGAGUUUUUUCAAGAAAAGAAUUUAAAGAGGAGAUGAGAUGCCAGAGUAUUACGCGCUAUUGCCGAAACAGGAUUAAAAACUAUAUUGGGUAUCUCUUCUUGAUCUCUUGAUUAAUUCCACUAGGAAGCUUCAAUAUUAUAUAGGAAGUUUUCUUUUUAAGCUUAAUUUUGAAUUUGAAUCCUCAAACUAUAACUACUGUAUAUCUCUUUAUAUUAUAGCUCCUGACGCCGGGAACUUCCCCUUCUACAACCAGCCCAACUGUACAUAACAGUUGCUUGCUUAUGAAUUUCAAAUUUAUAUUAUAAUGUUUAUAUGUAAUAUUGAAUCAAAGUUGCUUGCUUGCUUAUGUAAUAUUGAAUAUCUACUGUUGGAUGAUUGUUAACUGCUGUGUUACCAAGUGUUUGAUUAAAUUCCUACAAGUUUUGUUUGAAUUUUGUUCUUUAUUUAUCAUUAGUAUGUUUCAUUUUUAUGUUUGACUCUAUGCUAAUCGCUGAUAAGAUUUCUAUGAUUAUAGGAGAUGAGUGUUCUUAUGGCAUGAAUGAUAUUGGAAAAGUGAAAUGUGUUGAUGCUUUGUGUAAAUAAAUCAUGAUCUGCCGUUAUAGUUUUCUGUUUGUUUUCAAUUUGUGUGUACCUAGGUGGUUGUUACUGAGCAUUGAUCAACUGUGUUAAUUAAUUUAUUAAAAUGGAGUUGAGUCUGAGAACUAAAGGGCAAUUAUAUACUUCUUUAGGCUUUCCUUAACAUGUUUUUAUUCAUUAAAAAAAAUCGAUGAGUUUUUAUAAAUAUAUAUACUCUGUUAUUUUCUCUGUACCUAAUUAAAAGGAUUUUAAUUCGAAUUAUAGGUGUUUGUCAUGUGAAUAUUAUCUAAAAGAUAAUGGGGCCGUUUGGGUUAGCUUAAAAGAAGUGACUUUUUGCUUAUAGUAAAGAAGUGGAGUAGAAGUGAGAAGUAAAUAAGUUAAUAAAGUGUUUGGAAAAGAAGCAGAAGCUGUGAGAGAGAAGCUAGCAUUCUCAGCUUCUUAAAAGUGCUUCAACUUCUUUACACAAACAGGUCAAGAGAAGCAGAAGCCAGAAGCAGCUUCUGCUUCUCUUGGCCAAACAGGCCCAAUAUCUUUAAGGUCUCUUGCAUUGGUCAUUUAAUGUGUUAAUUAAAAGUUUACAUUUAAAUUUUUUGAUCUAAUAAUUUUGGAUAGAUGGUUUGUGAGGUUAAUGAAUGAACUAAUAUGGAAUGAUAAAAUGUAGGAGGUCUGGAAAGAUGGGUUUCAAUGCAGGUUUAUUGCUACUUUCCUUCAGGUCUGCAUUGCUUUGGUCUGUCUUCAGGACUGAGACUGUGAUUGGUUUCGGAACAGACACAAGUAUAUAUAUGGACCAAUGCAAAGCACCUGAUUAUCAUACUUUAGGCUUUUGCUCUGCUUUCUAUGGUAAAAAAAAGUGACAUUACUUCGAAUCUGAUACAGUUUAUCCAAGAGCUUGCUUCAAUAUUAAGAAUGCAAUACGUGUUGCAGAUAAAAUUUUGACCAGCAACAUUGGGGCACCCAACCCAAAUCUAGCAACAUUGGCCGUGGAGCUUUAAAUAUCUCCGUAAGAUUCUUUUCCCUCGCAGGCAGGCAUCUUUUUCUGCGAAAAAUAUACAAGAAAAAAGGACUAAUUUGUUUAAUUGAAAAUAAAUUUCGGAUGAGUUGGAUUAAGAAUCAAAUGGAGAGUCCUGUUUUGGUUUCAUUUUGAUGGAGAGGUUGCUUAGGUCCUGUUUUGAUCGAAAGGUUGAAAAAAUAUUUGGUAUUUUUUGGUCUCAUUUUGGUUUGUUUCGUUCCUUCACAGGUGUGCAACAAGUGAUGAUAGUAUUUAAACAUGAUUAGCAAACUGCCCAGCAAUCCAUGCAUGGCAAGGGGAAUGCACAGCUUAAUGAUUUCAGUCUCCGUACCAUCCAAGUGCAACAAAAAUCAAUUAUCUUGUGAUGUCUAGGAUUCUACAAAAGUAAGAAGCCUUCAUUCAUCUUCAUUCAUCCCCUGUUACUAGAAAAGCAUUGGUAGCCUAUAAGCAGGUACACUAAGUAGCUCACCUAAUUUUUGCAUUUCAGUAUCAACGGAAAGUGGUGCAGGACUCCACUUUAUAAUUAAAUUAUGUGUCUAAAUUAUGCGUGUUGUAAUGUUUAGUGACCAUGUUCCAGACCCGACAUGUCCUUACUUGGCAGAUCAAGUUAUCCAAGAUUUGGGAAGGAGUUUCGCCUUUGAGAUCUCCAACAAGUAAGAAGAAAUAAUGUCAAGGAAUGAACUAAUGUAAAAUGAUAAGAAGAUGAAGGUAUAAAACAAUGAUUAUAAUGUAGGCUUCUUCGUAAUGUAAUGAACAAAAUAAUGGAGUAACUAUAACUAUUCUUGCUGCAAGCCUGUGUUUGUUUAAUGCUAUCUGGCAGUAGUUUAGCAUUGGUAUAUUCCUUAAGGUGGAUUUGGAUAGAGUGAGAGGAGACAUUACUUAUCUUUACCUAGCUACUGCUUUUCAUGAGAUUUGGGCAGAGCGUAACAUUAGAAUUCAUCAUCCUAAGAGUUUUAAAGUUGCAAACCGGCUUAUCAAGGACAUAAUAGCCUCUGUUACUAUUUUUACAUGCUCCUCUAUUGUUGUGUGAACUUGCUGAACUCCUUUUUUCUGUUGUUCUACUUACUAAAAUCUUUUUAAUUUUCUUUUGUUAGGUACACUAAGUGGUUCACUCAAUUUUGGCAUUUUAGUAUCAUUGGCAAGUGGUGUAGGACUCCAUGAUUCUGUGUUGUCCACAAGCAACGAAAAAAANNNNNNNNNNNNNNNNNNNNNNNNNNNNNNNNNNNNNNNNNNNNNNNNNNNNNNNNNNNNNNNNNNNNNNNNNNNNNNNNNNNNNNNNNNNNNNNNNNNNNNNNNNNNNNNNNNNNNNNNNNNNNNNNNNNNNNNNNNNNNNNNNNNNNNNNNNNNNNNNNNNNNNNNNNNNNNNNNNNNNNNNNNNNNNNNNNNNNNNNNNNNNNNNNNNNNNNNNNNNNNNNNNNNNNNNNNNNNNNNNNNNNNNNNNNNNNNNNNNNNNNNNNNNNNNNNNNNNNNNNNNNNNNNNNNNNNNNNNNNNNNNNNNNNNNNNNNNNNNNNNNNNNNNNNNNNNNNNNNNNNNNNNNNNNNNNNNNNNNNNNNNNNNNNNNNNNNNNNNNNNNNNNNNNNNNNNNNNNNNNNNNNNNNNNNNNNNNNNNNNNNNNNNNNNNNNNNNNNNNNNNNNNNNNNNNNNNNNNNNNNNNNNNNNNNNNNNNNNNNNNNNNNNNNNNNNNNNNNNNNNNNNNNNNNNNNNNNNNNNNNNNNNNNNNNNNNNNNNNNNNNNNNNNNNNNNNNNNNNNNNNNNNNNNNNNNNNNNNNNNNNNNNNNNNNNNNNNNNNNNNNNNNNNNNNNNNNNNNNNNNNNNNNNNNNNNNNNNNNNNNNNNNNNNNNNNNNNNNNNNNNNNNNNNNNNNNNNNNNNNNNNNNNNNNNNNNNNNNNNNNNNNNNNNNNNNNNNNNNNNNNNNNNNNNNNNNNNNNNNNNNNNNNNNNNNNNNNNNNNNNNNNNNNNNNNNNNNNNNNNNNNNNNNNNNNNNNNNNNNNNNNNNNNNNNNNNNNNNNNNNNNNNNNNNNNNNNNNNNNNNNNNNNNNNNNNNNNNNNNNNNNNNNNNUUUUACAUGCUCCUCUAUUGUUGUGUGAACUUGCUGAACUCCUUUUUUCUGUUGUUCUACUUACUAAAAUCUUUUUAAUUUUCUUUUGUUAGGUACACUAAGUGGUUCACUCAAUUUUGGCAUUUUAGUAUCAUUGGCAAGUGGUGUAGGACUCCAUGAUUCUGUGUUGUCCACAAGCAACGGAAAAAAAGCCUGCAGAAAUGUUUCGAAUACUUUGAACGAAAUAAAGGUACAUUAUUAGGCAAGUGAUUGUGGCGGCAGAGAUAGCAGUUUGAUUGCUACACAAUUAUGUGUUUCACAAGAUUUUGCUAUUUUAAAUUAUAGUAAAUUUGAUUAAAUCCCACUCGGAAAGUUUGAAAUUUCUUGAUGUUGCUUAGUUAAAAUUUGGAUAUGGACAAUUAUGAUAUUUGUGAAUUUGGGUUCUUUUUAUAGGUGAUUUUUGAACAUUGCUAGAAUGAUAUAUGAUCUCAGGCCUCACACUCUUAACAUCUUUACGAGGCUUACGAGGUUCGAGAUGAGUUGGUUACUUAACAUGAUUCGUUUAAUUUAAUUAUGUGUUUGUGUAGUUGGGUUGAUUUGUUGUUUGUUUCGUUUAAUUGUACAAUUAAGGAGAUGGUGUUUACAAUAAUAAUAUUGAAGAUAGUUUGUAACUAGAGUAUGUUGUUAAUAAUUUGGUUAUGAGAAAUUGAGGCCGACACAAGUUUAAUCUGGCUUUCUCGAGAUGAUCUGACCUCGAGAAGAAAGAUUAUCUCAAAGUAGUUUUGUAAGUUGCUUCUCUCUGUUUUUGGACAAUGUAAAUUCUUACAUUACAUCUGCCUCUUGCAGGUAACAUCUUUGCUUUUAGGCUCUUUAUAUCGCCGAUGUAAGUUUUGCUCCAUAAAUUUCAGUGUUUGGCUAGAUCUCCUACAACUGUACUUUUAAAGAAAAAUAGAAGAAAUCAAGAACUGAGUUUACUGUACUUUUGCAGUGAUAAUCAGAUAUGUACCGGUUUUGCUUCGCAUAGUCACACCUUUUCUUUGUACAAUUGCAGACCCACUUUUAGGGGUAUUAUGAUGAGGAACGAGUGUACAGAAGACUUCUCAGGUCUUCCAUAUCUAUAUGCCCUCCUGCACUGCUUGAUUUGUGCCUGGUAUGGCAUGUCGUUUAUGUCAGAUGAUAAUGUGCUUGAUAACUGUAACCUUAUACAGCUACAUUUACUUUAAAUGUCUUGAACACAGUGGUUGCAAAUAAUGGUUAAAUGAUUAAUAUUUACACUGAUCUACUGCUUUUACACUGAUCACUGCUUAUGAUGUUGAAAAACCAAAAUUUGGUGGAGAAAUUGGGAUCAAUGGAGGGAGCUUGCACUGACACACGAAAUCUGUCAAAGCCUAGAUUACAAAGUAAUACUUUACUUGACUGAUCGACGGUUCAACUCAGCAGGAUAUGGAGUAUGCUCGCAGUGUACAUAACAUCCAAUCUCCCAAGGUCUCAUCAUCUACUUUGGAGACAACCUCAAAAUGGGUGUAGUUGCACUUGCACCCAAAAAUGAAGCCAGUGCAAAAAUCAAAGAGAUGACCCAUUUGUUAAAAAUGUUGAGGCUGAAGAGUACAAGGGAACCAAGGUCAGAGAUGUCUCCUCCGCUAAGAGAUGAGGAAAUAUGGCAGUCGUUGGUAUUUGGGAAAUGCAUGUUAGCAAAUACAUGGAUUAUAAAUUGUAUGAGUGACAGGAUGAUAAUAUAGCGUCUCAUAGUCUAAUAUUGCCAAUGACAGGGCUAAUAGCAAUAGCACUUUCAAAAGUAGGUUUGCAGCUGUGAAAUUCACUCAAAGUUGUGAAAUUUGUGAAAUUUGCUUUUGCUCUAACAUGUAAUACCCCGGGUUCCAUUCUUUUGUUUACUUGAAUUUGAAUUGUAUUGUUAUCUUUGUUUUUUUAUUAUAAUUAUCCAAAAAUAGAUGUCCAUCUUGACUUUUGGUUGGUUAUUAGACAGAGGAAUUGAGCCCGGAAAUAAAAGUGUUACUAAUUAUCAUCCAUUAUUAAAGCAAUUAUUAUAUUAGACCAAUUUUAUUUUUGCACUAUUUGAAAUAUUCACUUUAUCUGAAUGAUGAAUGGUUCUUCUUUCAGUUAAUACAGUGUCAUUCACUGGUUAACAAAUGACCUCUUAAAUUAUUCAUGAAAUCAUUUAAAAAUAUAUAAAGUUUAAUUGACAAAUUUAUCUUUUUUAAUAAAAUUAUACUCAAAUUUUUGGUUGAAAUGUAUGUAGCUUUAAGAUUAUAAUCACUUUUAGCCGAAAGUACUUUAAUAUUAGUGUUCAUAAAAAUAAUUUUUGAAUAACUUAUUAAUGAUUAAUUAUUUUAUGUAACGGUUUAAUAAAAUUAUACAAAUAUAAUGAUUUCUAAUUUGAGAAUAGUUUUUUAUAGUUCAAAACAAAAUUUAUAAUAAAAAAAUUUAACGAGUUAUCAGUAAUUAAUAAUAUACAUUUACAAUUAAAUUAUCCAAAUUAAUUAUAAAAUAUUAAAAUUUAAAAUAUUUGACUAAAGUGCGAGGCGUCACCGCUCGGCGACGUCGAGGGGCACUUGAUAGAAUAUGACUUUUCAUAUAUUACAAAGUUUAGCUAUAUAAUUAUUUUGAUUAUAAGAUAUUAAAAUAUAAAAUAUUCGACUAAAGUGUGAGGCGUCGCCGCUCGACGACACCGAGGAGGACUUGAUAAAAUAUGACUUUUCAUAUAUUACAAAUGUUUAGCUAUAUAAUUAUUUUGAUUAUAAAAUAUUAAAAUAUAAAAUAUUCUACUAAAGUGUGAGGCGUCACCGGUCGGCGACGACGAGGAGCACUUGAUAGAAUAUGAUCUUUCAUAUAUUACAAAGUUUAGCUAUAUAAUUAUUUUGAUUAUAAGAUAUUAAAAUAUAAAAUAUUCGACUAAAGUGCGAGGCGUUGCCGCUCGGCGAGCCGAGGAGUACUUGAUAAAAUAUGACUUUUCAUAUAUUACAAAUGUUUGGCUAUAUAAUUAUUUUGAUUAUAAAAUAUUAGAAUAUAAAAUAUUCGACUAAAGUGCGAGACAUCGCCGGGGAGCACUUGAUAAAAUAUGACUUUUCAUAUAUUACAAAUGUAUUAUAUAAUUAUUUUGAUUAUAAAAUAUUAAAAUAUAAAAUAUUCGACUAAAGUGCGAGGUGUCGCCGAGGAGUACUUGAUAAAAUAUGACUUUUCAUAUAUUGAAAAUGUUUAGCUAUAUAAUUAUUUAAAUUAUAAAAUAUAAAAUAUUCGACUAAAGUGCGAGGCGUCGCCGAGCGGCGACGCCGAGAAGUACUUGAUAAAAUAUGACUUUCAUAUCUUUAAAAAUAUUAUGUAAUUUUCGAACGUAAAUGAAUUUUAAUUACGAAUUAACUUUUAUAAAUACUCAAGUUAUACAACGGUUUUUGUUGAAUUUGAUUUUUAUUUUACACUGAACUUUUAUUUUUAUAACUACAAAAUCACAAGUUAUAUUUAAUAUUUUUUUUAUAACUCAAUUGUUGUUUUCUUGCAUAUAAAAGUUUGUAAGUAUAAGUAAUGGAUAUAAUAACGUCAUAUUAAUUUUCAAAAUAUAAUCAAUAUUUUAAAUCUUAUUGACAAAAAAAGGACUAAAUUCUAUCUAUUAUUUUAAAAUAUUAUUUUAAAAUAUUAUUGUAUAUACAAAUACUCACAAAUACUCCAUGACGCUGACGAACAUCCAAUAAUCAUUAUCAGGUAGUGAAAGAUCUGAGGAACACAUUAAAAUUUGUACUUCAAUAAAACACAAUUGAAAGAUGAAUUUUAGCCAAAAUAAAUAUGCAUGAAUACAGGUUGGCAAAUUGGCGUAACAACCACUGAGCUACUCAAGUACAAGGACUCGAUGAAAGGCCUCUACUACUCCCAGAACCUGAAAAUGCUAUUUCUAUAAUUCCAUCACGUUAUUUAUCUUAUUUAAUGUACUGUUCUGUGAUAACGUAUGGGAACUCGCUAAUAUGGAAUGCUAGCUUUGCAUUUGGUCUCCUCGCCAUAUUCACAAAUCAUUAGGAUUCAUAUAGAAUUGGUGCGUGUUCAAAACAGAAUUUUUUCAAGCACAAGAUCAGCAAAAAUAAAUUUAUUAAUCUUCUGCAAUUUAAAAUGCCCAGCAAGGCGGGCAUAAAUACUAGUUCUUCAUAUUUACACAACCAUUGAUCUGUCUUGCAACAAAUUUCAAGGAGAAGUUCCAAAGGUUACAUGAGAGCUUAAAUGGCUUGCAUUGCUCAAUCUAUCUCAUAAUAGUCUCACCGGACAUAUCCCAUCACUCCUCGGAAAUAUGGAAGCACUCCUAUCUCUAGAUUUGUCUUCAAAUCAAUUGACAGGGGCUAUUCCACACCAAUUAACUAAAUUGACAUUUCUAAAGGUGUUGAACCUCUCGGGAAAUAAUCUUACUGGGGAAAUCCCGCAAAAAGGGCAAUUCAGCACUUUUGGAAAUGAGUCAUACUUGGGGAACCCGGCCUUGUGUGGACUUCCUUUGACGGAAAAAUGCAUGCAUGCAGUGUCACCAACUCAAGAAGUCGGAAAUGGUGAUACUGAUGAAGAUGACGAUGCUGAUGAUGAACUUAAUUGGGAAGCCAUCCUGAUGGGAUAUGGAUGUGGAUUGAUAUGCGGAUUGUCUUUGGGGUACAUUGUUUUCAAGAUAGGAAAGCCUUGGUGGUUUGUGAAAUACAUUAAAAUACUACAACUGAAAUUGAUGAAAACAUGCACAAAGCAUAGCAGACGAAAGACUUGAGGAGAUGUUGUCUUAGGAUGCAAUCUCGUUUAAUACUUUCAUCAUUAUUCUCCAAGAUGUCUGAACAUGUAUUUUCAAAGAAUUCUCAGUUCACCUUUAGCCUUAUAAAGUAAAAGACAUUUUAAAGGCACUCUCAACUUACACCUAUAUAUACACGUACGGUUCACUUCAGUACAAAGAUUAUUAGCCAUGCAAAACAUGCAGAACCACUAGUAAUGCAGAAAAACAAAAUAUCAGUUUUCUCCAAAUAUCACUACAACAAAACUGCCAUUUUACGACGGAAAUCUAAUAUUCUAAAGGUUUACGACCAAACUAUGUUGGUGGACUUUAUUUUAAUUUACAGUUUUAACAGUAGUUAAUUUUGGAUAUCUAAACUUGCGACAGAAAACAUACGACAGUCUACCUCGCGAGAGAAAAUCAUUUUAUUUUAUUUUUUAGCGCCAGAAUUUUAAUACUAAAAUAUUAUAUAUAUGAAGGAAACUGAUCUCUAAUGUUUUCAGCUUGCUCAUCCAUAUGUAAGUAAUCCGUCGAAAAAGUUAGUUUGUUGUGGUGGUGUCUUAUCAUGAGAGAAAAUGAUAAUAUCGCAAAAUAUUUGCAACUGAAAGAUAAAUUAUAAUUCUAGAAACCAUUUAGGUAACGAUGCACGAAGUUAUUUUCACUCACUUAGAAUUAAUGAUCAUAAAUAUUUGCAACGGAAAGAUACAUUAUAGUUCUAGAAAAGGAUCCACGAAGUUAUUUUCACUCACUUAGAAUUAAUUGUAAGUUAUUGUGAGUUUUUGAAUAUGGAUUAUCUCAAAUUUUAUGAAAACACAUAUUGAUUCAUAUAUACAAAUUUGCCUACCUAAUAUUAUAAUAUUUAUGGAGAAGUUGUAUGAACAAUUGUGUAGAUAAUUAUACUUUACAAAGCAUACUUCUGCUAGAUGAAUUUUGAUUAAACAAAAUCGAAAGGGAUAGGUCUGGGUCUCUCCAAGUCUUUGAGGACUCAUUCCAAGUCUUCUGACGAGGACAAAAUAUAUUGCUGGUAGUCUUUCAGUCCUUCCUAGAGUAUUUUAUGCUCUGGACUGCAUUAUGCAGCUCUCAUAUAACUUUGCGAUGCAAAACAGUGGCAAGUAAGUAUUUCCGUAUGUGUAUUUAUUUGUAUAUUAAAGUUGCGUAACAUUUGUGUUGAUAAUUUGCGUAAUGUUGAUGAGGAUUGCUCCCAAGUCUUGGACGGACUCUUUCCAAAUCUUCUGAGGACAUAUCGGUUCAAAUUAGUCCAUUAAAAAUUUUAUGAUAUGAAGCUAUCUGCAAAAUAAUAUAUAAGGUAAAAUGAACCAUUGUUUUGUGGUUAAGUUGUACAGGCAAUAUGCAGUGCAAAAUCAGGAACAGAAUAUAUGAAUACUAGUAAUAUGAUAUCGGUAUGAACGAAUAUUUUCUAUGUAGUUGUUAUUGUGAUGCGGAAAAAAUAUUGUAACCAAAAAUAAUUAUAAUUCUAAAAAUUUCCAUUAUACACUUUUUUAGUGUUCGUGGUACUUCAAAUGACAUUUCUCGCGUAUGCCUCCAAUUAAGAACUUGAUGUUCAGCAUAGUCCGAAACUAAAAUUAUUAUAAGUGUGUAAUUCAAAAUUAUAUUGCUGGUAGUCUUUCAGUUCUUCCUAGUGUAUGCAGUAGUUUCAUUCGAUACCGAUUAUUUUAUGCAUUGCCCGAGAACCAGUCUAUCUAAAACCCUAAGAUGUUAUAUUUUUAUACGUGUAUUAGUUUUGAAGAUUAAAGUUGUAUGGACAAUUGUGUUAAUAAUUUGCGCAAUUGCGCAAUGAUAACUGGGAUAGGUCAUCUUCUCUCCCAAGUCUUGGAUGGAAUCUUUCCAAGUCUUCUGAGAACCCAUCAGCUCAGAUUAGUCCAUACAAUGUCAAGGGUCCUAUGAUAUGGUCUACUAACAGCCCAGUGUCGGUAAUAAAUCCAAUUGCAUAUAACCUAUUCAAAAUCAAUCCCCUAUAAACAAUCAUCUCUAAAAACUAUUCACAUAAAAUAAAAUUUUAAAAAUAUAAAAUAUCUAGUUGUUUUCAAUAUAUAAUUUUCCACAGUAGAUAACACAAUAUCUUUAUCAAAUUAUUAUUUAUGGGUUCAAUAUUUAAGCUAUAAUUCCAACAACACGGCAAGCAUGCAGCAUAUAAAUAGAAGUGUGCAGUAUGGUAUUGCAUUCAUAACCCAGUUGAGGAAAAAUAUGGCACCCUUCCUAAAGCCUUCUCACCUUCUUCUCUUUGUUUUCUUUCUCUCAUCACCUGAGUCCAUUCUUGCGACAACACGAGAAGGAGAAGCUCUUGUGAAGUGGAAGAAUAGCCUAGCCCCUUCUUCUUUUCUUGAUUCUUGGUCACUCACUCAUCUCGAUAAUCUUUGUAACUGGACUGGCAUUACUUGUAACUCUGCAGGUUCAGUCUCUAAGAUUAACCUUUUUGAGAAACAACUUAAUGGAAUGCUGUCCGAGUUUGGUUUCACUUCAUUUCCAAAUCUCAGCAAUCUCACCCUCACAUACAACUUCUUCUCGGGUCCCAUACCACCAGCCAUUGAGAAUUUAACCCAGCUUCGGUAUCUUGAUUUGAGCUAUAAUUAUCUGGAUGGUCCCAUUCCGUUCCAGGUUAGCCAUCUUCAGAGCUUGCUCAUCUUGAACCUGUCACAGAAUGCAUUGCAAGCUCCAAAUUGGUCCCAUUUCUCUCCCAUGCCUUUCUUGCGCAUCCUCAACCUCAGUUACAAUCCUCUUGCGUCGAAAUUCCCAAAUUUUAUAUCCAAUUCUCAUAGCCUGACUCACCUUAGCCUUAAUUUUAAUGAGUUUACUGGUGAUCUAGUACGUGAAUCAAUAUUUGCCAAUCUGCAUAAUCUUGAAGUCCUCAGUCUUCUUGGCAAUUUUUUUGAGGGGCCAUUUCCGCCAGAUAUAUUCAAGCUUUCCAAAUUAAAACAUCUUCACCUGUCAGGUAACAAAUUCUCAGGUUCAAUUCCAAAUGACAUAAGGUUGCUUUGUGGUCUUGAAAACCUAUUUUUAAGCAACAAUUCCUUUGAAGGACCGCUUCCACCAAAUAUAUUUAAGCUUUCAAAAUUAAAACAACUUGUUCUUUGGAGUAAUAAUUUUUCAGGUUCUAUUUCCAAUGAUAUAGGUUUGCUUUCUGAACUUGAAACCCUCAAUCUUCAAUUUAAUUUUUUUGAGGGGCCGCUUCCCCCACAUAUAUUUAGGCUCUCUAAGUUAACAGGUCUAGAACUCGGAGACAAUAGAAAUUUAUUUGAAGGAAGUAAUAUUCCUAUCGGACUGGGACUCUUGACUAACCUCAGGUACUUAGAUUUACAUUCCAGUAAUCUCAGUGGCUAUAUUCCAUCUGACAUUGGAAACCUGAAGCUACUAGUACUUCUUAGUCUCGGUUCUAAUCAAUUGACUGGACCGCUUUCAAAGAUCGUUUAUAAUCUCACAAAUCUUAUAUUUCUUGAUGUAAGUAAUAAUAGUCUUAGUGGAAAUAUUCAGAGUGACUUGUGGAAAUAUAACCAUCAUCCUACUUUGGAAUACAUCGAUUUUAGUGGGAACCAUUUUACAGGUAUAUUUUUUCUCUAUAGAUCUUUUCCUUUUGUCAUAUGUAACUAAGCUAGUAAUCUGAUUAUUGCAGUUUUACUGAAGUUUCAACAAUCUUGACAGGUGAGCUUCCAACAACAAUUUGCAAUGUCAUGUCCCUUUCGGUUCUUGAUUUGUCAAAUAAUGAAUUAAGUGGUGCACUUCCAAACUGUUUCGGGAAUCUUGCUGAUGGAUUGCUUUACAUUAAUCUUGCUAAUAAUCAGUUUCGAGGAACAAUACCAACUACUUUCUCCAGGAGUUGUCAGCUGACAUAUCUAAACAUGGAUAAUAAUGAGUUUGAAGGAUUGUUGCCCCCAUCUUUGGCGAACUGUAAGCACUUGAGAAUUCUUGAUAUUGGCAAUAAUAAAAUAGGUGGUACAUUUCCGUCAUGGCUUUAUGUACUUGGAGAGCUAGAAGUCCUUGUCUUGCGAUCAAAUAAACUCUAUGGUACAAUAAGUGGAAGGAGCAUAGAAGAUCCCUUCCCCAAGUUGCGGAUUGUGGAUCUGUCCAACAAUCAAUUCACAGGCCAUUUGCCAAUUCAAUACUUUAAGAAUAUGAAAUCAACUGAUAAUUUGUAUCGUUAUCAGAAUUCCACAGGAGUUUUUUCUUUCCAUUAUGAAGCAUCUGUCUCAUUAACUGUGAAGGGAACAGAGUAUGAAGUGAAAAAUAUCCUUCAUAUUUACACAGCCAUUGAUCUGUCCUGCAACAAGUUUCAAGGAGAAAUUCCUGACGUUAUUGGAGAGCUUAGAUGGCUUGCAUUGCUCAACUUAUCUCAUAAUAGUCUGACAGGACCUAUCCCAUCAUUACUGCGAAAUAUGAAAGGACUCCAAUCUUUAGAUUUGUCCUCAAAUCAACUGACAGGGGCUAUUCCACCUCAGAUAACUGCACUGACAUUUCUAGAAGUCUUAAACCUCUCGGGAAACCAUCUUAGUGGAGAGAUUCCUCAGAAAGGACAAUUCAGCACAUUCAACAAUGAUUCUUAUAUAGGAAACUCCGCAUUAUGUGGAUCACCAUUGACGAAGACAUGUGCAAACACAGCAUCACCUCCACAAGAAGUCGGAAAUGUUGAUGAAGAUGAUGCGGGUGAUGAAUUGACAUGGGAAGCAAUCUUGAUGGGAUAUGGAUGUGGACUGAUAUGUGGAUUGUCAUCUGCAUACAUUGUUCUCAAACUAGGAAAGCCUUGGUGGUUUGUGAGAUAUCUCGAAGUACUGCAACAGAAGUUGAUGAAAAGAUAUGCAUGAAGAAUGGUACUGGCCGAUCAAGACCAACUUGAAAGUUUGUUGUCCUUGUGCACAUUUCUGAACCAGUAGUGUACUUGCUGCAUAAGUAUUUGGUAUUAUGUAAUAAUCCGUUUGGUCGGGACUCAUAAUGAUUUCUCUUGCUUCAGGGGUAUUAAUAUUAACCUUGCUAUCUUGAUCAAUGUUAAAGCAAAUUAAAUGAAUGAAAAAACAAAAAGUAUGCAUCAAAUCCGCUCCUGCUGUACCAAAAUCCAUUAAAUUGCUUUGGUCUCUUACCUAACAAUUUAACAGCACACUUCCACACUGUUCAUACCUAAUUUGCGUGUAAUAUGAAAACUAAGAGGCAUGGCUUUUGUCUCUAUAAGUCUUUGAGAACUUAUUCUUCCAAGUCUUCUUCGGAGGCCUGCUGCCUCAACAACCUUUCAAAGAUGUAGCAGUUGCUCGAGAGUAACAUAUAUAUUAGAUAAAGACUAUGCAAUAAUCCACGUGACAGAAAAACCAAAGUCCAAUUAGUUUUCCAAGUUCAUAAAAAAUACUAUAGGAUCAUUAGCAUUACAUUAGUAUUCCACUAGCAUACAGCAUAUUAUAAGACAAAAGUAAGCGGAAAUAAACAUAAUUUCAAUAGAUUUAACUUACUCUUCAGAAUCGAUAAGUUUGGAACACGUUGAUUGAGCACAAGACGAAGGCCACACAUGCGCAUCAUCUGAUGCAGCUAUAUAUGGUGCCUUUACAGUUGCUCAUACAUAUAGUGAAACAAUAAGGAUCAACUCCUCCAUUGUACGUACACAUUUUCAUACAAGCUAUAAAGCAUGGUGAUAGAGUCUUUGCAAUCUCGUCAUGACCGGCACAUCCGAUUAUGAUAAACUCUAGCAGGAUCAUCCAAGUAAUAAUUUUCAUAAUGAUAUUAAUUAUCAUUGUGAAUAGUUGCAUUGAGUUAUAUAUGUGUGUGUAUAUAUAUGCAAUGGAUUUUGUGGUUGAGAAUAUCUAUUAGAUUUUGUAUAUCCAUAACAAUUAUUAAAAUUUAAACAAGAAUAUCUAUUAUUGGUUGUGGUUGACUAUUGUAGUAGUCCAAGAAAUCAAUGCAAGUGAAAUCUAUAUUAUAUUUUAAAAGAUUAUACAUGAAAUACAAAAGGUUUUUUUAGGACUGCUGUUAAAAAUUGUUAUGUUGUACGAAAAAAUGCUGAUAAAAAGAGUGUUAUACGAAAAAAUGCUGAUAAAAAAAAUGUCGUAUAAAUCAGAUAUGACAGCUUCCCACAAAAACUAAAAAAAACAGUUUUCCGUAAUAAUAUGGGAGAGGAAAAACUGUUUGUAGAUUUAUAGAACAAUUUUUCGGUAAAAAACUGUUGUUGUUUUCGAGAGUAAUGACAAACAGUGCCGAAAUCAUUUUGCAGGUAGUUAAUCUCACUUCCAUAUAAUAUACUCCUAUAUAUUACCGAAAAAACAUGAAAUGAUGCAAACCUCAUACUAUUGACAACAGCUAAACUCCUUGCAAUACUUUCAGCUGCAAAAUCCAUCAAAUUUUUUGAUUUAUCAUGUAACUGUUUGACAGAGUACUUCCAAGCCUAAGUAUCAAAAAUCACUACCUUACGAAAUAUAUCUCACCCUACCUUCUCUGCUUAACUGUUUCGAGUGCUUUUACCAAGCAUAUUUUCCAUUAAGCGUGAAAGGCACAGAAUAAUUAGGAUCACCGAAUAUCCCAUCAGUGCUGGGGAAUAUGGAACCAUCUUAUCAAUUAACUAGUUUAACAUUUCUUGCGGUCUUGAACCUCUCAGAAAACCAUCUUAUCCUAAUGUGCCGACUUCCUUUGACGGAGAAAUGGUGAUGCUGAUGCUAAUGAUAAUGAACUCAACUGGGGAGUGAUCCUUAUGGGAUACGGAUGUGGAUUGAUAUGCGGAUUUUCUUUGGGGUUUAUAUUUUGUGGUUUGUGAGAUACAUUGAAGUACUGCAGCUGGAGUUGAUCAUUAUAAAGAACAUAGGCAAGUUAAUCGCUUAUUGAAAUUAGUAAUUGUCAAAAGUAAAAUGUUGAAAUUACUUUUUUCGAUUGAAAUCAUUGAAAAAAAGUCUCUGUCGAAAUUGAUCUGCCAAAAUUAUGUUUAAUAUCUACGGCCAAGAUUAUCUGUCGAAUAUAUUUCCCGACAAUUUUAAAAGACAAAUUUUUCGCCUCUCAGCUGUGAGCGGGAACAGAUAUUUUCGACAGAAUUCCAUUGAAAUUAGCUAAUUUCAACAUAAAUUUUCUAUCGAAAUUACUUGAGUUCUUUGUAGCUUGUUUUCACAAAUACGCUGAUAGCCUUUGGGGACGGGUAUAUUGUUUUCACAAAGCCCUGGUGGUAUGUGAGAUGCUUCGAAGGACUGCAACUGAAGUCGAUAAGAACAUGCAGAAAGAAAACCGAUCCAUCUUGAUAAACUUGAAAAAUGUUGUCAUAUGGUGAUAUAUACUCCCUGGCCCCAGUCUCUUGGAAAGAACUUGGUUGAUUUUUUUUUUUCAGUAUUGUUGGAGCUGUCAUACUAGUGCUAGUGUGCCGACUAGCACUAGUAUGACAGCUCCAACAAGUAUCCAUCCCUAAUAAUUGCAGCAAAUUAAAAAAUAUAGCUAUAUCUUUUUAGCAAUGGUGCAAUUUGGAAAGCUUUCUCAUCAUCUUCUUCUUUUCUUUAUCUCAUUACUCUCAUCUAGUUCCACUGUCCUAUCUGCAACAAUUCGCGAAGGAGAAGCUCUUGUGGAAUGGAAGAACAGCCUAUCCCCGAAUUCAUUUCUUGGUUCUUGGUCACUAAUUAAUCUCACUUAUCUUUGUAAUUAAGUGGACUGGCAUUGUAUGCAACUCUGCAGGUUCAGUCAGUCAGAUUAAUCUUCAAGAACUCACACUUGCUAACCUCCGUUUCUUUUCGUUUCCAAAUCUCACCAAUCUCAACAUUACACAUAACAACUUCACUGGUCCAAUACCACCCGAGACUUUAGCUAUAGUAAUCUCAAUGGUACCCUUCCAUACCAGGUCAGCCAUCUUCAGAGGUCGGUCGUCUUAGGCCUCUAAUUUAAUCACUUGAAAGCUCUAAGCUUGUCCAAUUUUUCCCCCAUGCCUAUACUGGUUGGUCGCGGUCUUGGUGGUAAUAAGCUGGCGUCAAUUUUUCCAGAAUUCAUAUCUAAUUGCUAUAACAUGAUUAACCUUGAUCUUUCAUUUAACAUGUUAACUGGUGAUCCCUUCAACAACUUGCGAAUCUUGGAUCUCUUCGACAAUGAAUUCACUGGUUACUUGCCAAUCCAAUAUUUUAAUAAUAUGAAACCAGUUAAUACCGUGAUUGAUUAUUACAACAUAACAGUGAAUCAUGAUUAUCAAGCAUGUCUUGUUAACAUUUUGCACUCGUAUUAAUUGUCUUAUAUAUGACUAACUCAUCUUGCACUCGUAUUAAUUGUCUUAUAUAAUACUAAUAACAAAAAUAUGAGGCGGUGCUUAGUCAGAUGAUUUUAGUUGUUAAAAUAUUUUUGUGUUAUUUAUAGAUAGUGAAACAUGUCUAAUAUUUUAUCAAUUUUGUUUCGUUUCUUGAGAUUUCCAAAUAUUUAUUGGGACAUUGUACCAUGGUGUAUUUCACAUAUUCGCAAUUUUAAUUAUUUUGUAUUUUUAUUUUAAAGAUAUGAUAAAGUUUAUUUAUUUAUUUGUUUUUAUCUUAAAAGCGAUUUUCGAGUGUUGCUUAAACCUCGAAGAUUCCAAUCGAGUUUUAUUCUCGGAUCUGUUUCGGAAUUGAGCUUGGCCUUGAUUGUUUUCUGAAUAAAUCAGAUCUUUUGAAAUCAAAGGUUCGAUUGUGUUUUCCCGUCUCGCCUUUUGGCGUGUGUUGAUUUAGUACCCAAUUUUUGGGUGAUUCUGCGUUGUUAUAUUUGUGGUUGUUAUGUCUUUCUGUGUUAUCAAUGAGAAUGAUUGGGAUGGAGUUUUGGGAGAUUUGGCUUAUCGCAUCAUUACAUCUUUCGGCAUGUCUAUAGCUGGCUCCCGGCAUGUAGAUAGCUGGGGUAUGCUUGGAACGGUGGCGAUCGCAUGUGCUCACCUGUCACAAAUUAUAGUUGUUCAUUAUUCGAGGGCUCUUGUUCCUCGUUGCUUAGUUUUUACAACUGAGUCGUCUGAACACCGCAACAGCCAUGGAACUAUUGUGAAGGUCAAUUGUGAAGCUAUCAUUUUCGAGAUUGAUGUAGGCUGGAUUACUCGAGAAGCUUUUGUAUUCAUUUUCAGUUUCAAGAAUUCUUGAAUUCAGUGUGUUAAGCAGUCUGGAAACAAUGCGGCUAUUUGAUUAGCUCGUUUUAUUGUUUAUCAACCUGAUUGCAUUGUCAGUUGGGGAUUUGUCCCGAUUAAACUUGUUUUAAUAUAAUGGAAUGAAUUUGCAUUUUGUCAAAAAAAAAAAAAAAAAGCGAUUUUGAGUUGUUUGAGUUAGAUAUAUACUCCUACUGUGGUUCAACUAGUUUUGCCAUAAGUGAAUAACUUCCGGUCAAUAUUUUGAAAUUUGUCGUUAUCUUCUAAUUAAAAUAAAGGGUUAAAUAGCUACUUCAUCAUUAAUAUCGUUGAAAAUUUGCAGCUGAGUCAUGUUGUUGAAAAGACUUUCAAACUGCAUCAUUAAGUAAUUAAAAAAUUUCAAAAACACCACUCUCCGUCAGUUAUGUUAAACAAUUAACGGAAAGUUCGAAAAAAAAUAAAGAAAAGACAAAAAAACAUUAAAAAAAUUUGAAAAAAAAACCCGAAAAAAUGUGAAUAAACUAUGAUAUUUUUUUUCUUUUUUUGAAAAAUGUGAAUAAAAUCAAAAAAUCAAAAAAAAUGGGAAACCAAAAGUGGCAAGCUUUUUUUUUUUUUGUUCCUUUCAAAUUUUCUAAAAUCUGGGGAAAAAAGAACUUGCCAACUAAUUUUUUCCAAAUUUUUUCAAAUUCUUUUCAGAUUUUUGAAUUUUUUUCCAAUUUUUUCCUCACUUUUUUUCUGUUUUUUUUUGAAUUUAUUAAGAUUUUUUUUGUUUUUUCUGCUUAUUCUGAAUUUUUUAAGAUUUAUUCGCAUUUUUAAAAAAUAUUUUUGAAUUAUCCGUUAAGUAAUUAAUGGAACUGACGGAGAGUGAUGCUUUUGAAAGUUUUUAAUUACUUGAUAAUGCGUUUGAAAAUUUUUUCAACAACAUGACUCAGUUGCAAGUUUCCGGCGAGGUUAGUAAUGAAUUAGUUAUUUAACUCUUAAUAAAAAUCUAUCUAAACAAUAUUAUAAAUAUAAUGUUAUGGGUUCGAUGAGUCGUGUAAAACAUGGAAGAAGUUUAGGUGGGGUAAAAAGAGCCUAGCUGUGUGAUUUCCAUUCUGUUAUACGUGAUAUACUGUAGUUGAUCAUCUCCUUUGUCCGCUUCAUCCUGUGCAACCUUAACCUUUAAGGAAAAACUUAUGAGAUUCUCUAGUGCAUCUAAAUUCUUGUGUGAAGAAUGUGAAGAAAAAUGUUAGUCUCAGAUUAUUUUUCCUAAAAUGCUUGCAUGUUACAUUUUAUAUGUAUGUCCUGACUUUAAGUAUAAUUUAGCAUUUUUAUUUAGUAUUGUGUAAAAAUAAUAUAUUUUAUUCAGUCUUAUUAAAAAUAUAAUCAUGUUAUACUGUAAAAGUAUUUGUGAAUUUCUUUGUUACAUAUGUGUUUAAAUUAUUUUAUUUAUAUAUGUUUUACAAUUUUUUACAAAUAUAUAGGUUGAGUAUUGCAUAGGAAUAUAAUUACACGUUAGCAAAUAUGAUUAUGUGUAAACUGUUCUGCGUGCAUGUAUAUUGCUGCUAAGUUUUAAACUUCUUACUAACCGGAAUAAUUUUGACAGAUGUGUGGAACUUGAUUAAUUUAGUUGCACUAUAAGAGAAAGCGUUUUUGUCAAUAAAAAUUGUUAAGGAAAUUAGUCCGUUGGUAGUUCUCAACGGAUUUGUAACAAUUUGACUGGUCAAUGUUCUGUCAACCAAUUCGUAAUGAAAUACCCACACUUAUUUACAACGAGAUGUUCUAUUAGGAAAUAUAGCCACACAAUGGAAUAAUAACAAAAGACCAAGGAAUGAGCAACAGACUAGCAACGAAAGUAUCUGUUAUUACAUUCGUUGAUAUUCCCUUGAUAAAUACUAGACUUUUUAGCACUUUGGUGGCUUGUACUAUUUCAAAUUUGCACGUUAGUGGCCGACCUUUAAAAGUCAUCAAUUGUGUUGCUGAACUUAUUUUUUUUUAACACAUUAGGGGCUCCGCAUCAUAUCCGUUAAAUCGAAGUAACGGCGUCAAAUGAUCAAUACAUAUCUCCUCCUCCUCUUAUUUCCCUCCAAAUUAAAAAACGAAACGGCUACCCUCUUUUCCGAAGCAAGAACGACGACGAAUUCCUGCUUACAGAGAUGAGUUGGUUCCGGCGUCUUAAAGAGGAUGCUGAUGUGUAUUAGCCUCGACAGUGCCCCGAUUACUGUAGUAAGCUCUUCAACUUUUCUUCUUUGUAGCAUAUGAAAUGAGUUUAAUUGACCAUUAUUUCAGUGUUUGUUGUUGUUAGUGGCUAGUUGUUUAGUAUUAUGGACCUGCAAUUGCUUUAUACUAUUAAAAUGAAAGAUUCUGCUUGUGGGUUUUUAAAAAUUAAGGCUUUUACAUAGUCCAAGAUUCGGUCAUUAUAAAAUCAAUUUAUGCCUGUUUUAGUAUAGUGCUUGUUGUUAGUGGCUAUUUGUUAAGUAUAGUGUUGUUUAUUGUAAAUAAAACUGUUGCUUUGCACUCUACAUUUGCAGAACCUGGUGAUUUUACCCUAAAAAUAUAUCAUGGGGCCGAUUGGGUAGAUAACCCUAGGGCAUAUGUGGGAGGUACAGUAGAUUUCUUUGACUUCUGUAAUGCUGAUCAGAUCAGCAUAAUUGAGAUAUAUAGUAUGUUGAAAGAGGUUGAUGAGUUUGGGUUUCACCAACUGUGGUAUAAGCUACCUGGCACUACAUUCGAUAGAGCUUUUGUACUAAAUAAUGAUGAGGAGCUAAUGACCAUGUGUGAGCUUAUAUCUGAUGUGGAUAAGUAUAUGGAGAUUUAUGUCACCACUAUGGCACAUCUAAGUAUAGUGCCCUAUAGAGAUUUAGAGGUUGAAUUUGUUGAACCAACUCCUAAAGAAGCACCUGAAAAGAACAAUCCAUCACCUGAAAAGAUCAAUCCAGCACCUGAAAAGAUCAAUCCAGCACCUGCAAAGAUGUAUCCAGCACCUGCAAAGAGCAUUCCAACUGUGGGAAAUGAUGAUGAUCAGGAAGAGUUUGAGUUUGAUUUUGACAAUACACGGUUUUGGGAUACCACCCAAAAUGAAAUUGAAAUUGUGCAACAAGUUAGGGAAAUGGAGGGGUUGGAAGAGGAAUUUUCAGACACAGAUUCUGAUGAUGAGGAUUUUGUGCCAGAAGAAAAGGAAAGUAGUGAUGAGACCUUCCACUGUGAUAGUUCCAAUCAAGAUAAUUCUGAUGAUGAUUUGUUGUUUGAUGAUGAUUACUACCAUCCUUACCAGCAGAUGGAAACCAACAAAGAAAAAUAUACAACAACAACAACACAGCAAGAAUUUUCCAGUUCCUUGCUUGCUUCUGCGCCUCGGAUAGUUCUUCACUGUAGAAAUCCUUGUACUCAUCUUUGGCCUUAAUCAUUUCAGCAAAACAUUCAUCGUCCUUGUUCUUCAAACGCCUUAUCAGUCCAUUGAUUACACUCUUGCUGCGCGCAUCAAACUCGGGUUCAACCCACUUGAAGAAAUUGCACCUUCCAUUCACGCAAGUCAAGAAUCUUCUACCCGGAUUGUACUCCGUCCACGAUGUCUUCUCCACUGCCCAGCUUCCACACAUACAUUGUUGAUUCAUCUUUGCAGAGCUUUUUGGUUUGGAUGAGAGAUUUAGGUUUGAAUAUGCUCAAUUACACACAGCAGAAACGUAUAUAUAUACACAGCAUAUAGCCGUUGCAAAAAUAUUUUCCUGAAAUACCCCUGACGACCGUUACUUCGAUUUAAUGGAUAUGAUGCGGAGCCCCUAAUGUGUUAAAAAAAAAAUAAGUUCAGCAACACAAUUGAUGACUUUUAAAGGUCGGUCACUAACGUGCAAAUUUGAAAUAAUACAAGCCAUCAAAGUGCCAAAAAGUCUAAAUACUAACAGUUUCGUUAGUAAUUGAUUAUUAGUUUUACAUGGACAAUUGAUAUACACCACAUGAGCACAUACACGGAUACAAUGCCAGGCUCUUAGUUGAAAUGUGUGUACUGCUAAAGCUCAAGGAGAUUUAGUUGACUAAAUUGAUUUGAGUUGUAGAAAAAGGUUUAAUAAUAUAAUGGACUUUGAUAUAUGUAUUGUAGAUAUUAAGUAAUUCUCUUGAAUUUAUAUAUGUAACAUAAUUGUUAAUUGGCUCAUCCUUAACUAGAUAUUUUAUAUUACAUUCUUAACUACAGAUUUUGUAUUUAAAAUUUUUUUAAAAAAUUAACCUUUAUUUGGUAUGUGGAUUUUGUAGUCAAAUGUGGUCAAUUUACUUAGCCUUCGAUCGAAUACCUACCCAAAACAUAAAAAUAUUUUUUAAUCAUUUAUUUUCGACGAUCCAACUAUACGGAUAUUAUUGUAAUGUGAUAAUAUUGUUUACAAAUUUUUUUUAAAAAAAUUAGCCUUUUAUUUGGUAUGCGCAUUUUGUAGUCAAAUGCAAUUAAAUUACUUAGUCUUUAGUGGAAUCUUUACCCGAAACAUAAAACUUUUUUUUAAAAAAAAAUUUGGACAAUCCAACCGUACAGAUGUUAUUGUAACGUGUUAAUAUUGGUUAAAAUAAAUUUUGAGAAAAUAUGUCUUUUAUUUGGUGUGUGGAUUUUGUGGUCAAAUGCGGUCAAAUUACUUAGCAUUUAAUCGAAUACUUACCCAAAACAUGAAACUAUUUUUUUUAAAAAAUAAUUUCGGACGAUCCAACCGUACGGGGGUAUUGUAACACAAUAAUAUUGAUUAAUUUUUUUAUAGGAAAAUUAUAGCCUUUUAUUUGUUGUGUGGAUUUUGUUGUCAAAUGCAGUCAAAUUACUUAGCCUUUAAUGAAAUACUUACAUUAAACAUGAAUUUAUUUUUUUUUAAAAAUCAUUUGGAUGAUCCAAUCGUACGGAUGUUAUUAUGACAUGUUAAUUGAUUAAAAAAAUAUUUAAAAAAAAUGCCUUUUAUUUAGUAUGUGGAUUUUGUAGUAAAUGCUACUUAGCCUUUAAUCGAAUACUUACCCGAAACAUGAAACUAUUUUUCUAAAAAUCAUUUUGGACAAUCCAACCGUACGGAUGUUAUUGUAACAUGAUAAUAUUGAUUGUUUUUUUAUAUAAUAACCUUUUAUUUGGUGUGUGGAUUUUGUAGUAAAAUGCGGUCAAAUUACUUAGCUUUUAAUCGAAUACUUACCUGAAACAUGAAACUAUUUUUAAUAAAAUUAUUUUAGAUGAUCCAACCAUACAGAUGCUAUUGUAACGUGAUAAUUGAUUAUUUUUUAAAAAAAUUAGCCUUUAAUAUGGUGUAUGGAUUUUAUAGUAAAAUGAGGUCAAAUUACUUAGUCUUUAAUGGAAUAUUUAUUAGAAAUAUAUUUUAAAAAAUUAUUUUGGACGAUCCAAACUGUAUGAAUGUUAUUUUAACAUGUUAAUAUUGAUUAAAAUUGUUUUUAAAAAAAAAUUAGUUGUAUUUUAUGUGUGAAUUUUUAGUCAAAUACGAUAAAAUAUUUAUUUAGCUUGUAAUGAAAUAUUAAAACCCUACUUCAAAAGAAACUUGUCUAAAACUACCUAUAAGUGUUAGAGAAUCAUCGAUUUAGUUAUCAAAUUAGUUAUCAUAAGGGUUUUACUCCGCUUUUCUCUGGUAUGAUGUUGAUUUUUGGGGUUUGAUUGGUCGAUUUUCAUGUUUUAUAAGUUAUGUGAGUUCGAUUUUGAUGUUUUUACAAUUAGGUUUAUGUAUGUUCUUAUACAGGUUUCAUGUUCAUGUUUUGAUUUGUUGAUUUCCUAUUUUUCAUAUUUUGUUGAUUAGUUAUUUGUGUGGGUUUUGAACUUUGAUGAGUGUGUAUGUAAUCUCCUGUUUUUUUUUUUCAUUUUUCUGGUUCGAACACUUCGAUUAGUAGCUGGAAAAACAGCUGAUGCGGCAGUAGCGGCUAGUGAGAUGGAUAACAAGAAAAGGAUGAUUUCGAGGUCAUCUCGUGCAAGUCUUCAGAUAUAGUUUUGUUCCUUUAUGUUUUUAAUUGACAUAAAUUUUCACAUUUGAUGAUUAUAUUAUGGGGGAUUCUGGGUAUACUUGUAUAUAAUCUAGCAAGUUAUUAUAAUUCUGGACGGGGGGCUUAUUGUGAAAUUAAAUUGAGGGAUAAGUUGUGUUAUUGGUUCUAGUGGAUUAAAUUUAUGUUGACACUUGAUAUAUGCAUUGAUGUCGUAAAAUAAGUUGCACAUCAAACUAUUUGGCUUGUUUAAGUUGUAUGGAGUAAGGCUGUACGCGGAUCGGAUCGGUUCGGUUGGAGGGUAAUAACCAAACCAAACCGCAACUUACGGUUUUCUAAAAUCUCAAACCGCGACCAUACUGUUGGUUAAAAAAACCCAACCAAAUCCAUCCACGUAAUUGCGGUUGGUUGCGGUUCAACUGCUAAAAUAGUUAUAACAAAGAAAAUAUAUAAGUUAUUGCUUAAAAUCUUGCAUAAAGUACAGACUUUAACUCAAAAAUAUAUAAUUUAUCACUUAAAAUCUUGAAUAAAGUUAAUACAAUAAAUCUGAUUACAUAUUACAAAAGCAAACUACUCCGGAAAUAUAUAACUUGAAGCAGAGCUUCAAGUUAAUGGUUAUUAAAAAUUUCAUCCGCGACUGCCCACAUUUUACGGUUAUCCAUAAUACACGGAUCGGUUGCAGGUGGUUGUUGCGGUUAAUGCGGUGGAGCGGAUUGAACGUACAGCCCUAUGAAGUAUGGUUGCCAAGCAUUGGUUGGUUGUACACGUGUAAACAAAAUGAUAUUUUAAUAUUUAAACAAAACAAUACAGUCAUAAACAGAUCGUGUCGGGCUGGACUGAUUGUGAUUUUCCUUUUUGGAACUCGUACUCGGCAUCUUCCAAGCGAAUGAUAUUUAGAAGUUUGUUGCUAGUAUACUCCAUGUCAUAAUAAGAGUUCUUUAGAUUUUUUAUAUGUAAUUCGAAGUAUAAAAAACAUAUUUUAACAUAUUAUUUUUAAAUUUUUUAUACAUAAAAAUAUAACAUCUAUAUUUUUAUUUAGAAAAAAAUUUGAAAUAUAAUAUAUAGAUGCAUGUCUUUUUUAUACGUGAAAUUACAUGUAAAAAAUUAAAAGACUCUUAUUUUGAGUAAGAGAGAAUAUGAUGUACCAUAAAGUCAUCGAUCUUUUGUUAUCAAAUAAAUGUGAUAUUUAAUUAUUUAAGAGCAAGUCCAAAAGUAUCUUAGUUAAAGUCCUAAAUAUAAUAUAAAAUAUUACGUUCUGGUGAUUUAGGAUAUAUUUUACUAACUUGGACUCCAACAAUGUGUCUUAUUCUCAUAAGAAGUUUAAUAUUUUAUUAUUAAAGACUCUCUUUCAUCAUUAAAGCAUAAUAUAAAAGUAGAGAGAGAAAAAGAGUGUUGAUAAGAAUUAAUAAUAAAAUAUGGGAUAGGGUUAGGAGAGAUGUGCCUCAAAAAUAGGGUUUGAGGAGUUUCAUUAGGUGUGGACACGGAGACCAAGAAGUAAAAGAUGAGUACAGUUAAAUGAAGAUGUGGUAAAAUAAUGUGACCCAUUUAUAUUUAAUAAUACAUUUGAAAUAGUGGAGGAAAGUAACGAGUGUAAUAACGUUUAUAUUAUUAUAGCAUAUAGAUAGCAGAAGAAAGCAAUGGGUAUAAAAGUGUAUUAUAUUAUUAAAGUUUUGAAAUGUUUAGAAAUAAUGGGGCAAUCAAAAAGAAAACUGUAUAAAAAUGGACGAGAGAAUACAAUUCAAGAAGUAAUAUAUCUCAAUUCAAACUAGGUAAUAUAUUUAUGAAUUAUAUUAAAAAAAAUUUGACAUUCAAAUAUAAAAAUUUAUUUUAUCAUCUUAACAAUGGAAUAUUCGAUUAUUAACUUUCGUAAAUAACAUUAAUUUUUCAUUAUAAUAUACUCUAAACUUUUAUUUUAUGUGCCUGUUUGUUUACAAGAAGCUGGAGUCCUACUUCUCUUGACUCGUUUGUGUAAAAACGUAAAAAGUGCUUUUAAAAAGUACUGAGAAGGAAAUGGAAGUAGAAAAUGCUAGUUUUUCUUUAUAAUAUCUAUUUCUUUUCUAGACACUUUAAUAAUUUAUAUAUAUUAAUUUAUUUCUCACUUAUACUCCAUUUUUUUAUAGAGAACUUCUUUUAAACUAAUCGGCUCCUAUAAUCAGUAGUUUCUCAAUUUUAAUAGGAAUAAGAGCAUGUUUAUCUGAGCUUAAAGCCCGGGGUUUAUAUCAUCUCUGGCUUUAAGCUGAAAAAUGUAUGUUUGUGUAUUAAGUCGGAAGUCGGCUUAAAGUCGGAAAUAAGUCAAAAAUUGACCUAAAACCAGAAGUUAGUUUGAGAUACUUUUCUCGGUGACUAAUUUUUUUUUUAGCCAUUUUUUGAUAAAAAUUAUUCCUAAAUCACAAAUUACUCAUAAAUUACUUUUAUUAUUAUUAUUAUUAUAUUUUUAAUAACUUAUAAAUUAUUAAUAAAUCAAAAUUAAUCAAACAAAUAUUUUAAGUUCUCAUAUUAUGAGAUAACUAACGUUAAGUCAUGAAUCAACUGAACGGGAUGUAAGUCUUCUUCUCCCCGAGUCAUCAGCAGACUUUUUCCAUGUCUUCUGAGCCCCCAUUGGCUCACAAUUGGCCCAAAAAAUAUUUGGUUAUGCAUUGCUAUUCACACACUUAGACAUCAAAAUUUAUCAUCCGACAGGCGACAGCUAACUGCACACUAUUUUUCCCACAAGCUGAAAAAUCAACGAUCAAUUAAUUUUUCUUAUCAAUUAAUAAAGUUAUGAUUUCACGUACACGGCAGGCAAAAUGCUAAUAAAUAGACGAGUGCAGUAUAGUAUGGGUUCAUGAUCACCUUGAGAUUUAAUUGAAAAAUAUUAUGGUGAUAUAGAUUAAAUUAAAUUAUAAUAUCUUGAAAAGUUAUAAAUAAUUUUAAUUACUAAUAAUAUUUAUUUGUACAUUUAAAUAUUUUUAUAAAAACACAAAAAUAGCAUUAUACUCAUUUAAGUUUCUCGUAUCCGCCUCUCUUCUUGGAGAUUGUGGAUUUGCGAUAUUUAUAUUGAUUAUUAUAGGAAAAUGUUAUUUCCAGAGCAAACAUUUUUAUUUCCGGAGCAAAUUCAAACAAAUUUUUCCAAAUUGUUCUGGAAAUUAAAAUAUUGAUAUGGAUAUAACAAUUCCCUUAUUAUAUCCUAUGUAUAUUACAUUAAUGCAAUUAACAUGGUUGAUUGUUUUAGUAUAUAAUCAUAUUACUGUGACCUUUUAGUAUAUAAUUAUAUUAUUUUUGUUAUAUUUUAUGCAUCUAGAAACAAUUUUUUUAUGAUAUUUAUUAUAUUAAUUAUAGUAAAAGAUAUAAUUUUGUUUAAAAAAUUGAAUAAAACUAAGAGGGAUAGCCUACGUCUCUCCGAGUCUUCGAGGACUCAUUCCAAGUCCGAGAGGACCACAGCCUCAACCUUUAAGAGAUGUGAAAGUAGCUUGAGAGUGAUAUAAAUUUAUUUUUGACAAUAAAAUUUAAUAAUCAAAUAAAUUAAAUUAAAUUAAACUAGUUUAUAAUCGAUUAAAAAUAUAUAAAUCAAAAUUAUUCCCGAAUUAUGAUAACAAUUAAAAUCAUUUUAAAAGUUGCAUAAAUCAAAUCCAAAUCGAACAAAUUCCCCUAACACUAAAAUGUAGUUGCUUUAUUGUAGAUAAAAACAGUAUAAUAAUAGUAUUGAUGAAAAAUCAAAUUCAUCAAAUAAGUUUAUAAAAAAUACAUGAUUUUAAUUUUAAAAAAAAAACAUGAUUUUAGUGUGUUGUAUUAGUAGUGUGUCCACGCAUUUAUAUAUUAAAAUCUAUCCUCUAAAAACUAUCGAUCUAUUUACACAACUAUUGAUCUGUCGUGCAACAAAUUCCAGGGCGAAGUUCCAAAGAGAGCUUAAAUGGCUUGCAUUGCUCAAUCUAUCUCAUAAUAGUCUUAACGACAUAUGUUCUGAAUUAUUAUUAUGAUUUCAACAAUAUUUUCAAACAUUUCUUAAUAUGUAUUUUCAAAGAAUUCUCAAGCACUUGAACAUUUGGACCGGUUCUUUCGAAGCCAGGCAAUGCACAAAAAUGUCCAAAAAUGAAUAAAUUAAGAGAGAGUAGCUCACCCUUUCAAAGCCUUCCAGGACUCAUUCCAAGUCUUCGGAGGACCACUGCCUCCCCCUUUCAAAGAUGUGAUAGUAGCUCGAGAGUGAUAUAAAUUAUUUUCCCGACAUUAAAAAUAAAAAAUCAGAUUAAAUUAAUCAAUAAUAACUUAAGGAUGAAAUCCAAAUUAAUCCUAAAUUUUGAUAAUAUAUAAAAAUUAUAAUUAUAAAUUAUAUAACCAAAUCAGAAUUGAAUUAACUUACUUGGCACUAGAAUUGCUAAAGACAGUAUAAUAAUUUAAUUGAUGAAAAGUCAAAGUCUUCUAAUAAAUCCAUAAAGAAUAUGAUAAUAUGAAAAUUAUAAUUGAAAAAUCAAAAUCAAUAGUGUAUUGGAAUAGUGUUCACACACUUAUAUAUCAAAAUUUGUGGUCCAAAAACUAUAGCACAAUAUCCUAAAUACAUCACAUUAAAUAAUAGCACAAAAAUAUUCAAUAAAUAAUUGAUUUCAUUCAUAAAUUUGUUAUUUUAAAAACUAAUAAUUUGGUUGAUGUUAACCUAUAUUUUAUAUAUAAUUUCGUCUUAUUUUAUUUUACUAGAAACAAUAUUUUUAUAAUAUUUAUUACAUUAAAUAUAUUAAAAGAUAUAAUUUUAUUAAAAAAAUUGAAUAAAAUUAAAAGGAUAAGUCUCGGCCUCUCCAAGUCUACAAGACUCAUUUCAAGUCCACCGAGGGCCUCAACCAUUGAGAGAUGUGAAAGUAGCUUGAGAGUGAUAUAAAUUAAUUAAAUUAGUUAAUAAUGAAUCAAGACUAAUCAUGAAUUAUGAUAAUAAUUAAAUAAAUUAUAAAAUUAAAUUAUACAAAUAACACUAAACCUUAGUUACUUUAUUGGUAAAUAAAUAUAAUAUAAUAAUCAAAUUGAUGAAAAAUCAAAAUCAUUUAAUAAAUUCACAAAAAAUAUAUGAUCAUUAGUAUGUUAUAUUAGUAUCCACACACUUAUAUUUCAAAAUCUAUCCUCCAAACUUAUCAUCUCUGUAAACUAGCCACAUAAAAUAAAAAUUUAAAGAUAUUAGAUAUUUAGUUAUUUUCAUUAUAUAAUUUUUCCACACGAAAUAACAAAAUAUCUUUAUCAAAUUAUUAUUUAUGAGUUAAAUAUUCAAUUUAUAAAUCCAGUAUGCAGCGUAUAAAUAGAAGUGUGCAGUAUGAUAUCAGAUUCACAUAACCCAGUUGAUGAGGAGAAACAUGGCAUACUCUGCAAAGCCUUCUCACCUUCUUCUCUUUGUUUUCUUUCUCUCAUCACUUGAAUCCAUUCUUGCAACAACACGAGAGGGAGAAGCUCUUGUGAAGUGGAAGAAUAGCCUAGCCCCUUCUUCUUUUCUCGACUCUUGGUCACUCACCAAUCUCGAUAAUCUUUGUAACUGGACUGGCAUUACUUGUAACUCUGCAGGUUCAGUCUCUGAGAUUAACCUUAGUGAGAAACAACUUGAUGGAAUGCUGUCCGAGUUUGGUUUCACUUCAUUUCCAAAUCUCAACAAUCUCACCCUCGCAUACAACUUCUUCUCGGGUCCAAUACCGCCAGCCAUUGAGAAUUUAACACAGCUUCAAUACCUUGAUUUAAGCUUUAAUUAUCUCGAUGGUCCCAUUCCGUUCCAGGUUAGCCAUCUUCAGAGGUUGCUCAUCUUAAACCUGUCACAGAAUGCAUUGCAAGCUCCAAAUUGGUCCCAUUUCUCUCCCAUGCCUUUCUUGCGCAUCCUCGACCUUAAUAGCAAUCAUCUUGCGUCGAACUUCCCAGAAUUUAUAUCCAAUUCUCAUAGCUUGGCUAUCCUUGACCUUGGAUAUAACAACUUUACAGGUGACCUUGUGCGUGAAUUUACUAAUCUACAAAAUCUUGAAACCCUCUACCUAGAUGAAAAUUCUUUUGAGGGGCCAUUUCCGCCGGAUGUAUUCAGGCUUUCCAAAUUAAAACAUCUUCGCCUGUCAGGUAACAAAUUCUCAGGUUCAAUUCCCAAUGACAUAAGGUUGCUUUGUGAUCUUGAAUCCCUAUAUUUAAGCAACAAUUCCUUUAAAGGACCCCUUCCAUCAAAUAUAUUCAAGCUUUCAAAAAUAAAACAUCUUGUUCUUUGGAGUAAUAAGUUUUCUGGUUCUGUUUCCAAUGAUAUAGGUUUACUUUCUGAGCUUGAAACCCUCGAUCUUAACUCUAAUUUUUUUGAGGGGCCGCUUCCGUCAAAUAUAUUCAAGCUCUCCAAACUAAGGUAUCUUUCCCUUUGGGGUAAUAACGUUUCAGGUUCUAUUUCCAAUGAUAUAGGUUUGCUUUCUGAGCUUGAAACCCUCGAUCUUAACUCUAAUAUUUUUGUGGGGCCGCUUCCGCCAAAUUUAUUCAAGCUCUCCAAACUAAAGAUUCUUUCCCUUUAUAAAAAUAACUUUUCAGGUUUUAUUUCUAAGGAUAUAGGUUUGCUUUUUGAACUUGAAACCCUCUAUCUUGGCUCUAAUUUUUUUGAGGGGCCGCUUCCCCCACAUGUAUUUAGGCUCUCCAAAUUAAGAGAUUUGGGUCUCAGAGACAAUAGAAAUUUAUUUCAAGGAAGUAUUCCUAUUGGACUGGGACUCUUGACUAAUCUCAGGUACUUGAGUCUAUUUUCCAAUGAUCUCAGUGGCUAUAUUCCAUCUGAGAUUGGAAACCUGAAGCUACUAAAAGUUCUUGAACUCGGUUCUAAUCAAUUGACAGGACCGCUUUUAAAGAUAGUUUCUAAUCUCAAAAAUCUUAUAUAUCUUGGUGUAAGUGGUAAUAGUCUUAGUGGAAAUAUUCAGAGUGACUUGUGGAAAUAUAACGAUCAUCCAACUUUGGAAUACAUCAAUUUAAGUGGGAACCAUUUUACGGGUAUAGUUUCUCUCUAUAGAUCUUUGUCAUAUGUAACUAAGCUAGUAAUCUGAUUAUUGCCUUUUCACCAAAGUUUCAACAAUCUUGACAGGUGAGCUUCCAACAACAAUUUGCAAUGUCACAUCCCUUUUGCUUCUUGAUUUGUCAAAUAAUGAAUUAAGUGGUGCACUUCCAAACUGUUUCGGAAAUCUUGCUGAUAGAUUGCUUUACGUUAAUCUUGCUAAUAAUCAGUUUCGAGGAACAAUACCAACUACUUUCUCCAGGAGUUGUCAGCUGAAAUAUCUAAACAUGGAUAAUAAUGAGUUUGAAGGAUUGUUGCCCCCGUCUUUGGAAAACUGUAAGCACUUGAGAAUUCUUGAUAUUGGCAAUAAUAAAAUAGGUGGUACAUUUCCGUCAUGGCUUUAUGUACUUGGAGAGCUAGAAGUCCUUGUCUUGCAAUCAAAUAAACUCUAUGGUACAAUAAGUGGAAGGAGCAUAGAAGAUCCCUUCCGCAAGUUGCGGAUUGUGGAUCUGUCCAACAACCACUUCACAGGCCAUUUGCCAAUUCAAUACUUUAAGAAUAUGAAAUCAACUGAUAAUUUGUAUAGUUAUCAGCUUUCCACAGCAGUUUUUUCUUUCCAUUAUGAAGCAGCAGUCUCAUUAAUUGUGAAGGGAACAGAGUAUGAAGUAGCAAAUAACCUUCAUAUUUACACAGCCAUUGAUCUGUCGUGCAACAAAUUUCAGGGAGAAAUUCCAAAGGUUACUGGAGAGCUUAAAUGGCUGGCAUUGCUCAACUUAUCUCAUAAUAGUCUAACAGGACCUAUCCCGUCAUUGCUGAGAAAUAUGAAAGAACUCCAAUCUUUAGAUUUGUCCUCAAAUCAACUGACGGGGGCUAUUCCACCUCAGUUAACUGCGCUGACAUUUCUAGAGGUCUUAAACCUCUCGGGAAACCAUCUUAGUGGAGAGAUUCCUCAGAAAGGACAAUUCAGCACAUUCAACAAUGAUUCGUAUCUAGGAAACUCCGCUUUAUGUGGAUCACCAUUGACGAAGAAAUGUGCAAACACAGCAUCACCUCCACAAGAAGUCGGAAAUGUUGAUGAAGAUUAUGCGGGUGAUGAAUUGACAUGGGAAGCAAUCAUGAUCGGAUAUGGAUGUCGACUGAUAUGUGGAUUGUCAUCUGCAUACAUUGUUCUCAAACUAGGAAAGCCUUGGUAGUUUGUGAGAUAUGUCGAAGUACUGCAACAGAAGUUGAUGAAAAGAUGCUUGAAGAAAGGUACUGGUCGACCAAUAAGAACUUGAAAGUUGUUGUCCUGGUAGACAUUUCUGAACCAGUAGUAUUUGGUAUUAUGUGAUAUUCUGUUUGGUCCGGACUCAUAACGAUUUCGCUUGCUUCAGGAGUAUUAAUAUUAACCUUCCUAUCUUGAUCAAUGUUAAUGCAAAUUAAAAUGAAAAGGCAAAAAAUAUGCAUCAAAUCCCCUCCUGUUGUACCAAGAUUCAUUAAUUAAGAGGCAUGGCUUUUGUCUCUCCAAGUCUUCGAGAAAUUAUUCCAAGUCUUCUUUGGAGGCCUACUGCCUCAACAACCUUUCAAAGAUGUAGCAGUUGCUCGACAGUGAUAUAUAUAUUAGAUAAAGACUAUGCAACAACCAACGUGACAGAAAAAUCAAAAUAGGACAAAAUCCGUACGAAUCAAAAUAGUUUAUUUCUAAGGGGAAUAGCUGAAUUAAAUUGUAAGAGAAGUAAAACAGAUUCUUUUAUAUUUUGGAAUAUAACUGAAAAAGAUUUUGAGAUAAUUUUCAGAAAUCAAACCAGUCAAAUAAAUAUUCGCUGAAGGAACAGAGUAAAGAUACAACGAAUAUAACAAGUUGUAAGAUGAAUAUCGCUGAAUCAAACAGGGUAGAACCCGUACAAAAACGCCAAACAGAAAGGAUCAAAACAGAGUAAUCAAAUUUACCUAACACUAAUAGAAGUAGUGCUGAAUAAAAGAGAACGAAAUCUGUACCUUAAAAAUAGCAAACGCAAACACUAACCAACCUCACAAGGGACCAUCUAAACUCCCUAACCCCGACUUUAUCUUAAACUCCAAAUAUCUCCCUGACUCCAAUAUGCCCAGAACAAUAAACGAAUGUUUUGACCUUCUAAACGAUGUUUUCUGGAAUAACGCAAAACACGAAAAUCGUAGAGAACGAAAAGACCUUUCCGAAAAGGUAAGGCUCGUCAAGAACGGAGUCAUAACGAAUCGGGAAUUAAAUAAAACGUCCGCUGAUUCAGAACUCAAAGCGAGAACAGGAUCUGAUUAAGUUUUGUAAUUUUGAGAACAGUUUGAAACAUAAUCUGAGAAAACAUUAUAAACGAAAGUAUAUGAGAUUGAAAGAGCUUUCCGAAACAUCAAGAAUCAUCAAAUUCCGAUAAGAAUUGAAUUUUCUACGAAUUUUACAAGACAGCUGAUUUGUGAGAAUAAAGCCCUACGAAUUUUUGUCAUAAAAAUGAAGAGAAGGUUGAGUAGCUCUCAAAAGUAUAUAAAAAGAAUGAGAGAACAAAUCAAUAUACUCCCUUUGUCCCUCUCGUUUAUUUACAGUGUUUGACACGCAUUUUAAAGCGCAUAUAAAACAUAGUUCUAUGAUUUAUUUUCAAAAUUUUUCUUUUUUGUAUAAAAAUUUAAACAUCAAAUUUUUAUCUAGAAAAAAAGGAAGUUCAAAAUAAUUUAUUGAACUACGUUUUACGAGAGCAUUAGAAUGCGUGCCGAGCCCCCGUCCCCCAAUGUAAACAAAUGAGAGGGACGGAAGGAGUAUAUAUACAGAGUCUUGAGACCCUAAUUCUAAACCUAUCCAUUAUCUGAAUGCAAGGCUGAUCUAUAUUUUAAGUACACUAUCCUAAUUCAAUUUUAAAUCCUAUUCAUAAUCUAAUUUUAAUCCUUUAUUAUUAUUACUAACCAAUUAAUAUUAUUUUAAAAAAAUACUGGAUAUUACAUUCCUGAUCAGACUAGUGAUCGGAUUGCAACCGCAAAGCAGCCUAUAUAUAGUGACAAUUAAAUACACAACAAAACAACUUCUUUCUUCUCUCUUGGGUUAUAAUACUCAGACGGACAAGCUAUAUCUGAGGCGAUUUUCUGGGCGAUUAAACACACAAUAAAAGCAGCUUCUUCUUCUUCAAUUAAGGUUUAUUCUACACCCAAUCACAUACACACACACACUUUAAUAUGACUAGUGAGUUCAAUUUUUGGUGGUAUUAUAUGAUUAUCAUGUUCUCUUUUUAAAUAUUAGUAACGUUAUUUUCGGAGUGGACUCUGUUGAUGUUUAAAUUUGAUAUAGAUAUUGUAAUUGAAAAUUUAUGUUGAUUUGUUGUUCAGAUUUCAAGUAUUAAUUUGUGUGUGAUCAAAAUUUUGCUUCUACAUCGAUUAUCAGGAGGAAAUAUGAGGCCGAUCUUGAUCAAAGGACACGAAAGGCCAUUAACAUAUCUAAAGUAUAACAAGGAGGGUGACCUCCUCUUCUCCUGCGCAUUAGACAGAAACCCCGCUGUUUGGUACGCUGAUAAGGGAGAGCUUUUAGGCACUUACCGUGGGCACAUUGGUUCUGUUUGGGGUUGUGAUGUUUCUAGGGAUUCAAAACUUUUAAUAACUGCAAGUGCGGAUCAAACAGCAAAGGUAUGGGAUGUUCAAACUGGGUCUGAGCUGUUCACGUUUGAAUUUAAGUCCACUGUGAAAUCAGUAGAAUUUGGUGUCGGAGACAAGCUUGCUGUCAUUGCAACAGACUCCUUUCGUGACAUGUCUUCUGCAAUUCAUGUCAAACACAUAGCCAGAGAUCCUAGUGAACAGUGCGGUGAUUCUGUGAUUGAAUUCUCACCUGGAGGAAGAAUCAAUAGAGCUGUUUGGGGACCUUUAAAUAGGACCAUAAUAAGUGGUGGUGAACAAGGCGUUGUUCGUGUGUGGGACGUUGAGACAAAGAAAGUGAUUUAUGAGUCAGACAAGGAUACUGGUCAUCAGAAGGCCAUUACAUCACUUGCAAAAUCAAGAGACGGUUCACAUUUACUUACUGCUUCCAUUGACAAAUCAGCUAAGCUUUGGGACAUCAGAUCAAUGAAACUUCUCAGGACAUACAAGGCUGAAGCCCCAGUUAAUGCAGUUGCACUCUCUCCACUACUUGAUCAUGUCGUGCUCGGAGGUGGUCAAGAUGCAUCGACUGUUACAAACGAUCCUCGUGCUGGCAAGUUUGAGGCCAAAUUUUAUUCCAAGGUCCUUGAAGAAGAAAUUGGAUCUGUGAAAGGACACUUUGGUCCGAUAAAUGCAUUGGCAUUCAACCCUGAUGGAAAAAGUUUCGCAAGUGGAGGUGAAGAUGGUUAUUUGCGAUUACAUCACUUUGAUCAUGACUACUUCAACAUGGCGAUUUAAUUCGAAUUACUUACAUUGCUACGUCUUUUUUUUUUUUUUUCCGGUUUUAUUCAAGUUAUUUUCUGGUUUUUAUGUUGAUCUUAUGUUCUUUGUUAUAAAUAGAAGUGUGGUUCCUUUUAAAACUAUUUACAUAAGUUUUUGGCUUUUCAUGUAAUUUAAUCAAAGUAAAUGCCAUGAGAUCCUGAAUAUAUCUACUUAUCUAUCUAUCUACUUAUUAAAGCAGAAUCAGGGGAAAAAUAUACCAGAAAUUGGAUGAAAAAUUUACAUACACACCCUCAAUUAUUCAUCAAUUCCGAAAUUGGCCUGUAGUUUAGCUGUUAACUUGCAGGAUUUUUGUAAAAGUAGGAAUCAGCGAUUCUUAGGUACCCCAGUGACCCCGAAUCGGUUUCUCAGAUUCUUGGAAAUCCUCGGUCAGUUGAUUUAGAUUGUGGGCAUAUAUACACCUAUAGUCAGCCUCCGGCGGUGCAAUCUUUUGGUGGUGUUUUUCAGCCUUUUCUGCUAUAGCGAUUCUUGUUAAAACAUUCAGGUGCUAGGGUUGUUUUGUUGGUAAAGGGAAUUGGAUUGUUGUAUCUGCGGUUGUGGCAAAGGUAAUUUUCUUGCCCUUGCUAUUCUUUUGGGAUGUCUGAUUAUAAAUAGCCCUUCUAACUUUGUUCACCUGUUCUGUAUGAUGUGUGUCAUUUGUGAUUGAGUCGAGCAGUAUAUCAUUUUGAUGCAUAUUGUUAAUUUCACUCUGGGAAAUUUUUAUGCUGAUGUUUGGGCAAUUAAUUCUGGUUAUUUCGUUGAUUUUGUUUGUGGUUUGUUUCCACCUGCCAUUAGAACUGUAAAGUAAAGUGUAUUUAUUGAUCAUGAUUCAAGUGUUUGUAGAUAAUCGAUGUGGGUGACAAAGAAGCUGCAAAUGAUGAUGGUUCUUCACAAAUUUUAUCUGCUUUGCUUCCUUUUGUUGUGGCUCUCACCAUGGUUGUCAAGUCGACGACUGCUGUUGCUGCUCUUGCUCAGCCCUCAACUUUCACCUGGUAACAACUUUUGUAUGUUUGGUAAAAUAUUUUGAUUUUUUUUUUUUUGUAAGGGUAAAAUAUUUUGAUUGUGAUAAGCUAAUUUAUUGUUUUUUAAUGAUUCCAACACUACAACAGAUUUAGCAUCACACAACGGUUUUUGCCCGUUGUCUGAGACCACGGAAAACCGUGGUCUAUCGAGACGCCGUCUGAUAUGCGUAUCAGACAACGGUGCGCACCGUUGUGUGAUAGUGCUAAACACGAUGGUUUACGUUAAAAAAAUUGUUGUGCAACACCCAGAACCAACAACGUUUACUCUUAAACGUGGUGUUGUUAGAAACACUCCUUAACAAUAGUCGAUUUCAAAAAUGGUGUUGUUAGAGAGACUAUCCACAACAGUUUUAUUAGCUCGCAAGACUUGUUGGAAAGAUGAUCAUACAACAGUAGUUGAAAUAGAGAAGCUCGUUCUUUCCUCUCUUGUACAACGGGUUUCGAACACCAAGCCACUUGUGUAAGGCCCCUUCUAACAAUGUUUUAAUUAGUGAGGUUGUUGUGUUUAGUUACGUCAGACAAUGGUUUUCUUUCAUAGUUGGUUGUCGUUUACAUGUUUUAACAAUUGUUUCUGUUUCAUCAUUAUUGCAAGUCAUUUGUUUGGACAAUGGUUUUGUGACAAUAAAUCAUUGUUUCCAGUUUUAUGAGACAAUGUUUUUAAUGAAUAAUGAUUAUUGUAUCAUGUUCAGUAUGACAAUGGCCCUGUAUUAUCCCAUUACCUAAAUACAUAAUAGACAAUGAUUAACAUAACUCGAUUAAACUAAGCUAGAGAAUGUAAUUAAAAAGCCAAAAAUUUGUAAACAAAAAAUUUCAUUAUGCACUAAUAACCAUUGUUACAACCAAAUCAUAUAUACCAUCCAAUAUCCAGAAAUAUUUCCCCCGAGGAUGGCAAAUCUCAAAAAUAUAAAUACCUACAAUAAAUGGUAGCAUCUAGAGAGGCAUAUGUGACUACAAGAGUCUUUUGUGAGCUUUUCAACUACCCAGCCCAGGAACAAUCCUCUGAUUGCAUUCUUUUGAUUCGGAUGGAGCCCUCCUGCUAUCUCUUUUGGAAGUGACUCUACUGCAACCACCUGUAAUACAUAAAAAAGUUCUUGAUAUGCUUUUCGUACAAAGAAAUUAAUGUGGUUGAGGAGUAUGUUUCGAGUUCAAAAUAUACCAGUGUGCCAUCUUCCAUGGUUUCACGUCAUUCAUACACAAUAAAUUGUAGCAAUUGUGAGCCCUAUCAACAUACCAGUCUUUCUGUAUUUAGAGUUGGAGCAGCUAAGCCAAAAUCAGACAAAUGGGGAUUGAGUUCAUCAAGUAAAAUAUUUGCUGACUUUAAGGUACUAUUAACAACAUAAGGAACAACAUCAGCAUCUUGCUUCUAUCAUCAGUGAAGUAUAAAAACUCUUGCAAGCUACUAUUUGCAAUAUAAUCAUGGACCAGAAGACGUACCAUGUUCAGCGGAAUAUCAUUCAAAUCUCUGGCAUGGUUGUUGUGAUGGAUAAAAAUAAGUUCCUUUAUGACCUGAAUUAAACAUUAAAAGAUACCAAAUUAACCGAAAUGCGUAGAGAUGCACAAAAAGUCCAGGCCCGAAAAUAUGGUCAUAGAGAUUUAAAAAAAGUCGAAAAUAAAGACAAACCAUGUGAGUAAAAAGCAGAGUAAGGAGGAUUGAUGGUAGUGUUUGAUAUAGAUGCCAUGUGGGUAGAUCCAUAUGAGCUGCUGGAAGCAGAGAGAUUUCUUCCAAACUCUCUUACAUUAUUGACAACAUUUGUGUUAACAUAUAUGUGUUGUAUAUGAAAUUUUAAAGAUUAGAUACAUAAAUAUAAUAUUAUUCGGAAAAUAUAACAUACCAUCUCGAGUCAUUUUCUUGCUUGGUCAUUAAAAUAACCUACAGCAAGUAAUGUACCCUCACUCUAUAAGAAGAAGAUGGACAAAAAGAAGUCAGUUGUAUGGAUGCCUCGGAAUAUAUACAAGAAUGUCCCAGGGAUAUUUAUUCAGUUGAUGAAGCAUGUAUAUCUAGAAAUUAACAAACCUCAUCAGCCAAAACAAAUAUAAAAUUAAUAAAAUCAUCUGUCUCCAAACACACAGAUUAAAAUCAAAGCACAAAUGUUAUCACACAAAACCAAGACAACACAAGAUCCAUCACUAAAACACACAACUACUACUAAAAUCAAACACACAAACAAAAAUCUCAUAUAGAUUCAAACUUUAUCCCCAAAAUCAAGUAUAAUUACACAGUAAAAAGCAUUCGUUUACCUCUUCAUAAGGUGAAUUGUUGUUAAACUAAUCAGCACGGUCAACACCGGCAUCAAAAACUUGAAUGGCCUUUGGGGUUAUCGCCGACAGAACAGAUCUGAGUAAGCUUUGUAGAAAAUGAGAUAGAGACGGGGGAGGGAGGGGAGAGUUCAGAGGAGGGUGAGGGAGAGACAGAGGGCGAGAGGGAGGGGAGGGGCGAGAUGCUUUAACAAAUCAAUUGCGGCAAGAGUGGGGAAGACACAGCCGCACCAGAAGAGGAAGAGAUAGAUUCAGAAGAAGAGAGAUUUACUCUCACUUACAAAUUUUAGGUCAAAAUAGAGGGGGGGAAAUGAAAAUUUGGAUAAACAAGUAGAGAGGGAAUUGAAAAUUUUUGUAAGGUGGAAAUCAUUCGUUCAUCCCGUGUAAAUAACAAAAUCAAUGUAUUAUAAUAUCCAUAUAGUUGAAUUAUAAAUAAAUGAAUUUUUUAAAUUAUAUUUUUGUAUUUGAUUACAAAUAUUUCAUAUUAAAUAAAUUUUAAAAACAAUUUUAAUGUAGAUGUCAAUAUCUAAUUAUUUUAGUUAUUUGUGAAAAUCUUCAAAAAAUUAAAAAUUAAUCUGGUAAAUCUUUUUGACAAAAUAUAGUUGAAAUACAACUAUUUAAUAAAAAAUUAAUAAUUCUUUAAAAGUUAAAAUUCUCAUUUUCUCGAUGUAUUCCGUUUUUGUACUCUUUGUCUAAAUAAAAUAUACACAAAUUUUUAUUAUUCAUUUGUAAUAAGAAGAUAUUUGUGUGGUUCAAAUGUCAAUAUUAGUAUAAAUUUCAUAUUUACAAUAUAGGAUGUACUUAAUAGAAGUUUUGUGAUCUAUAUGAUUAACCCCGUAUUAAUUUUGAAAUAUUUUCGAUCAUCCAAACAUAUAAAGAUCUUAAUAUCUAUCAAUAUUAGUCAUGUAUAAUAUUUUUAAAUUUUUCUAUAUUUAUUUAUAUCUUGUUGUAACAAAACUAGUGAUGAUCGUUGUUUUUAUGUCAUUUCUUAUUUUUGUACUUUUUAUCAAAAAAUUAUAUUUAUAUUAUGCAUAUGUCCAAAUUUGUAUUAUUCAUUUGUAAUUGGAAGAUAAUUUUGUUGUUCGGACCUGAGUAUUACUAUGUGUUUUAUGUUCACAAUUUAGGAAGCACUAGAUAGAAUUUUUGUUAUCUACAAAAUUUGCUCUGAAUUAAUUUAUAAAUAUUUUUUUCGAUGAUAUAACCGUACGGAUGUUAAUAACUAACAAUAUUAGUCAUGCAUAAAAAAAUUAGAUUUUUUUAUGCUUAUUUUAUAUGCUUUUUUUACAAAACUAGUCAAUUGUAAAUUUUGUCUUAUUGUAAAAAGGUAAUUUUUGUCUUGUAGUGUCCAACAGACAACGGUACUUAUAGGCACGUGUGUUGUAUGAGUUAAAAUGACACAACUGUUAUGGACAUUAUACAGUCAUAACAAAAUCUAUUGUCUAAAAUAGGCUCAAACAAUGUUUCGGGAAAAACUCGUUGUGUGUAAGUAGUGUAGACAAUGGUUUCUGGGAGGCAAACCGUUGUAUAAUAAAUUUUCAUUUUUAAGAGUUAGAAAUUCACAUUUUCUUGAUUAGUUCUUGUUUUUGUACUCUUUGUCUUAACAAAUAUACUUAUAUUAUGUAUAUAUGCAAAUAUCAAUUGUCAUUUGUACUAUGAAGAUAAUUUUGUAGUUCGAACAUGAGUAUUGGUAUGUGUUUUAUAUUUACAAUUUAGAAAGUACUGAAUAGGAUCUUUGCUAUAUAUAAGAUUAGCUCCGUAUUAUUUUAUAAAUAUUGAUUUUGAUGAUCUAACCGUACGGAUGUCGAAAACUAACAAUAUUAGUCAUGUAUAAAAAAAAUCAAUUUUUUAUGUUUAUUUUGUAUGUUUUUUUUAACAAUACUAGUCAAUUGUAAAUUUUGUCUUACUGUAAAAAGGUAUUUUUUGUCAUGUAGUGUCUAACAUACAAUGGUUUUUAUAUGCACCUAUGUUGUAUAAUUGAAAAUGAUACAACUGUUACAGAAGUAUACCGUUCUAAGAAAAUCUAUUGUCUAAAUUAGGCUCAAACAACGGUUCACGGAAAAUCCGUUGUAAAAAAGUAGUGUAGACAACAGUUUAUGGGAAGGAAACCGUUGUAUAAUAAAUUUUCAUUUUUAUGAGUUAAAAAUUCGCAUUUCCUUGAUCAAUUCUUGAUCUAAUGCAAGAAAAACAUAUGACUAUCAAGAAAUUGAUUGUUUUGUUAUAACUUUGGUUAGGACUUUGAAUCUUUGCACUCUCUUAUGUACAUCCAUUUUCUUAAAAUUCAUUCAAUCAUACAACAUUUUAUUAGUUAGUAGAGGCUUGUCUAUAAUGCCAUGCUACAAUGCUAACAAAAACACUUGUAUGUUAGCUUCCCAGUCACACAACACUAUAUAAAACCCUUGUUUGAACUCCUCGUAAACAACACAACAAAUAAAACACUUGUCUAAUUACAACGACGGUUUCUUGAACUAUUGUCUGAAGUUUCUUCACACAUCGGCUCUCAAAACAGUUGUCUAACAUGCAUCAUUACACAAUACCACAGUUAAGAAACCAUUGUCUAAUUGAAUUUACUAGACAACAAUUUUUUAACCGUUGUAGGUCGUAGAUGUUAGACAAUAGUUUUUCGAGGCCGAAAAGAAAGUGUUGUGUCUUUUUUCCAAACAACGCUUUUUUCACCGUGCGUUGUCUGAUCAGUGUUGUCUAAUGGUGUUAUUGUUGUAGUGCAAGUUGGAUUUAUUUAAUGCUAAUAGGUACUUGUUCAAGUGAGGAGAUUUAACUGAGAUUCAGGUUCUGGCAUUUGUCUUGUGUUGUUAUUUGUUUAUGUACCGGUUUUGAGAGUCAUUAGAGAUAUGUAAGGUAUUUAUUCCUAUUUUUUAUUAUUAGUAUUACAUCGUUUUCGGGUAAAAUAAUCGAUGAUUGUUUGUUUUAACUGUGUAAUAGCCUUAUGAUCUGCCAACUUAUGUAGACAUGUGAUAAACAUGUUGACUGUGGUCAAUAUUUUAGAUGAGGUAGUGUGUUUGUUGUUAUUGCAAGACUUUUUGGAAUAAUCAUUGUCAAAAAGAACUAACGAUGAAUGGAAAUGAAGUUCUGAAGAAGUGAUGAUACAAUGUUAAAGAGAUUGCUUUUUGUUGAAUUUUUCUGACUCUGGAAUUAAACUGCGUUAGUAUCUUCUUCUCUGAUUUUCCUUAUUUGGUAGACCUACUACUUUCAGAAGAUACAUGUGGUAUUUGUUUGGUUGAUUAAUUUUGGUAAGAUACAGUUUCCGUUUGGAAUCAGACUAUCCAUUGAACAAUCAGACUAUCCAUUGAAGAUUUUAUGCUCGCUCUUAAAUGGUUGAUCCACUGAUCUUAUUCUUACUUCAUAUGAGCUAAAGCCAGCUCUAGGGGUGUUUCUCGCAUACAAAAAAAUUAAAAAAAAUAUUAUGAAACUAUACUUUGCAGGAGUCUCAAAAUAAAUAAGUGUAAACGAUAAACUUAAACACCUAACUUCUUAAACACCUAGCAUAACACGGGUGAGCAUAUGGUCAAUCAUACCAAAUUGAAUAAAUCGAAAUUAAAAUUUAAAUAUUUUUAGACUGGACCAAACUGAAAUAUUUUGUCCGAUCCAGUUCAGUAUGAUCGAAAAGAAUUGAUUCUUUUGGAAAAAGUAACUUAAUAUUAUAAAUAAAAUUAAGAUUUAUAAUUUAUUUAAAAACUAUCAAUGAAUCAUCAACACUUCUUCAAAAAUAGAUACAUUUGAAUUUAUACAUUAGAUAUUAUAACUUCUAAAAAGUAUAUAAAAAUAUAUAAUAUAAAUAUAAAUUUAUAGUAUAAUUUUUUUGACUAUUUAGAAUAUAUUUUUAACCCAAAUAUUUUUUUUUAAAAUCAAAUUUUAUUUCGAUGAACUUUUCUAGAAAAUUAAGAUAGAAACGAAACUCAUUCCUACAGUAAGGUUUCAGUUUUUCGGCUGCAAUACGGUUUUGCUCAUCAUUAGCAUAAAUGGAGUAUGUAGUAAAUAUGAAUGAAUGGCAUGGGAAUUCUUGGAAUGGUAUCAAGAAUUAAGAUUAAAGCACAUUAGAAGUUUAGAACCAUGAAUGUUAUUUUUGAAAAUAGUAAUCCCUCCGUUUCUUAUCACGUUUCUCGUUUGAUAUGUCGGAACGGUUCAUAAUAUGAGACAAAUUAGUAAUUUAUGUCCAAUUUAUAAAAUUAAAUAUAGUCAUGAGUGAUCUUGUUGGAUUCGUAUCUAUGAGUACUUUAAUAAGAUGAAAUUUUUAUAUUUAAUGUUAAUACAAAAUUAAAAUAUAUUAAUUAAAAAUAUAUAUUGACAAACGUGAUAAAAACAAACAGCAAAAAUAUUAAGAAACGAAGCGAGGGAGUAAUAAAUAUGCUUUAUGCUGAACUGAAUUGAGUGCGUGGAAGCUUGGGGAGGCAGCUUACUACAGUAUCUACGUGUAUCUGUAUAUGCAAUAAAGACACAAAUACUCACAGGAGAUUAUUUUUCAAACACUUAAUUUCCCCCUUUCCUUCUCGUAAUAUUCAACUCAAUUCAUCACAUCAUCUUCUUCAGACAAACAACUAUACUCACUUCAGAUCAUCACAUCAUCUUCUUCUUGACUUCAGAUCCACAUUUCAAACCCUAAUCAUUCGCUUGGUCCCCUCCCUCUCUGUAAUAAUACAAUUCUUUCUACACACAAACAAUAACAUCAUCAUCAUCGAGUGAAGCUUCAUAUCCACAUUCCAAGACCUAAUUACUCGCCAAACCACUCUCGCUCUCAUGGAGGAGGCCUUAGAAAUGGCGAGAUCGAAUGAUACCAAGAAGCGAAGGGCGGGAGUGGAUCGGCUGCAACAGCUUCUUGAAGAUUCAAGAAAGUGCUUGUCAUCGUCGGAAGUGACGGCGCUAGUCGACACGUGUCUUGAGCUUUUGAAGGACACGUGUGUUGCUGUCGUCGGCCGCGGAGUUGUUUAAGUUGCAUUCUGAUAGAAUUAUGACGGCGGUUGUUGAUAGGUUGUGGGAUGGGGAGCAGCGGGUUCGAGACUCGGCGAGGAGGCUGUUGAUUACCCUUAUGGAGGUAAUUUAUUAAUUUUCUUGGGGAAUGCCAGUUGAUUUUAUGGAAUGUGAUAUAGUAUAGUUUCUAUCAAUCGAGUAUCUUAAAUUGAUGACUACAACAAGUAUUAUCGUUUUGCACGCAAGUGGCUAAACUUUUAUGCAUGCCAAAUUGCCAAUCGGGUUUCAAUUUCAGAUCUCUGCCUUCACUUGCAUACGAACACAUUUGAGUUUAAAAAGAUGAAUCACCUCAUAAAUAUCAUUAAUAAUUAGUUGGUGUUAAUAGUGCACUGAAAAAUGGGAGAGAAUGACAAGACUAUAGACAGUAGUAGGGCUGAGCGAGAUGUUAAUUGAGUACUUAUAUGAUGCUUCACUAUGUUCAGGGAGUUAGUUUAUUGCUUCUUUCCUACACUUUCACUUGAAUUAGUACUAAUUAAUAAUUCCUUCUCUAUCUUGUAAAAUUUCUCCUUCAUUGCUAAGCAUAUCUACUCUGAUUAAUUUUCAAACAAACUUUACUACUGAGAUAGGAUUGUUUGCUGGGUAGGAGCACCAUAGAAUGAGUAGCUCUAUUGCUAUAUACUGAAGGGUGCGGUGGCAUCCUCGGUUAUAUUUUAAGUGCUACUUCGAAUUUAGUUGUUGGCUUUUGCAAUUUAUUUUCAUUCACAAUGUUUUAAUAAUGAUACCCCAUAUUAGGUGAGAGAUAUUAGUGCCAGGCUGGAGCAGAUUCAGAUUCAACCAGCAACUUCCGUCUCUUCCAUCUCUGAAGGACUUAAUAGUAAUCUUCUCCACCAUGCACCUGAUUUAGAAGUAUAAUGUAUUAAUGUGAACUUUUUAUUUAUAUUUAUUUCCAUGUGUAGUAAAACGAUCACAUCUUUUAAGAGCUUAGUACAAUGUUAUGUACAAUGUGUAAUUAAUUAAGAGGUUUGUACAUAGUUUAGUAUGAAAUGGAAAAAGUUUGUACAGAAGUUUAUUUGUUCACAUUACAGCUGAGACGAGCAAGCAAAAACCAUCAGAGAAUUCAAAGGAUAAUGAUAAAGGAAUUGAGCCCCUACUGGAACUGCCGGAAGAUAUUAUCUUUCUACAAAUUCUGCCUAAGUUGAACAGCCUAGAUGUUCUUCCCCUGGUUUUGGUGGCUAGGAGUUGGGCCUCCUUUCUUUUGCAUGAGGGACCCAGACUGAUGUUAUUCAACCCACCUAAAAAUCCUACACCUAAACACACUUCAAUUUUAUUUGAUGUAAGCCCGAUUCCGUACUCUGUUUCAGUUUUGUUAUCCCCAGAGAGCCGCCAACUGUGUCAGUCUAGGUGUAUAAUUGUUCCAAUCUUGAAUUCUGGUAUAAAACAUGCUGUUCCAAUUUUCACUGACUACCCAGAUUUUUUAAAGCAGGGGGAAGUCCCAACUGUAGUGGGAUCUUCCAGUGGUAUUAUAUGCCUCUAUAUCACCAGUUCUCCCUCUAGAUACAUCCUGCUAAACCCCUUAACAAAACAUUAUAAAGAGGUUGGGGCCCCUUAUAUUUUUGUACCAGAUUGUGAGCAAGCUUCUGUAACUUCUGGAUUCUUUUAUGAUGAAUGGACUGAUGACUUAAAGAUCGUACAAUUGUUGAGAUGGGAUCAAAGGCUUACGAGCUUGGAUGCUCCGGGACCCAAAAAGAUACAUGCGCUUCGCGUUUGUUCUGUAAAUUCUGCAAAUUGGGAAGUUGUUGACUUGGGGCCAAUGAAAGUCUCCGAUCGUCUUGGUGGUGUGUUAUUUUUGCCGAAAGCUCUCGUCACAUUUGUAGAUGCGUUUGCUACAGAGCCGGAGAUUAACUUUUGGUUGGAUUUUCGUGAUUGCCGUCUAAAGGCAGUUCCGGAAUUAGAAGGGGCUGAACUCAGUAUGAAAUCGGUUUGGUGGAAUAACCAGGUUGGUGUUAUUGUUGGAACUGACAGCAUUUAUGUCCUUGAUGAGGAGUUUGCAGCCUGGUAUUACUGCACAGUGCUUCCGGACGUGGGAAAUUGUGUAUUCUGUUUAGAUGAGAACAAAAUUGUGGGGAUGGGGGCUGGGGAAAGCGGAAGCGUAAAUGAUUACAAUAUUCUUAAUUCCACAAGCGGCGAAAUCCAACAUAUAAUCUCGUUGCCUUCUUGCAGGGUUUUUCCGUAUGUUCCUACAUUCUACUAUAUCGAGGGAAUGGCUAAUUUUUAGACUUUUGCAAGUCACAAUGUAAUAAAAGAAUGUAAACAGUACAUAGCAGCAAUACCUCUCUAUAGCAUAUAGUUUCAGAUACAACAUGUAUUGUGAUGCCAGCUUGUAGAGUACAAGUAUUAUUCUAGGUGAUUGAUUGUUGAGAAUAAUAGAGGCAACCGGUUGCAUGAUGGUAUCCUUGAAACUUUCAUAAUUACUAAUAUCGAACUCAGAUAGCAUGCAAUUUUUCCGGAGAUCAUAUUCUUUAGCUAUCAACUAACUCUACAUUAUAUAUUAUGUCCCAGAUCAAUGAGUUUGUUUGCUAUAAUGUCCUAUUUUAUAUGUGAUUUAGGAAUAUGUUCCAUUAACUUGUUAUCACCCUCAAAUCUAAAAUCUAAGACUACCAUGUCCUUAGUUUAUUUUGUUUAAUAUUUGUGAAUAGACUCUAAUCUGAUCAUAUCAAUUAUAUUUUAGUAACAGAUGUUUAAAUGCAUAUGUUUUUGUUAUCUAGUUAUUUCAAUGAUGAUGGGAUUAAAUUUUUUUAUUCUUGUAAUAUGUACAAUGAUUGGUUUAGCUUUAAUAUUUAUUUUUAUUUUUAUUUACCAAUUUUAAUGUAGGUAAAGUUUUAUCAGCAAAUUUUAUUUUUUGUAUGCAGUAAUCUGUUCUAAUAUCAAAUUUUGAUUUAGAUCGAGUAUUAGUAUGUUGAAUUUGCAUUCAUCUAGUUAGAUGAGUGAAACUGGCUAAUUAAUGGAAAAUCAUAAGUACCUGAGUUGUUUUCAAAUUUUUUUCCCAAAUUUUAAUUGUUUGAUUGGUUUCUUCAAAUUAAUAUUAAUGGAAUCAUGAACGCACAUAAAUAAUUUAAUUAAAAAUUAUUUAUUUAUGUGUCAUUUAGAAAAAAUUGGGGACAAAAUUUGGGAUAGUAAUGGGGACGAAAUAUGUGUUAGCGUUAAUGGUUUAGCGGCAGUGGAGAACGCAAUUUAAGAGCAAAUCCAAUAGUGUCCUAAACUAGUAUCCUAAAUUAAAAAUUAAGGUAUUUAUAUAAAUGAGUGCUCCACCUAAUGAGUGCUCCACCAAUGUCCAGUGAUACCUUAAAAUACUAGGAAAUCCAUCAAGCGUCUCGUUUUUAAGACAUCACUAGGCAUGCCCUAUUUCACUUCUAUCAAUAAAAUAUAUCUUUCCCUCGUUUUUUACAGAUCUCUUCUCUCUCAUUUUUUCCAUUUAUGCCCAAUUAUAAUUCAAAUAUAAUACACCUUCAGUCCCUUUUUAGUUGUGAAAUUUACAAAAAUAAUUUGUCCUUAAAUAAUAUUCUCAUCCUUGUUCCAAUACAUAUUUAUACAUAUUUUUUCAUGUUUACCCCUUGAUUGUUGGUUCAAAUGUUUGACUGUACUACUAAUAUAUACAGUUUUGACUUAGUAUUUAAUAUAAUAAAUAAGGGCAUGCGUGGAAACAACUUACAACAUUUAAUUUUCUUUAAUAUAUGUAUUUUUGCAAAUGUGACAACUAAAAAGGAACAGAGAGAGUAUUAUUUUAAUCAUAAAACAUAUUGUUGGAGUUAAUAUAAAAAAAUCAUGUCUUAAAUCAUAAGAUUACUAUAUUUAAUUAUAUUUAUAAGGCAUCUAAUAGUACAAUAUUGGAUUUGCUCUGAUCACAGAUCAAUCAAAUGAUCGGCAACUUAAGCGAUCAAAUGAGAUGACUCGCAUAGUCCACGCUAAUCGAUAUCCUUAAGAGGAUGUUUGCCUGGGCUUAAAGCCCUUGCUUUAAGCCAUCUUUGGCUUUAAGCUGAAAAAUGUCUGUUUGUGUAAUAAGUCAGAAGCCAGCCUAAAGUCAGAAAUAAGCCAGAAGCUGACUUAAAGCCAGAAGUUAAUUUGAGGUACUUUUUUCAGUGGCUAAAUUUUUUUGAACUUUUUUUUUGAUAAAAAUUACUCCUAAAUCAUAAGUUUCUUAUAAAUCACUUUUAUUUUUAUUAUUAUAUUUUUAAUAACUCAUAAGUCAUUCAUAAGCCAAAAUUACCCAAACAGACAUUUUAAGCUAUCAGCUUAUCAGAUAAGACACGUUAAGUCACAAGUCACAUUAAGUCAUAAGCCAUAAGCUCAGCCAAACGGGCAAGUUUUCUAAGAGACAUUCCUGCUUAGUGCAUUUUUAAUAGGGUUGCCUAAAUCGUUGACGAAAUUGGACAUGUGAGACAUUAUAUAAAAUUUGUUAAACAUGUAAGUGAUUGUGUUUCAAUAAUGUUAACUACAUUGAUAGAUUAUAACUUAAAAAUAGUAUGUUAUUAAUAUUUAGAUUGUUAUAAAAAAAUAUAUGAGUUUAAUAUGAUAGGAAAUGAUGUGUAAAUUACCCCGAUUAUAUAUAUAUAUAAAUAAUAAUAUAUUUAUAUAUAUUAUACUAAAUAUAUUAUUAAAAAUAGAUAAAUUUUAUAAUAUAAUCAAAAGUAAAAAAUAAUCUUUAUUUUUAUUGAUUGAUUAUAAAUAUAUUGUAAUAUAAUAUAUUUUAUAAUUUUAAAUUGUUGUUUAUUUAUAUUAUAAAUCAAUUUUAAUAUGAUUUGAGGUUGAAAAUAUAAGAUAAUAUUAUUUUAUUAUUAUAUUAGGAGUUUGUAGUUUGUUUUUUAAUUAAAAAAAUAUAUUAUAUAUUAUAAAAUUAUUAUGUUUUUAUUAAAAAAUAAAAUUCCCCGAAACCCCGCGGGGAUCCCCGUUCCCCGUUCGGGGCGGGGAUCGGGGCGGAAAAUAAUCCCCGUUCGAGGUUCGGGGCGGGGUCGGGUAGGGCCGUAGGGGUAUUGAAUUCGGGGAUCGGGGUCGGGGAUAGCACUCCCCGCCCUCGAAGUCUCCCCGUGCCCAUCCCUAGUCGAACCUCUAGAGGUCCGUAAAAAAUCUCCAAGAAGAUUACACUAUGUAAUCUUCUUGGAGAUUUUUUACGGACCUCUAGAGGUUCGACAAAUAUAGUGGCCGGUAGGAUGUUGGUUAAAAUUAUAGAUAAGUGGUGUCUAUGGUUGAGUGUGAUUUUUUUGAAUAGAAUGGCUAUAUAUUUUAUUUUUGGGAUGCCAACUCAAUUUUUAAACUAAGGACUUCUCAUAUUUGGAGAUGCUAUAUGAUGGCAAAUCCCGCAAAUCUUCAAUUUUGACAUAUAUUAUCCUAAAUUCUCUUUCAACAAUGAUUGAUUCAAAUUUGGAUCAAGAUUGUUGGAUCCCGCUGACGUGGCAGUGACGUCAUGUUGACGUGGCGCCCUGGGGUGGACCCCGGUGCUGACGUGGCAGAUGACGCGGCGGUGACAUGGCGCCUGGUUGGGGUCCCAUUACUAACGUGGCAUUUGGGUAGAAAGUAUAAAUUACGGAAAAUUGAUGACAAACUGAGAGGUGCAUAUUAUAAGUUUUAAAAAGUAUGAGGAGAUAUUUGAUCAGUUUAAAACUAGUUUUUAGGUUUUUAGGCUAACCGUGGUUUGUAUAUUCGAGCAUCCCCGUGUAUAUUGACAUAUAGGUAAACUCCUUGCAAUACUUUGAGCUGCAAAAUCCAUCAAAAUUUUGAUUUAUCAUGUAACUGUUUGACAGAGUACUUCCAACUUUCAAGCGUAAGUAUCAAAAUCACUACCUUCAUAUGUUCCAUUAAGCGUGAAAGGUACAGAAUAAGAAGUGAAAGAAAUCCUUUAUAUUUACACGGCCAUUGAUCUUAUAGGAUCACCUAGCCCAUCAGUGCUAGGGAAUACGGAACCAUCUUAUCAAUUAACGAAGAAAUGUAUGCAUGCAGUGUCACCACCACAAGUCAGAAAUGGUGAUGAUGCUAAUGAUAAUGAACUCAAUUGGGAGUGAUCCUAAUGGGAUAUGGAUGUGGAUUGGUAUGCGGAUUCUUUGGGGUUUAUUGUUCUUACAAUGGGAAAGCCUUGGUGGUUUAUGAGAUACAUUGAAGUAAGUUGAUAAUGACAUGCACGGCUUAAUUAAGAUUAAUUAAGACAAACACCUUGACAAAAUGUUGUCUUAGAAUGAUAUGUAUUCUGAUUUUUCCUAAUUUAAAAUCAAAUUUAUUACAAUUAAAGUUAAAAUCUGCGUAGCACAUACUAUACUUUGAUUAAAUUUUUAUUGAAGUUGUCCAUAUUAACCUAGUGGCCGAAAGUGAAUAAAUUAAAUUAGUGGGGUCUAAUAUAAAAAUUGCAUUAAUUAAAAUUUGUAAUGUAUAGAUUAUGCUAAAGCUAUUCAUUAUAAAGAACAUAGGAAUGUUAAUCUCUUUAUAUGUUUGCAUGCGGAUAGUCUCUCGGGAGUGUGGUAUAUUGUCAUGGCUGGAAAAACGGCUAAUUUCUACGGUUUUUUUUUGACAGAAAUUAAUUUUGACGGAAUACUGUCGAAAUAUCGAAAGUCGAAAAUAAGCCGCAAAAUUACUUUUUUCAAUUUUCAAUUGAAAACUGUCAAAAAAGUCUCUGGCAAAAUUAUAUUUAUUUCUACAGAUAAUGUCGAAAAUAUUUUCCUGCAAAUUUCCCGCACCUUAGUUGUGAGCGGAAAUAGAUAGUUUGGACAGAAUUCCGUCGAAAUUACGCGAGUUCUUUGUAGUGUGUUUUCACACAUACGCUGAUAAUCUUUGGGGACUGGGGUAUAUUGUUUUCGCAAAGCACUGGUAGUUUGUGAGCUUGUCCAAUUUUUCCCCCCAUGCCUAUACUGGUUGGUCUCAGUCUUAGUGGUAAUAAGCUGGCGUCAAAUUUUCCAGAAUUCAUAUAUAAUUGCUAUAACAUGAUCCGAUGCCUGAAUCAGCAGCUAACAAUUUACGUAAUCUUGAAGAACUAUAUCUUGGUGCCAAUUCUUUCGAGGGCUCAUUUCCAACGAAUAUAUUCAAGCUUUCCAAAUUAAGGGUUCUUGACCUAUCUGUGAAUAAUUUUUCAGGUUCCAUUCCCAAUGGUAUAGAGAUGCUUCCCGAUCUUGGAAUAAAUCGUAUUUAUAAUAAUUCAUUUGAAGGAAUUAUUCCUUCUUCAAUUAGUCUACUUAAAGAUCUUCAACACCUAGACUUCGGUGACGACAACCUUGUGGUUUCAAGUAUAAUGUCUUACGGGUCCAAUCUAACCGAUCAUUACAGGCAACCCCAUUGGAGAUGCUCUUAAUAACAUUUUAACUAGAGAGUAUUUUCUAUCAAUUGCAUUUGUAUUAAAUUUGAUUUAGAUGAAGAGAAACAGAAUACAUAUGAUCCCGAGACAACAUUUUGUCAAUGUUUUCGUCUUGAUUGAACAGUCUUCUUCAUGCGUGUCCUUGUCAACUUCAGUUGCAGUAAUUCAAUGUAUCUCAGGAACCACCUUGGCUUUCCCAUUUUGAUAACAAGUAUCCUGAAGAUAAUCCGCAUAUCAAUCCACAUCCGCGCGUAUCCCAGUUGAUUUAUUAAUUUAUUCAUGAAGUGUUGCGAACGACAUUCCUGCAAAAGUAAAAGUCAGUGGAAUUUGUAUGAUAGCAUGAUGAAUAUUUAAAGUUUCAGUUAAAAUUUCACCAAGUAUUUUAUUUCUGGCUUAAGUCCCGGAUUGACGAAUUCUGCUGAUCACAUUUCUAAUCGACCAAUUCUGGUCGAAUAAAUUAAAUGGCACACUUCCUGAGUUGGUGGUAGGGGCGUUCUUCUUGUGUUUCUUUCUUUUCAUUAUUGACAUUGUUAUCCAGGCCCUUGCUUCUGGGCUUUUGUAAAGCACCCAUUUACGCCAUUGUCAUGAUCAUAGCUAGUCUUCCAUAUCCAAGAUACGCGCAUUAUAGUGGAUUUAUCUUUAUUAGUGAUUUCUGUGGAAAUGCAUAAUCUUAAUUAUAAGCUCCAAUAUUAUAAAAUAAACCUAACUUAUUAGAGUUAACAGGGCAUUUGUGUUGAUAAUUUGCGCAAUGUUAAUGGGGAUCGCUCCCAAGUCUUGGACGGACUCUUUCCAAGUCUUCUGAGGACCCAUCUGCACACUAAUUUGUCCGCCAACUAAAAAUUUAUAUAUAUUUUUCCAUAGAAUAUAAAUAGUUGGGGGUACUAACAGAACCUCUAGUAAAAUUAAUUAAUACCGUUAUGAUUUCGCAAACACAGCAGACAGCAGGCAUAAGGCUUAUAAAUAGAAGUGUCGUAUUUGGUUGAUGGUCAAGUUGAGUGGAAAUAUGGCACACUUUGUAAAGCCUUGUUAUCCUCUUCUCUUUGUUUUCUUUCUCUCAUUACUUCAAUCCAUUCUAACAACACAAGAGGGAGAAGCUCUUGUGAAAUGGAAGAAUAGCCUAGCCCCUUCUUCUUUUCUCGACUCUUGGUCACUCACCAAUCUCGAUAAUCUUUGCAACUGGACUGGCAUUACUUGUAACUCUGCAGGUUCAGUCUCUGAGAUUAACCUUAGUGAGAAACAACUUGAUGGAAUGCUGUCCGAGUUUGGUUUCACUUCAUUUCCAAAUCUCAACAAUCUCACCCUCGCAAUUAACUACUUCUCGGGUCCAAUACCACCAGCCAUUGAGAAUUUAACACAGCUUCAAUAUCUUGAGUUGAGCAAUAAUUAUCUAGAUGGUCCCAUUCCUUUCCAGGUUAGCAAUCUUCAGAGGUUGCUCAUCUUAAACCUGUCAGAGAAUGAACUGCAAGCUCCAAAUUGGUCCAAUUUUUCCCCCAUGCCUUUUUUGACCAUCCUCGACCUUUAUAAAAAUAAUCUUUUGUCAGAAUUUCCCGAAUUUAUAUCUAACUCGUGUAACCUUACGUACCUUGACCUCUCAUCCAACAAGUUUAGAGGGGAUCUUGCGCGAGAAUCAGUAUUAACCAAUCUAGGUGAUCUUGAAACCCUCUAUCUUAUUAGAAAUUCUUUCAAGGGGUCAUUUCCGUCAGAUUUAUUCAAGCUUUCUAAAUUAAAACGUCUUCACCUGUCGAGCAACAAAUUUUCAGGUUCAAUUCCUAAUGCCAUAAGGUUGCUUUGUGAUCUUGAAUUCCUAUAUUUAGGCAACAAUUCCUUUGAAGGACUGCUUCCACCAAAUAUAUUUAAGCUUUCAAAAUUAAAACAUCUUGUUCUUCGGAGUAAUAAGUUUUCAGGAUCUGUUUCCAAUGAUAUAAAUUUGCUUCCUGAACUUGAAUAUCUCGAUCUUAAUUCUAAUUUUUUUGACGGGCCGCUUCCUCCAGAUGUAUUCAAGCUCUCCAAACUAAGGUUUCUUUACCUCUCGGGUAAUACCUUUUCACGUUCUGUUUCCAAUGAUAUAGGUUUGCUUUCUGAGCUUGAAACCCUCGAUCUUAACUCUAAUUUUUUGAGGGUCCGCUUCCGUCAAAUAUAUUCAAGCUCAAAUUAAAAAUUCUAGACCUCUCAAACAAUAGAAAUUUAUUUCAAAGAAGUUUUCCUAUUGGACUGGAACUCUUGAGUAACCUCAGCUACUUAGGUCUAAGUUCCAGUAAUCUCAGUGGCAAUAUUCCAUCUUACAUUGGAAACCUGAAGCUACUAAUAUCUCUUGAUCUCAGUUCUAAUCAAUUGACUGGACCGCUUUCAAAGCUCGUUUCUAAUGUCACAAAUCUUAUAUUUCUUGAUUUAAGAGAUAAUAGUCUUAGUGGAAAUAUUCAGACUGACUUGUGGAAAUAUAACGAUCAUCCAACUCUGGAAUACAUCAAUUUGAGUGGGAACUAUUUUACGGGUAUAGUUUUUCUCUAUAGAUCUUUUCUUUUGUCAUAUGUAACUAAGCUAGUAAUCUGAUUAAUUGCAGUUUUACCAAAGUUUCAACAAUCUUGACAGGUGAGCUUCCAACAACAAUUUGCAAUGUCACUUCCCUUUCGGUUCUUGAUUUGUCAAAUAAUAACUUAAGUGGUGCACUUCCAAAAUGUUACGGGAAUCUUGCUGAUGGAUUGCUUUACAUUAAUCUUGCGAAUAAUCACUUUCGAGGAACAAUACCCACUACUUUCUCCAGGAGUUGUCAGCUGAUAUAUCUGAACAUGGAUGAUAAUGAGUUUGAAGGAUUGAUGCCCCCAUCUUUGGCGAACUGUAAGCACUUGAAAAUUUUUGAUAUUGGCAAUAAUAAAAUAGGUGGUACAUUUCCGUCAUGGCUUUAUGCACUUGGAGAGCUAGAAGUCCUUGUCUUGCGAUCAAAUAAACUCUAUGGUACAAUAAGUGGAAGGAGCAUAGAAGAUCCCUUCCCCAAGUUGCGGAUUGUGGAUCUGUCCAACAAUCAAUUCACAGGCCAUUUGCCAAUUCAAUACUUUAAGAAUAUGAAAUCAACUGAUAAUUUGUAUCGUUAUCAGAAUGACACAGGAGUUUUUUCUUUCCAUUAUGAAGCAUCUGUCUCAUUAACUGUGAAGGGAACAGAGUAUGAAGUGAAAAAUAUCCUUCAUAUUUACACAACCAUUGAUCUGUCCUGCAACAAGUUUCAAGGAGAAAUUCCUGACGUUAUUGGAGAGCUUAGAUGGCUUGCAUUGCUGAACUUAUCUCAUAAUAGUCUAACAGGACAUAUCCCAUCAUUGCUGAGAAAUAUGAAAGGACUCCAAUCUUUAGAUUUGUCUUCAAAUCAACUGAAAGGGGCUAUUCCACUUCAGUUAACUGCAUUGACAUUUCUAGAGGUCUUGAACCUCUCGGGAAACCAUCUUAGUGGAGAGAUUCCUCAGAAAGGGCAGUUCAGCACAUUUAACAUUGAUUCUUAUCUAGGAAACUCCGCGUUAUGUGGUUCACCUUUGAUGAAGAAAUGUGCAAACACAGCAUCACCUCCACAAGAAGCCGGAAAUGGUGAUGAAGAUGAAGCUGGUGAUGAAUUGACAUGGGAAGCAAUCGUGAUGGGAUAUGGAUGUGGACUGAUAUGUGGAUUGUCAUCUGCAUACAUUGUUCUCAAACUAGGAAAGCCUUGGUGGUUUGUGAGAUAUAUCGAAGUACUGCAACAGAAGUUGAUGAAAAGAUAUGCAUGAAGAAAGGUACUGGUAGAUCAAGAUGAACUUGAAAGUUGUUGUCGUGGUAGACAUUUGUGAACCAGUAGUGUACUAGCUGCAUAAGUAUUUGGUAUUAUGUAAUAAUCCGUUUGGUCGGGACUCAAAAUGAUUUCUCUUGCUUCAGGGGUAUUAAUAUUAACCUUGCUAUCUUGAUCAAUGUUAGGGCAAAUUAAAAAGAAUAUAAAAGCAAAAAAUUUGCAUCAAACACCUGUUGUACCAACAUGCAUCCAUUAAUUUGCUUUCAUCUAUUAAGUAACAAUUUAAGAGCGCUUCCACUCUGUUUAAGCAUGGAGAUAACACAAAGAAGGCAAGUCCAUGGACUAAUAUAUUAACACGUAGUCCACAUCUAUGGUAUGAACAAUUCAUAUUGCUCUUCUAUCUGUUCAACAGUCUCCCGAAGAUAGGCCAAAAAUGUCAUCUGUGGUUCUUAUGUUUGUCAGUGAAGGAGAAUCUCUGAUGCCUACACAACCUGGUGUUUUUACAGAAAGGAAUGUAGGUGAAACCAGGGGCGUAAAAUGAAUCAGGACUAAAAUCUGCUAAAAUGAUAAUUAUUUACUCAUCAUUCAAGAUUAGUCGGGCUCAAAGAUUUAUAUGGAUUUUAAGAACAAACUAUGACUAAAUAUGAAAAAAUCAUUAAUUUUUCCGACUCAAUAUUUUUUAGCCUCCCCCGGCCCUGGGUGAAACCAUAAGCUUCUCUGGUGCACAUCCAAAUCAUUCAGUUGGUUCUACUUUCAGCUCACCCACAGGAACAUCAUUCUGCAGGUACUCUUUUAUCUGUACUUUCUUAUAUUGUAUGCCAGUAAAUUUUAUAUCGACAAACUGCACAAUACACCUCGAUCUCAUAUUAUUGACAGGUGAGCUCCUCUCAUAAUGCUCACAGGCGAACCCCUGCAUAUAUACUUUGUGAUGUCAUUGAUGAUCGAUAGACUUGAAAAAAAAUUAUGACAAAGAUUCAUAAAAUAUCUACUUCCAUCCUAAUUCAGUAUUCAAUAUUAUUCAUUCGUAUCAUCAUCCAAUCAAUUCUAAUAGUUCUUCUUUAAAUCAGUACAAAUAUUGUUAAAUACCUGGAUGAUGGUUGUCUUUCCGCGAACCAAUCAUGAAAUUACCUCUGUAUAAAUCCAUCGGAAAUAAGACAGUUAAUAUCCCAAUCGAAUACACCCCGUCAGUUGUCAAACUCCUCGAAACGUAUUAAUCACUUUAGAAAAUUUGUUCCACUGGCGCUAGUCAGUCCCAGAGUUGGUGGUGGGUGCUUCUGGGCUUUCGAAAAGCACCCAUUUACUCCAUUGUUUAGAGAAGUAAAACCCCACCUUCCGCUCAUUUGAUUGAUCAGCUGAAUUAGGCAGAGUUUACAUGGUCAUGAUCAUAGUCUCCCAUNUUAAUAGUCUGACAGGACCUAUCCCAACAUUGCUGAGAAAUAUGAAAUAACUCCAUUACUCCAAUCUUAGAUUUGUCCUCAAAUCAACUGACAGGGGCUAUUCCACCUCUGUUAACUGCAUUGACAUUACUUUUCUCUUUAUAUUCUUUCCUUUUGUAUGUACCUAUGCUAAUUAUCUGAUUAUUAAAAUUAUAACAAAGCUUCAAGAUUUUUAACAGGUGAGCUUCCACUAAAAAUUUGCAAAGUCACUUCCCUUUCGCGUCUCAUUAUGUUAGAUAAUGGGUCAAGUGGUGCACUUCCACAGUGUUUGGGGAACCUUUCUUUGCUUGGUUUCAAUAAUCUUGCUAAUUAUCAAUUUCAAGGACCAAUACCAACGACUGUCCAAGACUUGUCUGUGCAUAUCUAAACAUCCAUAACAAUCACUUUGAAGGUUUGUUGCUCCAAUCUUUGGCAAACUGUAAACACUUACAAAUUCUUGAUAUUGGAAACAACGUUGGAGAGCUAGAUGUCCCAGUUAGGGCGGUAAUUCGACUAGAGCAAACCGAGUUUUGAGCGGAGCCAAAUUCGAGCCAAGUUUAAUCGAGUCGAGCCGAGUCGGCUCGUUUAGCUAAUCGAGCCUAAAACUUAGCCCGAACUCGACUCAUUUAAUUUCACGAGUCGAGUCGAGCCAACUCGUUUAGCUAAAUGAGCUGAUUUUAACAAGUCGAGCGAGCGAGCUCGUAUAAUUUUAACUUAGUCGAGCCUGAAUCUCUACCCAAACUAUUGGCUCGUGUAAUUUCGCGAGUCGAAUCGAGCCGGCUCGUUUUAUUAAACAAGCCGAAAUUUUUGCCCGAAUUUGCUCGUUUAACAAGCCGAUCUGAGCCUAGUUAAAUGAGUUCGAGUUAGUCGAGCUCGCGAGCUGCGAGCUCACCUGCCAGCUCUAGUCCUAGUCUUGCAAUCAAAUAGGUUUAACGGUAUAGAAAGUGGAAGGAGCACAAGGCAUCCAUUCCCCAAGGCUAUUUACCAAUUCAGUACUUUGAGGAUACAAAAUCAUUCUGCAGGUACUCUUGUAUCUGUACUUUCUUGUACUGUAUGCCACUUUGACAGUAGAGUAAAAUUUAUAUCGACAAACUGCAUAUGUUCUGAACUACUCCUCUAUCCCAAAUUAGAUGAGCUAGUUGACUUUGAGCACGUAACUUAAGGUACAUUGACCAACUAGUUCCGAUAUUUAUUUUUUUAAUUUUUCUUUUGUAAAUGAAAAUUUCAUAUUUAAAUUUUUAUUUGCAAAACUAAAAUUUAAAAAUAUGUAAUGUGGCUAUGCGGUCAAUGUCAACGAGCUCAUCUAAUUUGGGAUUGGGAUGCAGGGAGUAUUACGUACUAUGUUAUGCAAGCUGUUUACAACUUUCAUCAAAAUUUUCAAACAUUUCUGAAUAUGUAUUUUCAAAGAAUUCUCGGGCACUCUUAAGGCCUAUAAUUAUUGGAACUCUCACGUUAUGGACCAGAGGACCACUAUGUAUUUUACAAGCACGACGAAUCAUGUGGUCAUUAUGGACUCCCCAAGCCUUAGAGGACUCAUUCCAGGUUUUAGGAGGACCACUGCCUAGCUCACCCUUUCGGAGUGAUGUAAAUUAGUUUCCAGACACUAAAAAUAAGUAAUCAGAUUAAUCAUUACAAAAUUUUGAUAUAAAAUCAGAAUAAAUCCUAAACUUUGAUGAUACAAAAAAAAUUAUAAUUGUAAAUUAUACAAUCAAAUUAAGAUCGAAUUAACUUCCCUCACACUUAAAAUUUAUAGCGAUCAAAUCAAAAUCGAAUUAACUUUCCUAUUACUAAAAUUUAAUUACAAUAUUAUUAGAUAAAGAGAAUAUAUAAUAAUCAAGAGAAAAUAGAUUUUUUUUUGCCACUCAACUUAUUGUGUUUUAAGAAACUUACCACCCAACUAAAUUUUUUUCCUUUUGCUCACUAAUGUUAGGUUUGGAUUUGUUUUUAGCCACCAAAUAAGGUUCGGAUUUGAUUACCAGCAUUAUGAUAAUUUUUUUUGUCACUAAACUUAUUGCGUCUUUAGAAACUAACCACUGAACUAAAUUUUUUUUAUUUUACUCACUAAUGUUAGAUUUAGUUUUUUUUGUCACUAUAGUUAGGUUCAGAUUUGAUUAUUAGCAUUACAUUAAUUCUGUGUAGCAUUUUUAAAAUAUGGUAGUAGUCUGUGAUAUUUAGAUGAUUUGAUAUAUGUCUGUAUUUUUAUAUAUAGUAUAUUUUAUGUCCCCAAGGUCGUUUACCUUGGGUCAUAAAAAUUUUACACUCAUUUUAUGACUUUUAAAAGAUGUAGUUUCAUAAAUAAUUUUAUUUUUUUCUUUCGAAUUAAAAUUCAGCAUUUGAAUUUUACACACAAAAAAAUCGCAAGAAUAAGAUAUGAAACUAUGCUUUACAAGAGUCUUAAAAUACGUGCUAAACGGUAGAAAAAACUGUAAACUAAUGAGAGGUACAUAGGGAGUAAUAAUAACAUAAAAUGAUGCACAAUCAUCGAAUUAAGUUUUCCUCUCUCUAUAUAUUUAUUUUGUAAAUUUUAAUAAGAUAAAGUUAUUAAAAUUUAUGAUAUAAAUUUAAGAGAUAUCUUAGAUUGAGUGGCAAAAAUUUAGUUGGGUGGUAAGUUUCUAAAAACACAAUAAAUUGAGUGGGAACAAAAUCUAUUUUCCCAAUAAUGAGUGGGAAUAAAAUCUAUUUUCCCAAUAAUCAAAGUGACGAAAAAUCAAAGUCAUCUAAUAAGUCCAGAAAAAAUAUGACCAUUAGUAUAUUGAAAUAAUAUUCACGCAUUUAUAUACGAGAAUAUAUGGUCCACAAGUUAGUGCACAAUGUCCAAGAAUCUUUAUCAAAUAACACGGCAAGCAUGCAGCAUAUAAAUAAGAGUGGGCAGUAUGGUAUUGCAUUCAUAACCCACUUGAGCAGAAAUAUGGCACACUUCCUAAAGCCUUCUCACCUUCUUCUCUUUGUUUUCUUUCUCUCGUUACUUCAAUCCAUUCUACCAACAAGACCAGAGGGAGAAGCUCUUGUGAAAUGGAAGAAUAGCCUAGCCCCGUCUUCUUUUCUCGAUUCUUGGUCACUAACCAAUCUCGAUAAUCUUUGUAACUGGACUGGCAUUACUUGUAACUCUGCAGGUUCAGUCUCUGGGAUUAACCUUUAUGAGAAACAACUUGAUGGAAUGCUGUCCGAGUUUGGCUUCACUUCAUUUCCGAAUCUCAACAAUCUCACCCUCGCAUACAACUUCUUCUCGGGUCCAAUACCACCAGCCAUUGAGAAUUUAACACAGCUUCAAUAUCUUGAUUUAAGCAUCAAUAGUCUCGAUGGUCCCAUUCCUUUCCAGGUUAGCCAUCUUCAGAGGUUGCUCGUCCUAAACCUGUCACAGAAUGCAUUGCAAGCUCCAAAUUGGUCCCAUUUCUCUUCCAUGCCUUUUUUGCGCAUCCUCAAGCUCAGUAGGAAUCAUCUUGUAUCGAAAUUUCCAGAAUUUAUAUCCAAUUCUCAUAGCUUGGCUAUCCUUGACCUUGGCCAGAACAACUUUACAGGUGAUCUUGUGCGUGAAUUUACCAAUCUACAAAAUCUUGAAACCCUCUGGCUUUAUCGUAAUUCUUUUGAGGGGCCAUUUCCGCCGGAUAUAGUCCAGCUUUCCAAACUAAAAGAUCUUGCCCUGUCAAGUAACAAAUUUUCAGGUUCAGUUCCCAAUAACAUAAGGUUGCUUUGUGAUCUUGAAUACCUAUAUUUAGGCAACAAUUCCUUUAAGGGGCCACUUCCACCAAAUAUAUUUAAGCUUUCAAAAUUAAAACAUCUUGUUCUUUGGAGUAAUAAGUUUUCAGGUUCUGUUUCCAAUGAUAUAGGUUUGCUUCAUGAGCUUGUAACCCUCAAUCUUAACUCUAAUUUUUUUGAGGGGCCGCUUCCGCCAAAUGUAUUCAAGCUCUCCAAACUAAAGUUUUUUGCCCUUCAUGAGAAUAACUUUUCAGGUUUUAUUUCUAAGGAUAUAGGUUUGCUUUCCGAACUUGAAAUCCUCUAUUUUGGCUCUAAUUUUUUUGAGGGGCCGCUUCCUCCACAUGUAUUUAGGCUCUCCAAAUUAAGAGGUCUGGACCUCUCACACAAUAGAAAUUUAUUUGAAGGAAGUAUUCCUAUUGGACUGGGACUCUUGACUAACCUCAGGUACUUAGAUCUACAUUCCAAUAAUCUCGGUGGCUAUAUUCCAUCUGACAUUGGAAACCUGAAGCUACUAGUACUUCUUGAUCUCGGUUCUAAUCAAUUGACUGGACCGCUUUCAAAGAUCGUUUCUAAUCUCACAAAUCUUAUAUGUCUUGAUGUAAGUCAUAAUAGUCUUAGUGGAAAUAUUCAGAGUGACUUGUGGAAAUAUAACGAUCAUCCAACUUUGGAAUACAUCAAUUUAAGUGGGAACCAUUUUACGGGUAUAGUUUUUCUCUAUAGAUCUUUUCCUUUUCUCAUAUGUAACUAAGCUAGUAAUCUGAUUAUUGCAGUUUCACCAAAGUUUCAACAAUCUUGACAGGUGAGCUUCCAACAACAAUUUGCAAUGUCACUUCCCUUUCGGUUCUUGAUUUGUCAAAUAAUGAAUUAAGUGGUGCACUUCCAAACUCUUUGGGGAAUCUUGCUGAUGGAAUGCUUUACCUUAAUCUUGCUAAUAAUCAGUUUCGAGGAACAAUACCAACUACUUUCUCCAGGAGUUGUCGGUUGACAUAUCUAAACAUGGAUAAUAAUGAGUUUGAAGGAUUGUUGCCCCCAUCUUUGGCGAACUGUAAGCACUUGAAAAUUCUUGAUAUAGGCAAUAAUAAAAUAGGUGGUACAUUUCCGUCAUGGCUUUAUGCACUUGGAGAGCUAGAAGUUCUUGUCUUGCGAUCAAAUAAACUCUAUGGUACAAUAAGUGGAAGGAGCAUAGAAGAUCCCUUCCCCAAGUUGCGGAUUGUGGAUCUGUCCCACAAUCAAUUGACAGGCUAUUUGCCAAUUCAAUACUUUAAGAAUAUGAAAUCAACUGAUAAUUUGUAUCGUUAUCAGAAUGACACAGGAGUUUUUUCUUUCCAUUAUGAAGCAUCUGUCUCAUUAACUGUGAAGGGAACAGAGUAUGAAGUGAAAAAUAUCCUUCAUAUUUACACAACCAUUGAUCUGUCCUGCAACAAGUUUCAAGGAGAAAUUCCUGACGUUAUUGGAGAGCUUAGAUGGCUUGCAUUGCUGAACUUAUCUCAUAAUAGUCUAACAGGACAUAUCCCAUCAUUGCUGAGAAAUAUGAAAGGACUCCAAUCUUUAGAUUUGUCUUCAAAUCAACUGAAAGGGGCUAUUCCACUUCAGUUAACUGCAUUGACAUUUCUAGAGGUCUUGAACCUCUCGGGAAACCAUCUUAGUGGAGAGAUUCCUCAGAAAGGGCAGUUCAGCACAUUUAACAUUGAUUCUUAUCUAGGAAACUCCGCGUUAUGUGGUUCACCUUUGAUGAAGAAAUGUGCAAACACAGCAUCACCUCCACAAGAAGCCGGAAAUGGUGAUGAAGAUGAAGCUGGUGAUGAAUUGACAUGGGAAGCAAUCGUGAUGGGAUAUGGAUGUGGACUGAUAUGUGGAUUGUCAUCUGCAUACAUUGUUCUCAAACUAGGAAAGCCUUGGUGGUUUGUGAGAUAUAUCGAAGUACUGCAACAGAAGUUGAUGAAAAGAUAUGCAUGAAGAAAGGUACUGGUAGAUCAAGAUGAACUUGAAAGUUGUUGUCGUGGUAGACAUUUGUGAACCAGUAGUGUACUAGCUGCAUAAGUAUUUGGUAUUAUGUAAUAAUCCGUUUGGUCGGGACUCAAAAUGAUUUCUCUUGCUUCAGGGGUAUUAAUAUUAACCUUGCUAUCUUGAUCAAUGUUAGGGCAAAUUAAAAAGAAUAUAAAAGCAAAAAAUUUGCAUCAAACACCUGUUGUACCAACAUGCAUCCAUUAAUUUGCUUUCAUCUAUUAAGUAACAAUUUAAGAGCGCUUCCACUCUGUUUAAGCAUGGAGAUAACACAAAGAAGGCAAGUCCAUGGACUAAUAUAUUAACACGUAGUCCACAUCUAUGGUAUGAACAAUUCAUAUUGCUCUUCUAUCUGUUCAACAGUCUCCCGAAGAUAGGCCAAAAAUGUCAUCUGUGGUUCUUAUGUUUGUCAGUGAAGGAGAAUCUCUGAUGCCUACACAACCUGGUGUUUUUACAGAAAGGAAUGUAGGUGAAACCAGGGGCGUAAAAUGAAUCAGGACUAAAAUCUGCUAAAAUGAUAAUUAUUUACUCAUCAUUCAAGAUUAGUCGGGCUCAAAGAUUUAUAUGGAUUUUAAGAACAAACUAUGACUAAAUAUGAAAAAAUCAUUAAUUUUUCCGACUCAAUAUUUUUUAGCCUCCCCCGGCCCUGGGUGAAACCAUAAGCUUCUCUGGUGCACAUCCAAAUCAUUCAGUUGGUUCUACUUUCAGCUCACCCACAGGAACAUCAUUCUGCAGGUACUCUUUUAUCUGUACUUUCUUAUAUUGUAUGCCAGUAAAUUUUAUAUCGACAAACUGCACAAUACACCUCGAUCUCAUAUUAUUGACAGGUGAGCUCCUCUCAUAAUGCUCACAGGCGAACCCCUGCAUAUAUACUUUGUGAUGUCAUUGAUGAUCGAUAGACUUGAAAAAAAAUUAUGACAAAGAUUCAUAAAAUAUCUACUUCCAUCCUAAUUCAGUAUUCAAUAUUAUUCAUUCGUAUCAUCAUCCAAUCAAUUCUAAUAGUUCUUCUUUAAAUCAGUACAAAUAUUGUUAAAUACCUGGAUGAUGGUUGUCUUUCCGCGAACCAAUCAUGAAAUUACCUCUGUAUAAAUCCAUCGGAAAUAAGACAGUUAAUAUCCCAAUCGAAUACACCCCGUCAGUUGUCAAACUCCUCGAAACGUAUUAAUCACUUUAGAAAAUUUGUUCCACUGGCGCUAGUCAGUCCCAGAGUUGGUGGUGGGUGCUUCUGGGCUUUCGAAAAGCACCCAUUUACUCCAUUGUUUAGAGAAGUAAAACCCCACCUUCCGCUCAUUUGAUUGAUCAGCUGAAUUAGGCAGAGUUUACAUGGUCAUGAUCAUAGUCUCCCAUAUAUCCCUGAUACGCACAUUAUAGUGGAUUUAUCUUUAUCAGUGAUUUCUGUGGAGAUGCAUAAUCAUUAUAAGCUCCAAUAUAAAAUUUUAAAGUUAGUAUGGGAAUUUGUGUUGAUAAUUUGCGCAAUGUUAACAGGAUUGCUCCCAAGUCUUGGACGGACUCUUUCAAAGUCUUCUCAGGACCCAUCUGCACACUAAUUUGUCUGCCAACUAAAAAAUCAACAAUAUGUUACUCCCUCCGUUUUUCUUAAACUGAGGUUAAAAUUUUUGACACAAGAUGGGUUGACAGUAUAAAAUUAAAAUAUUUGUGAAUAAAAAUUUUGGUUAUAUUUUUUAUUUAAAAAGAAAAUCUUGAAAAUAAUAUUAUUAACUACCAGUCAGAUCACUUAAGUGUAUGUCCAAAAUUAAAGCGGCAUAUAAAAAAAAGGGAGGAAGCAUGUACUAACUGUUUCCAUAACAGUUUACAAGUAUAAGCUAUACCCCCUCUCUAUUUUUUUCUAUGACAGCUUUGAUUUUGGGCACACAUUCUUAAGUGUUUUGACCGGAUAGUUAAAAAUUUAUCUUCUAAAAUUUUUAAAAAAAGUAAAAUCGCAAAAAAAAUUAGAAAGCUGGUAUUUUUGAUAAAUUUCCAAAUAUGUAAUCAAGAAAAAUAACUUUUACUAUCCAAUCAACUCAUUUAAAGAUGUGUGUCAAAAAUCAAAAUAUCAUACAAAAAAUAGGUAUACAUUUUUUUAAUAGAUUAUACUCCCUCUGUUCCAAAAUAAGUGUCAGCUGGGGGUAAUAACAAGACCUUAGUCAACCCAAGCACAGCAGACAGCAGGCAUAAGGCAUCAGGAAUUUCACAGGACCAUUAUCUUUCUCUUAUUAACUGUGAAGGGAACAGCGUAUGAAGUAGCAAGAACCUUCAUAUUUACACAGCCAUUGAUCUGUCGUGCAACAAAUUUCAGGGAGAAAUUCCAAAGGUUACCGGAGAGCUUAGAUGGCUUGCAUUGCUCAAUUUAUCGCAUAAUUAAUAGUCUGACAGGACCUAUCCCAACAUUGCUGAGAAAUAUGAAAUAACUCCAUUACUCCAAUCUUAGAUUUGUCCUCAAAUCAACUGACAGGGGCUAUUCCACCUCUGUUAACUGCAUUGACAUUACUUUUCUCUUUAUAUUCUUUCCUUUUGUAUGUACCUAUGCUAAUUAUCUGAUUAUUAAAAUUAUAACAAAGCUUCAAGAUUUUUAACAGGUGAGCUUCCACUAAAAAUUUGCAAAGUCACUUCCCUUUCGCGUCUCAUUAUGUUAGAUAAUGGGUCAAGUGGUGCACUUCCACAGUGUUUGGGGAACCUUUCUUUGCUUGGUUUCAAUAAUCUUGCUAAUUAUCAAUUUCAAGGACCAAUACCAACGACUGUCCAAGACUUGUCUGUGCAUAUCUAAACAUCCAUAACAAUCACUUUGAAGGUUUGUUGCUCCAAUCUUUGGCAAACUGUAAACACUUACAAAUUCUUGAUAUUGGAAACAACGUUGGAGAGCUAGAUGUCCCAGUUAGGGCGGUAAUUCGACUAGAGCAAACCGAGUUUUGAGCGGAGCCAAAUUCGAGCCAAGUUUAAUCGAGUCGAGCCGAGUCGGCUCGUUUAGCUAAUCGAGCCUAAAACUUAGCCCGAACUCGACUCAUUUAAUUUCACGAGUCGAGUCGAGCCAACUCGUUUAGCUAAAUGAGCUGAUUUUAACAAGUCGAGCGAGCGAGCUCGUAUAAUUUUAACUUAGUCGAGCCUGAAUCUCUACCCAAACUAUUGGCUCGUGUAAUUUCGCGAGUCGAAUCGAGCCGGCUCGUUUUAUUAAACAAGCCGAAAUUUUUGCCCGAAUUUGCUCGUUUAACAAGCCGAUCUGAGCCUAGUUAAAUGAGUUCGAGUUAGUCGAGCUCGCGAGCUGCGAGCUCACCUGCCAGCUCUAGUCCUAGUCUUGCAAUCAAAUAGGUUUAACGGUAUAGAAAGUGGAAGGAGCACAAGGCAUCCAUUCCCCAAGGCUAUUUACCAAUUCAGUACUUUGAGGAUACAAAAUCAUUCUGCAGGUACUCUUGUAUCUGUACUUUCUUGUACUGUAUGCCACUUUGACAGUAGAGUAAAAUUUAUAUCGACAAACUGCAUAUGUUCUGAACUACUCCUCUAUCCCAAAUUAGAUGAGCUAGUUGACUUUGAGCACGUAACUUAAGGUACAUUGACCAACUAGUUCCGAUAUUUAUUUUUUUAAUUUUUCUUUUGUAAAUGAAAAUUUCAUAUUUAAAUUUUUAUUUGCAAAACUAAAAUUUAAAAAUAUGUAAUGUGGCUAUGCGGUCAAUGUCAACGAGCUCAUCUAAUUUGGGAUUGGGAUGCAGGGAGUAUUACGUACUAUGUUAUGCAAGCUGUUUACAACUUUCAUCAAAAUUUUCAAACAUUUCUGAAUAUGUAUUUUCAAAGAAUUCUCGGGCACUCUUAAGGCCUAUAAUUAUUGGAACUCUCACGUUAUGGACCAGAGGACCACUAUGUAUUUUACAAGCACGACGAAUCAUGUGGUCAUUAUGGACUCCCCAAGCCUUAGAGGACUCAUUCCAGGUUUUAGGAGGACCACUGCCUAGCUCACCCUUUCGGAGUGAUGUAAAUUAGUUUCCAGACACUAAAAAUAAGUAAUCAGAUUAAUCAUUACAAAAUUUUGAUAUAAAAUCAGAAUAAAUCCUAAACUUUGAUGAUACAAAAAAAAUUAUAAUUGUAAAUUAUACAAUCAAAUUAAGAUCGAAUUAACUUCCCUCACACUUAAAAUUUAUAGCGAUCAAAUCAAAAUCGAAUUAACUUUCCUAUUACUAAAAUUUAAUUACAAUAUUAUUAGAUAAAGAGAAUAUAUAAUAAUCAAGAGAAAAUAGAUUUUUUUUUGCCACUCAACUUAUUGUGUUUUAAGAAACUUACCACCCAACUAAAUUUUUUUCCUUUUGCUCACUAAUGUUAGGUUUGGAUUUGUUUUUAGCCACCAAAUAAGGUUCGGAUUUGAUUACCAGCAUUAUGAUAAUUUUUUUUGUCACUAAACUUAUUGCGUCUUUAGAAACUAACCACUGAACUAAAUUUUUUUUAUUUUACUCACUAAUGUUAGAUUUAGUUUUUUUUGUCACUAUAGUUAGGUUCAGAUUUGAUUAUUAGCAUUACAUUAAUUCUGUGUAGCAUUUUUAAAAUAUGGUAGUAGUCUGUGAUAUUUAGAUGAUUUGAUAUAUGUCUGUAUUUUUAUAUAUAGUAUAUUUUAUGUCCCCAAGGUCGUUUACCUUGGGUCAUAAAAAUUUUACACUCAUUUUAUGACUUUUAAAAGAUGUAGUUUCAUAAAUAAUUUUAUUUUUUUCUUUCGAAUUAAAAUUCAGCAUUUGAAUUUUACACACAAAAAAAUCGCAAGAAUAAGAUAUGAAACUAUGCUUUACAAGAGUCUUAAAAUACGUGCUAAACGGUAGAAAAAACUGUAAACUAAUGAGAGGUACAUAGGGAGUAAUAAUAACAUAAAAUGAUGCACAAUCAUCGAAUUAAGUUUUCCUCUCUCUAUAUAUUUAUUUUGUAAAUUUUAAUAAGAUAAAGUUAUUAAAAUUUAUGAUAUAAAUUUAAGAGAUAUCUUAGAUUGAGUGGCAAAAAUUUAGUUGGGUGGUAAGUUUCUAAAAACACAAUAAAUUGAGUGGGAACAAAAUCUAUUUUCCCAAUAAUGAGUGGGAAUAAAAUCUAUUUUCCCAAUAAUCAAAGUGACGAAAAAUCAAAGUCAUCUAAUAAGUCCAGAAAAAAUAUGACCAUUAGUAUAUUGAAAUAAUAUUCACGCAUUUAUAUACGAGAAUAUAUGGUCCACAAGUUAGUGCACAAUGUCCAAGAAUCUUUAUCAAAUAACACGGCAAGCAUGCAGCAUAUAAAUAAGAGUGGGCAGUAUGGUAUUGCAUUCAUAACCCACUUGAGCAGAAAUAUGGCACACUUCCUAAAGCCUUCUCACCUUCUUCUCUUUGUUUUCUUUCUCUCGUUACUUCAAUCCAUUCUACCAACAAGACCAGAGGGAGAAGCUCUUGUGAAAUGGAAGAAUAGCCUAGCCCCGUCUUCUUUUCUCGAUUCUUGGUCACUAACCAAUCUCGAUAAUCUUUGUAACUGGACUGGCAUUACUUGUAACUCUGCAGGUUCAGUCUCUGGGAUUAACCUUUAUGAGAAACAACUUGAUGGAAUGCUGUCCGAGUUUGGCUUCACUUCAUUUCCGAAUCUCAACAAUCUCACCCUCGCAUACAACUUCUUCUCGGGUCCAAUACCACCAGCCAUUGAGAAUUUAACACAGCUUCAAUAUCUUGAUUUAAGCAUCAAUAGUCUCGAUGGUCCCAUUCCUUUCCAGGUUAGCCAUCUUCAGAGGUUGCUCGUCCUAAACCUGUCACAGAAUGCAUUGCAAGCUCCAAAUUGGUCCCAUUUCUCUUCCAUGCCUUUUUUGCGCAUCCUCAAGCUCAGUAGGAAUCAUCUUGUAUCNUUUUUAUUUAAAAAGAAAAUCUUGAAAAUAAUAUUAUUAACUACCAGUCAGAUCACUUAAGUGUAUGUCCAAAAUUAAAGCGGCAUAUAAAAAAAAGGGAGGAAGCAUGUACUAACUGUUUCCAUAACAGUUUACAAGUAUAAGCUAUACCCCCUCUCUAUUUUUUUCUAUGACAGCUUUGAUUUUGGGCACACAUUCUUAAGUGUUUUGACCGGAUAGUUAAAAAUUUAUCUUCUAAAAUUUUUAAAAAAAGUAAAAUCGCAAAAAAAAUUAGAAAGCUGGUAUUUUUGAUAAAUUUCCAAAUAUGUAAUCAAGAAAAAUAACUUUUACUAUCCAAUCAACUCAUUUAAAGAUGUGUGUCAAAAAUCAAAAUAUCAUACAAAAAAUAGGUAUACAUUUUUUUAAUAGAUUAUACUCCCUCUGUUCCAAAAUAAGUGUCAGCUGGGGGUAAUAACAAGACCUUAGUCAACCCAAGCACAGCAGACAGCAGGCAUAAGGCAUCAGGAAUUUCACAGGACCAUUAUCUUUCUCUUAUUAACUGUGAAGGGAACAGCGUAUGAAGUAGCAAGAACCUUCAUAUUUACACAGCCAUUGAUCUGUCGUGCAACAAAUUUCAGGGAGAAAUUCCAAAGGUUACCGGAGAGCUUAGAUGGCUUGCAUUGCUCAAUUUAUCGCAUAAUUAAUAGUCUGACAGGACCUAUCCCAACAUUGCUGAGAAAUAUGAAAUAACUCCAUUACUCCAAUCUUAGAUUUGUCCUCAAAUCAACUGACAGGGGCUAUUCCACCUCUGUUAACUGCAUUGACAUUACUUUUCUCUUUAUAUUCUUUCCUUUUGUAUGUACCUAUGCUAAUUAUCUGAUUAUUAAAAUUAUAACAAAGCUUCAAGAUUUUUAACAGGUGAGCUUCCACUAAAAAUUUGCAAAGUCACUUCCCUUUCGCGUCUCAUUAUGUUAGAUAAUGGGUCAAGUGGUGCACUUCCACAGUGUUUGGGGAACCUUUCUUUGCUUGGUUUCAAUAAUCUUGCUAAUUAUCAAUUUCAAGGACCAAUACCAACGACUGUCCAAGACUUGUCUGUGCAUAUCUAAACAUCCAUAACAAUCACUUUGAAGGUUUGUUGCUCCAAUCUUUGGCAAACUGUAAACACUUACAAAUUCUUGAUAUUGGAAACAACGUUGGAGAGCUAGAUGUCCCAGUUAGGGCGGUAAUUCGACUAGAGCAAACCGAGUUUUGAGCGGAGCCAAAUUCGAGCCAAGUUUAAUCGAGUCGAGCCGAGUCGGCUCGUUUAGCUAAUCGAGCCUAAAACUUAGCCCGAACUCGACUCAUUUAAUUUCACGAGUCGAGUCGAGCCAACUCGUUUAGCUAAAUGAGCUGAUUUUAACAAGUCGAGCGAGCGAGCUCGUAUAAUUUUAACUUAGUCGAGCCUGAAUCUCUACCCAAACUAUUGGCUCGUGUAAUUUCGCGAGUCGAAUCGAGCCGGCUCGUUUUAUUAAACAAGCCGAAAUUUUUGCCCGAAUUUGCUCGUUUAACAAGCCGAUCUGAGCCUAGUUAAAUGAGUUCGAGUUAGUCGAGCUCGCGAGCUGCGAGCUCACCUGCCAGCUCUAGUCCUAGUCUUGCAAUCAAAUAGGUUUAACGGUAUAGAAAGUGGAAGGAGCACAAGGCAUCCAUUCCCCAAGGCUAUUUACCAAUUCAGUACUUUGAGGAUACAAAAUCAUUCUGCAGGUACUCUUGUAUCUGUACUUUCUUGUACUGUAUGCCACUUUGACAGUAGAGUAAAAUUUAUAUCGACAAACUGCAUAUGUUCUGAACUACUCCUCUAUCCCAAAUUAGAUGAGCUAGUUGACUUUGAGCACGUAACUUAAGGUACAUUGACCAACUAGUUCCGAUAUUUAUUUUUUUAAUUUUUCUUUUGUAAAUGAAAAUUUCAUAUUUAAAUUUUUAUUUGCAAAACUAAAAUUUAAAAAUAUGUAAUGUGGCUAUGCGGUCAAUGUCAACGAGCUCAUCUAAUUUGGGAUUGGGAUGCAGGGAGUAUUACGUACUAUGUUAUGCAAGCUGUUUACAACUUUCAUCAAAAUUUUCAAACAUUUCUGAAUAUGUAUUUUCAAAGAAUUCUCGGGCACUCUUAAGGCCUAUAAUUAUUGGAACUCUCACGUUAUGGACCAGAGGACCACUAUGUAUUUUACAAGCACGACGAAUCAUGUGGUCAUUAUGGACUCCCCAAGCCUUAGAGGACUCAUUCCAGGUUUUAGGAGGACCACUGCCUAGCUCACCCUUUCGGAGUGAUGUAAAUUAGUUUCCAGACACUAAAAAUAAGUAAUCAGAUUAAUCAUUACAAAAUUUUGAUAUAAAAUCAGAAUAAAUCCUAAACUUUGAUGAUACAAAAAAAAUUAUAAUUGUAAAUUAUACAAUCAAAUUAAGAUCGAAUUAACUUCCCUCACACUUAAAAUUUAUAGCGAUCAAAUCAAAAUCGAAUUAACUUUCCUAUUACUAAAAUUUAAUUACAAUAUUAUUAGAUAAAGAGAAUAUAUAAUAAUCAAGAGAAAAUAGAUUUUUUUUUGCCACUCAACUUAUUGUGUUUUAAGAAACUUACCACCCAACUAAAUUUUUUUCCUUUUGCUCACUAAUGUUAGGUUUGGAUUUGUUUUUAGCCACCAAAUAAGGUUCGGAUUUGAUUACCAGCAUUAUGAUAAUUUUUUUUGUCACUAAACUUAUUGCGUCUUUAGAAACUAACCACUGAACUAAAUUUUUUUUAUUUUACUCACUAAUGUUAGAUUUAGUUUUUUUUGUCACUAUAGUUAGGUUCAGAUUUGAUUAUUAGCAUUACAUUAAUUCUGUGUAGCAUUUUUAAAAUAUGGUAGUAGUCUGUGAUAUUUAGAUGAUUUGAUAUAUGUCUGUAUUUUUAUAUAUAGUAUAUUUUAUGUCCCCAAGGUCGUUUACCUUGGGUCAUAAAAAUUUUACACUCAUUUUAUGACUUUUAAAAGAUGUAGUUUCAUAAAUAAUUUUAUUUUUUUCUUUCGAAUUAAAAUUCAGCAUUUGAAUUUUACACACAAAAAAAUCGCAAGAAUAAGAUAUGAAACUAUGCUUUACAAGAGUCUUAAAAUACGUGCUAAACGGUAGAAAAAACUGUAAACUAAUGAGAGGUACAUAGGGAGUAAUAAUAACAUAAAAUGAUGCACAAUCAUCGAAUUAAGUUUUCCUCUCUCUAUAUAUUUAUUUUGUAAAUUUUAAUAAGAUAAAGUUAUUAAAAUUUAUGAUAUAAAUUUAAGAGAUAUCUUAGAUUGAGUGGCAAAAAUUUAGUUGGGUGGUAAGUUUCUAAAAACACAAUAAAUUGAGUGGGAACAAAAUCUAUUUUCCCAAUAAUGAGUGGGAAUAAAAUCUAUUUUCCCAAUAAUCAAAGUGACGAAAAAUCAAAGUCAUCUAAUAAGUCCAGAAAAAAUAUGACCAUUAGUAUAUUGAAAUAAUAUUCACGCAUUUAUAUACGAGAAUAUAUGGUCCACAAGUUAGUGCACAAUGUCCAAGAAUCUUUAUCAAAUAACACGGCAAGCAUGCAGCAUAUAAAUAAGAGUGGGCAGUAUGGUAUUGCAUUCAUAACCCACUUGAGCAGAAAUAUGGCACACUUCCUAAAGCCUUCUCACCUUCUUCUCUUUGUUUUCUUUCUCUCGUUACUUCAAUCCAUUCUACCAACAAGACCAGAGGGAGAAGCUCUUGUGAAAUGGAAGAAUAGCCUAGCCCCGUCUUCUUUUCUCGAUUCUUGGUCACUAACCAAUCUCGAUAAUCUUUGUAACUGGACUGGCAUUACUUGUAACUCUGCAGGUUCAGUCUCUGGGAUUAACCUUUAUGAGAAACAACUUGAUGGAAUGCUGUCCGAGUUUGGCUUCACUUCAUUUCCGAAUCUCAACAAUCUCACCCUCGCAUACAACUUCUUCUCGGGUCCAAUACCACCAGCCAUUGAGAAUUUAACACAGCUUCAAUAUCUUGAUUUAAGCAUCAAUAGUCUCGAUGGUCCCAUUCCUUUCCAGGUUAGCCAUCUUCAGAGGUUGCUCGUCCUAAACCUGUCACAGAAUGCAUUGCAAGCUCCAAAUUGGUCCCAUUUCUCUUCCAUGCCUUUUUUGCGCAUCCUCAAGCUCAGUAGGAAUCAUCUUGUAUCGAAAUUUCCAGAAUUUAUAUCCAAUUCUCAUAGCUUGGCUAUCCUUGACCUUGGCCAGAACAACUUUACAGGUGAUCUUGUGCGUGAAUUUACCAAUCUACAAAAUCUUGAAACCCUCUGGCUUUAUCGUAAUUCUUUUGAGGGGCCAUUUCCGCCGGAUAUAGUCCAGCUUUCCAAACUAAAAGAUCUUGCCCUGUCAAGUAACAAAUUUUCAGGUUCAGUUCCCAAUAACAUAAGGUUGCUUUGUGAUCUUGAAUACCUAUAUUUAGGCAACAAUUCCUUUAAGGGGCCACUUCCACCAAAUAUAUUUAAGCUUUCAAAAUUAAAACAUCUUGUUCUUUGGAGUAAUAAGUUUUCAGGUUCUGUUUCCAAUGAUAUAGGUUUGCUUCAUGAGCUUGUAACCCUCAAUCUUAACUCUAAUUUUUUUGAGGGGCCGCUUCCGCCAAAUGUAUUCAAGCUCUCCAAACUAAAGUUUUUUGCCCUUCAUGAGAAUAACUUUUCAGGUUUUAUUUCUAAGGAUAUAGGUUUGCUUUCCGAACUUGAAAUCCUCUAUUUUGGCUCUAAUUUUUUUGAGGGGCCGCUUCCUCCACAUGUAUUUAGGCUCUCCAAAUUAAGAGGUCUGGACCUCUCACACAAUAGAAAUUUAUUUGAAGGAAGUAUUCCUAUUGGACUGGGACUCUUGACUAACCUCAGGUACUUAGAUCUACAUUCCAAUAAUCUCGGUGGCUAUAUUCCAUCUGACAUUGGAAACCUGAAGCUACUAGUACUUCUUGAUCUCGGUUCUAAUCAAUUGACUGGACCGCUUUCAAAGAUCGUUUCUAAUCUCACAAAUCUUAUAUGUCUUGAUGUAAGUCAUAAUAGUCUUAGUGGAAAUAUUCAGAGUGACUUGUGGAAAUAUAACGAUCAUCCAACUUUGGAAUACAUCAAUUUAAGUGGGAACCAUUUUACGGGUAUAGUUUUUCUCUAUAGAUCUUUUCCUUUUCUCAUAUGUAACUAAGCUAGUAAUCUGAUUAUUGCAGUUUCACCAAAGUUUCAACAAUCUUGACAGGUGAGCUUCCAACAACAAUUUGCAAUGUCACUUCCCUUUCGGUUCUUGAUUUGUCAAAUAAUGAAUUAAGUGGUGCACUUCCAAACUCUUUGGGGAAUCUUGCUGAUGGAAUGCUUUACCUUAAUCUUGCUAAUAAUCAGUUUCGAGGAACAAUACCAACUACUUUCUCCAGGAGUUGUCGGUUGACAUAUCUAAACAUGGAUAAUAAUGAGUUUGAAGGAUUGUUGCCCCCAUCUUUGGCGAACUGUAAGCACUUGAAAAUUCUUGAUAUAGGCAAUAAUAAAAUAGGUGGUACAUUUCCGUCAUGGCUUUAUGCACUUGGAGAGCUAGAAGUUCUUGUCUUGCGAUCAAAUAAACUCUAUGGUACGAUAAGUGGAAGGAGCAUAGAAGAUCCCUUCCCCAAGUUGCGGAUUGUGGAUCUGUCCCACAAUCAAUUGACAGGCUAUUUGCCAAUUCAAUACUUUAAGAAUAUGAAAUCAACUGAUAAUUUGUAUCGUUAUCGGAAUUCCACAGGACCAUUAUCUUUCUCUUAUGAAGCAGCAGUCUCAUUAACUGUGAAGGGAACAGAGUACGAGGUAGCAAAGAACCUUCAUAUUUACACAGCCAUUGACCUGUCGUGCAACAAAUUUCAGGGAGAAAUUCCAAAGGUUACUGGAGAGCUUAGAUGGCUUGCAUUGCUGAAUUUAUCUCAUAAUAGUCUGACAGGACCUAUCCCAUCCUUGCUGAAAAAUAUGAAAGAACUCCAAUCUUUAGAUUUGUCCUCAAAUCAACUGACAGGGGCUAUUCCACCUCAGUUAACUGCAUUGACAUUUCUGGAGGUCUUCAACCUCUCGGGAAACCAUCUUAGUGGAGAGAUUCCUCAGAAAGGGCAGUUCAGCACAUUUAACAAUGAUUCUUAUCUAGGAAACUCCGCGUUAUGUGGAUCACCUUUGACAAAGAAAUGUGCAAACACAGCAUCACCUCCACAAGAAGUCGGAAAUGGUGAUGAAGAUGAUGCUGGUGAUGAAUGGACAUGGGAAGCAAUCGUGAUGGGAUAUGGAUGUGGACUGAUAUGUGGAUUGUCAUCUGCGUACAUUGUUCUCAAACUAGGAAAGCCUUGGUGGUUUGUGAGAUAUAUCGAAGUGCUGCAACUGAAGUUGAUGAAAAGAUAUGCUUGAAAAAUUGUACUGGCCGAUCAAGACGAACUUGAAAGUUGUUGUCCUUGUGGACAUUUCUGAACCAGUAGUGUACUAGCUGCAUAAGUAUUUGGUAUUAUGUAAUAAUCCGUUUGGUCAGGACUCAUAAUGAUUUCUCUUGCUUCAGGGGUAUUAAUAUUAACCUUGCUAGUUAAUUCAAAUUAAAACAAAUAUAAAAUCAAAAAAUUUGCAUCAAACACCUGUUAUACCAACAUCCAUUAAUUUGCUUUCAUCUCUUACGUAACAAUUUAACAGCGAUUCCACACUGUUUUAGGCAUGGAGAUUACACAAAGAAGGCAAGUCCAUGAACUAAUAUAUUAACCCGUAGUCCACAUCUAUGCUACGAACAAUUCAUAUUGGUCUUCCAUCUAUUCAACCGUCUCCCGAAGAUAGGCCAAAAAUGUCAUCUGUGGUUCUUAUCUUUGUCAGUAAAGGAGAAUCUCUGAUGCCUAUACAACCUGGUUUUCUUACAGAAAGGAAUGUAGGUGAAACCAGGGGCAUAAAAUGAAUCGGGACUAAAAUCUGCUAAAAUGAUAAUUAUUUACUCAUCAUUCGAGAUUAGUCGGGCUCAAAUGAAGAUUUAUAUGGAUUUUAAGAACAAACUAUGACUAAAUAUGAAAACUAGACAACCUGGUUUUCUUACAGAAAGGAAUGUAGGUGAAACCAGGGGCGUAAAAUGAAUCGGGACUAAAAUCUGCUAAAAUGAUAGUAAUUAUUUACUCAUCAUUCAAGAUUAGUCGGGCUCAAAUGAAGAUUUAUAUGGAUUUUUAAGAACAAACUAUGACUAAAUAUGAAAAAAAUCAUUAAUUUUUCCGACUCAAUAUUUUUUAGCCUCCCCCGGCCCUGGGUGAAACCAUAAGCUUCUCUGGUGCACAUCCAAAUCAUUCAGCUGGUUCUGCAGGUACUCUUCUAUCUGUACUUUCUUAUAUUGUUUGCCAGUACAUUUUAUAUCGACAAACUGCACAAUACACCUCGAUCUCAUACACAGGUGAACUCCUGCAUAUGCUUUGUGAUGUCAUUGAUGAUCGAUAGACUUGAAAAAAAAUUAUGACAAAGAUUCAUAAAAUAUCUACUUCCAUCCUAAUUCAGUAUUCAAUAUUAUUCAUCCCGUAUCAUCAUCCAAUCAAUUCUAAUAGUUCUUCUUUAAAUCAGUACAAAUAUUGUUAAAUACCUCGAUGAUGGUUGUCUUCCCGUGAACCAAUCAUAAAAUUACCUCUGUAUAAAUCCAUCGGAAAUAAGACAGUUAAUAUCCCAAUCGAAUACACCCCGUCAGUUGUCAAACUCCUCGAAACGUAUUAAUCACUUUAGAAAAUUUGUUCCACUGGCGCUAGUCAGUCCCAGAGUUGGUGGUGGGUGCUUCUGGGCUUUCGAAAAACACCCAUUUACUCCAUUGUUUAGAGAAGUAAAACCCCACCUUCCGCUCAUUUGAUUGAUCAGCUGAAUUAGGCAGAGUUUACAUGGUCAUGAUCAUAGUCUCCCAUUUCCCAGAUACGCGAAUUAUAGUGGAUUUAUCUUUAUCAGUAAUUUCUGUGGAGAUGCAUAAUCAUUAUAAGCUCCAAUAUAAAAAUUUAAAGUUAGUAUGGGCAUUUGUGUUGAUAAUUUGCGCAAUGUUAACAGGAUUGCUCCCAAGUCUUGGACGGACUCUUUCAAAGUCUUCUCAGGACCCAUCUGCACACUGAUUUGUCUGCCAACUAAAAAAUCAACAAUAUGUUACUCACUCCGUUUUUCUUAAACGAGGUUAAAAUUUUUGACACAAGAUGGGUUGACAGUAUAAUAAAAUUAACAUUUUUGUGAAUAAAAAUUUUGGUUGUAUUAUUUUAUUUAGAAAAAGAAAAUCUUGAAAAUAAUAUUAUUAACUACCCAGUCAAAUCACUUAAAAGUAUAUGUCCAAAAUUAAAGCGGCAUAUAAAAAAACCGAGAGAGAGUAUGUACUAACCUGUUUCCAUAACAGUUUACAAGUAUAAGUUAUACUCCCUCUCUAUUUUUUUAUAUGACGCUUUGAUUUUGGGCACAUAUUUUUAAGUGUUUUGACCGGAUAAUUAAAAAUAUUAUUUUCUAAAAUUUUUAAAAGAAAGUAAAAUUGAAAAAAAAAUAGAAAGCUGGUAUUUUUGAUAAAUUUCCAAACAUAAUCAAGAACAAUAAUUUUUACUAUCCAAUCAACUCAUUUACAGAUGUGUGUCAAAAAUCAAAAUAUCAUAUAAAAAACAACAAUAUGUUACUCCCUCCGUUUUUCUUAAACUGAGGUUAAAAUUUUUGACACAAGAUGGGUUGACAGUAUAAAAUUAAAAUUUUUGUGAAUAAAAAUUUUGGUUAUAUUUUUUAUUUAAAAAGAAAAUCUUGAAAAUAAUAUUAUUAACUACCAGUCAGAUCACUUAAGUGUAUGUCCAAAAUUAAAGCGGCAUAUAAAAAAAAGGGAGGAAGCAUGUACUAACUGUUUCCAUAACAGUUUACAAGUACAAGUUAUACUCCCUCUCUAUUUUUUCUAUGACGCUUUGAUUUUGGGCACACAUUCUUAAGUGUUUUGACCGGAUAGUUAAAAAUUUAUCUUCUAAAAUUUUUAAAAAGAAGUAAAAUCGCAAAAAAAAUUAGAAAGCUGGUAUUUUUGAUAAAUUUCCAAAUAUGUAAUCAAGAACAAUAACUUUUACUAUCCAAUCAACUCAUUUAAAGAUGUGUGUCAAAAAUCAAAAUAUCAUACAAAAAAUAGGUAUACAUUUUUUUUAAUAGAUUAUACUCCCUCUGUUCCAAAAUAAUUGUCAGCUGUGACAUUUUGCAAAAGUAGCUGGGGGGUAAUAACAAGACCUUAGUCAACCCAAGCACAGCAGACAGCAGGCAUAAGGCAUCAGGAAUUUCACAGCACCAUUAUCUUUCUCUUAUUAACUGUGAAGGGAACAGAGUAUGAAGUAGCAAGAACCUUCAUAUUUACACAGCCAUUGAUCUGUCGUGCAACGAAUUUCAGGGAGAAAUUUCAAAGGUUACUGGAGAGCUUAGAUGGCUUGCAUUGCUCAAUUUAUCUCAUAAUAGUCUCACAGGACCUAUCCCAUCAUUGCUGAGAAAAAUGAAAGAACUCCAAUCUUUAGAUUUGUCCUCAAAUCAACUGACAGGGGCUAUUCCACCUCAGUUAACUGCAUUGACAUUACUUUUCUCUUUAUAUCCUUUCCUUUUGUAUGUACCUAUGCUAAUUAUCUGAUUAUCAAAAUUAUAACAAAGCUUCAAGAUUUUUAACAGGUGAGCUUCCACUAAAAAUUUGCAAAGUCACUUCCCUUUCGCGUCUCAUUAUGUCAGAUAAUGGGUCAAGUGGUGCACAUCCACAGUGUUUGGGGAACCUUUCUUUGCUUGGUUUCAAUAAUCUUGCUAAUUAUCAAUUUCAAGGACCAAUACCAACGACUGUCCAAGACUUGUCUGUGCAUAUCUAAACAUCCAUAACAAUCACUUUGAAGGUUUGUUGCUGCAAUCUUUGACAAACUGUAAACACUUACAAAUUCUUGAUAUUGGAAACAACAAAAUAGGUGGUACAUUUCGGUCAUGGCUAUUUAUUUUGGAGAGCUAGAUGUCCUAGUUAGGGCGGUAAUUCAACUAGAGCAAACCGAGUUUUGAGCGGAGCCAAAUUCGAGCCAAGUUUAAUCGAGUCAAGCCGAGUCGGCUCGUUUAGCUAAUCGAGCCUAAAACUCUGCCCGAACUCGACUCGUUUAAUUUCACGAACGAGUCAAGCGAGUGAGCUCGUAUAAUUUUAACUUAAUCGAGCCUAAAUCUCUACCCGAACUAUUGGCUCGUGUAAUUUCGCGAGUAGAAUCGAGCCGGCUCGUUUUAUUAUAGAAGCCGAAAUUUUUGCCCGAAUUUGGCUUGUUUAACAAGCCGAUCUUUCAUCAAAAAUUUCAAACAUUUCUGAAUAUGUAUUUUCAGAGAAUUUCUCCAGCACUCUUAAGGCCUAUAAUUAUUGCAACUCUCACGUUAUGGACCACUGUGUAUUUUACAAGCACGACGAAUCAUGUUGUCAUUAUGGACUCCCCAAGCCUUAGAGGACUCAUUCCAGGUCUUAGGAGGACCACUGCCUAGCUCACCCUUUCGGAGUGAUGUAAAUUAUUUUCCAAACAUUAAAAAUAAAUAAUCAGAUUAAUCAAUACAAAAUUAAAGAUAUAAAAUCAGAAUAAAUCCUAAACUUUGAAUAUACAAAAAAAAUUAUAAUUGUAAAUUAUACAAUCAAAUUAAAAUUGAAUUAACUUCCCUCACACUUAAAAUUUAUAGCGAUCAAAUCAAAAUCGAAUUAACUUUCCUAUUACUAAAAUUUAGUUACAAUAUUAUUAGAUAAAGAGAAUAUAUAAUAAUCAAGGGAAAAUAGAUUUUUUUUUUUUGCCACUCAACUUAUUGUUUUUUAAGAAACUUACCACCCAACUAAUUAUUUUUUCCUUUUGCUCACUAAUGUUAGGUUUGGAUUUGUUUUUAGCCACCAACUAAGGUUCGGAUUUGAUUACUAGCAUUAUGAUAAUUUUUUUUGUCACUAAACUUAUUGUGUCUUUAGAAACUAACCACUCAACUAAUUUUUUUUUAAUUUACUCACUAAUGUUAGGUUCAGUUUUUUUUUGUCACUGAAGUUAGGUUCGGAUUUGAUUAUUAGCAUUACAUUAAUUCUGUGUAGCAUUUUUAAAAUAUGGCUCAUAAGAAUUUUACACGCAUUUUAUGACUUUUAAAAGAUGUAGUUUCAUUAAUAAUUUUAUUUUUUUCUUCCGAAUUAAAAUUUAGCGUUUGAAUUUUACACACAAAAAAUCGAAAGAAUAAGUUAUGAAAGUAUGCUUUAUAAGAGUCUUAAAAUACGUGCUAAACGGUAGAAAAAACUGUACACUAAUGACAGGUAAAUAGGGAGUAAUAAUAACAUAAAAUGAUGCACAAUCAUCGAAUUAAGUUUUCCUCUCUCUAUAUAUUUAUUUUGAAAAUUUUAAUAAGAUAAAGUUAUUAAAAUUUAUGAUAUAAAUUUAAGAGAUAUCUUAGAUUGAGUGGCAAAAAUUUAGUUGGGUGAUAAAUUUCUAAAAACACAAUAAAUUGAAUGGGAACAAAAUCUAUUUUCCCGAUAAUCAAAGUGACGAAAAAUCAAAGUCAUCUAAUAAGUCCAGAAAAAAUAUGACCAUUAGUAUAUCGGAAUAAUAUUCACACAUUUAUAUACGAGAAUAUAUGGUCCACAAGUUAGUGCACAAUGUCCAAGAAUCUUUAUUAAAGUAACACGGCAAGCAUGCAGCAUAUAAAUAAGAGUGGGCACUGGGCAGUAUGGUAUUGCAUUCAUAACCCACUUGAGGAGAAAUAUGGCACACUUCCUAAAGCCUUCUCACCUUCUUCUCUUUGUUUUCUUUCUCUCGUUACUUCAAUCCAUUCUACUAACAAGACCAGAGGGAGAAGCUCUUGUGAAAUGGAAGAAUAGCCUUGCCCCUUCUUCUUUUCUCGAUUCUUGGUCACUCACCAAUCUCGAUGAUCUUUGUAACUGGACUGGCAUUACUUGUAACUCUGCAGGUUCAGUCUCUGAGAUUAACCUUUAUGAGAAACAACUUGAUGGAAUGCUGUCCGAGUUUAGUUUCACUUCAUUUCCAAAUCUUAACAGUCUCACUCUCGCAUACAACUUCUUCUCGGGUCCAAUACCACCAGCCAUUGAGAAUUUAACACAGCUUCAAUAUCUUGAUUUAAGCAUCAAUAGUCUCGAUGGUCUCAUUCCGUUCCAGGUUAGCCAUCUUCAGAGGUUGCUCGUCUUAAACCUGUCACAGAAUGCAUUGCAAGCUCCAAAUUGGUCCCAAUUCUCUCCCAUGCCCUUUUUGUGCAGCCUCAACCUCAGUAGCAAUCCUCUUGCGUCGAAAUUCCCAAAUUUCAUAUCCAAUUCUCAUGGCCUGACUCACCUUAGCCUUGAUCAAAACGAGUUUACAGGUGAUUUAGCGCGUGAAUCAAUAUUUGCCAAUCUGCAUAAUCUUGAAGUCCUCAGUCUUGUUGGCAAUUCUUUUGAGGGGCCAUUUCUGCCAAAUAUAUUCAAGCUUUCCAAAUUAAAACGUCUCACCCUGUCAAGUAACAAAUUUUUAGGAUCAAUUCCCAAUGACAUAAGGUUGCUUUGUGAUCUUGAAUUCCUGUAUUUAGGAAACAAUUCUUUUGAAGGACCGCUUCCACCAAAUAUAUUCAAGCUUUCAAAAUUAAAACAUCUUGUUCUUUGGAGUAAUAAGUUUUCAGGUUCUGUUUCCAAUGAUAUAGGUUUGCUUUCUGCGCUUGAACUUUUGAAUCUUCACUCUAAUUUUUUUGAGGGGCCGCUUCCGCCAAAUGUAUUCAAGCUCUCUAAACUAAGGUUUCUUAACCUCUGGGGUAACAACUUUUCAGGUUCUGUUUCCAAUGAUAUAGGUUUGCUUCCGGAGCUAGAAAUCCUCAAUCUUCACUCUAAUUUUUUUGAGGGCCGCUUCCGCCAAAUAUAUUCAAGCUCUCUAAACUAAGGUUUCUUAACCUUUGGGGUAAUAACUUUUCAGGUUCUGUUUCCAAUGAUAUAGGUUUGCUUCCUGAGCUAGAAUUCCUCAAUCUUCACUCUAAUUUUUUUGAGGGUCCGCUUCCGCCAAAUGUAUUCAAGCUCUCUAAACUAAAGUUUCUUCAUCUUCGAGGUAAUAAGUUUUCAGGUUCUGUUUCCAAUGAUAUAGGUUUGCUUCCUGAGCUUGAAAUCCUCAAUCUUCGCUCUAAUUUUUUUGAGGGGCCGCUUCCGCCAAAUGUAUUCAAGCUCUCCAAACUAAGGUUUCUUUCCCUUAAGGAAAAUAAAUUUUCAGGUUCUGUUUCCAAUGAUAUAGGUUUCCUUUCUGAGCUUGAAUACCUAUAUCUUGACUAUAAUUUAUUUGAAGGAAGUAUUCCUAUUGGACUGGGACUCUUGACUAACCUCAGCUACUUAGAUCUAAGUUCCAAUAAUCUCAGUGGCUAUAUUCCAUCUGACAUUGGAAACCUGAAGCUACUAGUAUUUCUUGAUCUCAGUUCUAACCAAUUGACUGGACCGCUUUUAAAGAUCGUUUCUAAUCUCACAAAUCUUAUGAAUCUUGAUGUAAGUGAUAAUAGUCUUAGUGGAAAUAUUCAGAGUGACUUGUGGAAGAACUCUAUAUCCUUACGUUACAUUAAUUUUGCAAAUAAUUAUUUGUCUGGGAACAUUCCUAAGGAAUACAACGAUCAUCCAACUUUGGAAUACAUCAAUUUAAGUGGGAACCAUUUUACAGGUAUAUUUUUCUCUAUAUAUCUUUUCCUUUUCUCAUAUGUAACUAAGCUGGUAAUCUGAUUAUUGCAGUUUUACCAAAGUUUCAACAAUCUUGACAGGUGAGCUUCCAACAACAAUUUGCAAUGUCACUUCCCUUGCGGUUCUUGUUUUGUCAAAUAAUGGAUUAAGUGGAGCACUUCCAAAUUGUUUCGGGAAACUUGCUGAUAGAUUGCUUUCCAUUAAUCUUGCUAAUAAUCAGUUUCGAGGAACAAUACCAACUACUUUCUCCAGGAGUUGUCAGGUGAAAUAUCUAAACAUGGAUAAUAAUGAGUUUGAAGGAUUCUUGCCCCCAUCUUUGGCGAACUGUAAGCACUUGAAAAUUCUUGAUAUUGGCAAUAACAAAAUAGGUGGUCCAUUUCCGUCAUGGCUUUAUGUACUUGGAGAGAUAGAAGUCCUUGUCUUGCGAUUAAAUAAACUCUAUGGUACAAUAAGUGGAAGGAGCGUAAAAGAUCCCUUCCCCAAGUUGCGGAUUGUGGAUCAAUAGACAUCGGCUAAAAAGCGAUGUCUAUGUAAAAUCAGACCGAUGUCUUCGUGGGUGAUGAGAAAAGUAAGUGCAUUACACAUCGCUUUCUAGCCGAUGUCUAUAACCUAUUUACACAUCGUUUAAUAUGACAAUCUGAUGUAUUUUUUAACAGUAGAUACCUUCACUAUAAUUUCAGUUCCUCAUUCCUAUGCCCUCUAUAUCAUUUUAAACUUGUCACAUGCUUAAUAAAAUGAUACUUUAACAUCUUAAAACUUGUAAAAUAGAUGUAUAUGAUAACCUUUUACAUCAUGCUUUUAUAGGAAGUGAUGUGGUACCCUUCUUUUCUUUAAGAAAGCGAUGUCUUUGUUCUUGUUUUACAUCAGUGAUUUUUAUACUCUGAUAUCUAUUAUAUAGUUUAACAUCAGGCUUUUUCUUGUUAACUGAUAUGUAUUCAUUCUUAUGACAUCGCUUACUAAGUGAUGUAAAUGUUAGUUUUAAAUUGCCAUGAAUCCUCCUGUUUCUUAUGAAUCCCCCUGUUUCAUUUAAAUUUCCAACAAAUUCCAAAACAACACCAAAGCUAUACUAAUUAAACAACCAAUUACCAAUGUCUAGCCUACCAUAACAGAACUAAAACAAAACUAGCUAGCAAAACAAUACUUCCGCAAAAGCCAAAUAUAUUACCAUCAAUCAUUACCAAUCAAAUUACAUCCCACAAUCAAAGAAACUGCACAAAUCCUAAAUAUUAACCAAGCAACCAUAAUUUACAAGCAGUUCACCACGUACUCCAGCAACCAUAAUUUACCAACUACAUUUCCCUCCAUUUAUCAACAAAAUCUACUUAGCUAGCUAGUGUCACUGUCUUACAUAAACUGAACUAAUUAAAGGAAACCAAAGUUCUCCAAUAAACCAAAGGCCUGUUUAUAAGAAGGACUCGAUAUGGCUAAGUGUCUCAAACCGAACCUCGUCAAGCUCAGCCUUGGAACAAAUCACUUUUCGAUUCUUGGAUGCCCACUGAAAAAUGUAAAACAAUAACAUUGAAUUAUACCUAAAUUUAUAUGUACACCAUUUAAUUAUAUCAACAAUGGAUUAGGCAAAGAAAAAUACCCUUUUAAAAAAUGUCAUUUCAUUGUCCAUGACAAUCUCUUUCAUAUACCGCAUAAUAACAUAGCCGCAUUCAGUUCCACCGGGCUGUUUAGGACAUCCCUAUUUAACCAAAAAAAACUCAAAAUAGUAAGUAAAGUAAUGCCCCUGGUUCUAAGCAUCAGUAGCACAAAUUGUUAAAAAUAAAUACGAAAGCUUACUGUAAUAUAUUUGAAGCUUGGGGCUUUAUUUCCCCUUCCGGCCUGAACAUUGAAAGUAAUCACAGCCCUGUCAUCUUGGCAGUGUUAAUAAUGCACAUGCAUUUAUAUCUCCAUAAGAAAGAUAAUCAAUAAAAAAAUAAAUGAAAAUACCUUGAUAUUGCUUUUUCCAAGUUGGGGAAACUAGUUGAACGAGGCAGAGGAUUAAGUAUGAAAACCUCGCCACCCCAAAACAGAACCAAUACCCAAUGGAAACUAUUUUUAACAAAUAUUUAUGAAAAACACAAUUACUAUCAAAAUCAUAUAAAUUUUAUUUUCAGUCAUGUAAAAAACUAAAUAAAAGAGAUUUAUAAUAAAUAAGAAAACACUUAAGCUACUUACUUGCUAUUAUGCGGCAUCAAAAAGAGACGAUCAGGAUUACCCUCUUUAAAUCGAUUAACCAAGUUAUCUUCAAAAGAAUUGUUCAUCAAGUUCAGCGAGGCUCCAGGAUCACAAAAAGCAAAUUGAUCCUUAGUGCCAUUUUCACGAACCACGCAAUGCAAGUAUCUACAUUGUAAAUGAAAUGAAAUUAUAUAAAAUUACACGAAUAUGAAUUAUAACUAAACAACAGUCAUGAUCUAGAAGACAGUAAUUAAAAAAAGUUUACUCACGCCAUGUAUGCAGCAAUUGCUGCUUGGCCAAUCAUAUUAAACUCCAGCAAGGCGACUAUGUUUUCAUACAAGAUGAAGAUUCUUUUCUCGAUACCAAACACCUCAGCAUCACACGGGAUUUGAAUUGAGUCUCCGGAGGAUUGCAUAAAUGUUGUUGCAUGUUUAUACAACAACCGAAAGCGUUUUGGAACAUUUUUAUUGAUCUCCAUGUUAUGAAACAAGGACUGGACUUUAUCUAAAUCGGUUUUAGGUUCCUUUACUUUCCGUUUACCUUUCUGAAAAAUGAACAAAAUUAAUUUAAAACAAAAUAUAACAAAAUAUAGGGGUAACAUAUAAUAGUACAAUCCAGUACAACAAUUAUGUUAAAGUACACACCAUAGUAGGAAUAGUAGGAGGGGCAUUUGGGAAUAUGAUCAAGUCGCGGGGCCAUGAGACGUACGAGCCAACAGCUUGCUCUACUGUUUCAAUCUCACCUGGUACCGGUUUAGGAAUCUUGGCUUGUCCUUGAAUUGGGCCAUCCACUGAGACGCGAACACAUCCAGGCUCUAUCGGCACUCCAUGUAUAGAUUUGUUCAUGUUAUCAUCAUCAAACAACAAACCAAAUGCCACUUUAUUUUCUAUUGUGCCUACAGCCAACUCACAUUUUCGUGGACCGGCCUACACACAUAUAUUUAAACAAUUAUGACGAAUGCUUGAAAUAUGUUGAGCUAAAUUGAAUAAAUGUGCUAGUUAUUUUACCUUAUUCUCUGGUGGAUUAGGUUCCAAGUCAACUUCAAUCAUCUCUGGUUCCAGUUUUUUCACCACCUCUGUCUUAGCUUCUUUGACAGUGUUUGCCUCACAACUUGCUUUAUCAGAAGCAAUAGGAGAUGAAAUAUUUGCUUUGCUGAGCAAGGCCUUCAUUUCAGCCAUCUCCUGCCUUGUCUUCUCCAUUUCCAUGGCCAUCUCUUUCUUGGCUUUCUCCAGCUCCGCGUCCCUCUCUCGAUCCCUCUCCAACAACUCAGCUUUGGUGAUUCUAUUUCUUCUUCCUGGUGGUAUAUUAAAAAAAAUUGACGGGCUCACAAAGCCUCCAACUCCUCGAACCCUCCCCGAAUGUUCAGGAGUUUGUAGGGCCGUAGUCAACACAUCUCGACUCCCAGAAGGAGUGAAUUCCCCCUUACUUUGCUGCUCUAGUAAAAUAUUCUGACAUGAAAAAUAUGAACAUACAAAUCAUCAUCUAGUGAACCUCAUCAUCAAUAUUAACUUUAAUUUUACGAGCCUUUUAAUUAUAAAUACUCACAAUUCUUUUUCCUAUUUCAGCUAGGUCUGAAUCCUCAUCAUCAGCAUCAUCAGCCUCAUCAUCAUCAUCAACAUUAUCAUUAUCAUCAUCAAUUUUAAUUUUACGAGCCUUUUGCCACAUGAGAGCCCGAUCAGGUUCUUCAUCGGCAGCCAAAGUUCCUUUCUUGAUCUGAUUAAAAUCAAAAAAAAAUUAAAAAGGCCAAGAUAUGUAAAAUACAAUUAUUUAGGUUCAAUGCUUAAAAUACAACUAUUUUUAUACCUCUUCUUCCAAUAAUCCAAUGUAACCCUUUCUUGAUGUCCGGUGAGGAUAUUUUCGAUUACUCACCCUCAGCUUUUGUUUUUCACUAAAAGACUUCAAAUAUUUUAAAUAAUAUUAGAAUACUAUUUUUCAGAAUAUAAAAAGACAUUUAUAUCACAAUAAAGCAGAACAUAAAAUAUAUUUCAUACCAGAAAUUUCGAGGUAGUCCUCUCAGCAACAAAAUUUUUCCAAGCCUCCUUUCCAACAAAAGCAUACUUCUUUGGAGGCUUUCGUAAUUUCUUCUUCUGCCCAAGAUACGGCCUCACAUAAUCUCUUGUUAAAUUUGCUUUAAAAUUCCUCCACUUUGCUCCUGCAGACCUGAUCAACCCCUUCUCAAGUUGCUUAGGAACUUUAAAUGUCUCCUGCAACCAAUGUUAAUUGACAAAAUUUACAAAAUUAUACUCUAAAUGAGUAGAAGAAAAUGCAAAAUUUACAAAAUGCAUAGGAGAUUACUUAUUUUUAUACCUUCACAUCAAUCCAUAUUUUCUCCUUUAGUUCAUCAGGUACCUUUGACCAGUUAGGAUAAUCAAUCGGAAUCAUUGUCCUAGCCAACAUUCCAGUGUAGGAUUGUAGACUGUGCCUUGCAUCCCCUGUAGGAACUCCAUGUGCAUUACAUGAAACCUUUGUUUUCUUGCCCUGCGCCUUCCUCACCACCACUUUAUACAUAGCAGAAACCCCUCGGGCACCCCCACGCUUUUUCUUUGCUGUUUCAGAUGUUGUAACUGUUGCAUCCGUUUCCUCCACAGAAUUCACAUUUUCUCCCUGAGGUUCUGUUGUCAGCUCCAACCUUUUAUCUGAUGCCUCAUCCGACUUUUUGGAGUCUUCAUGGAAUUGUACUUUGGUUUUUUGCUUUUUAUUUGCCAUUUAUCUUCUUCAAUCUGAAAAUGAAACAUAUAUAAUCCAUUAGUCACAGGCAUAUAUACGAGCAAUUACAGGAUAAGCAGUUAUAAAGUUACAUAAGCCUACAUAAGCCGUUACAAAAUUGUAAAAAUGCAUAACUAAACAUUUACACAGAGUGAAAAUUACAGGAGUCUAAUUACACAGAGUAAAUUACAAAGUUGCAUCACAUAUAUUACAUGACUUGAAAUAAUGUUAUCACAGAGUAAAUUACAAAGUCUCAUCACAAAAUUAACUAUUACAUGACUUGAAAUAAUGUUAUCACUUCUUAACCCAAGUGCCCUUAAUAUUUUCUCUAAUACUUUUCUCAACAUCAUCACCGACAUCACAUGUAGGAAUUUGGCAGCAGAAUGGAGGAUUUUCCAUGGUUGUGUCUCCUAAAUCAUCAUCGUUAUACACCUCUUGGUAGUCUCGAGUUGUAGAGGUUAAUACGACGGACCACUUGGCAUCCACCGGAUCUUCAAUAUAAUAAACUUGCUUUACUUGAUCUAUAGACACGUAUUUAUCUCUCUUGUGGCCUUGUCGACUUAGAUCGACAAGUGUGAACCCAAGAUCAUCCACCUUAAUUCCCUUGUCAUUGUCCGCCCAAUUACAUAAAAACAGUGGGGCUUUGAAUGCAUGAUAAUCCAGCUCCCAUAUAUCUAGGAUAACACCAUAAAAUGUCAAGUCACUUUCUACGGGGUUUAAAUCUUUAGCGCUAGACACUUGGACAGUUUUAGCAACUAAAGACACUCCGCUGUUUUGAACUACCCUCACAUUGUCUCGCUGUUUUGUAAAGUAUCGGACCCCGUCUACUAGAUAAGCUUCGUAAGUCAUAACUGAAAAUGAUGGUUUUCCAGCUAUCCAUCUUACUGUCUCUGAAACUCCUCCAGGAUUCUCCACCAUUUCACUACUGACCUACACAUUUCAUAAACAGAAAUUAUCCUAAAUUACUAUAGAGAAAAUAAAUUAGGCACAAAUGAAACUAUAAAAAUACUAACUUUUUCUAGAAACCAAUCAGCAAAACUGUUAUUGUGCUCUCUCAAGAGCCAAUGAACGCUUUUCUUUUUCCCACGAUGGAUUUCCUCUAGAUACUCCUUAUGCAUUCUGCCAAAAAUUAUAUAUUCAUUAAAGAAGUAGUUUAUACAGAAUGUAUAUAUUAAUUGAACAGCCACAAAAUUAAAAAAAUCUUACAAGAUAUAUGGCUGUACUUCAAGGUUGUUUAGAAGAACGUGUAAAUGAGCUUCAUCCCUCUCUUUUUCUUCGAUUGAUUUCAUUACCGCAACAGAUAAUGGACCACUUAACUUGCCUUCAUCUUUGCGAAGACCAGCAGUGGUGCAAGUUUGCUUGACAAACUCUUGGCAGAAUUCAAUCGAUUCUUCUCCAAGAUAACAUUCUGCUAUACAACCUUCGGGGUAGUAACGAUUGCGUACGUAACUCUUCAACACCUUAUUAAACCUCUCAAAUGCAUACAUCCAUCUAUAGAAGACUGGCCCACAUAACCGUAAUUCCCGAACCAAGUGCACUAUGAGAUGUAUCAUUACAUCAAAAAAUGAUGCAGGAAAAAUUUUUUCUAGCUCGCACAAAGUUACUAUUACAUCUGAUUGCAAUUUAUCUAGUUUAGAUACGUCGACAACUUUGCUGCAUAAAGCAUUAAAGAAGAAACACAAUCUAAUUAUUGUGACCCUGACUUUUUUUGGAAGUACCGCGCGAAUUGCAAUAGGAAGUAAUUGUUGAAGUAGGAUGUGGCAAUCGUGGGACUUCAACCCAAACAUUUUUAAUUCUUCCAUGGAAACACAGUUUUUAAUGUUUGACGCGUGUCCAUAAGGAAGUUUCAUGUGCAUUAACGAUGACAACAUCUUCUUCUUUUCUGCCUUGGACAAAUUAAAAAUCGAAGGAGGUAAAUAGGUCUUUCUUUCUCCUUUUUGUGGAGCUAGAUCAGCCCUAACCCCCAUGUCAAUCAUGUCAAGACGAGAAGCUUCACUAUCUUUAGACUUAUGUUUCAUAUUCAGUAGUGUGCCAAUCAAGCUAUCACACACGUUUUUCUCCACGUGCAUAACAUCUAGACAAUGACGGACAUGGUGAAAUUUCCAAUACUCUAACUCGAAGAAAAUUGACUUUUUCUUCCAUGGACAGUCAACCUUCUUUGACUUCCUUACUUCUUUCCCAAACUGAAAUUCAAUUUUUUCUUGCUGCAAUAAAACCUCUUCUCCCGAAAGAGGUUGACGUGCCUGCCCUAAUUCUUGUUGUCCAUUAAAAGCAGCUUUUUGCUUCCUAUAUGGAUGAUUUCUAGCCAAGUAACGUCGAUGACCUUGGUAACACAUCUUCCUACUAUGGCUUAAAUACUUUGCAACAGUAUCAUCACCACAUAUUGGACAAGACAUAUAACCUUUAUUAACACAUCCGGACAGAUUUCCAUAUGCGGGAAAGUCGUUUAUUGUCCACAAUAAAAUUGCUUUUAAAGUGAAAUACGACUUAGUGUGUGCAUCAUAGACAUUUGGUUCACCUUCCUCCCACAACUUCUUUAAAUCAUCGAUUAGAGGCUGUAAAUAUACAUCAAGGUCAUUACCAGGCUCAUGAGGACCGGGAACUAAAACUGUUAGCAUCAUAAACUUCCUCUUCAUGCAUAACCACGGAGGAAGAUUAUAAGUCACUAGUACUACUGGCCAACAAGUGUAUCUAUUGGUUAGACCGUUAUUAUGCGGGUUUAUACCAUCUGCAGACAACGCCAAGCGAAUAUUUCUUGCCUCACUACCGAAGGCAGGCCACCUAUAGUCGAUAUUUCUCCAAGAAGGAGAGUCGGCUGGAUGCCGCAUCUUUCCAUCUUCUAUUCGCUGCUUUGCGUGCCAGGUAAUCAGUUCAGAUGUAGAAGGAGAUUUAAACAUUCGCUUCAAUCUCGGAAUAAUUGGAAAAUACCACAUUAUUUUAGCAGGAACAUUAAUCCUUACUUUACCAUCCUUUCCUAACUUCCAGCGAGAUAGACUACACUUAGGACACUUAGAAGCAUCAACAUAUACCCCCCGAUAUAGUAUGCAAUCGUUUGGACAUGAGUGGUACUUUAUGUAUUCUAGGCCUAAGUUGGAUAAUGUUUUCUUGGCUUCAUAUGCAUUAGGUGGCAUCACAUUUUCCUUAGGAAGGAGAGAGCCAACAGUAGACAAUAAAUCUGUAAAGGCGCUAUCACUAAUUCCAAACCUUGCUUUCCAAUUAUGCAGUUUUAGCAUCGACUCCAAUUUGGUACAUUCACUACCCUCAUACAAAGGCUGUUGAGCAUCAGCCACAAAUCUCCUAAACUGAUACGACUCAUUAUUGUACUCACUCGAAUUAUACGCAGCAUCACAAACAUUGACUGUUUGUGAUGCAUGACCAGGGGAAUGCAUCGAUGCAGGGUCAAGCGUAGGUGCAGGGCUAGGGGCAUUGUCAUGAACUGUUGAUCCAGUGAUUCCACACCCUUGUGUGUGCCAAAUCCAAUCAAGGUAUCCCAAACUAAAACCGUAUUCAUAUAAAUGUCCCCUAAUAAUCUUAACUGCAAAUUUUUUAAAGUUAACACAUCUUUUGCAGGGGCAUGGGAUUUUUUUAGUAUCACUAGCAUUUUCCUCGGCAAAUAUUAAAAACUCUUCAACCCCGAUUUCAUAGUCAAGUGUAUCCCUAUCUUUGAAAAUCCAAGACUUGUCCAUGUUAUUCUCAAACUACCUGAUUGUCAAAUAUGAUAUCAAAUUACAUGGUAACAAAGAUCCAAACACAAUAUACAAUUACAUUUACAAACUAAACAAACACAAAUAUAUUUACACAGCUGUGCAUAAAACAUAAAAAACAAAUCCCAAGCUCUAAACAUAUAUAACACAGUACAUAAAAAAGAAACCCCAAGCUCCAAACAUAUAUAAAACAUAUAUACAACUACACGUUUAAUUUUCACAUGCAUACAUAUAACUACAAAAAGUUAUACUUGCAACCGAAACAUUUAUAUAAAUAUAAAGAAGAAUAUAGAAGAAUAUAUAUACCUAAAACCCAGCAGCUUCGAAACCCAGCACCUCCAAAAUCCAGCAGCUAUCCAGCAGCUUCGAAAACCCAGCAACUACCCUAAUCUCCAAGCUUCAAAUCUCCAAGCUUCAAAGAACCCUAAUCUCCAAGCUCCACUCGACCCUAAGCUUGAAGAUCGAACCUUAAGCUUGAACACAGCAGCUUCGAAUCGCGCACAAAUCGCACCUAGGGUUUAGAAGAGAGGGAAUCAGUUAAUAGAACAUUUGAAAGGGGGUUUAGAAGAGAGGGAAUCAGUUAUUAAACCAAGAACGAGGAUUGAAGGACUGAAGGAUUGAAGAAAAUCGCAUACCUAGGUUUAGCUGUCGAGAGAAAGGGGGAAGAGCUGCUGUCUGAAAGAAAUAUGUAUAUAUGUCCCGAUUGUUUUCUUUUGAAUGCUUUUGUUUUAAUUUUGAUUUAUUUUUAAUGUUUUUUUAUUGUUUUAUACUGAGGCGGGAGUGAAUGAUAUGUUAAAGGGGGGGAAAACAGUAGGGGGAACUAAUUAAAAAAUUGACUAAGGGCGGGGGAGCGGAGGGCGCGGGCUUUAAUAUUUUUAAAAUUGAGAUUAGACAUCGCUUAAUAAACAAUGUGAUGUGAAAAAAUUUUAAAGUGAGAGCUUAGACAUCACUUAUGUUAAGGACUGAUGUAAAGAUACCAGAAAGACAUCACAUAUAAAACGAGCGAUGUAAAAAAGGCAUUUUACAUCGGUGACACUUCCGACUGAUGUCUAAUGUGCGAUGUCUAUUGACGAAUUUCUAGUAGUCUCCAAAGGAUAUUUAUCUUUCCAUCAUGAUGCAGCAGUCUCCUUAACUGUGAAGGGAACGGAGUAUGAGGUAGCAAAGAACCUUCAUAUUUACACAGCCAUUGAUCUGUCGGGCACCUAAUUUCAGGGUCGAAUUCCAAACGUCACUGGAGAGCUUAGAUGGCUUGCAUUGCUCAAUUUAUCGCAUAAUAGUUUAACAGGACCUAUCCCAUCAUUGCUGAGAAAUAUGAAAGAACUCCAAUCUUUAGAUUUGUCCUCAAAUCGACUGACAGGGGCUAUUCCACCUCAGCUAACUGCAUUGACAUUUCUAGAGGUCUUGAACCUCUCGAAAAACCAUCUUAGUGGAGAGAUUCCUCAGAAAGGACAGUUCAGCACAUUCAACAAUGAUUCUUAUCUAGGAAACUCCGCGUUAUGUGGAUCACCUUUGACGAAGAAAUGUGCAAACACAGCAUCACCUCCACAAGAAGUCGGAAAUGGUGAUGAAGAUGAUGCUGGAGAUGAAUUGACAUGGGAAGCAAUCGUGAUGGGAUAUGGAUGUGGACUGAUAUGUGGAUUGUCAUCUGCGUACAUUGUUCUCAAACUAGGAAAGCCUUGGUGGUUUGUGAGAUAUAUCGAAGUACUGCAACUGAAGUUGAUGAAAAGAUAUGCAUGAAGAAUGGUACUGCACUACAACAAAAACAGCAUCACACAACGGUUUUUGCCCGUUGUCUGAUACCCAAGAAAACCGUGGUCUAUUGCGAUGCCGUCUGAUACGCGCCUCAGACAACGUUUUAUUAGUUAAAGGCUUGUCUAUAAGGCCAUGCUACGAUGGUAACAAAAACACUUGUAUGUUAGCUUCCUGGUCACACAACACUGUAUGGAACCCUUGUUUAAACGGCUCGUAAACAACACAACAAAUAAAACACUUGUCUAAUUACAACAACGGUUUCUUGAAAUAUUGUCUGAAGUUUCUUCACACAUCGGCUCUAAAAACAGUUGUCUAACGUGCAUCAUUACACAAUAUCACAGUUAAGAUACCGUUGUCUGAUUGAAUUUACUAGACAACACUUUUUAAACCGUUGUAGGUUGUAGGUGUUGGACAAUAGUUUUUCGAGGACGAAAAUAAAGUGUUGUGUCUUUGUUUCGGCCAACACUUUUUCCAGCGUCCGUUGUCUGACUAGUGUCGUGUGAUGCCAGUUUUGUUGUAGUGCUGGUUGAUCCAGACGAACUAGAAAGUUGUUGUCCUGGUAGACAUUUCUGAACCAUUUGUGUCCUGGCUGAAUAAGUAUUUGGUAUUAUGUAAUAAUCCGUUUGGUUGGGACUCAAAAUGAUUUCUCUUGCUUCAGGGGUAUUAAUAUUAACCUUCCUAUCUUGAUCAAUGUUAAAUCAAAUUAAAUGAAUGAAAAAACAAAAAGUAUGCAUCAAAUCCGCUCCUGCUGUACCUAACAAUUUAACAGCACCCUUCCACACUGUUCAUACCUAAUUUGCGUGUAAUAUGAAAACUAAGAGGCAUGGCUUUUGUCUUUGAGAGAACUUAUUCCAAGUCUUCUUCGGAGGCCUACUGCCUCAACAACCUUUCAAAGACUAUGCAAUAAUCCACGUGACAGAAAAACCAAAGUCCAAUUAGUAUUAUAAGUUCAUAAAAAAUACUAUAGGAUCAUUAGCAUUAGCAUUACAUUAGCAUACAGCAUAUAUAUAAAUAGAAGAAUGCAGUGUGGUAUUGGAUUCAUAAUCCAAUUGAGCAGAAACAUGGCACACUUUGUAAAGCCUUAUGACCUUCUUCUCUGUGUUUUCUUUCUCUCAUCACUUGAAUCCAUUCUUGCAACAAGACGAGAAGGAGAAGCUCUUGUGAAAUGGAAGAACAGCCUAGCCCCGUCUUCUUCUCUUGAUUCUUGGUCACUCACUCAUCUCGAUAAUCUUUGUAACUGGACUGGCAUUACUUGUAACUCUGCAGGUUCAGUCUCUGACAUUAACCUUUUCAACAAACAACUCACUGGAAAGCUUUUCGAGUUUGGUUUCACUUCAUUUCCGAAUCUCAACAAUCUCACCCUCGCAGAUAACUUCUUCUCUGGUCCAAUACCAUCAGCCAUUGGGAAUUUAACACAGCUUCAAUAUCUUGAUUUGAGCAAUAAUUAUCUCAAUGGUUCCAUUCCGUACCAGGUUAGCCAUCUUUCAAAAUUACACGUCUUAAACCUGUCAGAGAAUGAACUGCAAGCUCCAAAUUGGUCCAAUUUCUCCCCCAUGCCUUAUUUGACCAUCCUCGACCUUUAUCAGAAUAAUCUUAUGUUGGAAUUUCCAGAAUUUAUAUCUAACUCGCGUAACCUGACAUACCUUGACCUUUCAUAUAACAAGUUCACAGGCGAUCUUGUGCGCGAAUCAGUAUUAGCCAAUCCAGGUGAUCUCGAAACCCUCUAUCUUAAUGAAAAUUCUUUUGGGGGGCCAUUUCCACCAGACAUAUUCAAACUUUCCAAGUUGAGAGUUCUUGCCCUGUUCAAUAAUCUUUUUGAGGGGCCGCUUCCGUCAAAUAUAUUCAAGCUCUCUAAACUAAGAUUCCUUUUACUUUGGAGUAAUAAUUUUUCAGGUACUCUUUCGAAUGAAAUAGGUUUGCUUUCUGAGCUUGAAGACCUAGAUCUUCACUCCAAUUUUUUUGUGGGGCCGCUUCCGCCAAAUAUAUUCAAGCUCUCUAAACUAAGAACCCUUUUCCUCUUGGGUAAUAACUUCUCAGGUUCUAUUUCCAACGACAUAGGUUUGCUUUCUGAGCUUGAACACCUAUAUCUCGACUCCAAUUCUUUUGAGGGACCUUUUCCAACAAAUAUUUUCAAGCUUUCCAAAUUAAUACAACUUGGUCUCGCAAACAAUACAAAUUUAUUUGAAGGAAGUAUUCCUCCAGGACUGGGGCUCUUGACUAACCUAGAGGACUUGUCUCUUGCUUACAAUAAUCUUGGUGGCUAUAUUCCGUCUUCCUUUGGAAACCUAACACUACUAGUAUAUCUUAAUCUCGCUCGUAAUCAAUUGGUUGGAACACUAUCAAAGACCAUUUCUAAUCUCACAAAUCUAUGGUUUCUUGAUGUACAUCAUAAUAGUCUCUCUGGGAAUAUUCAGAGUGACUUCUGGAAAAACUCUACAUCACUGCGUUACAUUAAUUUGGCAGACAAUAAUUUUUCUGGGAACAUUCCUAAGGAAUAUAAUGUUCUUCCAAUCCUGGAUCACAUCAAUUUUAGGGGGAACAAUUUUACAGGUAUUUUUCUUUCCAUAUUUUUUCCUUCUGUUGUAUUCAAUUAUGCUAGAAACUACAGCCUCUGUUUUUUCAAAUACAUAUCGUUUAACUUUUUGGCACAAAACUUUAUAAUAAUUCUAACUAAAAGGUCAAUGAACUCAAAAAUGUGUGUCAAAAAGUCAAACGUCAUUUAUCUGAAAUCAGAGGGAGUAUAUAUUACUGUUUUACCAAAGUUUCAACAAUCAUGACAGGUGAGCUUCCACCAACAAUUUGCGAUGCCACUUCCCUUUCGAUUCUUGAUCUGUCAAAUAAUGGAUUUAGUGGUGCAGUUCCACAUUGUUUGGGGAAUCUUGCGGAUAAAUUGAUUUCGAUUAAUCUUGCUAAUAAUCAGUUUCAAGGACCAAUACCAACAAAUUUCUCCGAGAGUUGUCGUCUGACGUAUCUUAACAUCUAUAACAAUCACUUCAAAGGUUUGGUUCCCCAAUCUUUGGCAAACUGUAAGCACUUGCAAAUUCUUGAUUUUGGAAAAAAUGAAAUAGGUGGAACACUUCCGUCAUGGUUUUUUACUCUUGGAGAGCUAGAAGUCCUGAUCCUGCGAUCAAACAGAUUUUUCGGGAGAAUAACUAGAAGGAGCAUACCACGCCCCUUUCCCAAGUUGCGGAUUUUGGAUCUAUCCAACAAUCAGUUCACCGGCUAUCUGCCAAUUUUAUACUUCAAGAAUAUGAAACCAAAUGAUAAUAAUUAUGAUUAUUUCAACAACACAAACGAAGCCUAUUACGUUUAUCAAGUUUCUAUCACAUUAAAUGUGAAAGGAAGCGAGCAUGAAGUGACAAAUAUUCUUCAUAUUUACACGGCCAUUGAUCUGUCGUGCAACAAAUUUGAAGGAAAAGUUCCAGACAUUACCGGAGAGCUUAGAUGGCUUGCAUUGCUAAAUUUAUCUCAUAAUAGUCUUUCGGGGCCUAUUCCAUCACAACUGGGAAAAAUGAAAGAGCUCCAGUCUCUAGAUUUGUCGUCAAAUCAAUUGACAGGUGUUAUUCCGGAUCAACUUACUAGUAUGACAUUUCUUGCUAGUUUGAACCUCUCAGAAAACCAUCUUUCUGGGAAAAUCCCUCGGAAAGGACAGUUCAGCACUUUUGGCGAAGAAUCUUACUUAGGUAAAUCGGCCUUGUGUGGAGUUCCUUUGACAAAGAACUGUAUAGACGAUGUGCCACCUUCACAAGUUGGAAAUGGCAAUGAUGAAAAUGUUGAUGAAGAUGAUACCGUUGAUGAAUUCAAUUGGAAAGUGAUCCUGAUGGGAUAUGCAUGUGGAUUAAUAGGCGGAUUGUCUGCAGGAUACAUUGUCUUCACAGUCGGAAAGCCUUGGUGGUUUUUGAGAUACAUUGAGACACUGCAGCAGAAGUUGAUCUGAUGCGCAACUAGAAACAACGUUAUAAUCUUAGAAUGACUUGUGUCUUUAAACAGAGUUAGGAACUUAGGAUGACUUGUGGUGCUAUAUUUUUUUUUUGAAAAAAAAAAACAUAUUUUUGUAAUUUUUUAGAUACAGAUGUUAAGAAGGUGUUGUAUAUUCAUUUUUUACCCAAAAAAAAAAAGAGGGCUUAUUUCAUGAAAAUUAGAGUUUUAUGUAUUUUCUCCAGAAAUUAGUCCUUAUUUCUGAAAAUAAGGUUAGUCAAAACGGUCACUACACGAUUGGUAGCCUUUCAGUUCUUCCUAGUGUCCACUACAGUUUCAUUCCUUACCAGUUAUUUUAUGCUCUGCACUGCAUUAUGCAGCUUUCAUAUUACUGACAGCUAAUCUCCUUCCAACACUUUGCGAUGCGAAGCAGGGACGCAUAAGUAUUUUUAUAUGUGUAUUAGUUUUGAAGAUUAAAGUUGCAUGGACAAUUGUGUUGAUAAUUUGAGCAAUGUUAACCGGGAUAGGUCUUCUUCUCUCUCCCAAGUCUUCUGAGGACUCAUCGGCUCAGAUUAGUCUAUCCAAAAAUUAUGAUCUGACGGCUAUUGGCACACUAACGAUUUACAUAUCACUUGAAUAUUACUGGAUACCCGCAUCUUGUUUUAAAUGGCGUAUAUCGGCUAAUAGUUCAACGAUGGUGACAAAUCCCGGUGAUCCAAAUAAUUGAUUGUCGCAAAAUUUUCCGCUUACAUCCAACUAACACGUAUUAGGAAAAAAAAUUAUAUAAUUAAACACGCUCAUGUAUCUAUAUCUUUUACAAGAUUGUAAGUCCCCAAUUCUAUGUGAUAUUAGCUAUAUGUGACUAGAAGGUUUAGAAAUACUAGAUUAUCAAGAUUUCUUUUUAUUCUAGCUAGUGUUGAGUUAUAUUUAUUUUCUUCAAACAAUCAAUACUUAUUUUUUAUUAAUAUGUGAAACUCCAAUAUAUAUUAUUAUACGAUAUAUUAUGAAAACACUAUAUUUUGUAAUGUUCAUCUUAUCCUACCAGCAAAAUUACAUCGCUAACAAAAUUAUAUCAAUUUUAUUUUAUAAACUCAAAUAAUUUAAUUUAUGAAACAACUCUAUGAGAUUCUUAUCAUGAGUUAGAAUUCAAAUAAAUAAAGAGUUCAUAUUGAUAAGUGGAAUUGAUGUGCAAGUAAGGGGUAUAAAAAAAUCUCAAAAUAACUCCAAAAAGCACAUGACAUGUUUGAUUUAAUAGAACUGGUACAUAAACAGGGGGACCAUUAUAUUUAUAAGCAAGUGACCAACAAUAGUUUACUACUGAUAUUUUGUGAUAUUUUUUGUGAUAUUUUUUGAGACCUUUAACAUUAUUCUGUGAAGUGGUAUACUACUGUUACUAGUUCUGAAACUUCAAACAAAGUAGGCGCAACAUUGUAAGAGUGAUUAAUAAAGUUGAGAAACAGUGUGUACAUUGAGCAGUAUGACAAUCAGGUUCAGCAUAUAAUACAAUCAGAUUCACAAUCAGGUUCACGAGAAACAUGCUGCAUUCCAAAAAGCCUUAUUAUCUUCUUCACUAAAUAACAAGGCAAAUACAGCAUAUAAAUACAAGUUAUAAGUACAAGUGUGGUAUUAGAUUCAUAACCCAGUUGAGGAGAAACAUGGCACACUUUGUAAGGCCUUCUCACCUUCUUCUCUUUGUUUUCUUUCUCUCAUCACUAGAAUCCAUUCUUGCAACAAGACGAGAGGGGGAAGCUCUUGUGAAGUGGAAGAAUAGCCUAGCCCCUUCUUCUUUUCUCCACUCUUGGUCACUCUCCAAUCUCGAAAAUCUUUGCAACUGGACUGGCAUUACUUGUAACUCUGCAGGUUCAGUCUCUGAGAUUGACCUUUGUGAGAAACAACUUGAUGGAAUGCUGUCCGAGUUUGGUCUCACUUCAUUUCCAAAUCUCAACAAUCUCACCCUCGCAGACAACUUCUUCUCAGGUCCAAUACCACCAGCCAUUGAGAAUUUAACACAGCUUCAAUAUCUUGAUUUAAGCAUGAAAAGUCUUAAUGGUCCCAUUCCGUUCCAGGUUAGCCAUCGUCAGAGCUUGCUCAUCUUAGACCUGUCACAGAAUGCAUUGCAAGCUUCAAAUUGGUCCAAUUUCUCUCCCAUGCCUCAGUUGCGCUUCCUCAAGCUCAGUAGCAAUCAUCUUGUGUCGAAAUUCCCAAAUUUUAUAUCCAGUUCUCAUAGCCUGACUUACCUCAACCUCUCAUAUAACAUUGGAAACCUCAAAAAAUAUAUAUUUAUAUAUUUAUAAUUAAAAAAUUGAAUUACUUAAUAUAUUAAAAAAUUGAAUAAAAUUUUAUAUAUUUUAUUAAAAAAUUGAAUAAAAAUUGAAUAAAAUUGAAUAAAAUUGAAGUACACGAAAAGGUACACGACACGAAAUACACGACUGAGAAGUCGUGUCGGUUUUGUGUUUACCCUUCGGGUACACGACACGAGGUACACGAAAUAAAUAAAUAAAUAUAUAUAUAUAUAUUUACCCUUCGGAUUAAGAGUUGGUCGCGGACAAAUUCAAAGUUUCCCAAUUAUCCUUUAUUUUAUGUAACUUUGCUUAUGUUUAAGCCUAAAUUUGGACAAUAUUUGUAAAAUAUUAAUAUUUCGUGUACUAAUUCGUUACCAGUUUCGUGUAUUUUUUCGUGUAUAUUUCGUGUUUUCGUGUUUUCAUGUACUAUUUCGUAUCGUGUCGUUUUCGUGUACAUGAAAAAAUUCGUGUACUACAGUUCGUGUCGUUUUUACCUGUUUCUAAAUCGUGUCGUGUUCGUGUUUACAAUCGUGUACACGAAUUGAAUUCGUGUCGUGUUCGUGUAUACCCACCAGAUACACGAAACACGAAAGUACACGACACGUUUAUACACGACACGAACGAUUUGCCAGGUCUANGAAACACGAAAGUACACGACACGUUUAUACAUGACACGAACGAUUUGCCAGGUCUAUUCAAACCUAGCAAGUAACCAAGAGGGGGCAAACUCCACCAGAGACAAAUCAAAGACCAUACCUGAGUAUUGCCAACAUAACAUUACAAACUGGCAGGUGAAAAAUAUGUGAAUAAGGUCUUCGUCACCAGAGUUACACAUGGGACAGUCAAGAGAAAGAUUUACUCCCUUAGAUUGUAAUCGACUUUUCACAGGCACAUUAUUCCUGCAAAAACGCCAUAAAAACACUUUGAUCUUAAGAGGAACCUCCAACUGCCAGAGUUUCUUCCACCCACUAGAUUGUGUAACAGUGCCAGUGCCAAUAUUUUGGGCAUGCCAAAACUGGUAACCUGUUUUCACAGAAUUUUGGCCGUUAGUAGUCUUUGACCAAGCUAGAUGAUCCACGGUCGACCUAUAGGGAACAGAAGUUUUUAAAAAUUAUGUAAUUCAUUCAAUUCCGUAUCAGACAAUACAUCUUAUCAUCGGUGAUAAUGGAAAUAGUGUAGAUGUUUGACCUAGUCCAUGUUUGACAACCAAUAUAAUAAGAAAUAAAUUCUUAUUUUUCUAAAAAAUAUAUUUUUGUAUAUAAAUGUUAAAGAGAUAUUUCUUAUUUGUUGUUUGAAAAAAGUAAAGACUUAUUUCAGAAUAAAUAAAAAUUAUUGUACAUUCUCUUUAUUUUUAAAAAUAAGUUUGGUCAAAUCGCCCAUAAUUCUCGUAAUUCAAAAGCCCAUUAUUUUUUUUUUUCUUGCUAAUUGAUCAGCACACGCACACGUUUCCAACUUCCCGCAAAGGGUACCGGAGUACCACCACACCGACGCUUUGUUGGGCCCAAUAAUUGGCUGAAGUUGAACGGGGCUUUCUGCCUCCGCUGGACCCCAGUUGGGAGGACUCUUUCCAAGUCUUUCGGAGACUCUUUCCCAUUGACUCCAACUUUCCAGGGUGUAUACAAAUUUUUUGAAAGAGGGUGUAUACAAAUUAUUCACGGCCAUCAAAUUAACCAGCGUAGCUGGUGAACAAAUAUUAUUGUUUAUUAUAAUUUUAUUUAAUUUAAAUGUGAUUAUAAAGAACAUAAGAGGACGUUUGAAAGUGUGGGUCUUAUUUCAAACAGUAGAUUUCAAAAAAUAUGAUUUCAAUUGUUAUUUAAAAUUCUUAAAUUUAUAUUAUAUUAAAAUGUUCUUAUCUAUACUAUACUAUUAAAACCGAAACAUUAAAAGUUUGGUCGGUCGGUACUUGGGCCGAUAUAUGGGCCUAUCUAUAUAACUAAUUAUUUUUUUUUAAUUUUGGGCCGAAAUACAGGCCUGUCUAUAUAAUCAAUUAUUCUUUUUAACUAAAAUAUGUUAUCUUUUUUACUAUUAAAGCCAAAACAUUAAAAAUUUGAUCGGUCGGUACUUGGGCCGAAAUAUGAGCGUAUCUAUAUAACUAAUUAUUUUUAUUUUUUUUUAUUUUUGGCCGAAAUACAGGCCUAUCUAUAAAAUCAAUUAUUCUUUUUAACUAAAAUAUGUUAAUUUUUUUUACUAUUAAAGCCGAAAUAUUGAAAGUUUGGUCGGUCGGUACUUGGGCUUCUAGGCCGAAAUAUAGGCCUAUCUAUAUCAUCAAUUAUUCUUUUAAACUAAAAUAUGUUAUCUUUUUUACUAUUAAAAUCGAAACAUUGAAAGUUUGAUCGGUCGGUACUUGAGUCGAAAUACGGGCCUAUCUAUAUAACUACUUAUUAUUUUUAACUUGGGCCGAAAUACAGGCCAAUCUAUGUAAUCAAUUACGCGGUAUUCUUUUUAACUAAAAUAUGUUAUUUUUUUAACUAUUAAAGUUGAAAUAUUGAAAGUUUAGUCGCUCGAUACUUGAGCCGAAAUACGGAUCUAUCUAAAUAACUAAUUAAUUUUUUUUAACUUUGGAUGGAAAUACAGCCCUAUCUAUAUAAACAAAUAUCUUUUUAACUAAAAUAUGUUAUCUUCUUUAUACUUUCUAACUAAAAACUCAAUCUUCUAAAUGAACAUGGAAGAAUAUAGUAAUUAUCUUUUUAACUAAAACAAAUUAUCGUCUAUUAAAUCAAAUUAUAACAAACUAUCCAUAAACAUCCUUAAUUUAUAACAAAUUAUUAAAUAUUUUUUAUCAUCUACUAAAUCAAAACAUUAAAAAUUAGAUUACCAUUAUGGAUCAGUAUUUGAAUUACGCUUCUCUUUAACUUAUAAUAUGUUUUAUACUAUAUUAUUAACUAUUAAUAACUAAAUAUUAAAACGCUGAUUGGGUUGUUUCUAUCUGGGUUUACGGGUCUCCUCAAAUUAUAAUCCCUCCGUUCUUAAAUAUCUGCCUUUUGACUUUUUGGCACGCAUGUUAAAGUGUUUUGAAUUUAUAGUAAAAAUAUUAUUUUUAAAUUUCUUUUUCUGAAUAAAAAUUUUAUAUCAAUACUUUUAUUCAUAAAAAGAAAUAUUUGAAAAUAACAUUUCUAGCUAUGUGGUCAAAAUAUCUUAAAAUGUGUGCGAAAAAGUCAAAAGGCAUAUAUUCAAGAACGGAGGGAGUAACAUGUAAAAAAAAUUAUUUUAACAUUAUCAUUAAAAAAUUAUAUAUUUGACCUAAUUAUAAAUUAACUAUUUGAAGGAAUAAACUAUUAAGAAUUUAUUUAGCUGCUAAAUAAAAGUUUUUUUAAUAACAUUAUUCUAUCACAAUUUUACUUUCAAUAAAAUUCGUUAAAUCUAAAAUAUAUGCGAUGAAAUAACAAAUAUUAAAACCGCCCGUGCAUUGCACGGGUUUUAAGCUAGUUCUAAUUAAUGAGUCACUAUUCGUAUUCUCAAGCAUGUUAGUUUGUUAAAAUUUAAAAUUUCAAAUGAAAUUAGGCUAAAAGACCAUAAUAUCAAAUCAAAAUCUCAUUAUCCAAUAUAUUGGUGGGCAAAAAUAUUAAACCUGGCUAUUCAUUAAUAUUGGUUCUUUAUUCAAAUUAUGUCAAAUUUAUAUAAAAUUUCGAAAAUUAUUUAUGAAUAAGAGUCGGCAUUCAUAUAUUUAUUAAGGAUACAAGUGAGAAAAUGUUAUUAAAUUAAUAUUUUUUAAUAUACGUAAGUUUUUUAAAAUAAAUUUGUAGCGUGGGACGGGAGUAUUAGACUGAUUCUGGCUUGGAGUGAAUCAGCCCAUAAAGUUUACAGGGUAGAUGACCAUUCUUAAAUCUUAAAGAAUCUUACGGUGACAGCUAACUGAACGACUCGGUUUCAGAAGUGCUGAAAAGUUUCGACGUAAACUACAAUUUGCCUAGCAUGUAAUUUCCAUGCAUUUUCUCGUUACGAGUAGGUUUGUCCGGAAGUACAAUUCAAAAUAGAGUGCUGUUAAAAAAAAUUGAGUUACUUAUUCAAUAACUUUUUUGAUAUUUAUAUAUUUUUAAUUAUAAUAAAGAUACUAGUGAUUAUGGUUAGCUUUUGGAGUACUUUUGGAGUACUUGGAAAUUUUCUUUUCGAGAAAAACGAGAGUACCUAUUUCAAUUUUUUACCAAAAAUUAUAAUUGAAAACAACGGACUUUUAUACUUAUCAUAACAAUUUUUAACAUCUUGUUUAGAAAUAACCUGUUGUUGUAUUAUGCAAAAGUAAUAUCACUAGUUUCUAUAUCCGUAUUCUAAUGAUAAUAAAAACAUCUCUAAUUCAUUAAAACUCUUACAUAGAAAUUGAUAAAAAAAGAAGAUAUAAAAUAAUUUAUUAAAAAUAUAUCAAAGUUUUUGCACUCGGUUAUAAUUAUUGUGUAAUUUUUUUUUUCAAUUCCAAGAUAUUGUUAUAAGAAAAUUUUACAUCAUAUAUAUAUUACAAAAAAAAUUAAUGUAUUAUAUAUAUAUAGGGUCCUACUCUGGUACAAACCUUUUUAGCGUACAAACUACAAACCAAAAUUAAAAAGUCUCUAAAUCAAAUCAGAAUAUAGCACAUAUGGUAUGGAAAUUGAUCGUUGCGAGAUGAACAAAAAUAAUGAUUAUAAAGUUUGUAUUUGAGCCAUUAUAUAUAUACUUACAAUAAAAGUAAUAAUAUAUUAUAUUCUAAAUAUAGUUAACCACUGCAGUUGGUCGCUUAUAAAUAGAAGUGUGCAUUAUAGGAUGAAACGUACAUCAAGCUGAGGAGAAACAUGGUACACUCUGCAAAGCUAUAUCAUCUUCUUUUACUUGUUUUCUUUUCCUCCUUACUUCCAUCCAUUCUAUUGGCAACAAGACGAGAAGGAGAAGCUCUUGUGAAAUGGAAGAAUAGCCUAGCCCCGUCUUCUUUUCUUGAUUCUUGGUCACUCUCCGAUCUCGAUAAUCUUUGCAACUGGACUGGCAUUACUUGUAACUCUGCAAGUUCAGUGUCUCAGAUAAAUCUUUCCCAAAAACAGCUCGAUGGAACGCUGUCCGAAUUUGGUUUCACUUCAUUUCCGAAUCUCGAAAAUUUGACUAUAAGAGACAACAGCUUCUCCGGGCUAAUACCACCAGGCAUUGCGAAUUUAACACAGCUUCAAUACCUUGAUUUAAGCUACAAUUAUUUCAGUGGUUCCAUUCCGUACGAGGUUAGCCAUCUUCAGAGAUUACGUGUUUUAGACUUGUCGUAUAAUGAAAUGCAGGCUCCAAAGUGGUCUGACUUCUCUCCCAUGCCUUUUAUGAGCAUCCUCAACCUACGGGCCAAUCAUCUUGUGUCGAAAUUCCCAGAAUUUAUAUCCAAUUCUUUUAGCCUGACUUUCCUUGACCUUGGAGACAACAAGUUCACCGCUGAUCAUCUUGUGCUCGAAUCAGAAUUUACCAAUUUGCAAAAUCUUGAAACGCUGUUUCUUGAUGGUAAUUCUUUUGAGGGGACGUUUCCACCGAAUAUAUUCAGGCUUUCUAAAUUAAAAUACCUUUCCCUAUCUGCUAAUAAGUUUUCAGGUUCUGUGCCGGAUGACAUAGGGAUGCUUCGUGAUCUUGAAUCCCUUUAUCUUGGUAACAAUUCUUUCAAAGGGAUGCUUCCACAAAAUAUUUUCAGACUUCCCAAAUUACGGGAUCUUUCCCUCUGGGGUAACAAUUUUUCAGGUCUUAUUUCAGAUGAUAUAAGGAUGCUUUCUAACCUGGAAUCUCUUGAUCUUAAUGGUAAUUCUUUUCAGGGUCCGCUUCCACCAAAUUUCUUCAAGCUUUCCAAAUUAAGACAUCUCGCCCUCUCAAAUAAUAAAAGAGUAUUUAAAGGAAGUAUUCCUCUUGGGUUGGGGCUUUUGACUAACCUUGACUACUUAUGUCUUAAUUCCAAUUAUCUCACUGGCUACAUUCCAUCUGACAUUGGAAAUCUAAAGCUACUAGAACAUCUUGAUCUCAGUUUUAAUCAAUUGACCGGACCGCUCCCAAAGAUCAUUUCUAACCUCACUAAUCUAACGCGUCUUGGUCUGAAUGAUAAUUGGUUUUCCGGCAGUAUUCCAAGUGACUUCUUGGAAAACUCUACAUUAUUAUUUUACAUUGAUCUUUCAAACAAUGAUCUGUCUGGAAGCAUUCCUAAGGAAUUCAACGUUCAUCCGACAUUGGAUUAUAUCAAUUUAAGUGGAAACCGUUUUAGAGGUCUACUUCUCUCUUUAAAUUUUUAUGUUCGUUUUGUAUAUGCUAGUAACCUGAUUAUUACACUUUUACUGAAGCUUCAACAAUUCUAACUGCAGGCAAGCUUCCAGCAACGAUUUGCAAUGCUACAUCCCUUUCGACUCUUGUUCUGUCAAAUAAUGAAUUCAGCAAUGCACUUCCACAUUGUUUGGGGAAUCUUGCUGAUCAACUUCUUUCCAUUAAUCUUGCUAAUAAUUUGUUUCGAGGACCAAUACCAACAACUUUCUCUAAGAGUUGUCGGCUGACAUAUCUAAACAUGUACAACAAUCACUUUGAAGGGUUGUUGCCGCAAUCUCUGGCAAACUGUAAGCACCUACAAAUUCUUGAUAUUGGAAACAAUGAAAUAGGUGGUAAAUUCCCGUCAUGGCUGUUUACUCUUGGAGAGCUGGAAGUCCUAGUCUUGCGAUCAAAUAGAUUCCACGGUCCAGUCAAUGGAACAAGCUCAGCAAAUUUAUUCCCCAAGUUGCGGAUUGUUGAUCUCUCCAACAAUCAAUUUACAGGCGAUUUACCAAUUCAGUAUUUUAAGAAUAUGAAACCAACAGAUAACCACUAUAGUUAUUUUUAUACAGAAAGUGGUUUUUACUAUCAUCAAGCAUCGAUCUCAUUAACUGUGAAAGGAAGAGAGUAUGAAGUGAAAAAGAUCCUUCAUAUUUAUACAGCCAUAGAUGUGUCAUGCAACAAAUUUCAGGGAGAAAUUCCCGAGGUUAUUGGAGAACUUAAAUGGCUUGCAUUGCUCAAUCUAUCACAUAAUAGUCUUAUUGGACCUAUCCCAUCACAGCUCGGAAAUAUGGAAUCACUUUUAUCUCUAGAUUUGUCUUCAAAUCAUUUGACAGGGGGUAUUCCCGAUCAGUUGAUUAGGUUGACAUUUCUAGAGGUCUUGAACCUCUCGGAAAAUCAUCUGACAGGGCCUAUCCCCCAAAAAGGACAGUUCAGCACAUUCAACAAGGAUUCUUACCUAGGUAACUUUGCCUUGUGUGGAUUACCUUUAACUAAUAACUGUACACACACUGUGUCACCACCACAAGAAGGCGGAACUGGUGACAAUGAUGCCUAUGAUGAACCCGAUUGGGAAGUGAUCCUCAUGGGAUAUGGAUGUGGACUAAUAUGCGGAUUGUCCACAGGGUACGUUGUCUUCACAUUCAGAAAGCCUCAGUGGUUUAUGAGAUACACUGAAAGCGUGCAACAGAAGUUGAUGAGAUGAUGCAUGUUGAGUACCGUUCAAUCAUGAAGCACAACUGGAAACAAUGUUAUCUUAGGAAAACAUGUGUUCUGAACCAGUAGUGUUUGCACAAAAUUUGUGGUGCUAUGUAAUACUUAUAUAAUUGUACGUAUGAUUAUUGAUUAGUCGUUGAGAAAAUGCAUUUUAUUUCAGUGUCAAUGAUAAUCUACAUGUUUUGGAUACUUCCAGCUUCUCAUACUAAUAUAGGAACCACUUGAAAAAUUUUGGACAGGCUCUGAGGAUGCUAAUGCUGCUGUUUAGUUUCUACCGCGGAAUUGACUUUAGCAUAUACUCGUAUGACAUAUUACUAGAUAUAUGGUUGUUAAAUAAAAUUAUCUUUUUGUGGAAUAAAUAGGAAAGCAAAAUCAUAGAAUAAUGUAUGUUAUAUAGGAAGGUAUUGUCCUCUUAGAUAGGUAUCAUUUAUGCCUCAUUGGCAUGUCUCAGAAAACUUUUGGGUUAACACAAUGUUUACUUAGAGCAUUGCCAUUCCUUAAAUAUAAUAUAAAAUAUUGGAUCUUAGUGACUUAAGAUGAUAAUAGCUAUUCGCACCUCCAACAAUAUUCCUUAUAUUCAUUCCUUAUAUACUAUUUUAUUAUUAAAAGUUACCAUUAUUGCAAUAGGUGAAAAGAGAGAACAUGUUUGUAUUCAAAAUUUAUUGUAAAAUAAUAUUUAGGAGAGGAGAGAGGUUACCUAAAGAUAAGGCAUGGCUAGUUAUUUAGAGAAUCACUAGGAUACUGUUGGAGUGGAUUAUUUUCCCAUAUUACUCAUAUUUUGGUUUAAGAUUCCUAAUAGGGAAGCUGCUGGAGUUGCUCUUAGAGCAUCUCCAAGAGAUUCUUCAUUUAAGCUCCUAACUUGAGAUUUGAGUAGGGAGAGGAAAAAUGUUGCUCCAAGAGACUCUUAAGUGGCUCUUAAAUCACUAAGAGCCUCUUGUUUCUCUCUCCUCUCUCCUCAAAGUUAAGAGCCACCACAUUGCUCCUAACUUAUUUUUUCACAAUAAAAAAAUCUUUUCCUCCAAUUCAGCUCCAUCUUUCCAUCUCUUUUGUUAUAGUGGAGCCCAAUAUAUGAAUAAAAUAUGAAAUAGAGAAGAGAUGUAGAGAGUAUUGUUGGAGUUUACACUCUUAACUUUGUCUUAAAUUGCUAAGAGCUAUUUUUUUAUAUUAUAUUUAGGAGCCAAUAAGGAGGCUCUUGGAGAUGCUUUUAGUACUAAUUGUUAGAAUAUGAAAAUGCAGUUAUGAACUAUUAUGCUAGAGAGAGAAAAAUUCAACAAACUUCAUUUCUGUAAACUACAACUAUUAGUCUGUUACAUUGCUGAAAGCUACAUUUAUACAUUUACAGUUUACAACAAACUAUGAAACUGAUUUUCCCGCGUCCUCCUCACUUGUCCACGUGGCCUGACUGGCUUGGUGUCCUUGACACUCUUUAUUAUUGCUAAUAUAUACUUAACACUAAUACCUCAAAGCAGGGUAUAAAUUCAAUAGCACAGCUUCUGGAUAAUGGAAAUUUAGUUAUCCAGAGGUCUUGGUUUUACAUAUCACUUGUAUAUUAUGUCUCGGUCUCAUUGAAGCAUACCAAACGAGAUUUUGGGUUUGUUAAUAUUUUUUUAGUCCAAAUUUGAAUAAUACUGUUAUGCUUAUUCACACGGUAGACGUGUUUUUAUUAAAAUACUGCAACUGAAAUUGAUGAAAACAUGCACAAAGCAUAGCAGACGAAAGACUUGAGGAGAUAUUGUCUUAGGCGAUGCAAUACGUUCUAAUAUAAUGCUAUAUUAUGCAAUCUCGUUUAAUACUUUCAUCAUUAUUCUCCAAGAUGUCUGAACAUGUAUUUUCAAAGAAUUCUCAGUUCACCUUUAGUCUUAUAGCGACAUUUUGAAGGCACUCUCAACUUACACCCUAUAUAUACACGUACGGUUCACUUCAGUACAAAGAUUUUAUGAUACAACUCUCAUAUUAUGAACUAGUUCUGUCGAAUACAUGAAUAUUGAUCAAUCAUUUGAACUCGAGUUUCCCAGCUGGCCAGAUACCCAGAUUAUUAGCCAUGCAAAACAUGCAGAACCACUAGUAAUGCAGAAAAACAAUAUAUUAGUUUUCUCCGGUGUUACAGAAAUCAGGAAUCGGACCUAAUCGGUUUAGCUACCGAUUUAGGGAUUAAUAGGAAAUAGGGGAUUAAUCGGAGUGAAAAUCGGAUUUAUUUUAAUAUUAAAAUAUUAUUUAAUAUUUAGUUAUUAUUAUAUUAGCUAUUUAGUAACUAAUAUAUUUACUAUAUUCAUAAACUCUAUAAUUAUUCGUAUUGAAAGUAAUAUAGUAUUUUAAUUUUAAUAAUUUACUAUAUAUACUUCGAUUAAGAAAUAUAUAUAUAAGGAUUAAUCGGAUUUCAAAAAUCGAAUCGGUGGCCAACCUUGCAGAGGAUUAAUCGGGGAUUAAUUGGUUGAAUCGGGGAUGUUUAGAACACUGGUUUUCUCCAAAUAUCACUACAACAAAACUGCCAUUUUACGACGGAAAUCUAAUAUUCUAAAGGGUUACGACCAAACUAUGUCGGUGGACUUUAUUUUAAUUUACCGUUUAACAGUAGUUAAUUUUGGAUAUCUACACUUGCGAUGGAAAACAUACGACAGUCUACUUCGUGAGAGAAAAUCAUUUUAUUUUAUUUUUUAGCGCCAGAAUUUUAAUACUGAAAUAUUAUAUAUAUGAAGGAAACUGAUCUCUAAUGUUUUCAGCUUGCUCAUCCAUCGUAAGUAAUCCGUCGAAAAAGUUAGUUUGUUGUGGUGGUGUCUUAUCAUGAGAGAAAAUGAUAAUAUCGCAAAAUAUUUGCAACUGAAAGAUAAAUUAUAAUUCUAGAAACCAUUUAGGUAACGAUGCACGAAGUUAUUUUCACUCACUUAGAAUUAAUGNUGAAAACAUGCACAAAGCAUAGCAGACGAAAGACUUGAGGAGAUAUUGUCUUAGGCGAUGCAAUACGUUCUAAUAUAAUGCUAUAUUAUGCAAUCUCGUUUAAUACUUUCAUCAUUAUUCUCCAAGAUGUCUGAACAUGUAUUUUCAAAGAAUUCUCAGUUCACCUUUAGUCUUAUAGCGACAUUUUGAAGGCACUCUCAACUUACACCCUAUAUAUACACGUACGGUUCACUUCAGUACAAAGAUUUUAUGAUACAACUCUCAUAUUAUGAACUAGUUCUGUCGAAUACAUGAAUAUUGAUCAAUCAUUUGAACUCGAGUUUCCCAGCUGGCCAGAUACCCAGAUUAUUAGCCAUGCAAAACAUGCAGAACCACUAGUAAUGCAGAAAAACAAUAUAUUAGUUUUCUCCGGUGUUACAGAAAUCAGGAAUCGGACCUAAUCGGUUUAGCUACCGAUUUAGGGAUUAAUAGGAAAUAGGGGAUUAAUCGGAGUGAAAAUCGGAUUUAUUUUAAUAUUAAAAUAUUAUUUAAUAUUUAGUUAUUAUUAUAUUAGCUAUUUAGUAACUAAUAUAUUUACUAUAUUCAUAAACUCUAUAAUUAUUCGUAUUGAAAGUAAUAUAGUAUUUUAAUUUUAAUAAUUUACUAUAUAUACUUCGAUUAAGAAAUAUAUAUAUAAGGAUUAAUCGGAUUUCAAAAAUCGAAUCGGUGGCCAACCUUGCAGAGGAUUAAUCGGGGAUUAAUUGGUUGAAUCGGGGAUGUUUAGAACACUGGUUUUCUCCAAAUAUCACUACAACAAAACUGCCAUUUUACGACGGAAAUCUAAUAUUCUAAAGGGUUACGACCAAACUAUGUCGGUGGACUUUAUUUUAAUUUACCGUUUAACAGUAGUUAAUUUUGGAUAUCUACACUUGCGAUGGAAAACAUACGACAGUCUACUUCGUGAGAGAAAAUCAUUUUAUUUUAUUUUUUAGCGCCAGAAUUUUAAUACUGAAAUAUUAUAUAUAUGAAGGAAACUGAUCUCUAAUGUUUUCAGUUUGCUCAUCCAUCGUAAGUAAUCCGUCGAAAAAGUUAGUUUGUUGUGGUGGUGUCUUAUCAUGAGAGAAAAUGAUAAUAUCGCAAAAUAUUUGCAACUGAAAGAUAAAUUAUAAUUCUAGAAACCAUUUUGGUAACGAUGCACGAAGUUAUUUUCACUCACUUAGAAUUAAUGCUAAAUAUUUGCAACUGAAAGAUAAAUUAUAAUUCUAGAAACCAUUUAGGUAACGAUGAGCGGAGUUAUUUUCACUCACUUAGAAUUAAUGAUAAAUAUUUGCAACUGAAAGAUACAUCAUAGUUCUAGAAAAGGAUCCACGAAGUUAUUUUCACUCACUUAGAAUUAAUUGUAAGUUAUUGUGAGUUUUUGAAUAUGAAUUAUCUCAAAUUUUAUUAAAACACAUGUUGAUUCUUAUAUACAAAUUUGCCUAUCUAAUAUUAUAAUAUUUAUGGAGAAGGUGUAUGAACAAUUGUGUAGAUAAUUAUACUUUACAAAGCAUACUUCUGCUAGCUGAAUUUUGAUUAAAAAAAUCGAAAGGGAUAGGUCUGGGUCUCUCCAAGUCUUUGAGGACUCAUUCCAAGUCUUCUGAUGAGGACAAAAUAUAUUGCUGGAAGUCUUUCAGUCCUUCCUAGAGUAUUUUGUGCUCUGCACUGCAUUAUGCAGCUCUCAUAUAACUGACCGCUAACCUCCUUCCAACACUUUGCGAUGCAAAACAGUGGCAUGUUAUAAGUAUUUCCGUAUGUGUAUUUAUUUGGAUAUUAAAGUUGCGUAACAUUUGUGUUGAUAAUUUGCGCAAUGUUGAUGAGGAUUGCUCCCAAGUCUUGGCGGACUCUUUCCAAAUCUUCUGAGGACCUAUGGGUUCAAAUUAGUCCAUUAAAAUGAAUACCAUUGUUUUGUGAUUAAGUUGUAUGGUUAAGAGCUUAUCCUCUGUCGUCCCAGGUCCUGGGUUCGACCCUGGCUCACCCCGAGAGUUUCGUAGAACAGAUACUCAUUAUAAGGCUAUAAGCCAUAUUUGUCAAAAAAAAAGUUGUAUAGGCAAUAUGCAUUGCAAAAUCAGCAACAGAAUAUAUACUAAUUAAUUACCUGAUAUCGGUUUGAACAAAUACUUUCUAUGUAGUUGUAAUAUUAGUCUUCUUUAAAAGUUAUCAUGAGGGAAGAUAUAUAUUGUGAUGCGGGGGAAAUAUUGUAACCGAAAAUAAUUAUAAUUCUAAAAAUUUCCAUUAUACACUUUUUUUAGUGUUCGUACGUGGUAAGUACUUCAGACGACAUUUCUCGCGUAUGCCUCCAAUUAAGAAUUUGAUGUUCAGCCUAGUCCUAAACUAAAAUUAUUAUAAAUGUGUAAUUCAAAAUUAUAUUGCUGGUAGGCUCUGAGAUUAACCUUAAACAAAAACAACUCAGUGGAACGCUUUCCGAGUUUGGUUUCACUUCAUUUCCAAAUCUCAACAAUCUCAACAUAGCACGAAACAACUUUUACGGUCCAAUACCACCAGCCAUUAAGAAUUCUAUUUUAAUAUGUAACAUUCUAUUUUCUAAAAUAAUAAAUAUUUUUUUUAAUAGUUGGUCAAAAAUUAGUCAAUUUGACUUCUCAAAAAGCAGAAAGGACAUGUAAAUUGAGACGGGGGAGUAUUUAACGGAAUUCAACGAAAGGUGUGCGUAUCGUUCUUGAAAUGUAAAAAUAGGUGGUGCAAUUCGAGUUUCCAAACCUAUGGGUACAAUAUCGUUUUUAAACGUAAGCUAGGGGGUCCAAAUUACAAUUACAUGUAUAUAUAGUGACUUAACGGAGUGCAUAUAGUUAACGGAAGUUAACGGCAGGGAGUGCAUCUCGGGCUUGAAUAGUAAAGAUAAAAGGUGCGAGUUGAGUUUCUCAAAGUAUGAGUACAAUAUCGUUUUUGAAUGAUAGUUAAGGGGUGCGAUAUGCAAUUACCUCAAAAAAAUAUGAUCAUUAGUAUAUUAUAUUAGUAUCCACACACUUAUAUCUCAAAAUCUAUCCUCCAAAAUUAUCAUCUAUAUAGGCUAGCCACAUAAAAUAAAAAUUUAAAGAUAUUAGAUAUUUAGUUAUUUCAAUUAUAUAAUUUUUCCACGCAAAAUAACAAAAUAUCUUUAUCAACUUAUUAUUUAUGAGUUAAAUAUUCAACUUAUAUAAUUCGGGCAUGCUGGGUAUAAAUAGAAGUGUAACGCCUAAUUUCCGGGGUCUGGGAGUAGUUAGCGGGGUAUGAGAGAGCAGGCUAUUUAGAAGUCUUGGUCAUGAAAACUUCCAAGCUAACUUCGACAACGGAAUCUUCUGAGGCUACUAUUCUAAAGCACGCAUAAUCAUUGUAUUCAUUUUCCUCUAACACUGGCAAAAAGUCUAUUUAAGCAAAUGAAAUACAAACAACUGAGUGGAAUGCUGACCGAAAGUCUUUUUGGCUGAGCUUAUGAUUUAUUAGUACAUGAUUAAUAUGAUAAGCUAAGCUGAGAGCAUAAGAUAUCGUGUGUAUAAUUUUGUGUUUAUUAAUGACUUAUAAAUUAUUAAAAAUAUAAUAAGAAAAAUAAAAAUGAUUUAUAACUAAUUUAUGUUUUAUGAGUAAUUUUUAUUAGAAAAAAGUUUUAAAAAAUUAUUUCACUGAAAAAAAAUCCUCCAACUAACUUUUGGCUCUAAGUCAGUUUUUGAUUUAUUUAUGAUUUUAAGUCGGAUUCUGAUUUUUACACAAACAGAAAAUUUCCAGCUUAAAGUUAAAAACAACUUUAAGCUCCGGUUUUAAACCUCUGAGUUUGGUUUCACUUCAUUUACAAAUCUCAACAAUUUCACCAUCAAACACAAUGACUUCUCCAAUCUCCGGUCCAGUUCACCAGCCAUUGAGAAUUUGGCACAACUUCAAUUCCAUACCAGGUUAGUCGGCUUCGGAGGUUACACGCCUUAGACCUGUCAAAUACAAAUUUCAAUCUCCAAACUGGUCCGAUUUAUCUUCUAUGCAUUUUGUUGAGUCCGGCUCAUCUAAAACCUGAAGGUGUUAGAAGAAACCCGAAUGAAUCUUAUAUAUGAAUCUUAUAUAUGCUAUAUUUAAACAAUUCUGAGCACACUCAACCUUGGUAUUAAUAAUAUCGUGUCGAUAAUUCCAGAAUUUAUAUCUAAUUCUCAUAGCCUAACUUUCCUUGACCUUUCCAUAUAACAAAUUUACAGUUAAUCCUGUGCUUGAAUCAGUAUUUGCAACCAAAAUUAUGCAAUUAUAGUGCAGGUAGUCUUCCAGUUCUUCCUACUCUAUGCUAUAAUUUCAUUUGAUACCAAUAAUUUUACGCUCUACACUCCAGGAUGAGCUCGCAUAUUAUUGACAGCAAUAAUCCUUCCAACACUUUGUGAUGCAAAGCAGGGGGGCGCCUGUAUUUUCAUAUGUCUAUAUUAUUGGAGAUUAAAGUUGUGUGGACAAUUGUGUUGAUAAUUUGCCCAAUGUUAACAGGGAUAGGUUGGCUUAAAAAUAUAUAAGGUCACUUGUGCAUCGCUGUUCACACACUUAGACCCUGUUUGUGUAAGCUUUAAGUCCGGGCUCAAGCAAUUUCGACUUAAUCACUUCCGAGGACCAAUACCAACAGCCUUCUCAAAGAGUUGCCAGCUAAGAUAUCUAAACAUGUAUGACAAUCAGUUAGAAGGACUAUUGCCCCGAUCUUUGUCAAACUGUAAGCACUUAAAAAUUCUUGACAUCGGGAACAAUAAAAUGGGUGGUACAUUCCCUUCAUGGCUAUUUAAUCUCGGAGAGCUAGAAAUCCUAGUCUUGCGAUCAAAUAGACUGUACGGUCCUGUAAGUGGAAGGAGCACAUCACAUCCAUUCCCCAAGUUGCGGAUUCUAGAUCUCUCCAACAAACAAUUCGCGGGCUAUUUGCCAAUUCUAAACUUUAAGAAUAUGAAACCAGCUGCUGAUGAUAACGCGUAUAGUUAUAAAAAUAAGUCACAAGGACUAAUUAAUUACAUCUAUGAAGCAUCUAUCUCCUUAAAUGUGAAAGGAACAGAGUAUGAAGUGAAGAACAUUCUUCAUAUUUACACAGCCAUUGAUCUAUCGUGCAACAAAUUUCACGGAGAAGUUCCAAAGAGAGCUUAAAUGGCUUGCAUUGCUCAAUCUAUCUCAUAAUAGUCUUGCCGGACAUAUGUUCUGAAUUAUUAUUAUGCUUUCAUCAAUAUUUUCAAACAUUUCUCAAUAUGUAUUUCAAAGAAUUCUCAAGCCCUGGAACAUUUGGACCGGUCCUUUCGAAGCCAAGAUGCCCAGGUUAUCAUGGCCAUGCACAAAAAUGAAUAAAUUAUUCCAAGUCUUCCAUGACUCAUUCCAAGUCUUCGGAGGAGACCCUGAGCACAAAGAUGCUCAGGGUCUCCCCAAGCCUUCCAGGACUCAUUCCAAGUCUUCGGAGCACGGCCUCGACUCGCCCUUUCAAAGAUGUGAUAGUAGCUCGAGAGUGAUAUAAAUUAUUUUCCGGACACUAAAAAUAAAUAAUCAGAUCAAAUUAAUCAAUAAUAAAUUAAGGAUGAAAUCCAAAUUAAUCCUAAAUUUUGAUAAUAUAUAAAAAUUAUAAUUAUAAAUUAUAUAACCAAAUCAGAAUUGAAUUAACUUCCUUGGCACUAAAUUGAUAAGGAAAGUAUAAUAAUUUAAAUUUAAUUGAUGAAAAGUCAAAGUCUUCUAAUAAAUCCAUAAAGAAUAUGAUAAUCAAAAUAACGAAAAUUAUAAUUGAAAAAUCAAAAUCAUUAGUGUAUUGGAAUAGUGUUCACACACUUAUAUAUCAAAAUUUGUGGUCCAAAAACUAUAGCACAAUAUCCUAAAUACACCACAUUAAAUAUUAGUUCAAAAAUAUUCUGUAAAUAAUUGUUUUCAUUCAUCAUUUUGUUAUUUAAAAAACUAAUAAUUUGGGUUGAUGUUAACCUAUAUUUUAAUAUAUAAUUAUAUUAUUUUCGUAUUAUUUUAUUUAACUAGAAACAAUAUUUUUAUCAGACAUCAAUUAUAUUAAAAGAUAUAAUUUUAUUAAAAAAAAUUGAAUUAAAUUAAUAGGAUAACUCUACGCCUCACCAAGUCUACAAGACUCAUUUCAAGUCUACCAAGGACCACUACCUCGGUCCUCAACCAUUGGGAGAUGUGAAAGUAGCUUGAGAGUGACAAAAAUUAUUUUCCUCACAAUAAAAUUUAAUAUCUGAUAUAAAUUAAUUAAAUUAGUUAAUAAUAAAUUAAAACUAAUCAUGAAUUAUGAUAAUAAUUAAAUAAAUUAUAAUUAAAUUAUAUAAAUCAACUCCAAAUGAUACAAAUGACACUAAACCUUAGUUACUUUAUUGGUAAAUAAAUAUAAUAUAAUAAUCAAAUUGAUGAAAAAUCAAAAUCAUCUAAUAAAUUCAUAAAAAAUAUAUGAUCAUUAAUAUAUAUUAUAUUAGUAUCCACACACUUAUAUUUCAAAAUCUAUCCUCCAAACUUAUCAUCUCUGUAAACUAGCCACAUAAAAUAAAAAUUUAAAGAUAUUAGAUAUUUAGUUAUUUUCAUUAUAUAAUUUUUCCACACUAAACAACAAAAUAUCUUUAUCAAAUUAGUAUUUAUGAGUUAAAUAUUCAAGUUAUAAAUCCAGCAUGCAGCGUAUAAAUAGGAGAAACAUGGCACACUCUGCAAAGCCUUCUCACCUUCUUCUCUUUGUUUUCUUUCUCUCAUCACUUGAAUCCAUUCUUGCAACAACACGAGAAGGAGAAGCUCUUGUGAAAUGGAAGAAUAGCCUAGCCCCGUCUUCUUUUCUUGAUUCUUGGUCACUCACUCAUCUCGAUAAUCUUUGUAACUGGACUGGCAUUACUUGUAACUCUGCAGGUUCAGUCUCUGAGAUUUACCUUUAUGAGAAACAACUUGAUGGAAUGUUGUCGGAGUUUGGUUUCACUUCAUUUCCAAAUCUCAACAAUCUCACCCUCGCAUACAACUUCUUCUCCGGUCCAAUACCACCAGCCAUUGAGAAUUUAACACAGCUUCAAUAUCUUGAUUUGAGAAAUAAUUAUCUAGAUGGUCCCAUUCCUUUCCAGGUUAGCCAUCUUCAGAGCUUGCUCAUCUUAAACCUGUCAGAGAAUGCAUUGCAAGCUCCAAAUUGGUCCCAUUUCUCUCCCAUGCCUUUUUUGCGCAUCCUCAACCUCAGUCACAAUCCUCUUGCGUCGAAAUUCCCAGAUUUUAUAUCCAAUUCUCAUAGCCUGACUCACCUUAGCCUUAAUUAUAACGAGUUUACUGGUGAUUUAGCACGUGAAUCAAUAUUUGCCAAUCUGCAUAAUCUUGAAGUCCUCAGUCUUAAUGGCAAUUCUUUUGAGGGGCCAUUUCCACCAGAUAUAUUCAAGCUUUCAAGAUUAAAACGUCUCUUCCUGGCAGUUAACAAAUUUUCAGGUUCAAUUCCCAAUGACAUAAGGUUACUUUGUGAUCUUGAAUAC
RNAcentral lists this long non-coding RNA (202362 nucleotides) under Daucus carota (carrot). RNAcentral describes it as "long non-coding RNA (DCAR_LNC002600)". Lineage: Eukaryota; Viridiplantae; Streptophyta; Magnoliopsida; Apiales; Apiaceae. The record is from RNAcentral.